UUCUAACACCAAAGGGAUAGAUAAGGCUCUAGUGUAGCAGAUACAAAAGCCAUAGCCAUGACGAAACUCAUGUGCUUAUGUUUCAUCAUCCUCACUAUUGCGGUAGCCGUGUCGGCUGAUGAAUGUGAGGGUGACCGACAGGCCAUGAUCAAGGAGUGUGCUAAGUAUCAACAAUGGCCAGCAAAUCCGAAGUUAGAUCCAUCGGACGCAUGUUGCGCCGUGUGGCAGAAGGCAAACAUCCCAUGCCUUUGCGCUGGUGUCACCAAGGAGAAAGAGAAGAUAUGGUGUAUGGAGAAGGUUGGCUACGCUGCCAAUUUCUGCAAGAAGCCCUUCCCACAUGGCUACAAGUGCGGAAGUAAGUGAAAUAUAUUAAGGGAAUUACGAUGAUUGGCAUUGCAUACAUGCAGUUUUGAUAUUUAUCAUUCUUCGGAUUCACAUGGUUUUGAUUUUAGUUAUGCAUUUUAUAUGUUUCUUGUGCUAUUCUGAUCAUAUGUUGGGUCAAAUUGAAUGGUCUUGCAGGUUACACAUUCCCUCCUCUGGCGUAGUGAUUCUAGUUUAGUAGCGGGAGGAGAAGCAUUAGCAUUUACAUUAUAUGUGUGUGGCCUCACAAGAGCUUCCCUUUCAAAUCUAUAAUUCUUGAGGUUGUACUCAUAAUAGUUUAUGUUAGGAACUAUCUAUGAGAAGGUUUGUGAAACUAAUAAAGUCUUCUCCUCAAAUUGUCUAAAUUAUGUUUGUUCAUACACAACAUUUUUGUUCUAUUUAUGGCUCAUUGUAGGUGAAGGGAUCAAGGAUAUUAGAAGAAAUUAGUGUUGUUAAAGCAACAACUUUCAUGUGCUUUUUAUAUGCAAAGUUAAUGGGUUCAUUUAUGCCCUGAGGUCAACCAAUUUUCACCUUACUAACUCUUAUUCUUGGACCCUGGCUGACGCAAAGCUCUGAAUACAACUUAAUUUGCUAGAAGUGAGGAGAUUGAUGGGAGGGGAUGAUAAAGAUAAGUGGCAUAUUUAGUUAGUUGUAUAUAUGAUUUCACACACAAAUCCGUUGUAGUUCGAUUAUAAUGGUUUACUUGGAUUUUGUAAUGCGUGCAACAUCUGCCUUGUCCAUUAUAUACACUACCAUAAUUUUAUCAUACAAAGUUUUUCAACUAGUGAAAGUGCGUUAUGUCGACUAGAGAGGGGGUGAAUAGGCGAUUUUUAUGAAUUCUUCACUGAGGAAUUUGCCGGUGAGGAAAUUCCUUAGCGAAGAACUAUUAGCAGCGGAAUAAGUACUCAGAAGUAAGCAUAACAGAAUACAAGCAUGGUCAUCAUGAUGAAAUGAAGACUAGCACAGAGUACAGAAAGCGUAAUCACAGGAUAACACAUGAUGAAGACAAACAGACUGAAGAAAUUGAACUGAGGAAAUUGAGAAAGUCUUCAGUCAAAGUCUUCAAACACAGAUAUGAACAAACACUCAACACAGUAAUGAGGAAAUGAAAGGGUUGAGGAAAUAGAACCAGUAGGUUGGUGAAGACAAUGAUUUGGUAGACCAGUUCCAACUGCUGUUUCAGUUGUACGUCUGGUUGGAGCGGCUGAGUAUUUAAACUCGAGGACACGCAGUCCCGGACACCCAGUCUCUAAGCACGCAGCUCAGGACACCCAGUCCUCACCGUAUUCUCCUUGAACUAAGAUCACACAGAUCCCGUCCAAUCACUCGUGGUAAGUCUUCAGGCGACUUCCAAACCUUCACAGACUUGGUCACUCGGCGAUCCACAAUUCCUCUUGGAUGCUCUAGACCUUGACGCCUAACCGUCUGGAAGAAGCACAGUCUUCAAAGGUAACAAGCGUCGGAUCCACGCAGGAUCAAUUUCUUCAGUGAUGCUCAAUCACUUUGGGGUUUGUAGGUGUUUGGGUUUGGGAUUUUCCUCACUUGAUGAUUUUCGCUCAAAGUCCUCGGAGGAUGGGUUGCUCUCAAAUGACAAGUGUCAAGUUCUCUCGGAGCAGCCAACCAGCUAGUGGUUGUAGGGGGCGGCUAUUUAUAGCCUAGGGAGCAGCCCGACAUGAUAAGACAUAAAUGCCCUUCAAUGAUAUGACCGUUAGGUGGAUAAGAUAUUUUGGGACAGCUGGCGCGCAGCACAGCAACGGUCGGAAAUUUGACUCUCAAAUUCCUCAGGGCUAUCAUGUUCCUCACUAUGUAGAUAAUUCGCACUGGCGAAUUCCUAACUCCUCAGUCAGAACAAAUUCAUCAGCGACCAGAAGAACUUCGUCUCUGUCACUGAAGAAAGUGACUGAACCGUAUGAGAUUUCCAAAGGCUUCACUCGAAGGGAUUGGUAGGUGUAGGAUUUUGAGUUGAGCAUCACAUGGAAAUUUUUCCUUAGUAUUUCCUCGACCCCCUUUAAUAGUACGGUGUUUCCUAUGACUCAAGAAAGAGAAAAUGAAACUACGAAAACAAAAGUCUUCACGCUUCAUGUUCCAGAAAUGAAUACCAAGUCUUCAAGGUCACACCAAUUUCUUCACUUUCAAAGUCUUCAGAAAGUCUUCAGAAUAUCAAAGUCUUCAGUUGAAGAACUUCAUUUUUAGGGGUCGACUUUCUCUGUAAAUAUCAAACUCCUAUAGACUUAUAGACCCAUGUACACUCACAAACGCAUUAGUCCCUUAACCUAUAAGUCUUCAAUACACCAAAAUCACUAAGGGGCACUAGAUGCACUUACAAUCUCCCCCUUUUUGGUCAUUGAUGACAACAUAGGUUAAGUUUUCAACGGGGAUAAACAUAUGAAGUGUAUACACUGAUAUUGAGGAAUUUGAUUACAAGAUAUAGUAGAACUCCCCCUGAAGAUGUGCAUAGUGAGGAAUUUGCUUUUGAGGCAAUGCACAUUUGAAGAGUUGAAUCAUGGAGAUCUCCCCCUAUAUCUUGUAAUUCAUACACGCAUUUGAUAAAUAAUAUGAAGAAUUUGAAAUGCAUGAUGAAAUAUGGUGCCUGAUGAGAUUCAGCAUGCGUGCAAUGUCAUUAACGAGGAAUAAGCAUGCAAAGCAUAAUGCAACAAAAGUAUCAGCGCACCAUCGGGUUUAAGAUUACAACUCGAUUGAAAUAAAAGUUUCAGAAGAACGAGAGUUGUAACUUAAAAAAUGCCCUUAAUAUAGACCCGCUUGAAGACUAACUCAGAUUUCUCCCCCUUUGUCAUCAAAUGACCAAAAGGAUUGAAACUAAGGACUAACGGCCCUGAAGAAUUUCAAGUCGAUGGAGGAGCGCCAGCGUUGUCGGGGUUGUUUGUUGUCGCAGGGCCUGCCGCAGUGUCGUCCAAAUCUUCAUACUCAUCAGUGUCACGCGAUGAAGAAUAAGAGCUGGCCACCAAGGAAGGAACUUUGACCUUCUUGAAUUUCUUCGGUGGAGGUGCAGACCAGUCAAAUUCAUCCUUGAGACCCAUAUUCUUCAGAUCAGCAGCGCUGUAGACAUGAGAGAGAACAGCCCAGGUACGGUUGAAGGUUUCAUGGAGGUAGUAUUGGUUUUUCUUCACUGCAUUGUGUGUGGAGGUCAUGUUGUGAAGAAUUGAACCAAACUGACGCUUGACCCAUUUAUGAUUGCGAUCAACCUUCUGAUGAAGACUGAGGAGUAACUCACGGUCAGUCAUCACCCUGGGUGUUGUGGCUUGAGGAUUUUGCUUGGCUGAGGUAUUGGCGGCAGAGUCAUGUGUGGCAGAAUCGUCAUUGGUAGAGUAAGAUGCAGCCUUGCGAAAUUGACCAUCCAAUGGACGAAUGCCUUCAUCGAUCACAGCAGCGGCCUUGCCUUUAUCAUCAGCUGAUGAAACUGUCCGUUUGAGGACUUCAAUGGGAGGCAGGUAGCUACCGUGGUUCAGAGUGUCAGCUUUGUAAUUCAGUGAAGAUCUUGCCCUGAUGAAUCUCAUAAUCCAAGGAGCAUAGGGCUUCAGCUCGAAUGGUGACAUAGCAAUAUUGGCCAGAGUCCUCAUGAAGAAAUCAUGGAAGUUUAUGGGAACGCCAUGAAUGAUGUUGAAAAGCAUAUUCUUCAUGAUGCCAAUGACUUCUUCUUCAUUUGAGUCGUGGCCUUUGAUAGGACUCAUUGUCUUCGUCAGGAUUCGAUAGAUAGUUCGAGGCACAUAGAGUAAUUCCUUGAUGAGGAAUUUGGUUCGUGGGGCCUGCCUUGGCUUCAAUGGCUUCAUCAGCACUUGCAUAUAGUGAUUUGAAAGUUCUGGUUCGUUGUAGAUACAACGAGCAUCAUCAAGUGGAGGACUGAGUGGCAGAGCACGAAGCAAUUUAGUUGCAGGUGCCUUGUAGUGAGUAUUUUCAGACAUCCAAUCUAAUACCCAGUAGUUCACAUCUUUAGCGUCUCCGGUGAUGUGUAGAGUUGCAUAGAAUUGAAGAAUGAGUUCUUCAUUCUAGUCACAGAUAUCAAUGCAGAAAUUUAGAAGUCCUGCGUCGUGAAGAACACUGAGGACUGGCUCAAAGCCGGGCAGAGACUCCAUGUCCACAUGAGGAAUAUGUGCAUGAUCAAAGACUUUGUCUUUGUUGAAGAGCACUGAGGAAUAGAAAUUGGCUUGGCUGGCAGUCCAGAAACGCCUCUUCCUUAUGUGAGCAGAAUCAUAUGGAUUAUAAUCAAUGAAGAAUACAUGCUCGGCAAAGAAAUCUUCAGCCUUAAACUUCUGUUUGCUUGAGAACGGAUUCUUUUGCUUUGGCAGAGGGAUGUCAGUGAGUUGCAUCACCACCUCAGGAAUCGCGAGCUCAGGUUCUUCAGGCUGAGAAAUUUCUUGUUCCUCAACAGGUGCAGUCUGAGGAUCAGCAGCAGCAUGUUCAUCAGCACUAGUGGAUGGAAUUUCUUCAUGCACUGAGAGAGUGGGAUGAGUUUCUUCAAAGCCCAUUUGAACUGUUGGUGCAGGGGACUGAGGAAUCUGUUGGAGCAGGGUGAAGAGAGGAGUAUUGGGAUGCUGACUUUCCCAAAAGUCAUCAUUCAUCACAGGUGUGGUGCACCCAAUAUCCACAUCUUCAUCUUCAAUUUCCUCAACACCAGCCUCUUCAGCUGUGAACUGAGGCAUAGGUGAGGAAAUGACUGGAGUUGAAGGGAUUGCGUCCACUUCAAUUUUUUCAUCAAUCUUCUCUGACGAAGCAGCAGAAUGAUGUUCUUCAUCAGAUCCGAUAGGGAUCUCAUAGUCUUCUCCAAAAGGAACAAGGUCCUUUGUUGGCAUGGAGGAAAUCAGAACAGCAUCAAUUGGAUUUUCGAGUGAGCUAGUCAUUGGCUUCAGUUUCUUCGUAGCCGAAGAGUUUGACAUAGCUGAUGCCUUCCUUUUCUUCACUGCAGCUCGCUCUGCAGCCUUGGUCUUCUUCACAUCAAAUGCACAUGGAAGAAUUGGAGUUGGUGUAGGUGCAGAUGGAGCUGAGGAAUCUGGUUGAUUUUCUUCAGGCGCAACUGAUGCAGUUGCCCUGACUUCUUCAGUUUCUUCAGGCGCACCACUAGUGGAUGCCCUGGCAAUUUUUUCAGUGGCUGGAAUGGAAUCAUCAGCCCUCGAACUAGCAUUUUCAUCAGCAGCCUAAACUUCAUCAGCGGUGCUGGCAUGUUCUUCAGUCGACUGAGCUGAGACUUUAGCAUGAGGAAUUUCAUGUUGCGUUGGGGCAGCAACAUUGGUGAAUUUCUUCGUCAGGUUGACGAAUCUGACUUGGGCUCCUUGCCAAUCAGCAUAGUAGGCAUCAAAGUCAUUGCUGAGGGCUUGAAUUUCAGACUGAGCCUGGAGAAGUUCCUCAGGUGUCAUUCUGACAAUGUUUUUCUUCAGGAGCUUCUCCUUUCUGUAUUGAGCUUUCUUAAUCUCUCUUGCCUUUUCAAACUUUCAUUUCUCUUCAGUGAUGAAAUGGGUCAGCAUGUGAUUUUGACCAGCGGUCAGAUGAAAAUCAGGCAUGGGGGUGUUUGGAUCCUUGUGCCAGAGAUCAAUAUAAUCGAGGAUUUUUCUCGGAUCCAACAGCAGUGGCACAGAUGUGCCUUUGGCUCUAGCAGCCUUCACCUGUCUGUCUCUGAUGAUUUCUGCAAGUUCAUCAUCAGAAGGCACAUGAAAUGCGACCUGUUUCUUCUUUGGACUUGGCCGAGGACCUCGUCCAGCUGUUGCUUUGGUCUUCAGCAGAGUCGGGCCAGAUGAUGACUUUGGUGCAGCUGAGGAACUUGCUGAAACACCAGAGGCAAUCGAGAAACCAGCAGUCCUUUGACAUGUAGUCAGAUGCACAGGAGCUGAGGACUUUGGUGUAGCAGUAGCAGUGUGAGGAAUUUGCUGAGAGGGCGCUGCUGAGGAACUUGGCCGUGAGGGUGCUGCUGAGGAACUUGGCCGUGAGGGCGCUGUUGGUGAAGCACUUGGCUUACGAGCAGGCUUCUUUGGCAUGGAUUUCCUCGGUUUGACCGAGGCCUCAGUAGCAGUAGCAGUGGCAGGGUCCUCAUUGAAUUUCUUCACUGCCUCCUUGGCCUGUCUUGCCAAUUUGGCUUGGCGCUUAGCCCAUUCUUCAGGAAAGUCCUCACCACGUUUGAUGCUUGUGGGAUCAGCUACUUGGCCAGGUGCCAAUGGAGCUCUUGGGCAUGGAGGAUUGAGGGCGAAUUUCUUCAUGUACUUUGGAGUCACAUAUCUGUAUUCCCUCCAUUCCCUUGUCCAUCUCCGUUCAAUCUUCUGAAUGCGCACCUUGCGCUGAUUUUUGUUUUCUUUGCCAUAUUUUGCUUCAUCAGGUGUGCAAUAGUCAUCAUAAAUUUCUCAGGGAUUUCAAACGCCGUCAUAACCUCAGGUUUCUUUCCUCCUUUCUGUGGCUUCAAACCGUCUGCCAUAUUCUUCAGUUGAGGAAUUUGAACAAUUGAGUUCUCUGAAGAAGUAUGCAGUUUUUCUUCGAGGAACACUGCAAAUGAGUUAAGUUGAUGAGAACCUAGUGAUUCAGCAGCAGACAUGAGUACCUGUGAACAGAGUACAGGUGCGAGGAAUUUGGAGAGGUCAUAUGCGUUCUGAGAAGGUUUUUCAAAAAGAACAAGUUUUGAGGAAUUUGACCAGAUGAACCUUGAGGAAUUUCACUAAGCGUUCUUGUCUUAGGUUCCAGAGUUGUACAGAUCGAAGAUCCACACAAUUAGGGAAUCUUGAAGAAAAUGAUUGCUUAGAGAAGCAAUUCAAGAUCUUGCGAUGUGUGUGGUGUUCAUAUGUGUGAAGAUUUGAAGAAUAAACACCUUUGAAGAUUUUCAGGAAAGCUUGAGAAUCAAAGCGAGUAAUAAAACUGACUUUUAAUUACCCGAAAUGAAGAACACGACGAACUGAGAAGAACAGAUGGGAAGUUCGUCAGAUUAGAUCUUCCUUGCCCUAACUCGGUGGAGGAAGACAUCUACGGCGGCGGCGGAGUGAAGAUUUCCGCGGUCGGCGUGAGUACGACGGCGACGAGGUCGAGGCAGCGAAGCUCUUCCUCACCGGCGACAAUGGAGUAGCGGUGGCACUAGGGUUUGAGGAGCUCGAACGGGAGAGAGAGGUCGAGCGGAGUAAAUGAAGUGAGGAAGGGGAGAGGGGUAUUUAUAGACACGGUGAAAAACUGUUCGCCCGAAGAUUUAGGACGAACGUGCCCUUGCCCUUUCUCCUUCACGCGACAUGUGUCAUCCACGUACUGUGUAGUGGAGAUUGUGUACGAUCGUGGGUGAAUAGAAUAAUGCAUCAUGGGAUGCGGAACAGUUUGUGCGGCAAAACCAAAAAUUUGGAUAAGAUUUGUUUUAAAGUUUCGUUCGCAAUUUCUUCAGCUGCCAAGGACAUAGUGAAGAUUUUGAACGAGUUUCAAAUAGAACUCACAUGAAGAAUUUGUGAAUAGAUUGGGUUGAGUAUAGCAUAGAGGGGGAAGGGUCCGAUCACAUUCACUUAGCAGAAAAAACAACUUGAAGAAAUAGCUAUAAGUGAAUGCUGUAGAGGACGUAAACUCAUAUAUAUAUAGCCAAUGAAGAAAAACGAAGGAAACAGUGAAGAUUUUGCAAAGUUGAAGAAUUUGAAAAACUGAAGAAUUUCAAAACUGAGGAAAAACUCAAAUUGAAGAUUUUCAACUUUUGUGGUGGCGUGACCCACCGUAUAAGAAUGAUGAUUUCAGACACCGCGUACAAUUGUCAUAGGGUUCUGAGAAUCAAAUUCUUCAUUAAUUUCUUCACACUUAGAGUGUUAUUCUUCAUUGAUUGAAGAAAAACGUUUCUUCAUGUGUUGCACAUCUAAGUCAUCAAUUUUGCAUAAGUGUUAGGAUGUGUGUCCUUUUCAAAGAACAUUCAAAGAUUCUAAGAUAUUUAGCUCACACCGCAACUUGCUAAAUCUCUUCUCAUCCAAGGGCUUUAGUGAAGAUAUCAGCUAGCUGUUCUUCAGUCUUCACGUGCUCGAUGGAGAUGUCGCCCUUCAACACAUGAUCAUGAAGAAAAUGAUGACAAAUCUGAAUGUGCUUUGUCUUCGAGUGCUGAACUGGGUUGUGAGCAAUCUUGAUGGCACUCUCAUUGUCGCAGAGGAGAGGCACAUUCUUCACGUUGACGCCAUAGUCCUUGAGGGUUUGCUUCAUCCAAAGCAGUUGAGCACAACACGAUCUAGCAGCAAUGUAUUCAACUUCCGCAGUAGACAGUGAUACACAGUUCUGUUUCUUCGAGGACCAACAGACCAAAGAUCGUCCGAGGAAAUGACAAGUGCCAGAAGUUGACUUGCGGUCCACAUGAUCACCAGCAUAGUCAGAGUCAGAAUAUCCAAUGAGAUCAAAAACAGAGCCCUUGGGGUACCAUAAUCCUAGUGUUGGUGUGUGAGCUAGAUAUCGAAGAAUAUGCUUCACAGCCUUAUGGUGUGAUUCCUUCGGUGCAGCUUGAAAUCGGGCACACAUGCAAACACUAAGCAUUAUGUCUGGCCUAGAUGCACAUAAGUACAAUAAAGAACCAAUCAUGGAGCGGUAUACCUUUUGAUUGAAGUCAAUACCAUUUUCAUCAGUGCAUAGAUGGCCUUUUGUGGGCAUAGGAAUUUUGACGCCUUUGCAAUCUUGCAUGCCGAAUUUCCUCAGUACAUCUUUGAGGUAUUUCUCCUGAGAUAUGAAUAUGCCAUUGCGCUGUUGACGAAUUUGAAGACCUAAGAAGAAUUUCAACUCUUCCAUCAUAGACAUUUGAUAUUCUUCACUCAUCAUAUAGGCAAAUUCAUCACUAUAACGUUGGUCAGUACAGCCAAAGAUAAUAUCAUCAACAUAUAUUUGGCACACAAACAGUUCACCAUCAUAAGAUUUAGUAAAGAGAGUAGGGUCGAGUGAACCGGGUGUGAAGCCAUUCUUCACGAAGAAUUCCUUCAAUGUAUCAUACCACGCCCGAGGGGCUUGCUUGAGGCCAUAGAGGGCCUUAUUAAGUUUGAAGACUUUGUCAGGAUUCUUUGGAUCUUCAAAACCUGGGGGUUGAGCAACAUAUACUUCUUCCUCAAGCUUACCAUUGAGGAAUGCACUUUUCACAUCCAUUUGAUAUAAGAUGAUAUCAUGAUGAUUAGCAUAAGCAAGUAAUAUGCGAAUAGCCUCAAGUCUAGCAAUAAGUGCGAAAGUUUCAUCGAAAUCAAUUCCUUCAACCUGUGUGUAGCCUUGAGCUACCAGUCGUGCCUUAUUCCUUACCACAAGGACAUUUUCAUCUUGCUUGUUGCGGUAGAUCCACUUUGUGCCAAUGAUAUUAUGCUUGUGAGGAUCUGGACGUUUGACCAGUUCCCAGACAUUGUUGAGCUCGAACUGAUGUAAUUCUUCUUGCAUGGCUUGAAUCCACUCCGGCUCCAAAAAUGCUUCAUCUACCUUAGUGGGCUCUGUGAUAGAGACAAAAGCAUAGUGCCCACAAAAGUUAGAUAAAUGUGAAGCUUUUGAGCGUGUGAGAGGACCUGGCGCUUCAAUGUCAUCGAUGAUCUUGUCAAUUUGUACUUCUUUUGCAACGCGAGGAUGAGCUGGUUGACGUCGAGGUAUUUGAUCAUUUUCCUCAGCACCAUUGUCUUCAGGUGCGUCAGCUCGAUGUUCUUCGCGUACUAGAAUGAAUUCUUCAGCUAAUUCUUCAGUAGGAAUGACAUCCUCAGUUGCCUUGAACUUGAUAGAAUCCUCAGGUGCUGGUUCAUCUAACACAGAAGGUAGGUGCUCUCUUUGUGAGCCAUUAGUUUCAUCGAACCGCACAUCUACAGUUUCAACAAUCUUGUGAAGAGCGAUGUUGAAGACUCUGUAGGUGUGCGAGUCCUUUCCGUAACCAAGCAUAAAACCUUCAUGUGCUUUCGGUGCAAAUUUAGAAUUGUGAUGAGGAUCUCUAAUCCAACAUUUAGCACCGAAGACUUUGAAAUAACUCACAUUGGGUUUCUUGUUAGUGAGGAGUUCAUAGGCCGUCUUCUUGAAGAAUUUGUGAAGAUAUACUCUGUUGAUGAUGUGGCACGCAGUAUCAAUUGCAUCAAUCCAAAAACGAUUAGGCGUUUUGUAUUCAUCAAGCAUAGUGCAAGCCAUCUCAACAAGAGUUCUGUUCUUGCGCUCCACGACGCCAUUUUGCUGAGGAGUAUAAGGAGCAGAUAACUCAUGAGUAAUACCAAGUUCAUCAAGAUAGUCAUCAAGACCGGAAUUCUUGAACUCAGUUCCAUUGUCACUUCUGAUGUGCUUGAUCUUCACACCGAUGUUGGUUGAAGCCCUCGAAGAAAAUCGUUUGAAGACUUCCUGCACUUCAUGUUUGUAAGUAACAAUGUGUACCCAUGUAUAUCGAGAGUAAUCAUCAACAAUGACAAAACCAUAUAGAGAAGCAGCAUUAGUGACUGCUGAGUAAUGAUUAGGUCCGAAGAGGUCCAUGUGAAGCAAUUCGAAUGGACGAGUAGUGGUCAUGAUAGUCUUCGCUGGAUGCUUGGCCUUGGUCAUUUUUCUAGCUUCACAGGCUCCGCAUAAGUGAUCCUUGAGGAAUUUGACAUUCUCAAUGCUAAUGACAUGCUUCUUCUUCGCAAGCGUGUGCAAAUUCCUCAUGCCUGCGUGACCAAGUCGUCGAUGCCAUAGCCAGCCUUCUGAAGUUUUUGCAAGUAGACACACGGCUGGGUGUGGUCCUGUAGAGAAAUCAACAAUAUACAUAUCUCCUCUCCUAAAGCCUUCGAAGACUUUGGAAUUGUCAGCUUCCAUAAUCACAACACAGCGAUACUUGCCAAAGACAACAACCAUAUCAAGAUCACAAAGCAUUGAGACUGACAUGAGUUUGUAUCCUAAGGACUCAACAAGCAUGACUUUGUCCAUGUGUUUAUCCUUAGAGAUCGCAAGCUUACCAAGACCCAAUACCUGACUUUUGCCUUUGUCAGCAAAGAUGAUAUGCUUCAGAUGUGACGGUGAUAAAGGAGCAUCCAUCAAAAGAUUCUUGUCACCAGUCAUGUGAUUUGUACAUCCACUAUCGAGGACCCAUUCAGUGGUUUUGGGUUGGUCAUCCUGCAGAUGAAUUAGUGUAACUUACAAUCUCAUAUGCUUCAUCAGUGAAGAAUAUGAUAUUAAGUUCAUCAGAUGAAUUUCAUCAAGCAGUAAAUAGAUAUAGCAGUUAUGAGGACGUGUGAAAUGAAAGUUCAUUUCAUCAUGGUUAGCCUGCGUCCUUUCAGGCAUUUUUGUCAGGUCCCCAGCAAAUUCUUCAGACGUUAAGGCACGUCUGGAGACCUGACCCUGCAGAAGAGAUUAGUUCUUUUUCUUCACCACCCACAUCUGAAGGGGUGGCAAAGAGUUCAUCACUCUGCGAGCACUAUACGAGAAUGGUGGCAUAGAAGCCAAACCAUUUCGUUUCACAUAAGAGGGGUUAGGGUAAGCAUAUGAAUAAGCAGAGAAAUUCUUCGAGGACUUAUGAACAUAAUGAUUUGAAGAAUAAUAUGCAUAUUCGUAGCCCUUAGCUCUACCCUGCGAAACAGAGUUGUUAGCACGAUGAUAGUGAUAUGAGGACUUUGAUCCAUUUGAGGAAUUUGAUCCACGUGAGGAAUUUGGUCCAUAUGAGGACUUGGAUCCAGAUGAAGAAUUAGGUCCAUAUGAAGAGUUUGUUCUGGGGUUCCCAUUCUUCACAGGUGGUGUCAUGAGGACAUUCACCUGAAGACUUUCAACAUAACUUUUGGGAACCCAGAUUUUCUUCAUAGGGGAACCGUUCCUGCAGUUAGUCCCAACAUAUCUAGCAAAUACUUCACCAUUCUGAUUUUUGAACAGUUUAUAGUUGGAGUCAAAUGACUCAUCAGAAGAAUGAGGAGAUUCACAUGUAAAGCCAGAUAACAUGGAUGGAUCAAUUGGAGGUCCCUUUGCAGCAACCCAUGAGGUUUUGGGGUACUGCUCAGGCUUCCAAUAUGUUCCAUCAGCAUUAAGUUUCCUCUCAAAGGCAAUACCCUCUUUCCUAGGGUUUCUAUUGAGGAUCUGCUUUUUGAGCACAUCACAGAGAAUCUGAUGCCCUUUGAGGCUUUUGUACAUGCCUGUCAUGUACAGUUCCUUCAGCCCUGCAUCGUCAGUGAUACUAGCAAUGUCCUCAGAUGAGGAAUUAGUGAUAGCAGAGGCAGGUGAAGAAUUUGUAACAGUUGAAGCAUUUGAACAUUCAGGUGAAGAAUUAGCAGAUUCACGUUCAAUGCACUUUAAGCAUGGAGGAACAAAUUCUUCCUGAGAAGUGCUGAUUUGUUGAGCAAGUAAGAAUCGCGCUCCUUCUGAAGAUCUUCAUAACUCACUCUUAGCUUCUCAAGAUCUUGCUUUCUUUGAAGAAAUUCAUAAGAAAGUUUCUCAUGAUCAGAUAAGAGAGUGUUAUGAUGACCUUGAAGGUUAUCAAACCUAGACUGAAGUCUCUGAAGAUUUUCAGUCAGGGCUUUAGUGCGAUCCAUUUCUUCACCCAACAUAUCAUCACUUUUGUCUAGCAUGUUUUGAACCUUUUCCAAGGCAUGUUGUUGUUUGGUGGCAAUGCAAACAAGUUUGGUAUAGCUAGGUUCAAUAUCAUGAUCAGAUUCAUCAUCAUCAGAUUCACAGUCACUAAAUUCAGAUGAGGAACAUUCGGUUACCUCGACACCCUUUGCCAUGAUACAUGGUGCAGAAGAUGAUGAUUCUGGUUCGAAAGUCAUUGUUUUGAGAGAUUCCUUGAAGUCCUCAAACCAAGGAUCAUGACGGGUUCGAUGAUCUUCAUAGACGUCGGAGAUUCGGUCCCAGAUAAGCUUUGCGUUGCAAAGAUGCAUAAUGAGCCUGAAUUAGUCUCUGGAUAGACAGGAACAGAUGAUAUCCUUCGCCAUGCAGUCAAGUCGAGUGUAUUUGUGAAUAUCAUCUGCGUUCGCCGACUUGCAUAGAUCAGUAAGAACAAUCUCAGUGACGGUCCACAGCUCGCUGUCCCUUGCCAUGAGGCGCUUCCUCAUCAUGGCCUUCCACUUGGGAUAAUCAUGACCGUCAAAGAUAGGGCAUGUCACUUUCUUCAUACCUGCGGUCGACAUAACUAAAACUCCAGGCGGUUAAACCAAAAUCACACAGAACAAGGGAGUACCUUGCUCUGAUACCAAUUGAAAGUGUGUUAUGUCGACUAGAGGGGGGGUGAAUAGGCGAUUUUUAUGAAUUCUUCACUGAGGAAUUUGCCGGUGAGGAAAUUCCUUAGCGAAGAACUAUUAGCAGCGGAAUAAGUACUCAGAAGUAAGCAUAACAAAAUACAAGCAUGGUCAUCAUGAUGAAAUGAAGACUAGCACAGAGUACAGAAAGCGUAAUCACAGGAUAACACACGAUGAAGACAAAUAGACUGAAGAAAUUGAACUGAGGAAAUUGAGAAAGUAUUUAGUCAAAGUCUUCAAACACAGAUAUGAACAAACACUCAACACAGUAAUGAGGAAAUGAAAGGGUUGAGGAAAUAGAACCAGUAGGUUGGUGAAGACAAUGAUUUGGUAGACCAGUUCCAACUGCUGUCUCAAUUGUACGUCUGGUUGGAGCGGCUGAGUAUUUAAACUCGAGGACACGUAGUCCCGGACACCCAGUCUCUGAGCACGCAGCUCAGGACACCCAGUCCUCACCGUAUUCUCCUUGAACUAAGAUCACACAGAUCCCGUCCAAUCACUCGUGGUAAGUCUUCAGGCGACUUCCAAACCUUCACAGACUUGGUCACUCGGCGAUCCACAAUUCCUCUUGGAUGCUCUAGACCUUGACGCCUAACCGUCUGGAAGAAGCACAGUCUUCAAAGGUAACAAGCGUCGGAUCCAUGCAGGAUCAAUUUCUUCAGUGAUGCUCAAUCACUUUGGGGUUUGUAGGUGUUUGGGUUUGGGAUUUUCCUCACUUGAUGAUUUUCGCUCAAAGUCCUCGGAGGAUGGGUUGCUCUCAAAUCACAAGUGUCAAGUUCUCUCGGAGCAGCCAACCAGCUAGUGGUUGUAGGGGGCGGCUAUUUAUAGCCUAGGGAGAAGCCCGACAUGAUAAGACAUAAAUGCCCUUCAAUGAUAUGACCGUUAGGUGGAUAAGAUAUUUUGGGACAGCUGGCACGCAGCACAGCAACGGUCGGAAAUUUGACUCUCAAAUUCCUCAGGGCUAUCAUGUUCCUCACUGUGUAGAUAAUUCACACUGGCGAAUUCCUAACUCCUCAGUCAGAACAAAUUCAUCAGCGACCAGAAGAACUUCGUCUGUGUCACUGAAGAAAGUGACUGAACCGUAUGAGAUUUCCAAAGGCUUCACUCGAAGGGAUUGGUAGGUGUAGGAUUUUGAGUUGAGCAUCACAUGGAAAUUUUUCCUUAGUAUUUCCUCGACCCCCUUUAACAGUACGGUGUUUCCUAUGACUCAAGAAAGAGAGAAUGAAACUACGAAAACAAAAGUCUUCACGCUUCAUGUUCCAGAAAUGAAUACCAAGUCUUCAAGGUCACACCAAUUUCUUCACUUUCAAAGUCUUCAGAAAGUCUUCAGAAUAUCAAAGUCUUCAGUUGAAGAACUUCAUUUUUAGGGGUCGACUUUCUCUGUAAAUAUCAAACUCCUCAUAGACUUAUAGACCUGUGUACACUCACAAACGCAUUAGUCCCUUAACCUAUAAGUCUUCAAUACACCAAAAUCACUAAGGGGCACUAGAUGCACUUACAACUAGCAACUAGGUGCCCUUAAGGUUCUUUUUAGCUUACUGUUGGAUUUUCAUUGGCUUGGGCUUGACGAUUUCCAUGUUACACACCACGUGGGACUAGGUGGGAUCCUCGAGUAGGACUUUUCUAUGACAUGUAUAAAUUUGGAUAAGAAGGCUCUACCUAACUUAUAGACAUCCAGCCCCCCGCACCAAAGUGCAUGCGUGGACACACAUGCAGACUAGAUUUUACCAUUUUCUUCUCUGUAACUAAGGGAACAUUAGUAAAAAAACAGUUAUAACGUGCACAGAUAUACAAGAAAGAGGAAGAGAGUUAAGAACAAAAAAAUAGUUAAAGGUGGAUCAAAGGUAUCACACCAGGCUACCAAAGUAGCCCUAAUUACAUCAGAUGAGCAAUGGAAGGACCAUAGUCUGGCGUCCUCGACGCAUAUGAGCAGCUUAUUUCUAAUAGAAGAUAAACACAAUCUUGAGCUUUCAAUGUAAUCUGCAAAAGAAGUCAUCACUAGGAUAGGCAAUUGACAAAGCACACAUAUGCUUUCCCUGAAAGAGGAUCAACCCCAUUUGGAAAACAACAACUAAAAGGGUCAUCAAUUGAUACAUCACUUGUAUCCACAUAGGUCUGCUAGGGAGAAUAACCAUGUCUGAAUUUCAACCGCACGGCUUGAGAAGCUCUAGUUUCUACUUGUAGCAGCCUGAGUUGAUCAAUCAUCCAAUUCUUAUCAAUGGCAAUCGUGUUAAGUUUAUUUCCUUCACCAGUCUUGCAUUCAAAACAAAGAACUUGGCAAAUCCAACUUCUUUCUCACCACCUUUGUAAUUCUUCAACACCAUUACUUUGAGAUGGUUCUAAAGGCAUUUGACUGGAUUUAGUAGUGGGUCAUACCGAGGAUGCAAGUUUUUCAUCUUUGCCUUCCAAUACUCCUCCCACCGAUAAAUGGCAUAUACAUGUUAAAUAGACAGUUGCUAACUAGACAAGAAUAUAUACACAAGAAUCAAGAAUUCAUUUCAAUAUUUUAGGCAAACAAAAAUGAGCACUUACAAUGACAUAGAACUUUGCGAACAAGGGGAUGCAACUGAGAAGAUCGAGAAUGGCAUCCAAAUCAGGGCCAGAAAACUUGAGAGCCAAAAUAUUCCUGGUGCAUAUCGAGUUGCCUAAGCUCGGCCGGAUUGUUCCCUAAAGAAAGAAAACAAUGGACAUGAGAAACAAAUAUGAAUGCAUAUAGGAUUGUUAGCUCAAUGUGAGAGCCAAUAAGGGUGUUGCUGAUAGCUAGCUGGAUGCGACCAUUUUUCUUAGAACUAGAUGUUUACACUCGCAGUGCUAAAUAGUCUCACUACGCGUCAAUGUGCAUAGAGGACGACUCCAGAAGUUAAUGUCUGUAUUGCCAUGCCAUCUUGAGGAAAAUAGUAUGUUUAUCUUGUUUGUUAUUUUGUUCACUUCAUUAUUGUUGGUGUAUAUGUUGCAGGUCUCGAAGAUGGUCCAACACUAGUAGGAUUGAAAGUAUGGAAGACCAUACCUGAUGCGGAGCAUCCUACAGUCAUCCUCAUGGACCUACCGUCGUCUCACCAAGUGCCAAGUGGACCGAUGACACGAGCACAUGCAAGAGCUCUCGUGACCGAGGUGACAUCUAUCCUUAGUGAUAUUCCAUAUGACCCACUUGAGACAUGGCUACUACCUAAAGUCGGAAUGCUAUGUGUGCUUAGGUAUCAAGAGGACUCGCUCGGAGAUGCUCGUGAAGAUGGACAAGUUCCCAAGUACAUAGAUGAAGAAGAACGAUGAAAGAGACCGAGGAAAACUCCCAGGACCCGGACAUUCGGCCCAGUCCCCGAACAUCCGCCUCCUGAAGGUAUUAGUAGCAGCAGCCCAACCGACGAGCUACAGGGUCCGAACUUCUGGCCCAUGCCCUAGACAUCCGGCCUAACACGAUGGCCCGGACAUCCGGUUGAGCCCCAAAAAUCCGGCUCGACAUGUCCAGGAGCCAACCGAAGUCGACCACGCCAGCCCGGACAUUCGGCCUCCUCAGCCUGGGCAUCCGGCCCAUCCUUAAAGCUCGUUGAGGGAGUCCUGGAUUAGGGGGUCCUCAGACAGCCGGACUAUAUACUUUGGCUGGACUGUUGGACUAUGAAGAUACAAGAUUGAAGACUUCGUCCCGUGUCCGGAUGAGACUCUCCUUUACGUGGAAGGCAAGCUUGGCAAUUCGGAUAUAAAGAUCUCCUUCUCUGUAACCGACUCUGUGUAACCCUAACCCCCUCUGGUGUCUAUAUAAACUGGAGGGUUUAGUCCGUAGGACCAACAACAAUCAUAAUCAUAGGCUAGCUUCUAGGGCUUAACCUCGACAAUCUCGUGGUAGAUCAAUUCUUGUAAUACUCAUAUCAUCAAGAUCAAUCAAGCAGGAAGUAGGGUAUUACCUCCAUUGAGAGGGCCCGAACCUGGGUAAACAUUGUGUCCCCCGCCUCCUGUUACCAUUAGCCUUAGACGCAUCGUUCGGGACCCCUACCCAAGAUCCGCCGGUUUUGACACCGACAUUGGUGCUUUCAUUGAGAGUUCCACUGUGCCGUCACGAUAAGGCUUGAUGGCUCCUUCAAUCAUCUACAACAAUGCGAUCCAGGGUGAGGUUUUCCUCCCUGGACAGAUCUUCGUAUUCGGCGCACUGCGGGCUAACUCGCUUGGCCAUCUGGAGCAAAUUGAUAGCUACGCCCCUGGCCAUCAUGUCAGGUUUGGAAGCUUGAACUACACUGUCGACAUCCGCGGAGACUUGAUCUUCAACGGAUUCGAUCCCAUGACAGGUGCGCCGUACAGUCACGAUGAGCAUGACUUAGAUCUGCCAUCAGACGGUGUUUAGGAGAACACACCUACAGCUGCCCCGGCCUUAGAUCCGGAGAAGAUCGCGCCAUCCGAUGACGGGUGGAUAGACCCCACCACGGAGGCCGCACACUCAUCAGCACUAGAGCCGAACACAGACUUCACCUCCAAAGAAAUCUGUGUCAUCGGAUCCUCGGACUCGUCUCUGAUCAUAGGUUCCGAACCACGUGCAUCUGUGCCUAUCGACUCUGACUGGGCGCCGAUCAUGGAGUUUACCUCCGCUGAUAUCUUUCAGCACUCACCCUUGGGCGACGUGCUAAAUUCACUAAAAUCUCUCUCACUGUCAGGAGACCCUUGGCCGAACUAUGUCCGUCUUGAGUGGGAAGCGGACGAUGAAGAAAUUCGUUCCCCACCCACCACCCACUUAAUAGCUACUGUCGACGACUUAACCGAUUGAUUUCGACUUUGAAGACAUCGACGGUAUGGACGACGAUGCCGGAGAGGAACAGGAACCACUACCCUCAGGGCGCUGGACAACCACCUGAUACGUCUCCGUUGUAUCUAUAAUUUUUGAUUGUUCCAUGCCAAUAUUCUUCAACUUUCAUAUACUUUUGGCAACUUUUUAUACUAUUUUUUGGGACUAACAUAUUGAUCCAGUGCCCAGUGCCAGUUCCUGUCUGUUGCAUGUUUUUUGUUUCGCAGAAACCCAAUAUCAAGCAGAGUCCAAACGGGAUAAAAAUGGACGGAGAAUUAUUUUGGAAUAUUUGUGAUUUUUGGGAGGAAGAAUCAACGUGAUACAAUGCCCGAGGUGGCCACGAGAGUGGCCCACGCCACCACUCCAAGUGGGCAUGCCCCCCUAUCUCGUGGGCCACCCGUAAGGCGGUUGAUGCUCUUCUUUGGCUGCAAGAAAGCUAAUUUUUGGAAAACGAUCUAGGCGAAGCUUUCAAUCGAAUCGGAGUUACGGAUCUGCAGAUAUAAAGGAAACGGUGCUAGGGCAGAAUUCCAGAACGCAGAAACAGAGAGAUAGAUCCAAUCUCGGAGGGGCUCUCGCCCCUCCCACGCCAUGGGAGCCAAGGACCAGAGGGGAAACCCUUCUCCCAUCUAGGGAGGAGGUCAAGGAAGAAGAAGAAGAAGGGGGCCUCUCUCCCCCUUGCUUCCGGUGGCGCCGGAGCGCUGCCGGGGGCCAUCACCGCGAUCUUCACCAGCACCUCCAUCAUCUUCACCAACAUCUCCAUCACCUUCCCCCAUCUAUAUCCAGCGGUCCACUCUCCAGCAACCCGCUGUACCCUCUACUUGUACAUGGUGCUUUAUGCUUCAUAUUAUUAUCCAAUGAUGUGUUUCCAUCCUAUGAUGUGUGAGUAGAUUUCCGUUGUCCUAUCGGUGAUUGAUGAAUUGCUAUGAUUGGUUUGAGUUGCAUGUUUUAUUAUUGGUGCUGUCUUAUGGUGCCCUCCGUGUCGUGCAAGCGUGAGGGAUUCCCGCUGUAGGGUGUUGCAAUGCGUUCAUGAUUCACUUGUAGUGGGUUGCGUGAGUGACUGAAACACAAACCCGAGUAAGGGGAUUGUUGCGUAUGGGAUAAAGGGGACUUGAUGCUCUAAUGCUAUGGUUGGGUUUUACCUUAAUGAUCUAUAGUAGUUGCGAAUGCUUGCUAGAGUUCCAAUCAUAAGUGCAUAUGAUCCAAGUAGAGAAAGUAUGUUAGCUUAUGCCUCUCCCUCAAAUAGAAUUGCAAUAGUGAUUACCGGUCUAGUAACAUAGUCAAUUGCUUAGGGACAAUUCCACAACUCCUACCACCACUUUUCCACACUCGCUAUAUUUACUUUAUUGCAUCUUUAUCUAAAACAUCCCCUAGUUUUUAUUUACACGUUCUUUAUUAUCUUGCAAACCUAUCCAACAACACCUACAAGGUACUUCUAGUUUCAUACUUGUUCUAGGUAAAGCGAACGUCAAGGGUGCGUAGAGUCGUAUCAGUGGCCUAUAGGACUUGAGAGAGUAUUUGUUCUACCUUUAGCUCCUCGUUGGGUUCGACACUCUUACUUAUCGAAAGAGGCUACAACUAUCCCGUAUACUUGCGGGUUAUCAAGACCUUUUUCUGGUGCCGUUGCUGGGGAGUCAUAGCGUGGGGUGAAUAUUCUCGUGUGUGCUUGUUUGCUUUAUCACUAAGUAAUUUUUAUUUGCUGUUCUUAGUUGUUUUCUAUCUUUAGUUAUAGGUAGGAAAUGCAAAAUACCAAAAAAAUUAGUUGUACCUACUGAACCAAUGGUUGAAGAACCACUCAAAAUCUAUCACACUCCUGAAGCUUUUUACUUGGAUCAUCUUCGAUCCCUUUGUGCUCGUGCUGAAAGCCCCACUAGUUUAGUUGAGGGCAAAUCUUUAGAUGAGCAUGCUUGUUUUGUGCGACACCGUAUAUCUGAAAAAGGGAAACUAUUAUGGGAUCAAAUUCAACGUUUGAAAUGCUAUGCUUGGAAUUUAUGUGAAAUAGAUGAGUUUACUUGUUGUUCUGAAGACCCUAAGAAACACCUACCCUAUCAAUGCUUGUUUAGUGAUAAUGGAAUCGUAUCUUCGUAUGCUAAGGGUGUUUACAAUUACUAUGAUGUUCAACAAAUUGAAGAAUUUGUUGCCUUUAAAGGUGCUUAUGAGAUUGCCUCUUUGAUUGAAAGUAUGAUGCUACUCUUUACAAAUCUGAAAAUUUUGCCAUAUUUCACUAUUGUUAUGAUAAUUAUCCUUAUAAUGCCUAUCUUAAACCAUAUAUUGAGGACUUCUCCGCUGUCCAAGAAGAGACUAAUAUUUUGCAGGAAGCUAUGGAAGAAGAAAUUUUUGAUGAAACUGUGAGCUCAUUGGAUGAAAAAGAUGAUGAGGAGAGCGAAGAACAAAAGGAGGAAGAGCGGAUUAGCUACCCAUUCCCACCUUCUAAUGAGAGUAACUCUUCAACUCAUACAUUGUUUAAUUCCCCUUCGUGCUUACCGAAGGAUGAUUGCUAUGAUGAUUGUUAUGAUCCCAUUGAUUCUCUUGAAAUAUCCCUUUUUGAUGAUGCUUGCUAUGCUUGUGGCCAAGAUGCCAAUAUGAAUUAUGCUUAUGGAGAUGAACUUGCUAUAGUUCCUUAUGUUAAACAUGAAAUUUUUGCUAUUGCACCCACACAUGAUAGUCCUAUUAUCUUUUUGAAUUCUCCAAACUACACUAUAUCGGAGAAGUUUUUGCUUAUUAAGGGUUAUAUUGAUGGGUUGCCUUUUACCAUUGCACAUGAUGAUUUUGAUGAAUGUAAUAUGCAUGUGCUUUCUGCUCCUACUUGCAAUUAUUAUGAGAGAGGAACUAUUUCUCCACCUCUCUAUGUUUCCCAUACUAUGAAAUUGCAAGAAACUGCUUAUACUAUGCAUUGGCCUUUACUAUGUGUGCAUGAAUUGUUCUCUUAUGACAUGCCGAUGCAUAGGAAGAGAGUUAGACUUCGUUGUUGCAUGAUAUAUGUUACUUUGUGCUCAUUGCUAAAUUAAAAAUCAUUGUUAAUUAAAAUUGGCUUUGAUAUACCUUGGGAUCCGGGUGGAUUCAUUACUUGAGCACUAAAUGCCUAGCUUAAUGGCUUUAAAGAAAGCGCUGCCAGGGAGACAACCCGGAAGUUUUAGAGAGACAUUUAUUUCUGUUGAGUGAUUUUAUAUAGUUUAAAAACAAAAUAAAAUAAAGAGGGGAACCUUAAACCUUUUCAAAAAGGAAAGUGAAAGUGAGAGAGACAAGCAUUGUUGAAGUGGGAGAGCUCCUUGAACUUUGUUCAUGCUCACGGAAACUUUGUGAAUCUUAAUUACAGAAAUUUUUCAUCAAAAAUAAUUAUCCCCUUGUAUAAUUCCAUUGUAUUAUAAAAAUAAUGUGCCAAGGUUUGCCUUUAGGAUGUUUACAAUGCUUGUAGGUUCGUACGGUUGAGGACAGAAACUUUGGCUGUAGUGCUCGAUUUUACAUUUUUGACUGGAACGUCAAUUGGUUCUGAUUCCUUUUGAACUGUCUUGCUAUACAACUUGUUUAUUUUUACUAAUUUUGGUAGAAUUUUUGGGGUAUAGAAGUAUGGUGGAUGUUCAGAUUGCUAUAGACUGUUCUGUUUUUGACAGAUUCUAUUUUUGAUGCAUAGUUUGCUUGUUUUGAUGAAUCUAUCAAUUUAUAUUAGUGGAUUAAGCCAUGGAAAAGUUAUACUACAGUAGACACAAUGCAAAAACAAAAUAUGAAUGGGUUUGCAACAGUACUUAGAGUGGUGAUUUGCUUUAUUAUACUAACGGAUCUUACCGAGUUUUCUGUUGAAGUUUUGUGUGGAUGUAGUGUCUAAUCGAGGAUGUCUCGAUAUGAGGAAAAGGAAGGGAGGCAAGAGCUCAAGCUUGGGGAUUCCCGAGGCACCCCAAGUAAAUAUUCAAGGAGACUCAAGCAUCUAAGCUUGGGUAUGACCUGGAAGGCAUCCCCUCUUUCUUCAACAAGUAUCGGUAUGUUUUCGAAUUCGUUUCGUUCAUGCAUUAUGUGCAAGUCUUGUAGCGUCUUCUGCAUUUAGUUUUCACUUUUAUUUUAUGCACCAUGCUGGUAUGAGAUAGUCCUUGGUUGAUUUAUAGAAUUCUCAUUGCACUUCACUUAUAUCUUUUGAGUGUGGCUUUAUAGAAUGCUUCAUGUGCUUCAUUUAUAUCAUUUGAAGUUUGGAUUGCUUGUUUCCCUUUACAUAGAAAACCGCCAUUUGUAGAAUGCUCUUUUGCUUCACUUAUAUUUGUUAGAGUGUGGGCAUAUCUUUUGUAGAAAGAAUUAAACUCUCUUGCUUCACUUAUAUCUAUUUAGAGAGGUGACAGGAAUUGGUCAUUCACAUGGUUAGUCAUAAAAUCCUACAUAAACUUGUAGAUCGCUGAAUAUGAUAUGUUUGAUUCCUUGCAAUAGUUUUGUGAUAUAAAGAUAGUGAUAUUAGAGUCAUGCUAGUGGGUGGUUGUGGAUUGUAGAGACACUUGUGUUGAGGUUUGCAAGUCCCGUAGCAUGCAUGUAUGGUAACCGUUGUGUGACAAAUUUGAAGCAUGGGGUGUUUCUUUGAUUGUCUUUCUUAUGAGUGGCGGUCGAGGACGAGCGAUGGUCUUUUCCUACCAAUCUAUCCCCCUAGGGGCAUGCGUAGUAGUACUUUGCUUCGAGGGCUAAUAAACUUUUGCAAUAAGUACAUGAGUUCUUUAUGACUAAUGUGAGUCCAUGGAUUAUACGCACUUUUACCUUUCCAUCAUUGCUAGCCUCUUCGGUACCGUGCAUUGCCCUUUCUCACCUUAAGAGUUGGUGCAAACUUCGCCGGUGCAUCGAAACCCCGUGAUAUGAUAUGCUCUAUCACACAUAAGCCUCCUUAUAUCUUCCUCAAAACAGCCACCAUACCUACCUAUCAUGGCAUUUCCAUAGCCAUUCCGAGAUAUAUUGCCAUGCAACUUCAUUCAUCAUCAUAUACAUGACUUGAGCAUUCAUUGUCAUAUUGCUUUGCAUGAUCAUAAGAUAGCUAGCAUGAUGUUUUCAUGGCUUGUCCGUUUUUUGAUUUCAUUGCUACUCUAGAUCAUUGCACAUCCCGGUACACCGCUGGAAGCAUUCAUAUAGAGUCAUAUCUUUGUUCUAGUAUCGAGUUGUAAUGUUGAGUUGUAAGUAAAUAAAAGUGUGAUGAUCANNNNNNNNNNNNNNNNNNNNNNNNNNNNNNNNNNNNNNNNNNNNNNNNNNNNNNNNNNNNNNNNNNNNNNNNNNNNNNNNNNNNNNNNNNNNNNNNNNNNNNNNNNNNNNNNNNNNNNNNNNNNNNNNNNNNNNNNNNNNNNNNNNNNNNNNNNNNNNNNNNNNNNNNNNNNNNNNNNNNNNNNNNNNNNNNNAAAAGAAAAAAAGGAAAGGCCAAAGAAGCCUAAAUAAAAAAAGGGGGCCAAAGAAGCCCACCAGAAAAGAAAAAAAAGAAAAAAAAGAAAAAGAAAAGGGGCAAUGUUACUAUCCUUUUUCCACACUUGUGCUUCAAAGUAGCACCAUGUUCUUCAUAUAGAUUGUCUCCUAUGUUGUCACUUUCAUAUGCUAGUGGGAAAUUUUCAUUAUAGAACUUGACUUGUAUAUUCCAACGAUGGGCUUCCUCAAAUGCCCUAGGUCUUCAUGAGCAAGCAAGUUGGAUGCACACCAACUUAGUUUCUUUGGUUGAGCUUUCAUACACUUAUAGCUCUAGUGCAUCCGUUGCAUGGCAAUCCCUACUCCUCGCAUUGACAUCAAUUGAUGGGCAUCUCCAUAGCCCGUUGAUUAGCCGCGUCGAUGUGAGACUUCUCCUUUUUUGUCUUCUCCACAUAACCUCCAUCAUUAUAUUCUAUUCCACCUAUAGUGCUAUAUCCAUGGCUUGCGCUCAUGUAUUGCGUGAGGGUUGAAAAAGCUGAAGCGCAUUAAAAAGUAUGAACCAAUUGCUCGACUUGUCAUCGGGGUUGUGCAUGAUGGGGGUGAGGGAGUCCUGGAUUAGGGGGUAUCCGGACUGCCGGACUAUAUACUUCAUCCGGACUAUUGGAGUGUGAUGAUACAAGACUCAAGACUCCGCCCCGUGUCCGGAUGGGACUCUCCUUUGCGUGGAAGACAAGCUUGGCGAUCCGGAUGUUGUGUUUCCUUCCUUGUAACCGACUCCAUGUAAACCCUAGCCCUCUCCGAUGUCUAUAUAAACCGGAGAGGUUGGUCCUUAGGAGGCCGAUCACAAUUACAAUCAUAAUCAUCAUAGGCUAGCUUCUAGGGUUUAGCCUCUACGAUCUCGUGGUAGAUCUACUCUUGUACUACUCAUAUCAUCAAUAUUAAUCAAGCAGGAAGUAGGAUUUUACCUCCAUCGAGAGGGCCCGAACCUGGGUAAACAUUGUGUCCCUUGCUUCCUGUUACCAUCAGCCUAAGACGCACAGAUCGGGACCCCCUACCCGAGAUCCGCCGGUUUUGACACCGACAUUGGUGCUUUCAUUGAGAGUUCCUCUGUGUCGUCGUUGCAAGGCUCGAUGGCUCGUCUCGUUGUCAAGGACAACAUCAUCUCUGGGGGAGCACUGGCUGUAGGCCAAACUCUCCGACUUGGCGGCUUUAUCAUGACCGCCCCAUCGGCUGUCGCGCCAACGACGGCCUCUCGGGUCGUCACGCAUAAUCUUCGCAUUAAUUCGGAACUCGCUGAACAGAUGGAUCCGAUAGAGCUCUCCUCCCUUAAUGAGCUCUUGGAUCGCAUCACUGCUUUGGGAGUCGCUACGGACUAUGACCGGAUCAGGCUUAAACCCGACCAAUGGGACACUAAAUCCCCGCCGGCCACCCAUGAGAUAGCGGUAGUGGAGGAACCACAUACGGACUACCCCUCUAUUCUGAGGACGAAUCGUGUACGGAUCACCGAGCUCCCUGAGCCAGACUCCCGCUCAAGGGAAGACAUAACCCAUAUCCCGGACUUAGGAUCGGGUAUUCAGUUGAAAAAAUUGGACAACAUCCCGGAUCUCGAGCUGUCGAACUCGGAGGCUUCCGUGCCCCUAGGCGCUAGGCCGGAUCAGAAUCCGGAUUCAGCCACGAACACCCACCCAUGCUUAAGCCGUCUCUCCCAUGUCAGACAAGAGCCCCAUGAGACAGUACAUCGCUACUGGGCCAGAUUCCUCCUUGUGCUAAAUAAGGUCAAGGACUGUCGUGAGGAGGACGCAGUCUCACUUUUAUGCAAAAACUGUACGGACAAAGGAAUCCUUAAUGCUAUAAGUCGCCGUGACAUAGUACACCUUGCUGACUUGGAAACCAUAGUACAGAAAUACUGUGCGAUGGAAAGCGCCUGGAAAACCCAAAUGGAAUUUUGGGAUAGCCCGGCUCUCACCAAAACCUUUGUUUGAGCUAAAUGGGCGAACUCUCGUAAGUCGGCCAAUCCAAUCCCCAAGAAGUCGAAGCCCACUCCAGGGCGUGGAACCGUAUUGGAAGAAUGGCUCAAUGGGCCAUGUAAGCUCCACAGUACGCCGGACACAACACCUACCCAUAGCCUUAGGGCACGUUGGAUACUCCGGCAGGUACCAAAAAGUGGCGAGGAUUUCCUUGUAAGCCGUAAAACAGAACAACAUCCUGCCAAAGAACACAAUACAGUACUAACAGUCUUCGAGACUUUCGCCUCAAACAAUAGGCGCAAGCGGGCUCAUCGGAGCCCCGCUGGAAUCUGCCAUGUGGCAAAAAUAAAUCCGUGGAAUGACACUGCUAUAACUUUCAAUGCCAGUGACGAACCUCAAUUCCAGACCGUCUGGGCACCAGCCACUCUGGUCCUUAGCCCAAUAGUGGACGACUUUCGGCUCACUAAAGUACUCAUGGACGACGGAAGCGGAUUAAACUUGAUCUACGAAGAAACACUCAAAAAGAUGGAAAUUGAUAAAAGCCGCAUUGAACAAAGCAGCACAACCUUUAGGGGAAUUAUCUCUAGCCGGGAAGCACGGUGUGCGGGAAAAAUCACACUCGUUGUGGUAUUCGGCACCCCAGAGAAUUACAGGUCCGAAGAAAUCACAUUCCAAGUGGCUCCUUUCAGCAGCGGAUACCACCCCCUUCUAGGGAGGGAUGCGUUUACGAGCUUUCAGGCUAUACCCCAUUACGGGUACAUGAAGCUUAAAAUGCCCGGACCCAAUGGAAUCAUCACUCUAGCCAGUGAUCCGGAUGUCGCACUCCGUGCCGAAAACAAAACCGCAGCACUAGCCUUGGAAGCAUUAUCCAAAGCCCUAGCAGCCGAAGAAUUAACAACACUGCAUGCAACCGUGGAGAGGAACGACGUGAUACUCGACAAGCGACCCAAGUCCACCUCAUUUAAACCCGCAGACAAGAUAGUCAAAUUCCAAGUCCAUCCAACAGACCCCACGAAGACAGCUUCCAUCGGGACACAGUUGAGCCCCGCAAUGGACGCCGCACUGCGAGACUUCUUACGAGAGAAUUGGGACAUUUUCGCCUGGCACCCAUCGGACAUGCCGGGCAUCCCACACAGAUUGGCCGAACACAACCUCAAUAUACUAAAGGGAUACAAACCUGCCAAGCAUACUCUAAGGCGGUUUUCAGAGCCCAAACGGCAAGCCAUGGGGGAAGAGCUAGCCAAGCUACUCGAGGCCGGAUUCAUCAGAGAUAUCAAGCAUCUGGAUUGGCUGGCAAAUCUGGUAAUGGUACCAAAGAAGGACAAAUCCUGGCGCCUAUGCGUCGACUUCAAAGACCUCAACAAGGCUUGCCCCAAGGAUCCCUUUCCCCUCCCUCGCAUCGAUCAAAUCAUCGACGCCACAGCAGGACACGACUCGUUGUGUUUCCUCGACGCAUACUCUGGAUACCAUCAAAUAAAGAUGGCAGAGUCCGGCCAAGCUGCAAUAGCUUUCAUAACACCAUAUGGCCCUUUCUGCUUCAACACUAUGCCUUUCGGGCUUAAGAAUGCCAGCGCAACCUAUCAACGCAUGAUUCAAACAUGCCUGGAAAAGCAAAUCGGCAAAACAGUGGAGGCAUAUGUGGACGACGUGGUCAUAAAAACAAGACACAUCGAAACCCUAAUAGAUGACUUGAGGCUUACGUUCGAUAACCUCCGAACAUACGACACCAAGCUGAACCUGAAAAAAUGCGUUUUCGGUGUCCCCUCUGGAAAACUGCUGGGCUUCAUUGUUUCCAAUAGAGGAAUUGAAGCGAAUCCGACAAAAAUCCGAGCUCUGUUGCAGUUGGCUAUACCAACAGACCUCAAGCACAUCCAGAAACUAGCUGGAUGCGUGGCUGCCUUGAGCCGCUUUAUCUCCAGGUUAGGAGAAAAGGCAUUACCUCUUUACCGCCUUCUUCGGCGCACCGAACACUUCGUGUGGACGGAUGCAGCCGCUGCCGGACUCGACUAAAUAAAGACCUUAUUGGCCAAUAAUCCAGUCCUAACAGCGCCAAAUAUCGGCGAACCUAUGCUGCUGUACAUAGCUGCAACACAUCAAGUUGUAAGCGCAGUGCUCAUCGUCGAACGAGAGGUUGACGGAUACAAAUUCCCGCUACAGAAGCCAGUUUAUUACGUAUCCACGGUCCUCACCCCAUGCAAAUCCUGAUACCCACACUAUCAAAAAAUAGCAUACGCGGUCUUCAUGGCAUCCCGAAAGCUACGACACUACUUUCAAGAGUGUUCGAUUACAGUGGCUUCGGAAGUACCACUCAACGAUAUAAUAAAUAACCGCGAUGCUACGGGCCGGAUAGCUAAAUGGGCCAUCGAGCUCCUUCCGUUUGACAUAAAAUACAAGCCAUGGCGGGCCAUCAAGUCACAAGUACUAGCCGACUUUGUCGCCGAAUGGACAGAAGUCGAACUCCCUAAAGAGUACGACGCGUACUCUAACUGGAUCAUGCACUUCGACGGCUCUAAAAUGCUGGCCGGAUUGGGAGCAGGUGUAGUCCUAACAUCUCUCACCAGAGACACGGUCCAGUACAUCCUCCAAAUAUUAUACAUAGACUCCAACAAUGCAGCCGAAUACGAGGCUCUGUUGCACGGUCUUCGGAUGGCAGUCUCUAUGGGCAUUCAACGCCUAGAAGUGCGUGAGGAUUCAAACCUUGCAAUAUUACAAAUAAACGGAGACUUUGAUGCCAAGGGCCCGAAAAUGGCGGCCUACCAUAAUGCCGUCCUCAAAAUGUCAGCUCGGUUCGAGGGGCUCGAAUUCCACCAUGUGGCUCAAGAAAACAAUCAAGCGGCGGAUAUCCUGGCCCGCAUCAGCGCUAAACGUGACCCUGUCCCACCCAACAUAUUCUUGGAAAGGAUCUUCAAGCCAUCCGUGGUAUGGGAAGGGGAGUCCGGCAAUACAAGCAUGGAUCCUAAUACACCCCCAGAUUCCGAACUAUCAGACAUAAUCAGAGGCUCUACCACCGAAAUAACAUCUUCGGCCCAUGAAAUCAUGGCUGUAAUCGCCCCAUGGACUGAGCCUUUCUUGGCCUACCUAAAUAGGCAGGAGCUCCCUAAAGACCAAAAUGAAGCAUGUUGCAUUGUUCGGUGUUCUAAAGCUUACAAAGUCCAUGAAGGGGAACUCUAUAAGAAAAGUGCGACCGGAGUGCUCCAAAGGUGCAUCUCCGAAGAGGAAGGGCGGCAACUCUUGGCUGAAAUCCAUGCCGGACUGGGCGGACACCAUGCCGCGGCUCGGGCACUAGUUAGCAAGGCCUUCCGUACAUGCUUCUAUUGGCCGACGGCCCAAGCAGACUCACAUGACCUUGUCCAACACUGUGUCGGCUGCCAGCUCUUCGCCAAUCAGAGUCAUAUGCCCCCUACCGCUCUCCAAACAAUCCCCAUAACUUGGCCCUUCGCGGUCUGGGGGCUGGAUAUGGUCGGACCUCUUAAAGGGAAGCCAUAAGAAAAAAUACUUAUUGGUCAUGGUGGACAAGUUCACCAAAUGGAUAGAAGCCAAACCAGUCAAAACGGCCGAAUUCGGACCAGUAAUAGACUUCAUAUCCGGAGUCGUACACCAAUACGGCGUCCCCCACAGCAUCAUCACUGAUAAUGGCUCAAAUUUCACAGCCGAUGAAGUGAAAACUUGGUGCGGCAAAAUGGGCAUUAAGCUCGACUACGCUUCUGUCUACCAUCCUCAAACAAACGGCCAGGUCGAAUGGGCAAACGGUCUCAUCAUGAGCGGCAUCAAACCCAGACUAGUGCGGUCCUUGAUAGCGUCAGACACGCACUAGGUCAAGGAGCUCGACUCCGUACUCUGGGGGCUGCGGACCAUGCCGAAUCGCACCACCGGAUAUACACCAUUUUUAUGGUGUACGACACGGAAGCAGUACUACCCUGCGACAUAAUACAUGAUUCGCCAUGCGUACGCAUGUACGAAGAGAAGGAAGCCGAGUUAGAUCGGCAGGAUUACUUGGAUGGCCUGGAGGAGGAGCGCGAUGUCGCAAAGCUCGCUCCGCAUUCUAUCAGCAGCAGGCUCAACGGUACCAGAGCAGAGAAGUGCGGGCCAAAACUUAUAAUAUUGGCGAACUCGUUCUACGCCUACCGGAGAAGAAGAAGGACAAGCUCAAACCCAAGUGGGAAGGUCCCUUCGUCAUUGACAAAGUUCUCACCGGAGGAGCAUACCGCUUACGUAAUGCGUCCGAUGACAGACUCGAGCCGAACCCAUGGAAAGCGGCCAGACUUCAAAGAUUCUACGCCAAGCGCCGAACUCAGUGUUCAUCUCCUUACCCCCUCCUUUUUAAUUAUGCUCCCUCCCGUUUCCUUUCUCGACCUUUUUUCCUCUUCACACAAAUUAUUUAAUACUGUACGGGCUCCCGGAUCACCCCGGCAGCACUAUGUGUGUAAGCAAUGCCUGGGGGCUUCCUAUAUGGAAGCUAAAAAUAAUUACUCUAAAGGCUUUUUGCCCAUCACAUAUGUGUUUCUUUUUCCAUAUGUGCCUUUUCUUCACCAUUAUAUGCACCGAUAUGACUUAGGAUGUGGCCAAGUUGGGUUGCCUGGAUCUUGUGUUUAUGCCCUACGUUCCCGUUAAUUCGGCUAGGACAUAAGGGGAGCACCUCUGCGAUUGUUACUGCCGGUUCAGCGGGAUGUGUACCUCAGACUGGGUGAAGCUGAAAGCUAGCGUCCUUAAGAGAAUAUUCGAUCGAUGAACAAAAGAUGUAUUCAUUUAUUACAAUGUAAAUCCCCAGAAGUUUUGUAUCCUGCUCCUUUGUUUGCAGUCCGGACAUGUGCGUCGUCGCAUGCGUACCCAGGGAAAGGAACCCCUAACGGAACUAUUCUCCCUGGAAGAUGUUUCUGACUAUCCAUGUAAUAUAACAUAACUAGUUGGGUACUUGUCUGUUCAAGCACUUAUGACCCCUACGCCUGGUUUCCACGCAUACCCCGGUUCUGAAUAACUGAGCGGGUAUUCGGAAACACCCCGGACUGUAGGAUCCGGGGGCUAAUGUCCAUUGAUUUACACGGUCACUUGGACUAACUAUAUUCCUCCUGUAUACCAUCCAACAGGCUAUCUAGCUUACAAUCCUGCCAGGGAAUACUAAUGUCCAUUGAUUUACACGGUCACUUGGACUAACUAUAUUCCUCCUGUAUACCAUCCAACAUGCUAUCUAGCUUACAAUCCUGUUGGGAAUACUUUGCAGCUAACGCUACCUGGUCAUACACCAGACUCACGGGAAUUUCUUGCCCAUCUGGCCCCGCCGGUCUGACUUCGGCCAUAUGGUUCGGAUCCAGCUUUGUGUAGAGCGUCUUCACCAUAGCCCAUGCUUCUCUUGCACCUUGCCGGCAGGCUGACACCUUCCACAAUCGGAAGCGCUACCGUGCUCCUUGAAGCAUGUCCACAAGCUCCCCCAUGCCAUUUGGCAGGAAGCUUGAUGGCCACAAGGCCUGAGCAACGCCCCGCAUCACCUGCCGAGCUCGCUCGUGCAGUUGUGAGAGGUCUUGCAGUAAAUCGCCAGCAGAUGAGGGCAUCUUCUCCUCAGGGCGGCCUGUUAACAUUCCUGCAAGCAAAAUUCUUUCAAUAUGCUUCGUCGCCGAGCUGUACUACAGCUCGUCUAGGCACUUACCAUAAAUGCCACGCCGAAGCCUCUUGUUUUCCUUCAUGGAGUCCGCCAGCUGAGCGCGGACGUCUUUUAAUUCCACGUGUAGCCGAACAUUGGCAUCUUGAAGAUUAUUCUUCUCCUGCUUAACUUGUGUAAGAACGCGCUCGCCAGCCUUUAGCUGCCUUUGGAAAUGCGACUCUUCAUCCCUUAUGCCCUCCGGAUUCACCCCGAGGUUAUCUGCAGAAUUUUAUGUUAGACUCAUCAUACCAGCCACUUACUAACUGGUGCAUCUUCGUACAAUCGAGACAAAUGUUACCAGAUGAGGCCUUCUGGGAUUCCUCUAACUUGGCAACCAUGGCCCUCAGCUGGGCCUUGCACUCCUCCAGCUCCCGAGACAAUUGCUCAUUCUUAUCUACAAGGACCUGUGCAUAAAUUGAUCCUUAAAACAGUUGUUCCAACCGUUUCAAGUCUUAGGGGCUACUGCUAUACAUGCUUAUCAAACUUUCUUACCCGUAUAUCUUUGGUAUACUGAUCCGUCGCUUGGGCAAGCCCGCCUUGAGAAGCUUGGAUGUAUGCAUCUCCCGAAUUGAAAGCAUUAAACGCCUCUUCAGAAAAGAUGUUGUUGCAAAGUACGGCCCGUCGGCGUCGGUGAUUCGUGGCGCUCUCUACUUCGGAAUUCGUGGCAGAGAGCAUAUCCGCGUCCUCUGUCGGAGAACUAUGCGGCAUCGGCCCCACAUCCGCCUCCUCUCUUGAAGCCGGUUCUAGAAGCCGGCUGGUGGAGGCGUGAUUGGCAGGAUCCCUGGAUAUAGUCCUGCUACUCCUCUUCCUGCCACGACGGAAAUGGCGCUGUUAUACUUCAAAUACAAUAAUUGCAGGACAGGUUUUUGCCUUACCUCUGUAGCAGCAUUUCGACCCUAAUCGCCUUCCUCUUAAGCCUGCCCAAUCCGGACGCCUGUGGCCGACGGGUCCCUAGGGGCUCGGCCCUGCGCUCCGACCGUCGUCUCUGCGAAAAAACGGCACUUCAGGGGAAAGGCAUGGCAUUGCAAAGGAGUCCUCUUCAGAGGAUAGGGUUUUCGGCUUGGCUUAUGCGCAACGUAGGUAGCAGUCCGGGAUAAUCGGCAAUAAUAGCCACUGAGGCGCCAUCGCAGCUCGCCUGAUAAAAUAUCCUGUUGACAAGCUCCACGGUCAUAUCCGGAUCUUCUUCGAGUCCUGGAUCUAGGGCCCUUCCAGGGUCCUCUGGCUGUGGGGAAGGGCUGGAGAUUCCUUCUACGACCCUCCUCAGUUCCUGCUCGGAAAUAUUGAGGCAGAUAAUCUUAGUGAAGAACGCCACAAUAAGUGAGGCAGGGAAAGGAAUGACGACUUACCCAGUUUGGGGGGUUGUACAUGGAGAAUCCAUCCCGCAGUUUAAUAUGAAGGAAUUCUUCCUCUUCUCCUUUGUAUAAAUCGGACAAUAUUCUUGCCAGAGCAUUGGCGGAGUCCGGACCCUUAUGGCCACAGCGGGUGGCAUCGUCUUCCCCGUUGAAGUGCCACAUGGGCUUGCCCCGAUAUUGAAGUGGUUGCACUCCCCGCAUUAUGCAUAUUGCCAUAACCUCGACUAUCGUCAGUCCGGAUUUGGCCAGUAACUUUAUCCUACUCAUCAGGAAGUGUAUUUCCCUAGUAUCCUCCUCUUGGGGGCCUCGGGGGCACCAGCUUGGACGUGCACCCGGCGGGGCGUUACUGAACUUGGGGAGACCUGUCCGGACUGGAUCCGGAAGGGGAACGUCAUCAAUGUAAAACCACUCCGAAGGCCAGUUCUCUGGUGCCUUCUUGGGAGUGCCGGAUAGGUAUCCGGUCUCGGCAAUGCGCCAUACUUGGCCCCGCCCACUUGACAUAGGGAUUCCCCUUGCUGCGAGAGACGAGGCAGAACAACUUCUUCCAUAACCCGAAAUGAGCCUCACAGCCUAGAAAUAGCUCACAAAGGGCAACGUAUCCUGCUAUAUGUAGUACGGAGGCAGGGGUAAAAUUGUGCAACGGGAGGCUAUAGAACUCCAGAAGCCCGCGAAGGAACGGGGGGAUGGGAAACCCGACGCCCCUUAGCAGAUGCGGGAUGAGGCAUAUUCGCUCCUCUGGAGAUGGAUUAGGAGACCCCUCUGCUUGUUCCCCGCCGUUAUAGGUGGCUAUUCCGGCUCGGACGGGGACCAUGAACACCGAUGGGAGAAACCCUUGGGUUUGUAGCUCUAUCAAAUGACUAUGAGGAACUGAACACUCUUCCCAGUCCCCCGGCUUGGAGGGAGGAGAGCGAGCAGAAGAGCUGCGACGACCGGCCAUGUUGGAAUGGUUUUUCCGGAGCGCUCUGUUGGAUGCUUGCUCGAGGGGGAAGAGUGAGGUUUGGAUCUGAGAAUCCCCAUCUCUUCAAAUAGACGGCUAGCCCGAAGGAUCGGGGGUGGCAAAUGCAAAAAUUCCUCGGCUCCUCGCAUUCGCUCGACACAUGGAAAUGGUCAUUAUUGAGGCACUGAAGCCGAGGAGUACAACAUUGAUGAGAAGCCGGACACUAUUCGUCUUAACAGGUACUUUGGAGUAUUCAGAGAUGGAACCCGCCUUGUAAUGCCGAAAACAAGACUGCGCGCCGGACUCAUCGUCAUUAAAGCCUAGUUCAGGGGCUACUUAGGGAGUCCUGGAUUAGGGGGUAUCCGGACUGCCAGACUAUAUACUUUGUCCGGACUAUUGGAGCGUGAAGAUACAAGACUCAAGACUCCGUCCCAUGUCUGGAUGGGACUCUCCUUUGCGUGGAAGACAAGCUUGGCGAUCUGGAUAUUGUGUUUCCUUCCUUGUAACCGACUCCAUGUAAACCCUAGCCCUCUCCGGUGUCUAUAUAAACCGGAGAGGUUGGUCCUUAGAAGGCCGAUCACAAUUACAAUCAUAAUCAUCAUAGGCUAGCUUCUAGGGUUUAGCCUCUACGAUCUCGUGGUAGAUCUACUCUUGUACUACUCAUAUCAUCAAUAUUAAUCAAGCAGGAAGUAGGGUUUUACCUCCAUUGAGAGGGCCCGAACCUGGGUAAACAUUGUGUCCCUUGCUUCCUAUUACCAUCAGCCUAAGACGCACAGAUCAGGACCCCCUACCCGAGAUCCGCCGGUUUUGACACCGACAGGGGGCAUUUUGCGUGACGAAAAUGAAGCAUGGCCAAACUAUAUGAUUUUGUAGGGAUAAGCUUGCUUUGGCCUUGUUGUUUUGAAAAGACAUGAUUGCUUUAUUGGUAUGCUCGAAGUAUUAUUGUUUUUAUGUCAAAUGAUAGACUAUUGCUUUUAAUCACUCGUGUCUUAAUAUUCAUGCCAUGAUUAGACAUAUGAUCAAGAUUAUGCUAGAUAGCAUUCCACAUCAAAAAUUAUCUUUUUUAUCAUUUACCUACUCUAGAACGAGCAGAAAUUAAGCUUGGGGGUGCUGAUACGUCUCCAUCGUAUCUAUAAUUUUUGAUUGUUCCAUGCCAAUAUUCUUCAACUUUCAUAUACUUUUGGCAACUUUUUAUACUAUUUUUUGGGACUAGCAUAGUGAUCCAGUGCCCAGUGCCAGUUCCUGUCUGUUGCAUGUUUUUUGUUUCGCAGAAACCCAUUAUCAAAUGGAGUCCAAAAAGGAUAAAAACGGAUGGAGAAUUAUUUUGGAAUAUUUGUGAUUUUUGGGAGGAAGAAUCAACGUGAUACGAUGCCCGAGGUGUCCACGAGAGUGGCCCACGCCACCACUCCAGGUGGGCGCGCCCCCCUAUCUCGUGGGCCACCCGUAAGGCAGUUGAUGCCCUUCUUUGUCCGCAAGAAAGCUAAUUUUUGGAAAAUGAUCUAGGUGAAGUUUUCAGUCCAAUCGGAGUUACGGAUCUCCAGAUAUAAAGGAAACGGUGCCAGGGCAGAAUUCCAGAACGUAGAAACAGAGAGAUAGAUCCAAUCUCGGAGGGGCUCUCGCCCCUCCCACGCCAUGGGAGCCAAGGACCAGAGGGGAAACCCUUCUCCCAUCUAGGGAGGAGGUCAAGGAAGAAGAAGAAGAAGGGGGCCUCUCUCCCCCUUGCUUCCGGUGGCGCCGGAGCGCUGCCGAGGGCCAUCAUCAUCACCGCGAUCUUCACCAACACCUCCAUCAUCUUCACCAACAUCUCCAUCACCUUCCCCCAUCUAUAUCCAGCGGUCCACUCUCCCGCAACCCGCUGUACCCUCUACUUGAACAUGGUGCUUUAUGCUUCAUAUUAUUAUCCAAUGAUGUGUUGCCAUCCUAUGAUGUCUGAGUAGAUUUCCGUUGUCCCAUCGGUGAUGGAUGAAUUGCUAUGAUUGGUUUGAGUUGCAUGUUUUAUUAUUGGUGCUGUCCUAUGGUGCACUCUGUGUCGCGCAAGCGUGAGGGAUUCCCGCUGUAGGGUGUUGCAAUGCGUUCAUGAUUCGCUUAUAGUGGGUUGCGUGAGUGACUGAAGCACAAACCCGAGUAAGGGGAUUGUUGCGUAUGGGAUAAAGGGGACUUGAUGCUUUAAUGCUAUGGUUGGGUUUUGCCUUAAUGAUCUUUAGUAGUUGCGGAUGCUUGCUAGAGUUCCAAUCAUAAGUGCAUAUGAUCCAAGUAGAGAAAUAUGUUAGCUUAUGCCUCUCCCUCAAAUAGAAUUGCAAUAGUGAUUACUGGUCUAGUAACAUAGUCAAUUGCUUAGGGACAAUUCCACAACUCCUACCACCACUUUUCCACACUCGCUAUAUUUACUUUAUUGCAUCUUUAUCUAAAACAGCCCGUAGUUUUUAUUUACACGUUCUUUAUUAUCUUGCAAACCUAUCCAACAAUCCUACAAGGUACUUCUAGUUUCAUACUUGUUCUAGGUAAAGCGAACGUCAAGCGUGCGUAGAGUCGUAUCAGUGGCCGAUAGGACUUGAGAGAGUAUAUGUUCUACCUUUAGCUCCUCGUUGGGUUCGACACUCUUACUUAUCGAAAGAGGCUACAACUAUCCCGUAUACUUGCGGGUUAUCACCACCUCAUCAUAUGAUAUAUAUAUAUAUAUGGUGGACGCCCCCAAAGAAAGCGAUGGCGAUGAGGCAACGGAGGAUAAUCCCCUUGAGAAUCAAUCUAAGCACCGGCGUCAUCGGCCCCGCUCUAAGCCUCAUCAUCGCAAAAAUAGCGAUACCGGUACAAGAGAUAAUAAUGCUCCAGAUAACGCCAAGGACGAAAACAAUCCCGCCCAGCCAGGCUUCGAGCAGGCCGAAUGGGAGGAUGGGCAAGCUAGCCCUAAGGAACAAGCAAUGGAUGGAGAAUCAGAGGAUGACAAUUACAUGCCCCUCUCCAAAGACGAGGUGAGCCUCGGCGACGAAGAAUUCAUCGUGCCUGAGGAUCCCGUCGAGCAGGAGCGCUUCAAGCGCCUGCUUAUAGCCAAUGCAAAAAGCCUGAAGAAAAAGCAGCAGCAGCUUCAAGCUGAUCAAGAUCUGCUAACGGAUAGAUGGACCGAGGUCCUGGCGGACGAGGAAUACAGACUCGAGCGCCCAACCAAAAGUUGCCCAAAGCGCAGAUUGCUACCUCAACUCGAGGAGGAGGCAUUAAAGCCUACACUACCAGCGCAUGAUGCGGCUGACCGGCCACCUCAUGGCCGAGACAAAGUGGCAUAUCAGCCCGAAGUCCAGCCCGCACCCCGCCGCCAAACAAGGAAAAACACGAAGGCCCGGGGCUCCAUGCAUGACCUGCUAGACAAAUUGAAAAACAAAGCAGAACAGUCAAGAUCGAUCUACGGAUCACGGGGGCGUGUCCCAACAUGUGAUGAUGACCGUCACGCCGGAUAUACUAAAAACAAAUCUGGCCGGCCCGAAUACAACAAACCAGACUCAUUUGAACUGCGUCGUGAUGUAGCCCGGCAUAGAGGCGCCACACACCCCCUAUGCUUCACUGAUGAAGUAAUGGAUCAUGAAUUCCCAGAAGGGUUUAGACCCGUGAAUAUUGAAUCAUAUGAUGGUACUACAAACCCCGCGGUAUGGAUAGAAGAUUUCUUCCUCCACAUUCACAUGGCCCGCGGGGAUGAUCUACAUGCCAUCAAGUACCUCCCACUAAAACUCAAGGGACCGUCUCGGCAUUAGCUGAAUAUCUUGCUGGCAAACUCCAUCAGAAGUUGGGAAAACCUGGCAGAUGCAUUCCUAGAUAAUUUCCAGGGCACUUACGUGCGACCACCGGAUGCUGAUGACUUAAGUCACAUAACUCAACAGCCCGAAGAGUCAGCCAGGAAAUUCUGGACUCGGUUCCUAACUAAAAAGAACCAAAUUUUCGACUGUCCGGUUGCCGAAGCCCUGGCAGCCUUCAAGCAUAAUAUCCGUGACGAGUGGCUUGCCUGACAUCUCGGCCAAGAAAAGCCGAAGUCCAUGGCGUCCCUCAUGACACUCAUGACCCGCUUUUGUGCGGGCGAGGAUAGCUGGUUGGCUCGUAGCAACAACACAACAAGCAAUCCUGGCACAUCAGAGGCCAGAGAUAACAGCGGCAAGCCACAAUGCAACAAACACAAGCGUCGCAAAAAUGGUGAUAAUGUCGAAGACACGACAGUCAAUGCCGGAUUCAGUGGCUCUAAGUACGGUCAGCGGAAAAAGCCAUUCAAAAAUAACAAUUCGGGCCCGUCCAGUAUGGACCGCAUACUCGACCGUCCAUGCCAAAUUGAUGGCACCCCAGGAACACCAGCCAAUCAUACCAACAGAGAAUGCUGGGUCUUCAGACAAGCCAGCAGGUUAGGUGCCGAAAACAAGGGGAAGGGGUCUCAAAGCGACAAUGAUGACGAGGAGCCCCGAUCACCAAAUACAGGAGGGCAAAAGAAAUUUCCCCCGCAAAUCAAAACGGUGAACAUGAUAAACGCCACACACAUUCCCAAGCUGGAACGGAUGUGCACUCUUAGGGAUGUCGACUUAACGGAGCCAGUCGCCCCACAAUAUAAACUAUGGCCGAUCACUUUCGAUCGUACGGAUCAUCCGGCCAAUACCAAUCAGGGCAAUUCAGCUGCACUCAUCCUUGACCCAAUAAUUGACGGAUUCCACCUCACACGAGUCCCUAUGGACGGAGGCAGCAGUCUAAACCUGCUUUAUCAGGACACAGUGUGCAAGAUGGGUAUUGUAUUUCGAUGAUCAAGUCCACCAAAACCACCUUUAAAGGUAUUAUACCAGGUGUGGAGGCCCGCUGUACAGGCUGCAUUGCUCUUGAGGUAGUCUUUGGAUCACCGGACAAUUACCGUACCGAAGAGUUAAUCUUCGACAUUGUCCCCUUUCGUAGUGAUUAUCAGGCACUGCUCGGAUGAACUGCGUUCGCUUGAUUCAACGCGGUGCCACAUUAUGCCUACCGUAAGCUCAAGAUGCCUGGUCCGCGCGGCGUCAUCACGGUUUAUGGCACGGCCGAACUCCCCCUUGGUGCCGAAAAGUAUACCGCCGCUUUAACGGCAGAAGCAACGAGUGGCAGCUUUCAACUAAACCUCAAGUCGACGGCCCAGCUCCCGGACACCGCCAAAGGAGUCCAAACUACUUCGCGGCAGGAUAGCCCGGCUCGUCCGGAGCUCAAUUAAACACUCCGGCAAAAGCUAGGACAGGCCACAUACUGCGGCUCAACCGCUCUGUGGCACACAAACAUUUCUUGCAUUUUCUUUGCAGGUUCACCUUUGCACAGGCCAGGACUGGCGACAUGGAAACAGCUCAAACACGCAAGGGAAUCCUUAGAUAUUCCCCUCGAUGACCAUCCAACUACACUCCGGAUCUGCACACAACUUCUUCCUGCCUGGUCUCAGCAAGUUCCGCAGUCAUAUUUCUUUUUAUCACAUUACCUGUACUCAUACGCAUCAACAUACUAUUCAAAUAUAACAUGUGGAUUUAUAUGAUGCUUAUCUGCUGUUAUUUCUUAUUGAAACUCUUCUAUCAAAUGGCAUCUGUACACCGCGAUAUGCCUUAAUAUGCCAGGGGCUUCAUUGUACCCAUAAUAACUGCAAUAAAGUCCGAACACCUUCGCGGACGUUCGGCACCCCAAACUUAUAGCAUUAUAUGCAUCAGCUCCGGAUCAUGUCUUGGGUCAAUAGUUGGGUUUGCCCGUCUCCCAUGUUUUGAUGCCUUAUGUUCCACUAUAUCGGCUAAGGCGGCACAUGGAGAACUACUACAAUUGUGUCCCGGUUCUUCCGGACGAGCGCCUCAGUAGAGAAAGCCGAAAACUAACUAUCAUGAUACGGCGAGAGCUGGUCAGCUGUUCGAGAGGUUGUAAAAUCUUUAAGGAUUUCUUCCGCAUAAUGCCAUAACUAAUGCAGCAUGCGAUGGAUUGGCUUUUCUUCCGAUCAGAUGCUUAUAGAGCCCCUCGUGCGGUCUUUCGAACACCAGGGGCUGCGCCUACCUUCCUUUUGUCAAACUCCUAUGGCUAAGUGAGAGUGAUAAAGCCCUAUAGUCCGAUUGCCUGGUUCGUUGUGCUGAACACCUCCUUCAAGGACCCAAAACUGGGAUAAAGAGUGCUCAGGUUUAUCCCGAACACCCCCGUACUUCCUACGUGGGGGCAGAAGCCUACGACUGGCCAACUCUCAGGAUUAAUAUAUAAAAUGGCCGCGCAGGAGGAAAAACUUUCAAAUAACAUGCAAAGGACAACAUGAUUGUAUUCAUGGAAAUAUAAUGUCCUUGGUGCAUUGCUCCACCGCAAGGCGGGAUCCUUUCAGGACACUAUCAUAAUAUAAUUCGGGCUUGCGGUGCUCCUUCCCCUCCGGCGGUCCCUUGGUCAUCAGCUUUUCAGCAUCCAACUUCCCCCAGUGCACCUUUGCGCGGGCGAAGGCCAUUCACGCACCCUCUAUAAAGACCGACCGCUUGAUGACGUCAAGUCGAGGGUAGGCACUCACAAGCCGCUUCACGAGCCUGAAGUAGCUGCCUGGAAUCGGCUCGGCGGGCCAUAGCCGGAUAAUCAAAUCCUUCAUGGCUAGCUCGGCCGCCUUAUGCAGUUCGAUCAGCUGCUUCAGUUGAUCGGCAAAAGGCACCAGAUAAUUCAGUGCCAGAUACUACGACCAGAAGAGCUUAUCCACAUUGUUCCUUUGUUCGGAUCGAUAUAAUUGGGCGGCAUCAGAUAUGCUGUGUGGCAGCUCUACAAAUACCCUUGGAAAAAUUUGAACUCAAAAUUAGAAACAUGAUUUUCUCCUCAAAUACUUGCUUUACAUGGAAAAAGCCUUACCCGCCGCGACCUUCCUCGCCUCUUGGAUCUCCUACAGGGCACCUUGGGCUCCCCCCCGGGCAUCGCGUGUGGGCUGAUGAGCCUUGGUGAGUUCGGAUUCUUUCUCCGUUAGACUCUGCUCCAAGGCCUCGCAUGUCUUCACGGCCUCUUGAAGCUCUUGCUCAGCUUCAAUAACUCUGGCCUCGUGCUUCUCACGAAGAGCCUGCUCUACGGCUGUCUUUUUCUUGGCCUCGGCCACAACCUUCUUAAGAGCCUCGGCUUCGGUCAUCGCCCCUAGAGCAAAUCAUGAAACAUAUUUUUAUCAUACUAAAAAUUCGUUCGCACUGAACGCGAGCAAGGUUUGUGCAUACCUUGUUUAUCCUCCAACUGCCUUUUCAACUGGACAAGUUCUUCUUUGGCCCGCUCUAGACUUUGAUUCAGUCCGGAGACUUCCGUAGUAUCAGAGGCGGCAGUCGCUACAGACGCCUGCUUAUAAAAGAAGAGAGAUAUAUGCCAUCAAGUGAGUCUCCUGCGAGCAUAAAUUUGAUCCUCUGCCCGGUUCUUUCUUUCACCGAACAGUGUAUCAGGGGCUACUAUCUAUACUAUGACACUCUUCAAAACCUCAUAAAACAUACCUCAAAGCCUUUUAUAAGGCUGAUGCAGGCUUCAUUCAGUCCACACUCAGCGCACUGAAUCUUCUCAAUCACCGUACCCACAAGGGUACAGUGUUCUUCAACGAUGGAGGCGCUCUUUGAUGACCCACAAGUAUAGGCGAUAUAUCGGAGUCCUUUCGAUAAGUAAGAGUGUUGAACCCAAUGAGGAGCAGAAGGAAAUGACAAGCGGUUUUCAGUAAGGUUUUCUCUGCAAGCACUGAAAUUGUAGGUAACAGAUAAUUUUGUGAUAAGAUAAAUUGUAACGAGUAACAAGCAAUGAAAGUAAAUAAAGUGCAGCAAGGUGGCCCAAUCCUUUUUGUAGCAAAGGACAAGCCUGGACAAUUUCUUAUAAUGAGAAAAGAGCUCCCGAGGACACAUGUGAAUUAUCGUCAAGCUAGUUUUCAUCACGCUCAUAUGAUUCGCGUUCGGUACUUUGAUAAUUUGAUAUGUGGGUGGACAGGUGCUUGGGUACUGCCCUUACUUGGACAAGCAUCCCACUUAUGAUUAACCCACAUUGCAAGCAUCUGCAACUACAAAAUAAGUAUUAAGGUAAACUUAACCACAACAUUAAACAUAUGGAUCCAAAUCAUCCCCUUACGAAGCAACGCAUAAACUACUGUUUAAGCUUCUGUCACUCUAGCAACCCAUCAUCUACUUAUUACUUCCCAAUGCCUUUCGCUAGGCCAAAAUAAUGGUGAAGUGUCAUGUAGUCGACGUUCACAUAACACCACUAGAGGAAAGACAACAUACAUCUCAUCAAAAUAUCGAACGAAUACCAAAUUCACAUGACUACUAAUAGCAAGACUUCACCCAUGUCCCCAGGAACAAACGUAACUACUCACAAAGCAUAUUCAUGUUCAUAAUCAGAGGAGUAAUAAUAUGCAUUAAGGAUCUAAACAUAUGAUCUUCCACCAAGUAAACCAAUUAGCAUCAACUACAAGGAGUAAUCAACACUACUAGCAACCCACAGGUACCAAUUUGUGGUUUUGGAUACAAGAUUGGAUACAAGAGAUGAACUAGGGUUUGAGAGGAGAUGGUGCUGGUGAAGAUGUUGAUGGAGAUUGACCCUCUCCCGAUGAGAGGAUCGUUGGUCAUGAUGAUGGUGAUGAUUUCCCCCUCCCGGAGGGAAGUUUCCCCGGCAGAACAGCUCCGUUGGAGCCCUAGAUUGGUUCCGCCAAGGUUCCGCCUCGUGGCGGCGGAGUUUCGUCCCGUAAGCUUGCCUCUGAUUUUUUCCAGGAUAAAAGCCUUCAUAUAGCAGAAGAUGGGCACCGGAGGGCCAUCAGGGGGCCCAGGAGACAGGGGGUGUGCCUAGUAGGGGUGGGCGCACCCCCACCCUCCUGGCCUGGGUGUGGGACCCCUCUGGUAGUUUCUUCACUCAUUAAUUCUUAUUAAUUCCAAAACUGACUUCCACGGAGUUUCAGGAUUUUUGGAGCUGUGUAGAAUAGGUUUCCAAUAUUUGCUGCUUUUCCAGCCAGAAUUCCAGCUGCCGGCAUUCCCCCUCUUCAUGGUAAACCUUGUAAAAUAAGAGAGAAUAGCCAUAAGUAUUGAGAUAUAAUGUGUAAUAACAGCCCAUAAUGCAAUAAAUAUUGAUAUAAAAGCAUGAUGCAAAAUGGACGUAUCAACUCCCCCAAGCUUAGACCUCGCUUGUCCUCAAGCGGAAGCCGAUAUCGAAAAAUAUGUCCACAUGUUUAGAGAUAGAGGUGUCGAUAAAAAUAAAAUACGGACAUGAGGGCAUCAUGAUCAUUCUUAUAACAGCAACAUAAAUAGAUUUUUCAUAUGAUAUCUUAUGCUCAAGUAACAAUCAAUUCACAAUGCCAAGUAUGGUUCAGAAACUUCAUCGGGAACUAACAAACUAUAAUUUCAGUCAUUGAAGCAACUGCAAUUUAUCAUAACAUUAGAAAGAGUCAAGAAUAGAGCUUUUAAGCAAGUCCACAUACUCAACUAUCAUGUAGUCUUCUACAAUUGCUAACACUCACGCUAUACUUGUGGUUAUGGAGUUUCAACUGGACACUGAGAAAGAUAGGGCCUUAUUGUGUUGCGUCCCAAUGUAUUCACCUUUAGGUGAUGUCAACAAUAAUAAUUCAUGCUAACUUACAUCCAAUUGGAUAUAUAUAUAUCUUGAUCUUUCAAACACAAGGAGCUUGCCAAAGGAUAAAAUGAAAAAGGGAAAGGUGAAGAUCACCUUGACUCAAGCAUAAAGUAAAACCAUAAAGUAAAAGAUAGGCCCUUCGCAGAGGGAAGCAGAGGUUGUCAUGUGCUUUUAGGGUUGUAUGCAUAAAAUCUUAAUGCGAAAGAACGUCACUUUAUAUUGCCACUUGUAUAUGGACCUUUAUUAUGCAGUCCGUCACUUUUAUUGCUUCCAUAACAAGACCGUAUGAAGCUUAUUUUCUCUGCACUAAUAAGUCAUACAUGUUUAGAGAGCAAUUUUUAUUGCCUGCAACAUGACAACUUACUUGAAGGAUCUUACUCAAUCCAUAUGUAUGUAUGGUGGACUCUCAUGGCAAAAACUGGGUUGAAGGAUAUUUGGAAGCACAAGUAGUAUCUCUACUUGGUGCAAGGAAUUUGGCUAACAUGAGGGGGAAAGGCAUGCUCAACAUGUUUGGAAGGUCAAUGACAAUAUACUUUAACUGAUAUGUGAGAAAACAUAAACCAUUAUGUUGUCUUCCUUGUCCAACAUCAACUCUUUUAGCAUGUCAUACUUAAUUGAGUGCUUCACAAUCAUAAAAGAUGUCCAAGAUAGUAUAUUUGUAUGUGAGACCUCUCUUUCCUUAUUACUUCCUGUUAAUUGCAACGAUGACCAAAACUAAGUUUGUCAACUCUCAACAACUUUUAUGCCUCAUACUUUUUAUGUGUGAAGUCAUUACUAUCCAUAAGAUCAAUAUGAACUCUUUUAUUACUUUUAUUCUUUCUACUUUCUCAAGAUCAUGGCAAGAUAGCAAAGCCCUUGACUCAACACUAAUCUUUAUUAUAGAUAGCUCAUGGACUCGAUUACAUAAAGAGAUCACAAAGAAAAACUCAAAACUAAUUGAUACUAAAGCUUCAAUCUACUAGAUCAAGAUACUACUAAAAGGAUCAAACUAAAUAAAACGGCAAAGAUAGGAGUGUGAUGGUGAUACGAUACUGGGGCACCUCCCCCAAGCUUGGUAGUUGCCAAGGGGAGUGCCCAUACCCAUGUGAUUAUGUCUCCUUCUUCAUAGUCGGUGUUGUGAUAUUCUUGGCGAUGAUGCCCCUCAGGAUACGAUUCUCCUCCUCGAGCUUAUUGACUUGUUGUUUGAGGUCCAUAACUUCUUUGCGGAGCUUGCCCGUAACGGCUAAAGCUCCCUUUACCCAAGGAUGCCGCAUAGCUUCUGGAGAACAAGUGACGCUCUUUUUCAUGUUUUCAUAAGAAAGAAAUUUAACGUUGGAAGGGAUGACUGAAUUUGGAAUAGCCAAGCUAUGUAGUUCCCCCAUCAUGAAUCCUGCUUGGAAGCGAGAGGUAACUUCUUGAUCUUCCUCCAUGGCAUCUAUCCUUUUCAAGUUGGCCUCCAUCUCGUCCUCCGUCGAUGGUCCAAAGUGAUAAGCAUCGCUAUUUGCUCUUGGACCUGGUGUCGGGUGAGACACCCGACUCUCCCUGACUGACUCUUGAGAAGACAUCUUGCUCUUAAUCUGCAACAGGAACAAUUCGAAACAAAAACAGAGGAUGUUUGCGUGAUGCGGUGGUUAAAACCUUCGGGAGAUUAUAUAAUGAAUUUUUACCGACCAAAAUACGUAACAUGCAAGAAAACAGAGUCCGGGAGGCACACGAGGUGGCCACGAGACAGGGGGGCGCACCCAGGAAGGGUGGGUGUCGGUGUCAAAACCGGCGGAUCUCAGGUAGGGGGUCCCGAACUGUGCGUCUAGGCGGAUGGUAGCAGGAGACAAGGGACACGAUGUUUUUACCCGGUUCGGGCCCUCUCGAUGGAGGUAAAACCCUACUCCUGCUUGAUUAAUAUUGAUGAUAUGGGUAGUACAAGAGUUGAUCUACCACGAGAUCAGAGAGGCUAAACCCUAGAAGCUAGCCUAUGGUAUGAUUGUUGUUCAUCCUACGGACUAAACCUCUCCGGUUUAUAUAGACACCGGAGAGGGCUAGGGUUACGCAGAGUCGGUUACAAUGGGGAGGAGAUUUUCAUAUCGUAUCGCCAAGCUUGCCUUCCACGCCAAGGAAAGUCCUAUCUGGACACUGGACGAAGUCUUCAAUUUUGUAUCUUCAUAGUCCGGGAGUCCGGCCAAAGGUCAUAGUCUGGCCAUCCGGACACCCCCCAAUCCAGAACUCCCUCAGUAGCCCCCUGAACCAGGCUUCAAUGACGAUGAGUCCGGCGUGCAAAUUUGUCUUCGGCAUUGCAAGGCGGGUUCCUCCUCUAAAUACUUCAUAGAAGAUGUUGAACACAAAGAUAGUGUCCGGUUCUGUAAAAUAAGUUCCACAUACCACCGUAGAGAGAAUAAUAUCUGCACAAGUCUAAUCUGCUGACGUAUUCCAUAGCAUGAUGUCAUGCCACGGCCAAGCCUUUAUCCGAAUCGUUUUACCGUCCCACCUCAGCGCGUUUAGCGAGGCGGUUUCCUUGGCACAUCUUGUCAAAGCAGAGAUCGUGUCUCCUUAUUCUGGGAUUCUCAUCAAUACGGACGUGGGUAACCCAACCGUGCCAUUGGUAUGGCUUAAUAAUGGAAAGUGAGUCCCAAACGGUCACGGGAGGGCUCUUGGUAUUCAAUCCCUUUAUAAAGGGACCAAGGCUCGACUCCUCUCUUUCAAUCCAAUCAAAUUCGCCUCUUGCCUCGAGUUCCAACACCCAAAGCUUCAGAUUCAGGCGCUUCGGACCUUCGAUGAUGUCUGGCUCCGACCUUCAAGGCCAGUGGAUGCCUUCCUCCAUUACGGAAGAAGACGUGCGAAAGCUAAGAGAUGCCAGGUAUCUGACCAGCGAAAUCUCGCAUAGGCUGCCUGUUGAAGGGCAGGCUAUUCCCACUCCCCAUCCCGGUGAGAGUGUGGUGUUCACAUCUCACUUCCUUCGGGGGCUAGGCUUCUCGAUUGAUCCCUUCGUGAGGGGGCUCAUGUUUUAUUACGAGCUGGAAUUUCACGACUUAGCUCCGGAGUCCAUCCUCCAAAUCUCAUCGUUCAUCGUCGUGUGCGAGGCCUUCCUCCAUAUUACUCCUCACUUCAGGCUGUGGCUUAAAACUUUCAAGGUAGAACCGAAGAUGAUCGAGGGGCAGCACGCUGAGUGCGGAGGUGCCAUUAUAAGCAAGACUGCUGACGCUCCAUGGCCCGAGGGCUCUUUUCAAGAGGAGUUCGGCUUAUGGCAACGAGAGUGGUUCUACAUCACAGCUCCUAGGGGCACCACGUGGGUGGCGCCACUGGCUUUUCGCUCGGGUCCCCCACCACGGCUAGCUUCAUGGGUAAAUAAAGGGCUUAACUGGGGGCCGCCCAAGGACGUGCCCUUGCUGCAGGGCCGCGUUCGAGAUCUCCUAGAGAGAUAUAUCAAUUUGGCCGUAGUGGCGCAGGUUAUGAUGAUUCGCCGCAUAAUGCCCUGCAAACGUCGCCCCCUCUGCCUGUGGGAAUUUAAUCCGGAAGGGCCACGAGCUCUCCAACACUUUAUGGGCACGACGCCCGUGGAGAUGUACAAAUUGUUCUUUGGAUCACAAGCAAGGUGUCCGGACUUGUCCGAGGACGGAGGUCUGAGCGGCAAUCGCCUGGAUACUUAAGUAAGUAGCCCCGUACCUGGACACGCCUUCUGUACAUUUAUCAUAAAACUGCCUUUAAAAGAGCUAUCCUUUAAACAGGAGUGGUUGGCGGAAGCAAAGCUUAUCAGGUGUCCGCCUCCCCUCCCGGAGACCAUGCCGGAUCCCGUGUUGACCAGGAUGCGGGAGAUUGUGCCUUUUGAAGAAGGCGAAGAGGGGAACAAAGAAGCUACCGCCUCCACGAAGGAGGCUGUCAGGAAGGGAGGAGUCGAGAACUCCUCUAUUCAGGGAAACAAGAGGAACGCCUCUGAAGACCCGGAGGCGAUCGCCUCAAAGCGGGGGAAGAAAUCUUCGUCAGAGGGUCCGGCGCCGGAGAGUGCUCCAGCCGCAUUGCGCCCCCAAGGGGAUCAGCUCUCCAACAAGCCAUAAGUAAAGAGGGGGGUUUUAAAAUGAGUGAUAUCCCUGUUUUAUUUCUGAGGAAGAUAACCAAAAUUUUACCUUGCAGUUCGGAUCUCAACCCUUCUUAGUAGAGCUCAUCUUCUGGGGAUCUCCUUCCAGAGAUGAUGGAGAGCGAAACGCCUCCCCCAGCUGUACCGUCUUGCGAGGCUGGCGACCCCGAGGUGUCGUCUCGGAGGAUUUCUCCAAAUCCGGACCUUGAAAAAGGUCGUUGGACUAGUCCGGCACCUUUUGGUGCACGGUCCGAGGGACUGAAGGAUCUGCUCGGACGAGCGUCUAUCUCAGAAGAACACCGUGUGUUGAUGAACACGAUGUUUAGAAGGAUUUCAUCCGCGGAAAGAAGAUUGUACGAGGCCGCCAGGAGUUUACUUACAGGUUUUGAGGUACGCGAAAAGAUGUACCUUUUGACAGAGCCGCAUAUAUGAAAUGCACCCUGUAUAAAUAGUAGCCUCUGAGACUCUGCGUGUUGUCAAAAAUUAUGGCGCACAGAGGAUCAUAAUCCCAGGUAUAAUAUGUCGCCUUUCCUAUGUAGGUGGCGAGGUGUUCGGUGGCUAGCCGGACUGAUGAAUUUGCCGAGCUAAAGCGGAAACUUGACGUAGCAGAUGCCGAGAUCGCGCUUGUAAAUGAGCGGCUAGAUGAGGCACAAGGUGUGUAAUGUCUCCAAAGACAUCUGAUAAGAGGAGCUUGAUGCUCGUGCCUUAUAACAUAUGUGCUUAAUGCAGAUGGUGCCACUGCCGUGGAGAACCUUCAGGCGGAACUUGCCCGAGCCAAGUAGCAAGCGAGGAAGAGCGAUGCGGCUGCCGUUAAAGCGGCUGAAGAGCUAAAAGCCGAACAGGCUGCUCACUGCCAGAGCAAGAAAGAAAUGGCUAAGAUGGCUGUAAAAUUGAAGGAUGCUGCCGACCAUUUUAAGCUUCGUGAAAAAGAAGUUAGGGUGGCACAGAAGGACCUAGAAAAGGUCACUGUCGAGGCCAAGGUCACUCGCUCUGCAAUGAGAGCUAUGAAGGAGGAGCUACGUCAGGCCGGAGAUAUCGCGGCUGGAAAGCCCUAUAUGCUGUGGAUGAAGUUCGGGGAUCCUAAGUAUGCUCCAUUGGACCGGAAGUGGAGUGCGGCGAACACUUAUCUGGAUUUGGCGGCGAGUGCCGCGGACGCGACCGAACACUUCUGGGGUCUGGAUGACCAUAAAUUGGAAGAACUGUUUUGGUCGUAGUUCCACAAUCCAAAGCACCCACUUUCGGUGUCCGACCGUUUGGCCGCUUGGGCGGAGCUAAACAGGUUGUCCGGACUCGCUAUGAGGUACGUCGCGAGUCGUUUGUGGCCGGAAGAGCCAGAGCUGAAGAGUUAUUUUAGCUUGGUGUAGCAAUUCCUUGGUUCAGUGCCGCAUGUUGAUGCAAUGAAGAGGUCAGCGUGCAUAGAGGGUGCACAGAUGGCUCUUGCCCGUGUCAAGACAUACUGGGCGGAUAUGAAGGCCAGUGUUGUUGCAUCUCGGGAUUCGGACGAAAGCCGAGUACCUGCCAAGCACUACUUUGAGGAAGUUCUUCAGGGCGCUCGUUUAAUAGAGACGCAGUGCUCGAAGGAUGUUGUGUUCAAAUAACAUGUGCUAUUGUAAAACAAUAUUUUGAUGGGAUGUAAAAGCUUUUUAUACUUGUGCUUUCAAGAAUUAGAAUGCCUCCUGUGCGGCCGUUAAUGUAUAUGUGUAUAUAACCUGAAAGAUGGCAGUCGUUGGCUUUAGCCCCCACACAUAUAAUGCGGGGGUUUUCACAGAAGGCGCCUUUUCACACUUGAUCCAACGUCUUGGUCCUAUAAAGGAGGUGAUAGCGCAGCGAACUAGGCAACCGGACUAUAAUGCUUUAUCACUUUCACUUAGCCAUAGGAGUUUGACAGUGGGGCUACUGAAUAGCCCCUAGGGGCACCGCGCUCGCCUGAAUUCGGGGCGCGUGUGUGCCUGACCGGGAAACGGCCCUUCGUUAAUGCGGAGGAAUCCUAAAGAUUCCGGCAAGUCAUCGAGUGGUUGACCAGUCUCUCGCUAUAUCAUGAUAGUCAGUUUUUGGCUUUCUCUACUGAGGUGCUCGCCUGGCCGAACCGGGGCACAAUCGCAGUAGUUCUCCUGGUGCUGCCUUAGCCGAUUGAGCGGAACGUAAGGCAGCAAAACAUAGGAGCCGGCCAAACCCAACAUUUGACCAAAGACAUGAUUCGGAGCUGAUGCAUAUAAGGCCAAACUCACGAUGCCGAACACUCCCUAAGGUAUUCGGUCUUUAUGAAGAUAGGCCGAACAAAAGCCCUUGGUAAAAAAGCCCCUGGUGUCUAGGUACGCGCAAAAUUCUAGCGUGGCCACAUGCCAAGAUGCCAGCCUCCUCCUUGGUUAUAGCAAAACCGGGGGAUGUUAUCAACAAGAGACAGUAAAAAAGGUUUACGCAGGGUCUUAAUCUGAAAAGAAUCCUUGAAACGGGUCCCUACUGCACGUCUGCGCCUGUGUCUCCGUUGUGCCGUAUCCAGGACGGGUGUAGCACGGUGUUCGUCUGCAAAAGGGAGGAACUUAGUGGAAAACAAUCGUGCGAGAAAUCGAUGUUAAAAUAAACAAAGUAUAAUACAGAAAAUGGGGAGAAUUGAGCUUUAUUGUCUCCUGGUGUAAACACGCGUAGCCCCUUGUAUAGGGUUAUGUGGCUAUUAAGCCUUUGUAUGUUUGCGCCGAACUCAUCGAGCCAUGUCCGGGGUCUUUAACGACCUGUUUAGGUGCUCUAACUAGUAAAGCUGGAUUAGUGCGCGGCUGUCAAGGCAACCACACCAUCGUCCGCGCUCGGGUGACACUUGGAUGUUUCCCAUUAAUGAGAUGAUGCCUCGUGGACCGGGCAUUUUGAGUGUAAGGGAUGCAUAAUGCGGUAUUGCAUUAAAGCGGGCGAAAGCUUCGCGUCCCAGUAGUGCUUCAUAGAGACUUAUGAAUGGGGCGAUGGGGAAGGUUAGCUUUUCGCUUUGGAAGUUGUCGGGGGAGCCGAACAUAACUUCUAACGAGAGGGAACCCGUGCAAUGGGUAUCUGGGCCUCGCGUGACCCCUUGAAAGGAAGUGUUGCCAUGGCGAAUUAUUGCUGGGUUUAACCCCAUUUUGCGGAUUGUGUCCCGAUAUAGCAGGUUUAGGUCACUGCCGCCGUCCAUUAGGACUUGUGUAAAGUGGAGUCCAUCGAUUAUCGGAUCUAAGACCAAGGCAGUCCAGCCUGCGUUCCGGAUACCUCUAGAGUAAUCCUAAUGGUCGAAGGUGAUUGGUUGUAACAACUAGUGGCGGGACUCCUCUGGGACAGGCCGUAUGGCGCGUAUCUCUGUAGGCGCCACUCUGCUUUUCGCUUUUGUCACAUGAAGUGAAUUUAUUGUUUUGACUUCUUGUGGGUACUUCUUUUGUUCUCCGAUGUUCUACUUGUGGGGUUCGUCGUCAUCCUCGCUUGGUAUGUCGAGCCCCUUGUGUUCGGCGUUGAGUUUGCCGGAUUGCUUGAAGACCCAACAAUCUCGGUGGGUGUGGUUUGCAGGCCUCCCGGGAGUACUGUGGAUUUGGCAUAUUUUGUCCAAGAUUUUGUUGAGGUUAGAUAGCUCGUCCCUAUUAUCCUUGGGGGGGCGGCCUUUUUUUAUUCUGCCGAGAGCUUUUGAAUCCGGCGUUGACUGCCGUGCUCUUCAGGCUGUUAUCCUUGAUCCGGCGCCGUUCUUUGUUACAGUGCGGUUUCCCAUAUCCAUCUCUGACUUCGGAUGUACUUGGGUCGCUGGUGCUGCUUCUUGCCAACCAGCUAUCCUCUCCUGCACAAAAGUGGGUCAUGAGGCUUGUUAAUGCGGCCAUUGUUCUUGGCUUUUCUUGGCCGAGGUGUCUGGCAAGCCAUUUGUCUCGAACACUAUGUUUGAAAGCUGCUAAGGCCUCGGCGUCCGGACAGUCGACUAUCUGAUUCUUUUUAGUAAGAAAUCUGUUCUAGAGUUUCCGGGCUGACUCUCCGGGUUGUUGAGUUAUAUGGCUUAGAUUGUCUGCAUCCGGAGGUCGGACAUAGGUCCCUUGAAAAUUUGCUCGAAAAGCAUCCUCGAGCUCUUCCCAACUUCCUAUGGUGUUUUCGGGAAGGCUUUUAAGCCAGUGCCCGGCUGGCCCUUUGAGCUUGAGGGGUAGGUAUUUUAUGGCGUGGAGGUCAUCUCCUCUAGCCAUGUGUAUGUGGAGGAUAUAAUCCUCAAUCCAGACUCCAGGGUCUGUUGUUCUGUCGUAUGCCUCUAUGCUUACGGGCUUGAAUCCCGCUGGAAAUUCAUGGUCCAGCACCUCAUUGGUGAAACAUAGGGGAUGUGCGGCGCCCCUGUAUUUGGGUGUUCCGCGAUGUUCGGAUAUUUGUUGCAUUGCAUUGCUUACUAGAGCUUGCUUUCUUGGCCCGUAGAUGGAUCUAGUUGGGCCAUCUUUUUGAUGCGAAUCCUUGUGCGGAUCGCGCGCCGGAUUGAGUGCGGCGCCCUUUGCCACUCGAUGUCGGUCAUGGGGUCGUCUAUCCGACCUGGAGGCUUCCUUGUUUUUUGACCAUGGGGGCUCUAAGGCCUCCUCAUCAAAUUCUGGUAGUAAUUUUCACUUCGGAUACUCUUUGUGUGGGGAAUGUCACCGUACUUGUGUGCGGUGUUGAGUACUCUGUCCCAUCUGAUUCUGAGUGCUUCUUCCGCUGUUCUGAGCUUCCGGUUCUGCUUUUUCAGGCUACGUGCCAUGGCGACGAGCCAUUGGUGGAGGUUAUUCUUCUCUAGUAAUUUGUCCAGCGUGAGGUCGUCCGGACUAUUAUCUUCGCCGGGGACAUGAUGUUUGGUUUGUUCAUCCAAGUUGCCCUGUUCGGACGGUUGCUUGAUGGUAUGAUCGUCGUCCGCCGGUUCAUCCUGCUCUAUGGCUGGAUCUCUGUCGAGGUGGGGUUUGGCGCGGCAUUUCCACUGCCGCUUUGAUUGCUUUUCGAGGGAAUGAUCCCUUGUUGCGCCCUUUUGAUCCUCGUCUUUGUUUCUUUUAGUUGUGUCCACCAUGUAUACAUCGUGAGGUGAGGUGGUUUUCCAGUGCCCUAUAGGCGCUGGUUCUUGGUCGUCUCCUUCAUCAGCGUCCAUACCGUCGAUGUCUUCGGAGUCGAAGUCGAGCAUGUUGGUUAAAUCAUCGACAGUGGCUACAAAGUGCGUGGUGGGUGGGUUUCGAAUUUCUUCGUCGUCCGCAUCCCAACCUUGCUGACCAUAGUCCGGCCAGGGCUCUCCUGAUAGAGAGAGAGACUUUAGUGAAUUUAGGAUGUCACCAAAGGGAGAGUGCUGAAAGAUGUCCGCGUCGGUGAACUCCAUGAUCGGAGCCCAAUCGGGUUUGAUCGGAAGGGGUGCGGAAGAUUCGAAGUUCGGAAAGGAGUCCGGCACCUUGGAGUCACAAGCUUCAUAAAGGACAAGGCUGGUAUUCGGCUUGAUCGCCAUAGAGAUUGCAGCCCCCGAGGCGGCGUCCAACCAUCCGUCACCGAUUGGCGCGGUCGGCUCCGAACCAAGGGUCGGAGCGGACACCUGAGCGGCGCUCUGGGCAUUGUCCGGCGGCAGAGCUAGAUCAUGCCCAUCGUGACAGUGCGGCGCGCUCGGUUGUGGCUCGAAUCCGUCGAAGAUCAAGUCCCCGCGGAUAUCAGCCGGGCAGUUCAAAUUUCCAAAUCUGACCUGAUGGCCAGUGGCGUAGCUUUCGAUCUGCUCCAGUUGGCCAAGCGAACUGGCCCGCAGUGCAAAGCCGCCGAACACGAAGAUCUGUCCGGGGAGAAAAGUGUCACCCUGGACUGCGUCGUGGUUGAUGAUAGAAGAAGCCAUCGGGCCUAAAGGUGACGACAUAGAGGAACUCUCAAUGAAAGCACCAAUGUCGGUGUCAAAACUGGCGGAUCUCGGGUAGGGGGUCCCGAUCUGUCCGUCUAGGCGGAUGGUAACAGGAGACAAGGGACACGAUGUUUUUACCCAGGUUCGGGCCCUCUCGAUGGAGGUAAAACCCUACUCCUUCUUGAUUAAUAUUGAUGAUGUGGGUAGUACAAGAGUUGAUCUACCACGAGAUCAGAGAGGCUAAACCCUAGAAGCUAGCCUAUGGUAUGAUUGUUGUUCGUCCUACGGACUAAAGCCCUCCGGUUUAUAUAGACACCAGAGAGAGCUAGGGUUACACAGAGUCGGUUACAAUGGGGAGGAGAUCUUCAUAUCGUAUCACCAAGCUUGCCUUCCACGCCAAGGAAAGUCCUAUCCGGACACGGGACGAAGUCUUCAAUUUUGUAUCUUCAUAGUCCGGGAGUCCGACCAAAGGUCAUAGUCCGGCCAUCCGGACACCCCCCAAUCCAGGACUCCAUCAGUGGGCGCGCCCUCCACCCUCGUGGAGGCCUCGUCUCCUUCUCGGACUACUUCUUUCUUUGGAAAAUUCUUAAAUAUUCCAAAACUGAUAAAAAAUUGCCUUUAGAAUUGUUUUUGAGUCGGUUUACUUACCGUACCACAUACCUAUUCUUUUUCGGAGUCUGGAACGUUUUGGAAAGUGUCCCUUAUGUAUUCCUCCAGGGUUACAGUUUCAAUAAUAUUAGUUUCAACAUUGAUAGGAUUACCUCAGAUGUAAUGUUUAAUUUUUUGACCAUUCACCACCCUCGGACUUGUGCCUUCGAAGUUGUUGAUAUUUAUGGCACCGAAACGAUAGACCUCCUCGAUAACGUAAGGACCUUCCCAUUUAGAAAGAAGUAUUCCUGCAAAAAAAUCUUAAAUGAGAGUUGAAUAAUAACACAUAAUCACCUACAUUAAACUCACGCUUUUGUAUCCUUUUGUCAUGCCAGCGUUUGACUUUUUCUUUGAAUAGCUUGGCAUUCUCAUAGGCUUGGGUUCUCCAUUCAUCAAGUGAGCUAAUAUCAAAUAACCUCUUCUCACCGGCAAGUUUGAAGUCAUAGUUGAGCUCUUUAAUAGCCCAUUAUGCUUUAUGUUCAAGUUCAAGAGGUAAGUGACAUGCUUUUCCAUAAACCAUCUUAUACGGAGACAUACCCAUAGGAUUUUUGUAUGCAGUUCUAUAGGCCCAUAAUGCAUCAUCAAGUUUCUUGGACCAAUUCUUUCUAGAUCUAUUCACAGUCUUCUACAAAAUUAAUUUGAGCUCUCUAUUGCUCAACUCUACUUGACCACUAGACUACGGGUGAUAAGGAGAUGCGAUUCUAUGAUUAACAUCAUACUUAGCAAGCAUCUUACGGAAAGCACCAUGAAUAAAAUGUGAAUCACCAUCAGUCAUAAGAAAUCUAGGGACUCCAAACCUCAUAAAAAUAACUUCUUUAAGCAUUUUAAUAGAAGUGUUAUGAUCAGCACUACUAGUUGGAAUAGCUUCUACCCACUUAGUAACGUAAUCAACAACAACUAAAAUAUGUGUGUAACCAUUAGAGGCAGGAAAAGGUCCCAUAUAAUCAAAGCCCCAAACAUCAAACGAUUCAAUAACAAGGGAAUAAUUCAUAGGCAUUUCUUGACGUCUACUAAUAUUACCAAUUCUUUGACAUUCAUCACAAGAUAAGACAAACUUACGAGCAUCUUUGAAGAGAGUAGGCCAAUAAAACCGGAUUGCAAUACCUUGUGUGCAGUUCUAUCUCCAGCGUGGUGUCCUCCAUAUGAUUCGGAGUGACACUUGCAUAGGAUCUGUUCCUGCUCAUGCUCAGGUACACAACAUCUAAUAACACCAUCUACUCCUUCUUUAUAAAGGUGUGGGUCAUCCCAGAAGUAAUGUCUUAAAUCAUAAAAGAAUUUUUUCUUUUGAUGGUAUGUGAAACUAGGUGGUAUAAAUUUAGCAACAAUGUAAUUAGCAUAAUCAGCAUACCAAGGAGUAGUACGAGAAGCAUUAACGGCCGCUAAUUGUUCGUCAGGAAAGCUAUCAUCAAUAGGCAGUGGGUCAUCAAGAACAUUCUCUAACCUAGACAAGUUGUCUACAACGGGGUUCUUAGCUCCCUUUCUAUCUAUAAUAUGCAAAUCAAAUUCUUGGAGCAAGAGAACCCAUCUAAUGAGUCUAGGCUUAGCAACUUUCUUUCCCAUAAGAUAUUUAAUAGCAGCAUGAUCAGUGUGAAUAGUAACUUUGGAAUCAACAAUAUAAGGUCCAAACUUAUCACAUGCAAACACAACUACUAAGAACUCUUUUUCAGUAGUAGCAUAAUUUCACUGGGCAGUAUCAAGAGUUUGACUAGCAUACUGGAUAACAUUCAAUUUCUUAUCAACUCUUUACCCUAGAACAACACCUACAGCAUAAUCACUAGCAUCACACAUAAUUUCAAAGGGUAAAUUCCAAUCAGGUGGCUGAACAAUAGGUGUAGUGAUCAAAGCUUUCUUAACUAUUUCAAAUGCUUCUACACAAUCAUCAUCAAAGACAAAAGGAAUAUCUUUUUGCAAUAAAUUAGUCAGAGGCCUAGAGAUUUUAGAAAAGUCCUUAAUGAAGCUCCUAUAAAAACCGGCAUGACCAAGGAAACUUCUUAUACCUUUUAUGUCCUUGGGACAUGGCAUCUUUUAAAUAGCAUCAACUUUAGCUUUAUCAACUUCAAUACCUCUCUCGGAAAUCUUAUGCCCCAAGACAAUGCCUUCAUUAACCAUAAAGUGGCACUUUUCCCAAUUCAAGACGAGACUAGUGUCUUCGCAUCUCUGCAAAACUCGAUCAAGGUUGCUCAAGCAAUCAUCAAAAGAGGAUCCAUAGAUGGAGAAAUCAUCCAUGAAUACCUCACAAAUCUUUUCACAAAAGUCAGAGAAUAUAGCCAUCAUACAUCUUUGAAAGGUAGCAGGUGCAUUACAUAAACCAAAAGGCAUACAUCUAUAAGCAAAAGUACCGAAAGGGCAAGUAAAAGUAGUUUUGAUUGAUCCUUCGCUGACACAAGUAUCUGAGAGAAACCAGAAUAACCAUCUAUAAAGCAGAAAUGUGUGUGUUUGGAUAGUCUUUCUAGCAUUUGAUCAAUAAAAGGUAAAGGGUAAUGAUCUUUCUUAGUAGCUUUAUUUAAUUUACGGAAAUCAAUUACCAUCCUAUAACCUGUAAUAACUCUUUGCGGGAUCAAUUCAUCUUUACUAUUAGGAACAACGGUAAUACCUCCCUUUUUAGGAACACAAUGGACAGGGCUUACCCAAUCACUAUCAGCAACGGGAUAAAUUAUACCUGCCUCAAGGAGCUUUAGUAUCUCCUUUCUUACCACUUCUUUCAUCUUAGGAUUCAAUCAUCGUUGAGGAUCUCUAACUGGUUUGGCAUCAUCCUCCAAAUUAAUUUUGUGUUGGCAUAACGUGAGACUAAUGCCCUUGAGAUCAUCCAGAGUAUAUCCAAUAGCAGCACAGUGCUUCUUCAGAGUUUUCAAUAAUCUUUCUUCUUCUUGCUCUGGAAGGUUAGCACUAAUAAUAACAUGAUAUAUUUUAUUUUCAUCAAGAUAAGCAUACUUAAGAUUAUCAGGUAAUAGUUUGAGUUCAAACACGGGAUCACCCUUGGGUGGAGGGGGAUCCCCAAGAAUUACAACGGGUAGGUUGUGUUUCAGAAUAGGUUCCUGUUGAAGGAACACUUCAUCUAUUUCCCUUCUUUCCUUCAUAAACAUAUCAUUUUCAUGGUCUAGCAAAUAUUGUUCUAACAGAUCAGUAGGAGGCACGGCAAUAGAAUCAAGACCAAUAAUCUCAUCCUUACUAGGUGAUUCUCUAUCACGAGGUUGUCUAUGAAACUUAGCAAAAUUAAACUCAUGAGACACAUCCUCUAACCCAAUUGUAACAGUAUUCAAGAAGGGUCUACCAAAAAUAAUGGGACAAAAGUCAUCUUGUGGGGAACCAAGAACAAGAAAAUCAGCAGGAUAUUUAACCUUCCCACACAAGACUUCAACAUCUCUAACAAUCCCAAAUGGCUUAAUAGUAUCCCUAUUGGCAAGCUUAAUAGUAACAUCUAGAUCUUCCAUUUCAGUGGGUGCAAUAUCAUGCAUAAUUUCUUUAUAUAAGUGAUAGGGUAUUGCACCAGCACUAGCACCCAUAUCACAUAAGCCAUGAUAACAAUGAUCUCCUAUUUUGACAUAAAUAACAGGCAUGCCUACAACUGGUCUAUGUAUCUUAGCAUCUGGUCUAGCAAUAUUGGCAGCCUCACCACAGAAAUAAAUAACAUGCCCAUCUAAAUCAUCAUCCAAGAGAUCUUUAAUCAAAGCAAUACUAGGUUCAACUUUGAUUUGCUCAGGAGGUGUAUAAGUCCUAGUAUUACUGUUACGAACAACAGUCAAAGUUUUAGCAUGAUCCUUUAUCCUAACAGGAAAAGGAGGUUUCUCAACAUAAGUAGUAGGAACAAUAGGAUCACUCUAAGUGACAGUCUUUUCUUCAACUGUAAUAGGUGAAACUACUUUUACUUCAAUGGUAGGAUUAUAUUUAAACCACUUCUCCUUAGGGAGAUCAACGUGAGUAGCAAAAGAUUCACAGAAAUAAGCUACUAUCUCAGAGUCAAGUCCAUACUUAGCGCUAAAUCCAUGAAAAGCAUCGAUAUCCAUAAAAGAUUUAACACAAUCAAACUUAGGUGUCAUCCCUGACUCCUUACCAUCGUCGGAACCCCAAUCUUCAGAGUUGCGUUUAAUUCUUUCCAAUAAAUCCCAUUUGAAUUCAAUAGUCUUCAGCAUAUAAGAACCAUCACAGGAAGUAUCGAGCAUGUUGCGAUCAUUGGGAGAAAGCCGAGCAUAAAAUUUUUGAAUAAUCAUUUCUCAGGAGAGCUCAUGAUUGGGGCAUGAAUAUAACAUUGACUUAAUCCUCCCCCAAGCUUGAGCGAUGCUUUCUCCUUCGCGAGGCCAGAAAUUAUAUAUGUAAUUACAAUCAUGAUGAACAAGAUGCAUAUGAUAGAAUUUUUGGUGAAAUUCCAACUUCAAUCGUUUAUAAUUCCAAGAUCCCGUAUCAUCACAUAGCCUAUACCAUGUCAAUGCAUCUCCCUUCAAAGAUAAAGGGAAUACCUUCCUUUUGACAACAUCAUCGGGAAUACCUUCAAGCUUAAAUAAUCCACAAACUUGAUCCACAAAGAUAACGUGUAAAUCGGGAUGCAAUGUUCCAUCUCCUGCAAAGGGAUUAGCUAGCAGUUUCUCUAUCAUACCCGAAGGAAUCUCAAAGUAAAUAUUUUCAGUAGGUUCAGUAGGUCGAGGAGAAACUCUUUACUCUUCUGGUCGGGGUGAAGAUACCCCGAACAAGCCCCUCAAAGGAUUAGUUUCCAUAGUAACAAGUGACAGAAAAUUUCAGCACACUAUAUAAAUGUUUCCUUACCAAGUUCCACUCACCAAAGGCGCUUCACUCCCCGGCAACGGCGCCAGAAAAGAGUCUUGAUGACCCACAAUUAUAGGUGAUCUAUCAUAGUCCUUUUGAUAAGUAACAGUGUCGAACCCAAUGGGGAGCAGAAGGAAAUGACAAGCGGUUUUCAGUAAGGUUUUCUCUGCAAGCACUGAAAUUGUAGGUAACAGAUAAUUUUGUGAUAAGAUAAAUUGUAACGAGUAACAAGCAAUGAAAGUAAAUAAAGUGCAGCAAGGUGGCCCAAUCCUUUUUGUAGCAAAGGACAAGCGUGGACAAUUUCUUAUAAUGAGAAAAGAGCUCCCGAGGACACAUGGGAAUUAUCGUCAAGCUAGUUUUCAUCACGCUCAUAUGAUUCACGUUCGGUACUUUGAUAAUUUGAUAUGUGGGUGGACCAGUGCUUGGGUACUUCCCUUACUUGGACAAGCAUCCCACUUAUGAUUAACCCCUAUUGCAAGCAUCCGCAACUACAAAAGAAGUAUUAAGGUAAACCUAACCACAACAUUAAACAUAUGGAUCCAAAUUAGCCCCUUACGAAGCAACACAUAAACUAGGGUUUAAGCUUCUGUCACUCUAGCAACCCAUCAUCUACUUAUUACUUCCCAAUGCCUUCCUCUAGUCCCAAAUAAUGGUGAAGUGUCAUGUAGUCGACGUUCACAUAACACCACUAGAGGAAAGACAACAUACAUCUCAUCAAAAUGUCGAACGAAUACCAAAUUCACAUGACUACUAAUAGCAAGACUUCACCCAUGUACUACUCACAAAGCAUAUUCAUGUUCAUAAUCAGAGGAGUAAUAAUAUGCAUUAAGGAUCUGAACAUAUGAUCUUCCACCAAGUAAACCAAUUAGCAUCAACUACAAGGAGUAAUCAACACUACUAGCAACCCACAUGUACCAAUUUGUGGUUUUGGAUACAAGAUUGGAUACAAGAGAUGAACUAGGGUUUGAGAGGAGAUGGUGCUGGUGAAGAUAUUGAUGGAGAUUGACCCUCUCCCAAUGAGAGGAUCGUUGGUGAUGAUGAUGGUGAUGAUUUCCCCCUCCCGGAGGGAAGUUUUCCCGGCAGAACAGCUCCGCUGGAGCCCUAGAUUGGUUCCGCCAAGGUUCCGCCUCGUGGCGGCGGAGUUUCAUCCCGUAAGCUUGCCUCUGAUUUUUCCAGGGUAAAAGCCUUCAUAUAGCAGAAGAAGGGCACCGGAGGGCCACCAUGGGGCCCAGGAGACAGGGGGGCGUGCCUAGUAGGGGUGGGCGCGCCCCCACCUUCCUGGCCUGGGUGUGGGCCCCCUCUGGUAGUUUCUUCGCUCAAUAAUUCUUAUUAAUUCCAAAACUGACUUCCCUGGAGUUUCAGAAUUUUUGGAGCUAUGCAGAAUAGGUUUCCAAUAUUUGCUCCUUUUCCAGCCAGAAUUCCAGCUGCCGGCAUUCCCCCUCUUCAUGGUAAACCUUGUAAAAUAAGAGAGAAUAGCCAUAAGUAUUGAUAUAUAAUGUGUAAUAACAACCUAUAAUGCAAUAAAUAUUGAUAUAAAAGCAUGAUGCAAAAUGGACAUAUCACUCUUCAGGGCCGCCAGUAAACUAUCCGGCACCUCUGGUUGGAUAGAGGUUGCCAACAGAAUAGGCGCACCCCCUCCAGUCGAGGGAGGCUGCCUGCCUGAUUCUGGAGCUGUACCGGUCUCCGGAAUUGUGUCCGGCCGGCGGCCAAAUUCGAGAUAGCCCCCGUCGUCGACGUCCAUGGGAGCCUUUUCUCCCGUCUGUCCGGCCCCAGAAGUUUGACCUUCCAGGACCGUCUUGACGAUCUCCCCCCUUUCUUGGCCUAGGUCCCUCUGUGACGAUACCUCGAUGUCAUUCACGUGUUUUGGGGAAGGGGCCUUCGGGGGCGUCUCACUGUCCAUGGCAUCCGAACCCAAUAAAUCCUCUGAUGAGGAUCGUUCGGUGCAGGACCUCAUCGGACUGCAACAAAGUAUGGCUCAAUGAUUGAAACAUCAUGCCAUGGUGAGUCCAGAUGCGUAAAUAUGUUUGGAUUUUAUAUACUCACGAGUUCACCAGGGGCUGGCCUCUGGGAUCCCAUUCCGGACUGCUGUCGGCGGCAGCGGUGGACUCCGCCGGGAGAGGAGUUUUUCCCCUCUUAGGCGACUCGGCCUCCAAAGAUGUGGAGGCCGUCCUUUUCUUUCUUCCCCCCACUGGCGAUUCGUCUUCCUCCCCCUCCUCGUCCUCUUCGGAGGAAGAACGGUCAUUGCAGUCUUCGGAUAUUAUGUCCGAGGCACCACGGCGACGGAGGCAGCCCCUGGUCUUUUUGGCCUCCUUCUCGGCCUUCUUCUUCGGUGCCUUGUAAGGCGCCGGGACUAGCAUCUUCGUUAGAAGUGGGCCGGCCGGUUCUUCUGGCAGUGGGGCCGGAUAGUAUAUCUGCCCCGCCUUCUUCGUCCGGCCCUAGGAGAGUUGUGGAAAACACAUUAAGCAUUUCCCUUGGGUUAUGCGAAUAAAACAUAUAAUGACUUACCGAACUUGCAGGGCGGGACAGUUGGUACCCGCGGUCCUCAGUUGAGUCCGGCCAUGAUUUGCUGGACUUCAAAAGCACCUUCUAGAUGUCUUUGUGCGAGGAGCCAAAGAGCUCCUGCAGCGUUUAGUGCUUGACCGGGUUGAAUUCCCAUAAAUUGCAAGCCCCGUGUUGACAAGGAAGGAUCCGAUGAACUAACAUCACCUGGACUACAUUGAUAAGUUUGAUAUUCUUGUCUUCCAUAUCCUUGACGCGCGUUUGGAGCACCGACAACUCGUCGGGCGAAGACCAGUUCAGGCCCUUCUUGGGCCAGGACGUAAGCCGCAGGGGGGCUUGCUACGUCUUGAGCUUGCGUUGGUUUUCCUUGAAGAGGAAAGGGUGAUGCAACAAUAGUAGCGUAAGUAUUUCCCUCAGUUUUGAAGAACCAAUGUAUCAGUCCAGUAGGAGGCUCCUCAAAAGUCCCACGCACCUACACAAACAAACAAAGAACUCGCAACCAACGCAAUAAAGGGGUUGUCAAUCCCUUCAUGGCCACUUGCGAAAGUGAGAUCUGAUAGAGAUAGUAUGAUAAGAUAAAUUAUUUUUGGUAUUUUAUAAUAUAGAUUGGAAAAGUAAAUAUGCAAAUAAAAGUAGAUUGAAAGUUUAAAAGAUAAAAGAUAGACCCAGGGGCCAUAGGUUUCACCAGUGGCUUCUCAAGAUAGCAUAAGUAUUACGGUGGGUGAACAAAUUACUGUCGAGCAAUUGAUAGAAAAGCGAAUAAUUAUGAGAUUAUCUAGGCAUGAUCAUGUAUCUAGGCAUCACGUCCGUGAUAAGUAGACCGACUCCUGUAGGCAUCUACUACUAUUACUCCACUCCUGUAGACCCUCGUGGCCGCCUCGACUGCUUCAUGGCUUGCACUCCAAGUCCUUUGGAUCACAUUUGUUCCAAAAAUCACGCUCCCGAAGGUUUCAUUCCGUUUGGACUCCAUUUGAUAUUCCUUUUCUUCGAAAUACUGAAAUAGGCAAAAAAUAGCAAUACGGGCUGGGCCUCCGGUUAGUAGGUUAGUCCCAAAAAUGAUAUAAAUGUGUAAAGUAAAGCCCAUAAACAUCCAAAACAGGUAAUAUAAUAGCAUGGAACAAUCAAAAAUUAUAAAUACGUUGGAUACGUAUCAAGCAUCCCCAAGCUUAAUUCCUGCUCGUCCUCGAAUAGCUAAAUGAUAAAAACAGAAUUUUUGAUGUGGAAUGCUACCUAGCAUAAUUCUCAAUGUAAUUUUCUUUAUUGUGGCAUGAAUGUUCAGAUCCAAAUGAUUCAAAAUAAAAGUUCAUAUUGACAUAAGAAAUAGUAAUACCUCAAGCAUACUAAUCAAAGCAAUCAUGUCUUCUCAAAAUAACAUGGCUAAAGAAAGUUCAUCCCUACAAAAUCAUAUAGUUAGGCUAUGCUUCAUUUUCGUCACACAAAAAUGUUCCCAAAUUCUACACCCUCGAUGACAAGCCAAGAAAUUGUUUCGUACUUAAAUAAUCUCAAACUUUUUCAACCUUCACGUAAUACAUGAGCGUGAUCCAUGGAUAUAUCACUAUGGGUGGAAUAGAAUAUGAUAAUGGGGAUUGUGUGGAGAAGACAAAAAAGCAGAAAGUCUCACAUUGACGAGGAUAAUCAACGGGCUAUGGAGAUGCCCAUCAAUUGAUGUCAACAUGAGGAGUAGGGAUUGCCAUGCAAUGGAUGCACUAGAGCUAUAAAUGUAUGCACGCUCAACAAAAGAAAACUAGUGGGUGUGCAUCCAACUUGCUUGCUCACUAAGACCUAGGGCAUUUUGAGGAAGCCCAUCAUAGGAAUAUACAAGCGAAGUUCUAUAAUGAAAAAUUCCCACUAGUAUAUGAAAGUGACAACAUAUGAGACUCACUAUGUGAAGAACAUGGUGCUACUUUGAAGCACAAUGUGGAAAAAGAGAUAGUAACAUUGCCCCUUUUUUUCUUUUUUUUUCUUUUCCUUUUUUUGGGCCUUUCUUUUUUCUUUUGGCCUUUCCCCUUUUUUCUUUUUUUUCUUUGUCCUUUCAUUUUUUAUUUCUUUUUGGCCUUUUUCUUUUCUUUUCGGGGACAAUGCUCUAAUAAUGAUGAUCAUCACACUUUCAUUAAUUUACAACACAUGAAUUACAACUCAAAACUAGAACAAGAUAUGACUCUAUAUGAAUGCCUCCGGCGGUGUACCGGUAUGGGCAAUGAAUCAAGAGUGACAUGUAUGAAAAAUUAUGCAAAGUGGCCUUGCCACAAAUACGAUGUCAACUACAUGAUCAUGCAAUGGCAAUAUGACAAUAGUAAUGCGUGUCAUGAUGAUAAAUGGAACGGUGGAAAGUUGCAUGGAAAUAUAUCUCGGAAUGGCUAUGGAAAUGCCAUAAUAGGUAGGUAUGGUGGCUGUUUUGAGGAAGAUAUAAGGAUUUUUAUGUGUGAUAGAGCAUAUCAUAUCACGGGGUUUGGAUGCACCGGCGAAGUUUGCACCAACUCUCGAGGUGAGAAAGGGCAAUGCACGGUACCAAAGAGGCUAGCAAUGAUGGAAAGGUAAAAGUGCGUAUAAUCCAUGGAAUCAACAUUAGUCAAAAGAACUCAUAUAAUUAUUGAAAAAAUCUAGAAGUCAUCAAAAACCAAGCACUAUGCGUAUGCUCGUAGGGGGAUAGAUUGGUAGGAAAAGACCAUCGCUCGUCCCCAACCGCCACUCAUAAGGAUGCACAAUCCAAGGACACUUCAUGUUUCAAAUUGUUACACAACUUUAACCAUACGUGCAUGCUACGGGACUUGCUAACUUCAACACAAGCAUUAUUUAAAUUCAUAAUCACCCAACUAGCAUGACAUUAAUAUCACUACCUCCAUAUCUCACAACAAUUAUCAAGUAUCGAAUUGAUCAUAUCAUCCAAUUCACUUCCUAUGAUAGUUUUUAUUAUACCCUACUUGGAUGCCUACCAUUCUAGGACCAAUUUUAUAACCAUAGCAAAUACCAUGCUGUUCUAGGAGACUCUCAAAAUAAUAUAAGUGAAGCAUGAGAGACUAGAAAUUUCUACAAAAUUAAGCCACCGCCGUGCUCUAAAAGAUAUAAGUGAAGCACUAGAGCAAAAACUAUCUAGCUCAAAAGAUAUAAGUGAAGCACAUAUAGUAUUCUAAUAAAUUCCAAUCAAGUAGGCUUCUCCCAAAAGGUGUGUACAGCAAGGAUGAUUGUGGAAAACGAUAAAGCAAAUACUAAUAUCAUACAAGACUCUCCAAGCAAAACACAUAUCAUGUGGCGAAUAGAAAUAUAGCUCUAAGUAUAGUUACCAAUGAACGAAGACGAAAGAGGGGAUGCCUUCCGGGGGCAUCCCCAAGCUUAGGCUUUUGGCUAUUCUUGAAUAUCUUGGGGUGCCAUGGGCAUCCUCAAGCUUAGGCUCUUGCUACUCCUUAUUCCAUAGUCCAUCAAAUCUUUACCCAAAACUUGAAAACUUCACAACACAAAACUCAACAGGAAAUCUCAUAAGCUCCGUUAGGGAAAGAAAGCAAAACCACCACAUAAGGUACUGUAAUGAACUCAUUCUUUAUUUAUAUUGGUGUUAAACCUACUUUAUUUCAAGUUCUCUAUGGCUUAUACCACUUAAUACUAGCCAUAGAUGCAUCAAAAUAAGCAAACAACACACGAAAAACAGAAUCUGUCAAAAACAGAACAGUCUGUAGCAAUCUGUAACCCACGAAUACUUAUGGAACUAUAAAAAUCCUACCAAAAUAGGAAGUCCUGGGAAAUUUGUCUAUUGAUCUAAAGCAAAAAUAAUCGACGCAAAAGCACGUUUCUGUGAUUUAACAAAUCUAAUUUCGUGCAUGCAAAGUUUCUGUUUUUCAGCAGAAUCAAAUUAACUAUCACCAUAGGUUAUCCUAUAGGUUCUACUUGGCACAAACACUAAUUAAAACCUAAAAACACAUCUAAACAGAAGGUAGAUGCAAAAUUUAGUAUUAAACAGAAACAAAAACAAAAUACACAAAUAAAAUUGGGUUGCCUCCCAACUAGCGCUAUCGUUUAACGCGCCUAGCUAGGCAUAAAAGCGAAGAUAGAUCUAAGUAGUGCCAUAAUAAUAAGAUAGAUCUUGAAAACUGUCACGCCCAAUAUGUGACCCUAUCCAAAAGGAACUCGAAGGUCCCACCAAGGAUAGACCCGCAUAUUGGAACGCUUUUGCAAGGUGGAUAUCAUUACAUCAACAUUACAUAAUAGAUGGGGAUACAUACAUAAGGCAUACAAUGCCACAUGAAUACAACAUCAUCAUACAGAAGAGCCACAUCCAACUACGGAUGAAACACAAACAGAAACUCAAACGACAUCCACCGUGCUAGCCCAGGCUGCCGACCUGGAACCUAUCCCCUGAUCGAAGAAGUAGAAGAAGAACUCAACGCAAGCAAGCAUCGCUCUCGCGUCAUGAUCAUCGCAUAAUCUGUACCUGCAACUGUUGUUGUAGUAAUCUGUGAGCCACGAGGACUCAGCAAUCCCAUUACCAUGGGUAUCAAGACUAGCAAAGCUUAAAGGGAAAGGAAGGGGUAAAGUGGUGAGGCUGCAGCAGCGACUAAGCAUAUAUGGUGGCUAACAUACGCAAAUAAGAGCGAGAAGAGAGCAAGCGGAACGGUCGUGAAACUAGCAAUGAUCAAGAAGUGAUCCUGAACUCCUACUUACGUCAAACAUAACCCAAAGACCGUGUUCACUUCCCGGACUCCGCCGAAAAGAGACCAUCACGGCUACACACGCGGUUGAUGGGUUUUAAUUCGGAUCUGGUGUCAAGUUAUCUACAACCGGACAUUAACAAAUUCCCAUCUGCCUAUAACCACAGGCACGGCUUUCGAAAGAUUAUACCCUGCAGGGGUGUCCCAACUUAGCCCAUGAUAAGCUCUCGCGAUCAAUGAAGGAUAUACCUUCUCCCAGGAAGCCCCGAUCAGACUCGGAAUCCCGGUUUACAAGACAUUUCGACAAUGGUAAAACAAGACUAGCAAGACCACCCGAUGCGCCGACAAUCCUGAUAGGAGCUGCACAUAUCUCGUUCUCAGGGCAACAUCGGAUAAGCUAAGCGUACAGGUACCGACGUAACCCAAGUUGCCAAGGGAUGGUCCCGCACGGUGCUCUAGUUUGGACCAACACUUAGACAAGCAUUGGCCCCGGGGGGGCUAAAAUAAGAUGACCCUUGGGUUAAUUACUCCCAAGGGAAAUAUAGGUGGUGGUGAGGCAAAUGGUAAAACCAAGGUUGGGCCUUGCUGGAGGAGUUUUAUUCAAAGCGAACUAUCAAGGGGGUCCCAUAAAUCACCCAACCGCGUAGGGAACGCAAAAUUCGGGAACAUAACACCGGUAUGACGGAAACUAGGGCGGCAAGAGUGGAACAAAACACCAGGCAUAAGGCCGAGCCUUCCACCCUUUUCCAAAUAUAUAGAUGCAUUAAUUAAAUAAGAGAUAUUGUGAUAUCCCAACAUAAUCCUGUCCACCAUGGAACAAUCUUCAACUUCACCUGCAACUAGCAACGCUAUAAGAGGGCUGAGCAAAGCGGUAACAUAGCGAAGCAAUGGUUUACUAGGAAGGGUGUCAAAGGUUAGAGGUUCAUGGCAAUUUGAGAGGCUUGAUGAGCAAAAGAUAGGUAACGCAGCAUAGCGAUAAAAUGAAGCAACUAGCAUAGCAAUGAUAGUAGUGAGAUCCAGGGUAGCGAUCAUCUUGCCUGAAAUCCCACAAGGAAGAAGAAUGAGUCCAUGAAGAAGACGAACGGAUGAAGCCGAACCAAGCAUAGACGAACGAAUCCUCACGAUCGCAACGAAACGGGAACUAUCGAUAAGAAGCACACAACAUGGUAAACACACCACACAUGAACCAGGCAUGAUGCACAACCAAGCAUGAUGCAGGACAAGGCUACAUGAAGCUACUCAUGGCAAGAGAUGAUGCAAAUAAGAGCGACACAUCAAAGCAAGUUUAAAUGAGGCCGGAAACAACAUAUAACAAUUCUGGUAAGUCCUCAUAUGCAAGUUUCGAAAUUGGUCCAGAUCUGAAUAAACCUUAUGUUCAAGUUGUUAAACAGCAAGUUAAAAUGCACCAUGAUGAUCUACAUGAGAUUCUAGUCAAGUUACAUAUAAAGUUCAUUUAGUUCGGAGCUACGGCCUAGAAGAUAUGAGCAAAACAAGUUAAACAUGGCAUUGAUGCAAAAUGCAUACAAACAUCAAGCAAACACCUAAAAACAUGGAUGCAACAUGAUAAUAUGAAACUACAUGCAAAAUCAAGCAAGUUUCAUAUAGAGCACACUCAAAACGGAGCAACGGUGCAACACACACACACUAUACAAGUUUGAAGGACAAACUGUCCAAAACAGCAACUAGGCAUAUUGCAAGCAUCAAAACAACAUGCUACUGGACCUCAACAAGAAAACAAAAGGCAUGGGCAUGAUUUACAGGUAAAGCAUAAUAAAACAUGAACACCGAGCUAUCUCCAGAAAUCACUAGAACAUACUCAAACGCACAUGGCAAGAUUGCAAAUAAUAACAGUUCAGACUUUGCAGAAAAUAACAUCAGGUUACAAUGUUUAGAGCUAUCAAACAACAUGUUACAGGAACUUAUCAUGGCAAACAAAGGCAUGGCAUGAAUCUACUAAUUGCAUAGAACAAAAGUCCCUUAAUGACCAUGAGCCAAAAAGGAUCAGAAGAUAUGAUGGCGCCCAUGUUAACAUAGCAAGUUAUAAUACAGAUUCAUACAUGGCAGGAACAACAAUAAGUAGGCAUGUUGGUGAGCUUGUACCACUCACCACAGAGCAUUACAUGGCAUGGAAAGGCAACCAACAGUAAGAAGACAUGUUCAUGAAGCUAAGCAUGGCAAGAGAAAGUUCAUAGGUUGCAUGGAUCACUAACAAUGAUCAUGGCAACAACUGAACUUAAUGUUAACAGGCUGACAACAACAUUAUUUAGCAACUUUGGAGCAAGGAAACAACAAGCUACAGCAGGCCAUACAUGCAACCAGGGGCACGGAUGGAUAGAGCAUGAAAUGUAUAACAAAACACCCUUAGUGAACAUCUCCAGAUUAUGCAUAGAAUGACUUGUAGCAGCCGGUUUACAUAGCAUCACGAAAUAACAGAAACAGCCUAGUAAAACAGUAACAGCAAGUACACUACUUUAACAAACUUGAUUCACUCACCACAAGUCAUUGCAUGACAAGAUAAGCAUAGAAUCAGCAAGAAGACAUGUUUAUGAAACAAACCAAGGCAAGAACAAGUUCAUAGCAUGCAAGGAUCAACUACAACAACCUUGGCAAAAUUGAAUAACAUGUAAAAAAUCUGCCAGGAAACAUUUUGUAGCAAAAGUAGAGCACGAAAAUGACAUGCUAGACUACUCCAGAAUUGCAAACAGGGGCAUGAAUGGCUAGAGAACAACUGUAUGUUCAAAACAUCCUUACUGAAGUAUCUGAAAAUAUGCAUGGAUCUCUCUGUAGCAUCAAGUUUACAUGGCAUCAAAAUAACAGCAGAACAGGGACUAAAAUCAGCAACAUCAUGAUGCCUAGUUUGCAUGCUUGUGCUAGUAACCACAUCAAUCACAAAAAUAAAUGGUAAGAACCUCUGUAAAGAAGACAUGGCAUAGAUCAAAACACAUGUAGGCAUCAAACUCAUAGGAUGCACACAUCAAUCAUGGCAAAAAUGACAAAUGAGCAAGUUCUGUUAAUAGACAGCAGACAACAUCACAUAGCACUCUUGCAACGAUGAUUCAGGCAUCAAGAUGAGCUCAAAUGAACAUGAUGCAAUGUAAUGAAAUGAAGUACUCGUUAAGGCGAACAAUUUGACAUAUUACAUGCACGAAACGGAGCAAUAUGCAUGGAGUUACGAUGUGAUGAACAUGGCAUGAUAAUGUCGCAAAACUCAGGGACUUAGGCGAUUUUUACCCCGCGAAAAACUGGACGAAGAUGUUCCGGGACGGAGGGAUCCGAGCACGGGGAGGUGUUUGGAUCGAGGGAGUGGUGGAUCUCAUCCCACUCCCCGGAUCCGGCGUCGGCGAGAGCUCCGGCGAGCUCGAACUCCGGCGAUGGCGCGGUGGGAUGGCAGAGGCGGCGGAGGGAGGCGAGGCAGGCGCGGCGGCGCCGGCCAAGGCGGCGGCGGACGGAGGCAGACGACGGCGNNNNNNNNNNNNNNNNNNNNNNNNNNNNNNNNNNNNNNNNNNNNNNNNNNNNNNNNNNNNNNNNNNNNNNNNNNNNNNNNNNNNNNNNNNNNNNNNNNNNNNNNNNNNNNNNNNNNNNNNNNNNNNNNNNNNNNNNNNNNNNNNNNNNNNNNNNNNNNNNNNNNNNNNNNNNNNNNNNNNNNNNNNNNNNNNNNNNNNNNNNNNNNNNNNNNNNNNNNNNNNNNNNNNNNNNNNNNNNNNNNNNNNNNNNNNNNNNNNNNNNNNNNNNNNNNNNNNNNNNNNNNNNNNNNNNNNNNNNNNNNNNNNNNNNNNNNNNNNNNNNNNNNNNNNNNNNNNNNNNNNNNNNNNNNNNNNNNNNNNNNNNNNNNNNNNNNNNNNNNNNNNNNNNNNNNNNNNNNNNNNNNNNNNNNNNNNNNNNNNNNNNNNNNNNNNNNNNNNNNNNNNNNNNNNNNNNNNNNNNNNNNNNNNNNNNNNNNNNNNNNNNNNNNNNNNNNNNNNNNNNNNNNNNNNNNNNNNNNNNNNNNNNNNNNNNNNAGGGGGACAGGUGGCGCGACGGGGUUGGAGCGAGAGGGCGGCGGCGGACAUGUCCGGUGGCGGCGGGGAGGAUUUAGCUAGGGUUUGGACUGCGAAAAUCGACGGGGAUGCAUUUUUAUAGGUAGAAGGAGUUAGGAGAGUCCAAAUGAGGAGAGAUUUUCGGCCAUGCGAUCGUGAUCGAACGACGGAGAGCAUGGAGGGGGUUAGGAUGGGCUAGAGGGCUGUGGUGAAAAGGGGCUGGGCUGCAAAGAGAAGGAGGUUUCGGGCUACGCGGUUAACCGUUGGAGUAUCAAACGGACUCCAAAUGGCACAAAACUUGACAGGCGGUCUACCGGUGCUAUACCAAGGCCGCUUGGAAAACUUUGGUCCAUUCCGAGAAAGUUUAACACCCACUCACAACAGGAGACAAAAGGGGAAUGCCAGAGGGCAUAGGAGCGCCGGAUUGCAAAACGGACAACGGGGAUAAUGCUCGGAUGCAUGAGACGAACACGUAUGCAAUGCAAUGCACAUGAUGACAUGACAAAAUGCAACACGCAAGCAAAUGACAUGGCAACGACGGCAAAUAACUGAUAGACACCUGGCGCAUCGAAUCCGGGGCGUUACAAAAACUCAUCUCAAUUCUCUAUGUUCAGCAACAAGUUUUCUUUGAGGCAAGCAAAAAUAAUCAAAAGGGCUAAAUUUAGCGGGACAAAAAGUUCCCAAGAUCAAUCACAGGAGGAACGGGUUCCUCCUUUGGCCCUUCAUAGUGCACAACUAAUUCAUCAUUAUAAGCAUUCUUUUAGCAAAAGUUCGUGAGCCUAUACUCAAGAGUGUAUCCUAGCUCAUUAUUUCGAAGAGCAAAAUCAUUAUUAAGUUCGGAAAUUCUAUCAACUAGGACAUUGGUAGGAACCUUUUUUCUAAGGUUUUCAUUGAAAGCAACAUAGUCCAAAGAUUGGAAACGCCUAAUUUCCUCUUGAUCAAAGAGGAUCGCCUCUAUGGGAGGACGGCCGGCGUCCACCCUAUAGUGCGCAAAGAUUUCUUUGGCCACUCUUAUUAUAAAUCUAAAUUCAUUAGCCAAAAAUAUAGUAAUGGCGCGCUUAACAGAAGAAUUUUCAAUUUUAGAAAAUUCCAAGAAAAUUCUUUGGAUGCGAGGAUGCAUAUGCAUAAAUUGUCUUUCAAGAUCAACUGCAAGCAUAGCGAUAGCACCCGCAAGACUAUUAGUUCUAUGAAGAAUAGAACCACCCAUAGAAGGUAAAGCACCGACACAAGUAAAUAAAUCUUGAAUAACCCCUUUUCCAAUAAUCUUGAAACUUUUUAGUAUGCAAGAUAGGGGGUUCUUCAGCUGGAGCAUCAGAAUUUUCCAUGUUAUCAUUAUUGUCCAUAUCAAUGAUAAUCUCCCCAAUUUUAGACAUAACGGCAAACAAAAGCGAGGAAGAAGAAGAGGGCAAGCGAAAGAGAGAAGAGAAGAUUGGGAAAGAGAGGGCGAAUAAAAUGGCAAGGGUGAAGUGGGAAAGAGGAAAACGAGUGGCAAAUGGCAAAUAAUGUAAAUGCGAGGGAGAUGAGUUUGUGAUGGGUACAUGGUAUGUCUUGACUUGAGUGAAGACCUCCCCGGCAACGGUGCCAGAAAUCCUUCUUGCUACGUCUUGAGCUUGCGUUGGUUUUCCUUCAAGAGGAAAGGGUGAUGCAGCAAUAGUAGCAUAAGUAUUUCCCUCAGUUUUUGAGAACCAAGGUAUCAAUCCAGUAGGAGGCUCCUCAAAAGUCCCACACACCUACACAAACAAACAAAGAACUCGCAACCAACACAAUAAAGGGGUUGUCAAUCCCUUCACGGCCACUUGCGAAAGUGAGAUCUGAUAGAGAUAGUAUGAUAAGAUAAAUAUAUUUUUGGUAUUUUAUAAUAUAGAUUGGAAAAGUAAAGAUGCAAAUAAAAGUAGAUUGAAAGUUUAAAAGAUAAAAGAUAGACCCGGGGGCCAUAGGUUUUACUAGUGGCUUCUCUCAAGAUAUCAUAAGUAUUACGAUGGGUGAACAAAUUACUGUCGAGCAAUUGAUAGAAAAGUGAAUAAUUAUGAGAUUACCUAGGCAUGAAUAUAGGCAUCACGUCCGCGACAAGUAGACCGACUCCUGCCUGCAUCUACUACUAUUACUCCACACAUCGACCGUUAUCCAGCAUGCAUCUAGAGUAUUAAGUUCAUAAGAACAGAGUAAUGCAUUAAGAAAGAUGACAUGAUGUAGAGGGAUAAACUCAUGCAAUAUGAUAUAAACCCCAUCUUUUUAUCCUCGACGGCAACAAUACAAUACGUGCCUUGCAACCACUAUUGUCACUAGGUAAGGACACCGCAAGAUUGAACCCAAAGCUAAGAACUUCUCCCAUUGCAAGAAAGAUCAAUCUAGUAGGCCAAACCAAACUGAUAAUUCGAAGAGACUUGCAAAUAUAACUCAAUCAUACAUAAAAGAAUUCAGAGGAGAUUCAAAUAUUUCUCAUAGAUAAACUUUCAUAAACCCACAAUUCAUCGGAUCUCGACAAACACACCGCAAAAAGAGUUACAUCGAAUAGAUCUCCACAAGAGAGGGGGAGAACAUGGUAUUGAGAUCCAAAAAGAGAGAAGAAGCCAUCUAGCUAAUAACUAUGGACCCAAAGGUCUGUGGUAAACUACUCACAAAUCAUCGGAGGGGCUAUGGUGUUGAUGUAGAAUCCCUCCAUGGUCGAUUCCCCCUCCGACGGAGCGCCGGCGAAGGCUCCAAGAUGGGAUCUCGCGGAUACAGAAGGUUAUGAUGGUGGAAAUUGUUUUUCGUUGGCUCCCUAGAUGUUUUCGUGGUACGUGGGUAUAUAUAGGAGGAAGAAGUAGGUCGGUGGCCACUCGAGGGGCCCACGAGAUAGGGGGCGCGCCCUGUAGGGGUGGGCGCGCCCUCCACCCUCGUGGCCGCCUUGGCUGCUUCUUGGCUUGCACUCCAAGUCCUCUGGAUCACGUUUGUUCCAAAAAUCACGCUCCCGAAGGUUUCAUUCCAUUUGGACUCCGUUUGAUAUUCCUUUUCUUCGAAAUACUGAAAUAGGCAAAAAAAACAGCAAUACGGGCUGGGCCUCUGGUUAGUAGGUUAGUCCCAAAUAUGAUAUAAAUGUGUAAAGUAAAGCCCAUAAACAUCCAAAAUAGGUAAUAUAAUAGCAUGGAACAAUCAAAAAUUAUAGAUAUGUUGGAGACCUAUCAGGGCUCAGGAUCGGAAUUCGGGAGCUGCGGCCCAUUCCGUGCCAUACGGCUUAGUGAUGUAAAACCACUGCUGCUGCCACUAUUUGAUGGAAUCAUUGAAAGUACCUGUUGGCCAUGUGAUGUUGGGCAUCUUGCUCACCAUGGCGCCUCCGCACUCGACGUGGUCGCCACUCACUACCUUGGGCUUCACAUUAAAGAUCUUCAGCCAUAAGCCAAAGUGUGGCGAGAUGCGGAGAAAGGCCUCGCACACGAUGAUGAAUGUUGAGAUGUUGAGGAAGGAAUUGGGGGAUAGAUCGUGAAAAUCGAUCCCGUAAUAAUACACGAUGUCACGAACGAAUGGGUGGAUGGGAAACCUCAGCCUGCGGACAAAAUGAGGGAGGAAUACAACCCUCUCAUGGGGUUCCGGAGUAGGGACGAUCUAUCUCACCGACGGAAGGUGGUGGCUGAUUUUCUUGGCCAGAUACCUGGCCUCCUAAAGCUUUUUGAUAUCCUUCUCCCGGAUGGUAGAGGCCAUCCACUUGCCUCCUGCUCCGGAUCCGGACAUUUUCGGAAGGCAUUUGUGGGCAGAGAAGAUGAACGCUUGGGCGCUGGGGCUCGAGCGAGGGGGAAUGGAUGAGCAGAGGAAGAAGAAGGCGUGGGGUGAAAAAGGGGAGUCCUGAUCUCCUUAUAAAGGCAGCAGGGAUCUCGCGCCUCCCCACUUGUCCAGUAAACUCGCUUAUUCCCCAAGCGCCACGUUGAUGGCGCGGUUGGUUUACCCGUACCCAUAUUGAUGAGGAUCCCGUGAUAAGGGGACACGAUCUAUGCUUCGACAAGACGUGCCAAUAAAACCGCCUCGCAAUAUGCGCAGCAGCUGGUUGAGAAAAACGGUUCGAAUAAUGAUCGGGCCGUCGCGUGAUGUCACACCGUGAAAAGUUGUUAGCAGAUUAGGUUUGUGGAAUAUUGUACUCUCUACGGUGGUGUGUGGAAUUUGUUUUACAGAGCCGGACACGAUCCUUGUGUUCAAAAUCUUCUAUGGAGUAUUCGGAGAGGGAACCCACCUUGCAAUGCCGAAGACAAUCUGCACGCUGGACUCCUCGUCAUUGAAGCCUAGUUCAGGGGCUACUGAGGGAGUCCUGGAUUAGGGGGUCCUCGGACAGUCGGACUAUAUACUUUGGCUGGACUGUUGGACUAUGAUGAUACAAGAUUGAAGACUUCGUCCCGUGUCCGGAUGGGACUCUCCUUUGCGUGGAAGGCAAGCUUGGCAAUUCGGAUAUAAAGAUCUCCUUUUCUGUAACCGACUCUGUGUAACCCUAGCCCCUUCCGGUGUCUAUAUAAACCGAAGGGUUUAGUCCGUAGGACCCACAACAAUCAUAAUCACAUGCUAGCUUCUAGGGUUUAGCCUCGACAAUCUCAUGGUAGAUCAACUCUUGUAAUACUCAUAUCAUCAAGAUCAAUCAAGGAGGAAGUAGGGUAUUACCUCCAUCGAGAGGGCCCGAACCUGGGUAAACAUUGUGUCCCCUGCCUCCUGCUACCAUUAGCCUUAGACGCAUAGUUUGGGACCCCCUACCCAAGAUCCGUCGGUUUUGACACCGACAUCCGGCCCCUAUCUGCGCACAAUGAAAGGGCCUAAGCCCAUGUACCCCUUCGCCCCUAGACUAUAUAUACUCCUUCUCCCCCAACGUUUUAGGGUUAGCAUUGUCUUAGCUCAUUUUUGGAGAUUAGAGCAUUGCUCAUCCACUUGUACCCCUACUCCAUUGGAUACCAAGGCCUCAGUGGAGAAGAUCCCCCAAGUAGAUUCAAGACCCAUCAAGGGAAGAUCCCCUAUUGGAUUCAAGACCCCGUCUCCUUGAUACAUCCAUUUUGCAUCAUGCUUUUAUAUUGAUAUUUAUUGCAUUAUGGUCUGUUAUUACACAUUAUAGCACAAUGCUUAUGCCUUUUCUCUCUUAUUUUACAAGGUUUACAUGAAGAGGGAGAAUGCCGGCAGCUGGAAUUCUGGACUGGAAAAGGAGCAAAUGUGAGAGACCUAUUCUGCACAACUCCAAAAGUCCUGAAACUUUAUGGAGAAGUAUUUUGGAAUUAAUAAAAAAUAUUGGGCAGAAAGUACCAGAAGGGCCCCACCAGGAAGCCACAAGGGUGCGGGGCGCGCCCUAUCCCCCUGGGCGCGCCCCCUGGCUUGUGCCCCCCCCCCUAGCAGGCCUUAGGUGCCCAUCUUAUGCUAUAUGAUGUGUUUUGACCUGGAAAAAAUCAAGAAGAAGCUUUCGGGAUGAAGCGCCGCUAUCUCGAGGCAGAACCUGGGCAGAAGCAAUCUAGGGCUCCGACGGAGCUGUUCUGCCGGGGAAACUUCCUUCCCGGAGGGGGAAAUCAAAGCCAUCGUCAUCACCAACGAUCCUCUCAUUAAGAGGGGGUCAAUCUCCAUCAACAUCUUCACCAACACCAUCUCCUCUCAAACCCUAGUUCAUCUCUUGUAUCUGAUCUUUGUCUCAAAACCUCAGAUUGGUACUUGUGGGUUGCUAGUAGUGUUGAUUACUCCUUGUAGUUGACGCUAGUUCGUUUAUUCAGUGGUGGAUCAUAUGUUCAAAUCCUUAAUGAUAAUUAUUACUCCUCUAAUUAUGAACAUGAAUAUGCUUUGUGAGUAGUUAAGUUUGUUCCUGAGGACAUGGGAGAAGUCUUGUUAUAAGUAAUCAUGUGAAUUUGGUAUUCGUUCGAUAUUUUGAUGAGAUGUAUAUUGUCUUUCUUGUAGUGGCGUUAUGUGAACGUCGACUACAUGACACUUCACCAUGAUUUGGGCCUAGGGGAAGGCAUUGGGAAGUAAUAAGUAUAUGAUGGAUUGCUAGAGUGAAAAAAGCUUAAACCCUAGUUUAUGCGUUGCUUCGUAAGGGCCUGAUUUGGAUCCAUAUGUUUCAUGCUAUGGUUAGAUUUAUCUUAAUUCUUCUUUCAUAGUUGCGGAUGCUUGUGAGAGGGGUUAAUCAUAAGUGGGAGGCUUGUUCUAGUAAGGACAACACCCAAGCACCGGUCCACCCACAUAUAAAAUUAUCAAAGUAACGAACGCGAAUCAUAUGAGCAUGAUGAAAACUAACUUGACAGUAAUUCCCAUGUGUCCUCGGGAGCGCUUUGCAUUAUAUAAGAGUUUGUCUAGGCUCGUCCUUUGCUACAAAAAAGGAUUGGGACACCUUUCUUCACCUUAUUUUUACUUGUUACCCGUUACGAAUUAUCUUUUCACAAAACUAUCUGUUACCGAUAUUUGCAGUGCUUGCAGAGAAUACGUUGCUGAAAACCACUUGUCAUUUCCUUCUGCUCCCUUUUGGGUUCGACACUCUUACUUAUCAAAAGGACUAUGAUAGAUCCCCUAUACUUGUGGGUCAUCAAGACUCUGUUCUGGCGCCGUUGCCGGUGAGUGAAGCACCUUUGGUAAGUGGAAUUUGGUAUGAAACAUUUAUAUAGCAUGCUGAAAUUUAUUGUCACUGGUUGCUAUGGAAAAUAAUCCUUUGAGGGGCUUGUUCGGGGUACAUUCACCUCGACCGGUAGAGCAAAGAGUUUCUCCUCAACCUACUGAACCUACUGAAAAUAUCUAUUAUGAAAUUCUUUUGGUUAUGAUAGAGAAACUGCUGGCUAAUCCUUAUGCAGGAGAUGGAACAUUACAUCCUGAUAUGCAUCUAAUCUAUGUGGAUAAAGUUUGUGGAUUAUUUAAGCUUGCAGGUUUGCCCGAGGAUGAAGUCAAGAAGAAGGUCUUCCCUUUAUCUUUGAAAGGAAAGGCACUGACAUGGUAUAGGCUAUGUGAUGAUAUUGGAUCAUGGAACUACAACCGAUUGAAAUUGGAAUUUCAUCAGAAGUUUUAUCCUAUGCAUCUGGUUCAUCGUUCGGAAUUAUAUAUAUAUAUAAUUUUUGGUCUCAUGAUGGAGAAAGUAUCGCUCAAUCUCGGGGGAGGCUUAAGUCGAUGUUAUAUUCAUGCCCCAAUCAUGAGCUCUCAAUAGAAAUUCUUAUUCAGAAUUUUUAUGCUCGGCUUUCUCGUAAUGAUCAAUCCCUACUCGAUACAUUUUGUACUGGUUCUUUUAUGAACAAGACUAUUGUAUUCAAGUGGGAUUUAUUGGAAAUAAUUAAAUGCAACUCUGAAGAUUGGGAACUCGAUGAAGGUAAGGAGUCAUGUAUAAAUCUCAAGUUUGAUUGUGUUAAAUCUUUUAUGGAUGCCGAUGCUUUUCGUCAAUUUAGCACUAAAUAUGGACUUGAAUCUGAGAUAGUAGCCUCUUUUUGUGAAUCAUUUGCUACUCAUGUUGAUCUCCCUAAGGAGAAGUGGUUUAAAUAUCAUCCUCCCAUUGAAGUGAAAGUAGUGGAACCUAUUAAAGUUGACGAAGAAACUAUUACUUAUAAUGUUGAUCCUAUAUAUUGUUCCUAUUGCAUAUAUUGAGAAACCAGCUUUUCCUAUUAGGAUAAAGGAUCAUGCUAAAGCUUCAACCAUGGUUCUUAAGAGCUAUACUAGAAAACCCACACCCCUUGAACAAAUUAAAGUUGAACCUAGUGUUGCUAUGGUUAAAGAUCUCUUGGUCGGGCGUGCUAUUAUUUUUUUGAUGAGGCUGCUAGAAUUGCUAGACCUGAUACUAAAGAUAAACAUAGACCUAUUGUUGGCAUGCCUGUUGUUUCUAUUAAAGUAGGAGAUCAUUGUUAUCAUGGCUUAUGUGAUGUGGGUGCUAGUGUGAGUGCAAUUCCUUUUACUUUAUAUCAAGAAAUUAUGAAUGAUAUUCCACCGCUGAGAUAGAAGAUAUUGAUGUUACUAUUAAGCUUGCCAAUAGAGAUACUAUAUCACCAAUUGGGAUUGUUAGAGAUGUUGAAGUCUUGCGUGGGAAAAUUAAAUACCCUACUUCUUUUCUUGUUCUUGGUUCCCCACAAGAUGAUUUUUGUCCCAUUAUAUUUGAUAUACCUUUCUUGAACACUGUCAAUGCUAAGAUAGGCUGUGAUAAAUAAAUCGUUACUGUAAGUUUUGGGGAUGUGUCUCAUGAUUUUAAUUUCUCUAAAUUUCGUAGACAACCCCAUGAUAAAGAAUUUCCUAGUAAGGAUGAUUAUUGGUCUUGCUUCUAUUGCCGUACCUCCCAUCGAUCCUUUAGACCAGUAUUUGCUAGACCAUGAGAAUGAUAUGUUUAUGAAUGAAAGAAAGGAAUUAGAUGAAAUAUUCUUUAAUCAAAUGCCUGUUUUGAAACACAACUUUCCUGUUGAAAUCCUAGGGGAUCCUCCUCCACCCAAGGGUGACCCUGUGUUUGAGCUUAAACAAUUACCUAAUACUUUGAAAUAUGCUUAUCUUGAUGAGAAGAAGAUAUAUCUGAUGGGGAACGUAGUAAUUUCAAAAACUUUCCUAUGCACACGCAAGAUCAUGGUGAUGCAUAGCAACAAGAGGGGAGAGUGUUGUCCACGUACCCUCGUAGACCGAAAGCGUAAGCGUUAGCACAACGCGGUUGAUGUAGUCGUACGUCUUCACGAUCCGACCGAUCAAGUACCGAACGUACGACACCUCCGAGUUCAGCACACGUUCAGCUCGAUGACGUCCCAUGAACUCCGAUCUAGCAGAGCUUUGCGGGAGAGUUCCGCCAGCACGGCGGCAUGAUGACGGUGUUGAUGAUGCUACCGACGCAGGGCUUCGCCUAAGCACCGCUACGAUAUUACCGAUGUGGAAUAUGGUAGAGGGGAGCACCGCACACGGCUAAGAGAUCAAUGAUCAAUUGUUGUGUCUAGAGGUGCCCCCUUGCCCCCGUAUAUAAAGGAGCAAGGGGGAGGCGGCCGUCCAGGAGGAGGGCGCACCAAGGGGGGAGUCCUACUCCCACCGGGAGUAGGACUCCUGCUUUCCUUGUUGGAGUAGGAGAGGGGAAGGAAGGGAGAGAGGAGGAGAGGGAAAGAAGGGGGGCGCCGCCCCCCUCCUUGUCCAACUCGGACUAGAGGAGGAGGGGGCACGUGGCCUGCCCUGGCAGCGCCUCCUCUUCUCCACUAGGGCCCAUGAGGCCCAAUAAACCCCCCGGGGGGUUCCGGUAACCCCCCCGGUACUCCGGUAUAUGCCCGAAACCUUAUGAAACCAUUCUGGUAUCCGAACAUAGUCAUCCAAUAUAUCGAUCUUUAUGUCUCGACAAUUUCAAGACUCCUUGUCAUGUCUGCGACCAUAUCCGGGACUCCGAACUACCUUCGGUACAUCAAAACACAAAAACUCAUAAUACCGAUCGUCACCAAACUUUAAGCGUGCGGACCCUACGGGUUCGAGAACUAUGUAGACAUGACCGAGACUCAUUUCCGGUCAAUAACCAAUAGGGGAACCUGGAUGCUCAUAUUGGUUCCUACAUAUUCUACGAAGAUCUUUAUCGGUCAAACCGCAUAACUACAUACGUUGUUCCCUUUGUCAUCGGUACGUUACUUGCCCGAGAUUCGAUCGUCGGUAUCUCAAUACCUAGUUCAAUCUCGUUACCGGCAAGUCUCUUUACUCGUUAUGUAAUGCAUCAUCCCACAACUAACUCAUUAGUCACAUUGCUUGCAAGGCUUAUAGUGAUGUGCAUUACCGAGAGGGCCCAGAGAUACCUCUCCGACAAUCGAAGUGACAAAUCCUAAUCUCGAAAUACGCCAACUCAACAUGUACCUUCAGAUACACCUGUAGAGCUCCUUUAUAAUCACCCAGUUACAUUGUGACGUUUGGUAGCACACAAAGUGUUCCUCCGGUAAACGGGAGUUGCAUAAUCUCAUAGUCAUAGGAACAUGUAUAAGUCAUGAAGAAAGCACUAGCAACAUACUAAAUGAUCAAGUGCCAAGCUAACGGAAUGGGUCAAGUCAAUCACAUCAUUCUCCUAAUGAUGUGAUCCCAUUAAUCAAAUGACAAUUCAUGUCUAUGGCUAGGAAACUUAACCAUCUUUGAAUCAACGAGCUAGUCAAGUAGAGGCAUACUAGUGACACUUUGUUUUGUCUAUGUAUUCACACAUGUACUAAGUUUCCAGUUAAUACAAUUCUAUCAUGAAUAAUAAACAUUUAUCAUGAAAAAAGGAAAUAAAUAAUAACUUUAUUAUUGCAUCUAGGGCAUAUUUCCUUCAAUAUCCUGUUAUUAUUAGUGCUAACCUUUGAGAGCAUGUAGAAAAGAAAUUAUUGAACACUCUAAAGAAGCACCAUGCCGCUAUUGGAUAUACUCUUGAUGAUCUUAAGGGCAUUAGUCCCACUCUAUGUCAGCAUAAAAUUAAUAUGGAGCCUGAUGCUAAACCAAUUGUUGAUCAUCAAUGGCGGUUAGAUCCUAAGAUGAAAGAAGUGGUAAGAAAUGAAAUAUUAAAGCUUCUAGAGGCAGCUAUAAUUUAUCCUAUUGCUGAUAGUAGAUGGGUAAGUCCCGUUCAUUGUGUCCCUAAGAAAGGAGGUAUUACUGUUGUUCCUAAUGGUAAGAUUGAAUUCUGCAAAGAAUUGUUACAUGUUAUAGAAUGGUAAUUGAUUUUUGCAAAUUAAACAAAGCUACUAGAAAAUAUCAUUACCCUCUACAUUUUAAUGCUAGAAAGACUGUCCAAACAUACACAUUUUUGCUUUCUAGAUGGUUAUUCCGGUUUUUCUCAAAUACCUGUGUCAAAAGAAGAUAAAAAACCACUUUUACUUGCCCUUUAGGUACUUUUGCUUAUAGACGUAUGCCUUUUGGAUUAUGUAAUGCACCUGCUACCUUUCAAAGAUGUAUGACUGCUAUAUUCUCUGACUUUUUUGAAAAGAUUGUUGAGGUUUUCAUGGAUGAUUUCUCCGUUUAUGGAACUUGUUUUGAUGAUUGCUUAAGCAACCUUGAUUGAGUUUUGCAGAUAUGUGAAUAAACUAAUCUUGUUUUGAAUUGGGAGAAGUGCCACUUUUUGGUUAAUGAAGGUAUUGUCUUGGGGCAUAAAAUUUAUGAAAGAGGUAUUGAAGUUGAUAGAGCCAAAGCAGAUGCUAUUGAAAAGAUGACGUGUCCUAAAGAUAUCAAAGGUAUAAGAAGUUUCCUUGGUCAUGCUGGUUUCCAUAGGAGAUUUAUUAAAGACUUCUCUAAAAUUUCUAGGCUUCUACUAAUCUCUUGCAAAAAUAUGUUUCUUUUGUUUUUGAUGAUGAUUGUGUAGAAGCAUUUGAAAUACUUAAGAAAGCCUUGAUUUCUGCACCAAUUGUUCAACCACCCGAUUGGAAUUUACCCUUUAAUAUUAUGUGUGAUGCUAGUGUUUAUGUUGUUGUGCUAUUCUAGGGUAAAGAGUUGAUAAGAAAUUGAAUGUUAUUCAUUAUGCUAGUAAAACACUAUACAAUGCCCAGAGAAAUUAUGCUACUACCGAAAAAGAGUUUUAGCAGUUGUUUUUUGCUUGUGACAAGUUCAGAUCUUAUAUUGUUGAUUCCAAAGUAACUGUUCACACUGAUCAUGCUGCUAUUAAAUAUCUUACGAAAAAGAAAGAUGCUAAACCUAGACUUAUUAGAUGGGUUCUCUUGCUGCAAGAAUUUGAUUUGCAUAUUAUUGAUAGAAAGGGAGCUGAGAACCCUGUUGCAGACAACUUGUCUUGGUCAGGAAAUGUUCUUGAUGACCCACUACUUAUUGAUGAUAGCUUGCUUGAUGAACAACUAGCUAUCAUUAAUGAUUCUCAUAGUACUCCAUGGUAUGCUAAUUAUGCUAAUUACAUUGUUGCUAAAUUUAUACCACCUAGUUUCACAUACCAACAAAAUAAAAGUUUUUCUGUGAUUUAAUACACUACUUUUGGGAGGACCCACACCUUUAUAAAGAAGGAGUAGAUGGUGUUCUUAGACAUUGUGUACCUGAGCAUGAGCAGGAACAAAUCCUAUGCAAGUGUCACUUCGAGGCCUACGGAGGACACCACACUGGAGAAAGAACUACACACAAGGUAUUACAAUCCAGAUUUUAUUGGCCUACUCUCUUCAAGGAUGCUCGUAAGUUUGUCUUGUCUUGUGAUGAAUGUCAAAUAAUUGGUAAUAUUAGUAGACGUCAGGAAAUGCCUAUGAAUUAUUCACUUGUUAUUAAACCAUUUGAUGUUUGGGGCUUUGAUUAUAUGGGACCUUUUCCUUCCUCUAAUGGGUAUACACAUAUUUUAGCUGUUGUUGAUUAUGUUACUAAGUGGGUAGAAGCUAUUCUAACUAGUUGUGCUGAUCAUAACACUUCUAUUAAGAUGCUUAAAGAAGUUAUUUUUCCAAGGUUUGGAGUCCCUAGAUAUUUAAUGACUCAUGGUGGUUCAAAUUUUAUUCAUGGCGCUUUCCGUAAAUUGCUUGCUAAAUAUGAUGUCAACCAUAGAAUUGCAUCUCCAUAUCAUCCUAAGUCUAGUGGUCAAGUAGAAUUGAGCAAUGGAGAUAUUAAAUUGAUUUUUCUAAAGACUGUUAAUAGAUCUAGAAAGAAUUUGUCUAAGAAACUUGAUGAUGCAUUAUGGGCUUAUAGAACUGCUUAUAAAAACCCUAUGGGUAUGUCCCCAUAUAAAAUGGUUUAUGGAAAAGCAUGUCACUUACCUCUUGAACUAGAACAUAAAGCUUAUUGGGCAAUCAAAGAGCUCAAUUAUGAUUUCAAACUUUCGAGUGAGAAGAGGUUAUUUGACAUAAGCUUGCUUGAUGAAUGUAGAACCCAAGCCUAUGAGAAUGCCAAGUUGUUUAAAGAAAAAGUCAAAAGAUGGCAUGACAAAAGGAUACAAAAGCGUGAGUUUGAUGUAGGUGAUCAUGUUUUUCUAUCCAACUCUCAUUUAAGAUUUUUUGCAGGAAAGCUUCUCUCUAAAUGGGAAGGUCCUUACAUUAUUGUGGAGGUUUAUCAUUUCGGUGCCAUCAAGAUUAACAAUGCCGAAGGUACUAACCUAAAGGUGGUAAACAGUCAAAGAAUCAAACAUUAUAUUUCAGGUAGUCCCAUAAAUGUUGAGACAAAUAUUAUUAAUACCAUAACAUCAGAGGAGUACAUAAGGGAUACUUUCGAGAACGUUUUUCAGACUCCAAAAAGGAAUAAGUAUGUGGCACGAUAAGUAAACCGACUCCAAAACUGUUCUAAUGGUAAUUUUUUCUUCGUUUUGGAAUAUUUAAAAAAUUAGGAAAAUUAAAAAUAGUCCGAAGAGUGCAUGAGGAAGCGGCAAGCCGGGAGGGCGCGCCCUACCCCCUGGGCGCGCCCCUGUGCCUUGUGGCCACCUUGUGUACCCUCUGGACUCCAUUUUCUUGUGGAAUACUCCUUUUGGUCGGUAAAAAUUCAUUAUAUAAUCUCCUGAAGGUUUAGACCACCGUGCCGCAACAAAAUCCUCUGUUCUCGUUUCGAGUUGUUUCUCUGACAGAUCAAGAUCACCAUGCCGUCUCCAAGCGCCCCCAAGGACAAGUUUUUCAAGAGGGUCAUCAACCCUUACAUCACGGAGGUGCUGCAACACCCUCAAACCAUUGAGAUGCGUGAGGGGGUGCUACACAUCCGUGAUGUUGAAGGGCCAAAGAAUACCGGAAGCGUGGAGACAAGGUUCAAAGCAAUGGAGUAGCAAGUCUUCAAGUGCCAAGGGAUGGUGGAACAUGGACUCAACGCCAAUCACAUGAUGAUUGCUGAAUUUGCCAAUGGUCACAAGCUGGACGCCAACAACAUUGGGGAGGCCAUCUUCAAGCUUCAUGAGAAAAUUGAGCAUCUUCAAGCCCAAUUCUAUGACCCGCAAAACCAAAACUAUGAGUAUGAAUACAAAUUUAAGAGGAUGAGUUUGGCUGCAGAUUUGAGGAUCUCGGAGACUCGUUCUUAUUUUUACGAUGGUGAACCUAUGCCUUGGAAAAUAGAGGAUAAGAUUCUUUCAUCAUCAACCACUCCAUCAACACCACCUCUGAAGAAAGAUACAUAAAUACAUGGGUAUGGGCACUCCCUUUGGCAAGUGCCAAGCUUGGGGGAGAUACCUCGGUAUCGUAUUACCAUCACACCUUUACCGUUAUCAUUUUUCUUAGUUCAGUCCUUUUGGUUAUAUCUUGAUCUAGUAGAAUAAAUUUUUAGUAUGAUCUAGCUUUGAGUUUUAUUUUGAGAUCUAUCUAUGUAAUCGAGUUCGUGAGUUAUAUAUAAUAAAGAGUAGUUUGAGUUGAGGGCUUUGAUUUCUUGCUAUGAUCUUGAGGGAAUAAAAUAAGAGAAACAAUGAAAAAUAAGUAAAAGGAAUAACCACCAGAGGGGGCCCACCAGGUGGGCACAACCCACCUAGGCGUGCCAGGGAGCCCAGGCACGCCCUGCUAGGUUGUGCCCUUCUCGGCCCACCUCCGGUGCCCAUCUUCUGGUAUAUAAGUCAUUUUGACCUAGAAAAAAUUAGGAGAGGACUUUCGGGAUGAAGCUCCGUUGUAUCGAGGUGGAACUUGGGCAGGAGCACUUUUGCCCUCUGGCGGAGCGAUUCCGCCGGGGGAACUUCCCUCCCAGAGGGGGAAAUCAUCGACAUCAACAUCACCAACAACUCUUCCAUCUUAGGGAGGGCAAUCUCCAGCAACAUCUUCAACAACACCAUCUCCUCUCAAACCCUAGUUCAUCUCUUGUGUUCAAUCUUUGUACCGGAACUAUCGAUUGGUGCUUGUGGGUGACUAGUAGUGUUGAUCACAUCUUGUAGUUGAUUACUAUAUGGUUUAUUUGGUGGAAGAUUAAAUGUUCAGAUCCAUUAUGAUAUUUAAUACCCAUCUAUCAUGAGCAUGAUUUUCAUUUGUGAGUAGUUACUUUUGUUCUUGCGGUCACGAGAGAAAUCUUGUUGCAAGUAAUCAUGUGAACUUGAUAUGUGUUCAAUAUUUUGAUGGUAUGUAUGUUGUUAUUCCCUUAGUGGUGUCAUGUGAACGUCGACUACAUGACACUUCACCAUACUUGGACCUAAGGGAAUGCAUUGUGGAGUAGUUAUUAGAUGAUGGGUUGCGAGAGUGACAGAAGCUUAAACCCUAGUUUAUGCGCUAGUCCGUAAGGGGAUGAUUUGGAUCCAAAAGUUUAAUGCUAUGGUUAGAUUUAUUCUUAAUACUUUUCUCGUAGUUGCAGAUGCUUGUGAGGGGGUUAAUCAUAAGUAAGAGGUUUGUUUAAGUAAGAACAACAUCUAAGCACCGAUACACCCACAUAUCAAAUUAUCAAAGUAGCGAACACAAAUCAAACCAACAUGAUGAAAGUGACUUGAUGAGAUUCCCGUGUACCCUCGAGAACACUUUGCUUAUCAUAAGAGACUGUUUUGGACUUUCCUUUUCCUAAAAAGGAUUGGCUACCUUGCUGCACUUUUUUUAUCAUUACCGUUACUUGCUUGUUACAAAUUACCUUGCUAUCAAACUACUCGUUACUUAUAAUUUCGGUGCUUGCAGACAUUACCUUGCUGAAAACCGCUUGUCAUUUCCUUCUGCUCCUCGCUGGGUUUGAUACUCUUACUUAUCGAAAGGACUACAAUUAAACCCCUAUACUUGUGGGUCAACAAGGCUCUUUUUUGGUACCGUUGCCGGGGAGUGAAGCGCUCUUGGUAAGUGGAAAUUGGUUACAAAAAAUUAUUACUACGUGCUGACAUUUAUUGUCACUUGUUACUAUGGAGAACAAUCCUUUGAGGGAUUUGUUGUGGGUAUCUUCACCUCAACCAGAACCACAAUUAGUUACCCCUCAACCUACUGCACCUACUGAAAAUAUUGGUUAUGAAAUCCUUCGGGUAUGAUAAAACAACUACUAGCUAAUCCUUAUGCAGGAGAUGGAACCAAACAUCCUGAUAUGCACUUAAUAUAUGUGGAUGAAAUUUGUGGAUUAUUUAAGCUUGCAGGUUUACCCGGAGAUGAAGCUAAGAAGAAUGUUUUCCCUUUAUCUUUGAAUCAAAAACAUUGGCAUGGUAUAGGCUAUGCGAUAAUAUUGGAUCUUGGAAUUGGAAUCGAUUGAAAUUAUAAUUUCACCAAAAAUUUUAUCCUAUGCAUCUAAUUUAUCGUGAUCGGAAUUAUAUAUAUAAUUUUUUGGCCUCGUGAAAACUUAGCGCUCAAGUUUGGGGAGGCUUAAGUCAAUGUUAUAUGCAUGCCCCUAUCAUGAUCUCUCAAGAGAAAUUAUCAUUCAGAAUUUUUAUGCUCGGCUUUCUCGUGAUGAUCAAUCCAUGCUUGAUACUUCUUGUAUUGGUUCCUUUACGAAGAAGACUAUUGAAUUCAGGUGGGAUCUUUUAGAAAGAAUUAAACACAACUCUGAAGAUUGGGAACUCGACGAAGGUAAGGAGUCAGGUAUUAAGCUUAAGUAUGAUUGUGUUAGAUCUUUUAUGAAUACCGAUGCUUUCCUUAGCACUAAAUAUGGACUUCACUCUGACAUAGUAGCCUCCUUUUGUGAAUCAUUUGCUACUCAUGUUGAUCUCCCUAUGGAGAAGUGGUUUAAAUAUCACCCACCUAUUAAAGAAGAAAUUAGAGAACCAAUAAUAGCUAAAGAUGAAACUAUUAUCUAUAAUGUUGAUCCAGUUGUUCCUACUGCUUAUAUUGAAAAACCACUUUUUCCUGUUAGGAUUAAGGAACAUGCUAGAGUUUCAACUGUGGUAAAUAAAAGCUAUAUUAAAACACCCAAGCCUGCUGAACAAAUCAAGGUAGAACCUAGUUUUGCUAUGGUUAAAGAUCUCCUGGUAGAAAAUAUAGAUGGGAAUGCUAUUUACUUCUGUGAUGAAGCUGCUAGAAUUGCAAUACCUGAUGAAAAAGAUAAACAUAGACCAGUUGUUGGAAUGCCUGUUGUCUCGGUCAAAAUAGGAGAUCACUGUUAUCAUGGUUUAUGUGACUUAGGUGCUAGCGUGAGUGCUAUUACUUUUACCUUGUAUCAAGAAAUUAUGAAUGAUAUAGCACCCACUGAAAUAGAAGACAUAGAUGUUACUAUUAAACUUGCUAAUAGAGACACCAUCGCACCACUUGGGAUUGUUAGAGAUGUUGAAGUCUUGUGUGGGAAAACAAAAUGUCCUACUAAUUUUCUUGUUCUUGGUUCCCCAUAAGAUGACUUUUGGCCCAUUAUCUUUGGUAGACCUUUCUUGAACACCAUUAAUGCUAAUAUAGAUUGCGAGAAACAAACCGUCGAUGUAAGUUUUGGAGAUGAGUCUCAUGAGUUUAAUUUUUCUAAGUUUAGUAGAAAGCACCAUAAGAAAGAGUUGCCUAGUAAGGAUGAAAUAAUUGGUCUUGCUUCUAUUGCCGUGCCUCCUACCGAUCUGCUAGAACAUGUUGCACCCCGGCUCAGAGUAAACCGGAACGCCCCGUAUUCCAGCCCAGAGAUCGAGAUGAAGUCUUCUGGAAUACAACACUGCUUAGCACAGAACAAACCAGCUAUUUAUGACAAUCUAUUUGGGUACAAGGGUUACAUCGGCCCGACGACACUACGCCUACCACUGUUGCUCUAUGCAAGCAGCAGAACAACACGAUGCAGCAGAAGAACUCUAGCAGUGGAACAACGACGACGGUGGUGAACUCCACUCCGCAGGGACUCUGACUGGAACGCUUAUCCUAGCUCGCACGAAUGGAAACCACGACAAGCAAGCAAUCAAAUCCAGCAUGACCUGCAAACUGGCAUGACACGCCAGGUCAGUAUAUUGAAUGUACUUGCAAGCUCACAAUGACCAAAAGCAUUCAAGACAAACAACAACAUGGCAAUUAUAGGUUAAGCAUAAAUUAACAUGAUAUCAUCAUAACAACAUGGCAUCAACAUGAACAUGAUACAGCUAGAACAACAUGAACCUGACAUGAACAUAUGAAUCUGACGAUACUAGCAUGCAACAUGAUGACACUAUAUGCACCCCUUAUUCUGCUCGGGCUACCUCAUAAACAACACAUGCAUCACUUACCAACCUCGGACAUCACACGAUCAUCUCAGGAUCAAAUCAAGCUUGGUAUAAACAAUACCGUAGUAAUCAAUAAAUGACCACAAGGAGCUUGAUCUUUACCCACGAUUCUCGCACAACAUCAUGAAUAUACAACGACUCGGUAUCCUUGAUACCACCGUGAUCCUUACGACGAUGACAACCACGACCAACACUUGGCCUCAAACCGUGAUCCUUAAGACGAUCGCAACCCAACCAAUAAAUGGCCCAUGAUCCUUACGGUGAUCACAACCCGACCAAUAAAUGGCCCGUGAUCCUUAUGGCGAUCACAACCCGACCAAUAAUUGCCCGUGAUCCUUAUGACGAUCACAACCCGACCAAUAAAUGGCCCAUGAUCCUUACGGCGAUCACAACCACGAGUUGUCAUUACUCAAGUUAUUCUUAUUACUGUUGACUCAUGGUGUGACCUACUUUCGAUCUGGGCCCUUAUCCGUGGGCACGACUAUUGAUAGAUUUAAUAUACACUCUGCAGAGGUUAGUACACUGUACCCAUACUAUGGAACCCAUGGCCUCGCACUCCCAUUCGGGUGGACCAACGAUGUUCCGACAAAACUGUCCUACUGCCAUGACACUCUCCCAGCCACUCCGGCUCACUCCCCACUAGGCUAAGUCAUGGGUGGCCCCGUGUCUACCUCAAGACACAAUUACCACCGUCGUGGCCCAUCCCACACGGGGACACGGAUCCAAAAACUCAACAACGGGCACACAAGGUUAUGCUUGCUUACCGGGCCAGGGUACAACACGCCCAUAACCUUCCCUCGUUGGAGGCACCAGCGAGAUGCACGACAAUAGACCCAGUUAGGACCGUCCCAUACCAGUAAGCGUGGUUGCACUGGUCAGCAUCGAUUCAGCGGCACCAUGACUCAGCCAACAGUUGUUCAAGUUCAAUUUAAUCCGGUUAACUUGAAUGCAAAUAUGCCGAGCCGUGAUAAAAUGCAUGAGCAUGAUAUCAACAUAAUCAUGAGGGUAUCACAUAACUAUCCAUCAUAUCAACAAUGAAUCAUAUCCACUGAGCAUGGCAUACUGACUAGCAUGACCAUCACCAAUAUCAACAUGUACUACUAGCAAGCAUAAACAUAUGAAAUUAAAUACUAGCAGGUAUAACCUGAUAACAGAGUACAAGACAACAUAACACAAAAGUGAACAUGCAAAUCUAAACAUCACCGGAACAACGAUAACCAUCUUUUCAACAAGCAAACAUUUAAUAAAGAUUCAAGUUGAAAACCAUGGCUACUGCAUGACUAUCAUGCAAGUGGGUAUUGUGGCUUGCCUGGGGUGGAAGAAAUCACCGGGAUAAAGUGCGGUGAAGCCGUGGAAGGAUUUUUCGGAAACAGUUCUCUCUCGGAGGGGCUCAUUUGGAGCUAUGGUCAAAAAGUUAUGGAGUGUUUUCUGCCAAGGACCCAUCUGCAAGAAAAAUACUUUCAAACAGGGGCCUGGAUAGAAAACUGAAAGCGCAUUUGACGAAAUACGUUUUCGGUGGAUGAAAACGUAGACGCCCAAAUGCGUCUCCACUUAUCCACGUCAACGUGGACCGGUCAACGCGGGGCCGGCGGCUGGGAGGCUGACGCGUGGGUCCCACCUUAUCCACUUCUCUCUCUCCUCUCUUCUCUUCUUCCUCUCUCCUUCUCCCCGACGGCGAGCUGCAGCGGAGACAGGGCCGAGCGCUCCGGCGACGAGUCCGGUCGACUCCGGCCACUUAUGGCAGUGCCCGACCCACCAAAACGAUUAGGAGAUGGAGGCGCGCCCAUCCCUGCACUAAACGGGCCUCGAAGAGGGCGGGAGCAAGAGCACCAUGGACCAUGGCGGACGGCGGCUUGGUCGAUCUGGGGGACGACGGCCCCAGCUACUCCGACGAGUAGUUGAGGGGAGGGGGAGGCUUGGUGGGUUGAGGGGAGGCCUCUGGGGGUGGAAUGGAGGAGGGAGGGAGCUCAGCUUGCCGGAAUCGAGCUUGACAGAGACGGCGGCCAUGGUGGCGAUGGGGGGCAUAGAGAGCUCCGGGAGCUCUGGCGAGUGGGUUAGAAGGGAGAUGGAAGUGAGGUGAGGCGAAAGGGGUGCUCGGACGGCCUCAUGGGUGGCCAUUUAUAGGCGGAGGAGGAGCUGCCGCGCUGUCAUCGCCGCGGACGCGUGCUCGCUUGCAGGAACUCAGGGGCAAACGACGGGGAGGGCACAGAGGAGAGCUCAUGGGGAGGAGGAGGCCAAAGGAGAACGAGGAAGAUGGCGACGACGACGAACAGAUCUAAACCGCCACUGUACGUCCGUGGGUGCGUGGCGGUUUGCGUCAGUGAGGAAGCUGUCGGAGGGGGAGAGGGGUCCUUCGGAACGACGACGAUGAUAUGCAGCCAUUGGACAUGCUCACGAGCUCUAAGACGACGAGGGGGAGUGGUGCAAAAGCACAAACGGUGCUUUGGACACACCACCACGCAUAGAGCGCGCGCACAAGCAUGCCAGCUACGUAGUCACCAUGUGAACUAGGGCAUUAAAUGCUCUACAACACCAAAAACGUUGUCUAGCUGACAGUCCUUCCAAGAUAGGGCAUUAAUGGGUCAUUGGCUUGAUCUAAGGCACUGCGGUUGUGUUGGAAUGGAGCUCUGAAGUUUAUUGCAGUAAACUUAGCCGUGCACUGGUGAUCAACAGGGGAUUGCUUGAAGCCAAAUAAGGUGUCUGGGGUGUUUAGCUACGGAGGGACUAUGAUCCUGGAGGUUUUGAGGGGAAAUGGACCAAGAUUUACUGCAGUUGCUUCACAACUGACCAAAAUGGUCCAGAAACUAGAUCAUGAUGGUGCACUCACAUGGAGUUAUGGAAUGGGAUGCAACUUGGCAAAUCCUCAUGAUAUGGACAUAUAAAGAUGCUGUAAAAAGCUCAUGCCAAAUGGGCAAGCCAAAACGGCACUUGCUUCACAAACAUCAUUUCUGUCCAGAAACGUGGAAUAAUUUUGGUGGUCAAAUGGAUCAAUGAAAUGAUGCCAAAAUGGGUUGAGAUAUGUUUUAUUGGUAUAAGAAUUAUCUGGUAAUUUAUGAGGAUUUUUGAAGCAAUACAAAAUGCACUUGCUUCACAACUUGAAACUAUUGCCAGAAUCAAAGAUUUGCUCCUGUGCUCACAUAGCUGAUUGGAUGGGGCUGCAAAUGGGUGGAAGGGGUUAAUAUGAGCACAUUAAGGAGUGUGCAAAAGUUCAAAUUAUUUGGGUAUUCCUAGCUAGUACUUCCUUCACAAAGCUUUUUGUUUGACAAAAACUUUGAAAAAUCACUGAGGAAGAUUGGCUAGGCAAAUAAAGUUGAACUUGUGCAUGAGGAAAUUAUUUGGACAUAUAAACAUGCCCAAAAAGGUUGGGAGCCACUUGGAGAAAUAUAAAUGACACUUCCUUCACAAAGUGCCAUUCAGGGUAGAAUAGAAAAAGGAAUAUUAGGGAAUUUUUUUUGAACAUGGCAAUGAAAAGUUUUGCCAAGUUUGAUCAAGAUAUGACGCAAACAAUUUAUGAGAAUUAUUUGGGAAUUUUUGGAGUGGUGGAAAUAUAGGUUGCUUCACAACCUAGGGCAAUUUGAGUUAUUCCUUUAAUAAAAAAGGAAUAUUCUCAAUAAAAAUAAUAUUGGGAUUUGGUCCAAGGUGGAAAUGGAAAGGUCUAGGGAAGGGUUUGGAUAGGACAAGCCACUCUGGAAGCAAAGAAAAGGUCAUCUUCUUCAGCUUCCAGACCACAAAGCCACGGAAAAAGAAAACUCAGGCAAAAACCUCGGAAAAAACAAAAGAAAAAGAAUGGGCCAAAAAUCAGGCUGUCACAAACCUUACCCCUUAAAGAAAUCUUGUCCUCGAGAUUUGGUUGUUCAAGGAACAAGUAUGAACAUGCUAACUUAAGGAAACCGUUUCCAACUCGGGUAUCCUUUUUCCUUUGUUGUUCCCACUAAAUUUUUAUUUGACUGGCCCUUGGUGGUUUGCUUUACUGUAUCCAAAUUCUGACAGAUCUUACCUGGCUUGCUCAUGCUUAUAUAUGCUCCAAUUUCUUUUAGAUCUGCUAACUAGCUGACUGUGAUUGAUUUUCACAACUGAAAUAUAUGUCCGUCUCACAAAUCCAAAAGUGAUUUUCGUUGGGUGUGCCACCCAACAUGACAACCUUUCAUGUAAUGAUGAUCAGAUUUUUUUGAUGAAAACUCAAGCUCUGACUCAUUGCAUUGGGUUUCUCCACUAAAUGCAGGUCCUUUGGGUUCCAAAUAGUGAGUUGAAACAUAACCGUUUCCUGACAGAUUUUGACUCAUCGCAGAAGUUUCUGAAUCAUCUUAACUGGUUCCACUGUCGUGAGUAUCGGAUCUGUACCAAAUAUUUGGUUGUCUCCUGUUGCGGCCAGCGUAAAGGGUUUGGCCAGUAUGAUAAUAUCUGCAAACUUGACUGAAGGUGGUUCUGACGGAAAUUUUUUGUUCACGACAGGCUAUCCAUGAUGAUUCAUAUAAGUGAGGACUCAGGCUUCCAGACUGUUAUUCCUCAUGCCGAUUACUCAUGCUGCAUCACUGGUCUUGCUCCUUCAUUAUUGUUUUCUUGGUCUGGAUCCUUGGCUGAAAGAGCUGGGCCAUAUUGCUUCGUCGUAUGACCAUAGGUACUGUCAGUGCAAUUUUUCGACAAUUGUAGUUUAUCCUCAUUUUUCUGAUAAGGUAACCCAUUAAAUGGCAGGUUCAACAUCUCUCAAGUUCUGAUCGUUGGGAAAUGAUCAUCCAAAACCCUUGCAAGAAAUCGGCAAAUAAAUUAGUAGCCACCAGAAUGGUCUUAACAACUCAUAUCUGGGACAUUACUGAAAUAACUCAACCACGGCUCAGGACGGCCAAAAAGCAGCUCAGAGCAUGAGACCGAGUCGAUAAGAAGAAGGUGGGAGCUCCCUAAAAUAGCCAAAAAGCAGAUAUAGGGCUACUGUCACAAAAAGAAACUCAAUAGCUCUACGAGACGGCCGAAAAGCAGCUCAGACUCAUGACAGUCGUUCAAGAGAGAAACAAAAAUCGGCAUCCACCCCGGAUAGCUAGAAACAACUCAGAUCACAGGCAUGGUGCCGUCAUUGGAGAAAAGGGGACAAGGGCUCAUCAGGAUCAUUUUCUAGUUCACAAGUACUUGUAUGGAGCUCAUUGAUGUCGUCAAUCCUCAUAAUCCUUUGUCACACUGCGGUGUAUACUGGCUUUAUUCUUGUUACCAUCCUCCCGUGGUUGUCAGAUCCUCAUCCGAGUGACUUGUAAGAUCUUGGUGGUAUGCUCACCGCAUAUAUAUGAGAAUCUGAUUCCUAAGACAGACGUGUAUUCUGACUGAUUCUUGAUUCUGACCAAAAUGUUGCGGAUCUGAUUCUUGGGAUUCACUGCCAUAUGUUGUCAAUUCACAGCAUACUACCUUGUACCAAUGUUUUACUGAGAAGAUUGGUGAGGUUGUGCUCAAAACUUUCCUCAGUCAGCUUGCCGAAGAAGACUGGGUAUCGUGCUUCAGAAGAUUACCCCCUUAAAGACUUGGCUAGGGAAAGACUCAGUACCUUAUGCUAGAAGCUUUUGCGGUUGCUUACUCAAGAAGACAGGGAACCUUGCACGGGAAAUCAUCCACGUAUCAUACUGAGGAAGAUAGAUGAAUCUUGCCUUGGAAGCUUCUUUGGUAUUUUGCGAGGGAAGAUUGGGUUGCUUACACCAGAAGCUUCUCAUUGUGAUAUGCGGUCCGAUUUCCACAUAUAUAACCAUCUGAAUAUUUUUGCUAUUGAUUUCUGGCAUGAAACGGGGUUUUGCAGGACUAUCCUCCUUUCUGAGUAUAUGCCAUAUUUUUGCUUGUUUGCAAGUACAUAGAGUUCCAAAAUCAUCCUCAACAAAAAGAUAAACUUGUAUCUGAGCCAUACCUUUGAUAAUAUUCUGUCAACCUUUCACACAAUUUAUCUUGCUGAUUUAAUCAUUUUGUUUUGAUAAGUGCACGCUAAUGCAAACUUGAUACUGACGGUCCACCCAGGAUUUAUUUUGCAUUCAGACGAGAUAUUCCAAUUUUCAUUGCAGUCUGCUGAUAAUUCCAUUUUGUUUAGAUGAAUUUCCAAAUAUAUGCAUUUCUUGCUGACUCUUCGAGUCCGGUGUCGGCUGACGAGCAACUUUAAUAGGGGAAAACUUUGUAACACUAAAGGCCCAAAGAAAGGAACAAAAGAAACGACUAAAACAAGAGCACACAAGCAUACUGCUAAGAUAAUUAAUCAAUCAAUCAUCACAUAUUACAGCUACUCACACAAUAAUAUGCAUGCACACCUAAGCACACAAAUCUCGCGGAAACUCCGGUAUUGCGGUCCAAUAUGCUGUGGCGGCAUGCACGAAAAUUAUAUCCAUGUGUGGAAGGCGUUGGCGUAACGGAAGCUACACCAAGCACUGGCUGAACAGUGGCUGGAUCUGGAUGGAUACACAUGUGAGGACGAACUUAACGAUCAAGUAGCAAGACACAAAAGUCACGGCUACCUCAUCAUCAAGCGUACGAAGGGAAUCGUACCCGUCCAAAGAAUGAAAUAACAAGGCAAGAUAAAAGUGGAAGAUUGGGUCUAAUGGCAUUGCCCUUUUCUGAUAACAAAGGUCAGCAAGGGUUGCCAAAAGAACGAGAUGGUGGGCAUGGCUGAUGAUGUGGUUGCAUCACAUCGAAGAGCAGGCAUGAUAAGAAGGACGAUGUAGGUAGUGGAUCGGAACCGAUACCACCUACACUCACCGGAUUAACCGUUAGCGACUAAAUAAUAAUCUAUAUGCAUGCUAUGCGAAGAACAAAUGCAGCAAUCUAGUGCAACAAACCAACUGGGGUCUAUACUACCGCUUUCUAACAUUCAUGCGGUCUAGCGCGUCCUACAGCCAGACUUGCUCUGAUACCAAGCUUGUGGCACCCUAGAUCAGAGGAAACCAGAACGCCCCAUAUUCCAGCCCAGAGUUCGAGAUGAAGUCUUUUCGAAUACGACUGCUUAGCAUAGAACAAACCAGCUCUUUAUUACAAUCUAUUUGGGUACAAGGGUUACAUCGGCACGGCGGCACUACGCCUGCCACUAUUGCUCUAUCACUACAAAAAAAUACACUUCCGUGACGAUAUGUGUUUGUCACGGUAGGUCGCGUUUUUUUUCAUGCAUGUACAUCCAUGACAAAUUUAUGACAGAAUCAAGAUAGUCAUACCUGUGCUGUCGUAGAAGUGUUCCAUGACAUUACCAAAAUUAUCAUCACGGAAGUGUCCACUUCCAUGACGAUAAAUCGCGCAUCAUAGAAGUGCUUUCGUCAAGGGUGACUGACACAUGGCAUCCACCGUAACGGAACACUGUUAAGCUAUCGGGUCGGGUUUUGGAUCCGAUAACCCGUUAACAGCUGCGACCAAUGGGGAUUUUCCACAUGUAAAAUCAUCAUUGGCUGCAUGAAAUACGUGUUGGCUCACCGUUGGGACAGAAGUCAUCCGCUCAUUGGACCGAAGUCGCCUAUGAUACGCGACACGUGGCACGGCCCAACAGAGGCCCAUUCCUGUGAAAAGGCCGGCCCGUUUGACUUGGUCAAAAGGUGGCGGCCCGGCCCACGAAAAGCCUAUUAACGGCUUGUUCACAUAUAGCCCAUUUACAGCCCACUAACCCAGGGCCCGUUACGCCCUAUCCGAAUUAAGCCCAGUAGUGUCAUCUGGGCCGUCCAAUAUGAUUCAGCCCGUUUUAACUUCCGGCCCAUGUGUGGCCCAUGACUUCUUUCGGCCCAUAUGAGGACCUUUGUAACUCUUGACCAUUAACGACCCGUAGUGAAACUGGCCCGUAAUGAACAGUGUAUCACUUUAUACCCAUUAACGACCCAUUAUUCCAUUGGGCCGUUUCUAGCCCAAGUUAUCUUUCGGCCUUCUCAGGGCCCAUUGAUUCUUGGGCUCAUUUGCAGCAUUCGGUUACAUACGACCCGUUACUGUCAUUUUCUACUUGUGGGCCAAAUUUAGCCCGUCGUUAUAGUCGGCCCCUUUGCGGACUGUUAAUAUGUUGGGCCGUUUUCAUGUAAAAAAACCCGUUGGGCUGUUUUCAUACGGCCUAUUAACGGCCCGUUAUGGUCCACGAAUAGUACGACCCAUGAUUGGUGAAAUGAUGAUACGCCCCGUAGAAGGCCCAUGGAUCCUACGGCCCAUAUGAGCCCCAUGGAUAGUAUGGCCCGUAGAAGGCCCAUGGAUCAUACGACCCGUAGAAGGCCCACGGACCCUAAGGCCCAUAUAGAAGGCCGAUGGAUCCUAUGGCCCGUAUAGAAGGCCAAUGGAUCCUACGGCCGGACGAAGGCCCAUGGAUCAUACGGCCCGCAGGAGGCCCAUGGUUACAACAGUCCGUGUGUUGCCAUGAUUAUUUUGGCCUAGUUACCAAAAUAGGCUAUUGUGGCCACUAGAAAGACACAGAAAAAGAACUGCAGUGACUACAAGCAAACAACUAAACAAGACAAUAAGGAAAUAAAUAAGCAAGCAAUUAAUGCUAGCCUAUUACCGCUAUUACACAUAUUACAUCCACUGGACAUCAAAGUUCGCCACCAGUGCAAAUAUAGGGAACAAAGCAGCAUAUUACAUACACUGGCCGUCAAAAUUGGCCACCAGUGCAAAUAAAUGCGGCAGCAAAACAAGAGCAUAACUGAAAUAACUUCAGAAGAGCUCAAAAACUUUAUCCUGGGUAUCCACCAUGCUGGCAAUAAGCUUAGCAAGCUGAUUAGCUUUGUCCUGUUUGGCGCUAAAAUCCUCCAACGCUUGCUGUUGCACCAGAAAGUAUGCAUCUGAAUGCUCCAGGGACUUCCGCAGUCCUUCCGCUUCUUGUCGCAGCACAGCUGAUCGAUGUAUUUCAGCUUGUAGUUGAGACUCAAGAAACCGAACUGAUUCAGACAGUGAGUUUGAAUAGUUUGUGCAAGCAGUAGUGGCCAAUAACUCUAACACUAAACCAAGACAGGACUUUGGGGUUGUCUCGCUGUCUUCAAGAUAGUCUUCCUCAGCUGUUUUAUCAGCUUUGUCGGAGACCAACAAGGAUGUGUCACUAUCCUGAACCUUGUCUGCAUUAAUUCCUUUACCAUUGCUUAAUAAGGCACUCUUCCCCAAUAUUCUGUCAGCAUUCUAAAAGAAGAAACAAGCAGACACAUAACAAGUUUAGCAUGUACUAGUAUAUGAAACUCAUUCAGUGAACCAAUUCAUUAGUAAGGUGGACAGGAUUAAACUACCAAGUCUUCUAUUGCCAAGUACUAGUACAUAGUAAAAGCAUCAAACAAACAUAUAUCUAUGUCCUAUGGUCACUUCAUUGUCUUGCCAAAUCAAAAUAGAGACACAGUUCAAAUCAUAUCAGUUCAAGACAAAGCAGCAGUGAAAGAAUACAAAGCGUGGGAAACUACACGGCACAACAAGAUUUCAGAUGGGUACCACGGGUCUACAUGUACAACAACACUAUUGGCUCUGUUGUGAUGCUAGUAAUGUGCAUGAUAUGAAAGUCAACUGUAUACACAAUUGAAAUUGAAAUCAACAGAGCUAUUGAUAAGAGCAAACCUGUUAAAGCAACAUGCGUGAACAUACCUGCUGUGCCAUUGGAGUUUCGAUUGGAUCCUUCAAUUUAAAAAUAAGUUUGUAUGAGUAAAUACAGUGAUACAAGAGCAAAGCAAUCAUAGUUAAAAAAGGCGCGCCUAAGCGAGCGCUUAAGCGCGCCUAGGCUCUAGGCGUUGGCAAAACGCAUUGUGCAUAACUACGCAUAAUCUGUGCAUAACUGCGCAUAAGCAUGCGCUUUGGUCAGUAAAGCGCAAGGCGGUGGCAAAACGCACAAUUAACGCCUAGCACUUUUUUGAACUAUGAUAGAAAUGGAAUCUUAAAUUAGAACAGUUGUUCUUUAGGUUUAGGCACUUGUUCUACAUGAACAGAGUACAGUAAGACACAAGAAUAUAAUCCUUAAAAAUAGAAAAUCAGCUCAUAGACCUUACCACAUUCUUGGUUCGGGACCAAUACAGAACAAGGCGUUCCCAGUCAUCGUCCAGUAAAUGUGUCUCAGGAGAACGUAAGGGAAUUUGAUGAGUUUCUUUGCCGGUGAAGUACGUUUUCUUCAGGUAAUUCCGAUCCUGCCACCAAGCAUUCUUGAAGAUAGCAGAGGUAUUAGCACAUGUUACCUCAUCCUGAGUUUCCAAAAUCGGUCCUUCUCUAUAGAGAAAAAUGGGAAAAUUUGCUAUAUUAUAACCAUCAUGGAGGUAGGAUGUAUGGGACGAAGCAAAGUAAUUUCCACGAAUAACAUUACUUACACAUAACUCCUGGACAAACACCUGCAACUGGCAUUUUGCUUCAUCUUCAGUAUAAUAUUUCCAAGAUGGGAAGAGACGCACAUACGAUUUAACAACAUCAAAUGCGAUAGAUGCUAAACUACGACUAGCUGGUUGUGCUUCCUCCACAGGAAUAGGCGUACUAACUGGUGGAGUUGGGGUUCACCGUGAUAGUACUGGCCCUUUGGACACUGGAGCUGCCUUACUAACUGCGCUUGUUUGGGAGCUCUGUGGUGGAGAUGGUGCUAUGUCAACAGGAACUGGGUUACUAUCGGCUUGGGUUGGGGUUAGAUUGGGUGAAGCUGGUUCUCUGUCCAUUGCAGUAGGGGUACAAUCUACGAGAGUUUGGGUUAUGUGUGGUAGGGCUGGUUCUUGUGCAUGUACAACCGGGGUGCUAUCUCCACCAAGAGGUAGCACUGUUUUAUUUGAAGACCGUGUUUUUAUUCCGCUAGAUACUGGCAUCACCCGCUCCAAUUCAAAUGGCUGAUAAACAUGAAACAUAGUUGAAUGUACAGACAUUGUAUGAGAGACAGAUGCAAUAGAUAGUGUGGAAAAAAGAGGGCAUGCAAUAGUUCACAUGUAUAUUGUUUAACUAAAACGGAUAUCAUGACAUAAUUUCACAUAUAUGAUGUCUAUCUAAACUGGAUAGCAUAGCAUAACAUAAUUCAAAGACAUGAUAAAUAACUAAACAUGAUCACAUGACAUAAUUCACCUACAUGUUAUCUAAGUAAUCAGGAUCGCGUCGUUUAAUUCACAUAUGUGAUUUAUAUGCUAAAUAGAGGGCAUUCGAUAUGAUGUCUGAACUAAGAACAUGGUGUUGAAUAUUGUGUAUAUGAUGUCUAAACUAUGCAAUGCAAGACACCGUAUGCAUGAUAUGAGCAAUAUAACCGUGCCAAGUUAGAGCAUACACCUCAGUGGGGGAAUAGGACUGGUCAUCUGUCUCUGAAUCCAUCUCUGAGGAGCUAUCGGGACCCAACAAGAGAUCUGCUUUGACAGGUAGCACUAUCUGCUGUGAAGGCCUUGUUUUCACUCCAGAUUUUUCCAUCUCCCACCCAAAUGGCUGAUUCACAGGAAGAGUAGUUUAAUGUACAAACAUUGUCGACAAAUGGAAAUGUAAUGAAGAAAAGGAUGGCCAAGAUAUCAUUCAAAUAUAUGAUGCCUGGUUAAACAGGAUGGCAUUGCACAUUUCUCAUAUAUUAUGGCUGGCUAAAAGACAUGAGACUGCAUAAUUCCCAUAUAUGAUAUAGAAACUAAACAUGUGGCAUUACAGAACAUGUCUAAACUAAGUAGAUGACAUAUAUGAUGUCAAAAGUAGGCACUGCAAGGCAACACAUGCAUGAUAUGACUAACAUCAUCAUGCCAAGGUAGAGCAAACACCUUGGGGGGUAAAUAGGAGUGGUUAGUGGUGUCUGAAUCCGCUUCAGAACAGAUAUCUUCCUCUGGAUUACAAUCUGGAGAGGGGUGGGGAGGGUUUGGCAUUGAACCCACCAUGGAGCAAUGUCUGCAUGACAUUGUAUUGCCGCGCAAAACUCUUCUCUUUUUCUCUACAUGUUCAGCAUGUCUGUGUACAAUAUCUGACAUGCAUACGAAAAAAUAUGGUGAGAUUAUGUAAGGAGAGCAUGCAGAAAUUUAGAGUGAUGGUAACAACCAGUGGAUCGACGUUUUUCCGUUGAACCAAAAUAGCCCUAAUGGAUCGACGUGAAUUAUAGUAACAAGUGAUGCAACAAGUGUACAACCUCUUUGCCAUAGCCGUGUCAACCUCAGCAUCAUUGGGUUGGUCGCUGAAGUAGUUGAGGCAGAGGUGGCUGUCGGAGGUGUGGAGGAAGAUCUGAGGAAUCUGUAGACGGCGUCCAGGGCACUGCUCUUUUGUGAUGGAUCGUUCUGUCGUUGGAGCAGCUCCGGUGAGCCGUAAGACGUCAAGGCUGAAGCAACACAAGACAAACAUCGUCAAUCUCAAGUGGGAUUAUAAUAGCAUCUCCAAAAGAUGAUGUAAAAUGGAUGUAAAAUUAACAUCACCAAAAACCACCUGACUACAACAGAUGAGGUAAAAAAUGUUGACUCUGAACUUAAUUGUGGAAAUUGAAAUUUACUGUGGAGUCUGAAUGCUACUGUCGAAACUGAACGCAAUGGUAGCAGAGAGUCACUUGACAUGUAGUUUAGGGAGGGCCUGUAGUUCAUCUUCAACCUGCACCCCCCUGAGCUGCCAGCCACCACCGGCCUCGCCGCCGGCCCCAGCGCCGCCUCCCCGCCCCGAAACAACUCGCCAUCGCCGCCCCGGCCAGCCCUUUAGGCCCCCCACCGCCCCGGCCAGCCCUCUAGGCCCCCCGCCCCCACCCUGAACCCUAAGAUAGAUAGUGGGGUACCUCUUCGGCGAGCCCCCGUCCCCACUGCNNNNNNNNNNNNNNNNNNNNNNNNNNNNNNNNNNNNNNNNNNNNNNNNNNNNNNNNNNNNNNNNNNNNNNNNNNNNNNNNNNNNNNNNNNNNNNNNNNNNNNNNNNNNNNNNNNNNNNNNNNNNNNNNNNNNNNNNNNNNNNNNNNNNNNNNNNNNNNNNNNNNNNNNNNNNNNNNNNNNNNNNNNNNNNNNNNNNNNNNNNNNNNNNNNNNNNNNNNNNNNNNNNNNNNNNNNNNNNNNNNNNNNNNNNNNNNNNNNNNNNNNNNNNNNNNNNNNNNNNNNNNNNNNNNNNNNNNNNNNGGUGGUUCUUCCUUAACUCUGGCGAGCCCCCCCAACCCCUGAAAAUCGACUGACCCAAAAGUCGAUUCAGUCGACUGAAGUGUGGCUUAAUCGGAGCAGAGCAGCAGCACGAGUGAGGGGGACAGCAGCAGCAGCAGCUGGGCGAGCGAGCGAUCGAGCGAGAGCCGGAGCAGCAGCAGCAGAUCUGGCUGGUAUGGACGCCGCCGCCGAAGGGGCCUCGCACUAGGGGAGAGCCGCCGUGGAGAUGUCGCCCGCGGAGCCGGCUUCAAGGUAGCCGCUCCAUGGGGUGCAGGAUGGAGCACCGUCGGCGCCGGGAGGUCAAGUUAAGGAGAAGGUGCGAUGCGAUGAGUGUACAACCUCUUUGGUGGCGCCGAGUAGGCCUCGGCUUUGUCCGAGGAGUCGGUGAGGAUGCUACGGUUCCGGUGGAGCAGGUUAAGGCGGCGCUGUGAGGAUGGAGCAGCCGUGAUAGACGAGGUGAUCGUCGGAGCAGCUCCUUCGAGGUGGAGGAUGGGGCGGCUAAACCGGUGGCACGACGAGAUGGACGACGAAUCCUCAUCCGGGGAGGUGGACGAGGGACGUCGAGUUGCUGUGGUAGACGACGUCGUCGGGGAAGAGGCUCCGACUGGGUAGCGGUGAUGUGGCAGACGGAGGAGGGUGGGGUUUCGUGGCUGGAGCAGAGGUUAUGGCGGCCUGGGAUUUCGAAUGGCAAAAAGGGGGCGAUGGGAGGGGGUGAAGCAUGACUUAGGGACGCACUUGUCCAAAAUGUAGGGUGUUUUACAAAAGUACCCCCCACCGAUUUGAACUAGUAGGCCUUUCGGCUCAGGGUUAGAAUGGGGAUUUUGCCUGUCGGGAUAUGGCAGCUGGAGGGAGUUUUCGCGCGCAUUGUAAUUUCGGGAUAGCAAGGCGCGGGUUGUGAAGGCGCCAGUUUUGGGAGCACGAUAUCUGAAUUUUCGGGAUAUAACAAGACGUGGGUCGAAUUUUAGGGACAAUCCUAACGUGUAGUAAUAUUGUACUUGUACGUACCAAAUCAAUUCGCACUUCCCUCAACCAAAAAGAAAACAAAAAAAAUAAAACUAUUCACACCACACAAAGAGAGAGUCUUGCCCCGUUUUACUAUAAAAAUGCUAUUCAAAGCUACUCCCUCCUUCCAUCUAUAUAGGGCCUAAUGCGUUUUUCGAUGCUAACUUUGACCAAAUAUUAGAGCAAUGAUAUAUGACAUGCAACUUACACAAAGCACACCGUUAAAUUCGUGUGUUAAAGGUUCUUUCAAUGAUAUAAUUUUCACAUUGUGCAUGUCAUGUACUAUUAAUCUUGUCAAUAGUCAAAGGCGGUCUUAAAAAUCUCAUUACACCCUAUAUAGAUGGAAGGAGGGAGUAUGAAUCCAUGUUAUGUCUGAUUAAUUUUCUUCGCUUGCUGUAUAAUGCAUGUAACCUACUCAUACCAACAUUUUAGUGCAUUCCAAAUGUCUAUACUACCUCUGCAAUUCGAACUAAAUUUGAAUUCGUUUCUCUAUUUCAAUAAGAAUCUACAAUCAUGAUUGUUGCUAACUUCAACCAUCAUAGUUUCCUUGCUAUCUGCCAGAUAUAAAUCGGACGGCCUAUAAUGCAGGAUGGCAGGCACACCAUCAUCAACAACUCUGUUUUUUAUAAGAGUAGAGAUAAAAUAUAUUAAAUGUAGUAUAACAUGUUCAUAAACACACCAUGUGUAUCACCGUUAUAUAUAUUCACACAUGCGUCGGUUUAAAACACUAUGAUAAAUUCUUCAAAUAUCUGAAUUCGCUUUUUAUAAUGAAGUAUAUAUGAUCUCUAUUCGUCUUUUACACCCACACAACCCUCUUAUCUUUGUAGCUAGCGCUAACUUUCUCUUGUGCAUGCACACGCCUGCAUCCCUCUCACCAUCCCUAAGCAUUCUCUAGCUCGAUCCAUCGCGCAAAUUCGUCUUUUCACUUUAGGUCGUUCACCCACGGUGUGUGUAGGCCCCCCAGCUCCUACUUUACGGCACACAUCGAUCGAUAUGCCUCUCUAGCUAGGUGUGCCUAGCAGAAACACAAGCUUCACCUCUUCUCUUGUCACCGUCCAUGCCUCACUCCCACCCCUCUUUUCUUCAUUCUCGUACUCGCACACUCCUCCCCCUCGAUAUAGUAUGCCUCUCGUACCACCUCCUACAUGCAUCCCUCUCUCUCUAUCCUUCUCCUCGUGCCUCAUUUGCUUCUAACACACACAUGCAUGUAUAUCGAUCAAUCUCCCAACAUAUACCUAGAUCGACUUUAACUACCCCCAUCAAUCGACAUACCUCACAAGUUAUGUCUCUCCUUUCUCUAACAAAGGGCGAUUGAUCUUCCUAUGUAGUUACGUCUGCUUACCACAUCCACAUCGCCCCCCUCAUCAUUCGUGCAUGCCUCCUGACCCGUCUCUCACACGCACGUGCACAGACAACAAGCAGCCAUCUCCUCUCUUAUUGAUAUUGCGGGCGUGCCCUCUGUUUGUCUAGCAAGCCUAUCCCACCAUUUUUAGAAGCAACUCCACUACCACCCCCUCCAACACUCUAGCUCUGUCUCUCUCCCAACCUUAUUCCUCUCCUGCACAUAUGCAUGGAUGCCGAUCAAUCUCCCUUAAUACAUGAGGCAGAUCGAUCUCCUUAGUACAUGAGGUAGGCCUCUCUCCUCCUCCACACAUAUACCAGCCAUUGUACCUCUAUAGUUAAUUGGGCCCCCCUCUUCCCCCACCACACACCGAUAGUCGAGCGCUGCAGGUAGGUAUCCAUGCCAUAGAGACAAACUGCACAUGUCCCCUCUCACGUUCCAGUAGGCCAGCCACUCUAUAUCUUUGACGUGGGCACACACAAAUUCGAUGGCACUCUUUAUCGAUCGCGCGCGCACACACACACACAUCAUCCCUCUCUUUGAUUCUAUGGACACCUCAAGCCGAUGAUACCUCCGCUCUCUUCUCGUGGAUUGCCCCCUCUAUAUAUAUGUUAUAUCCAGGACUCUAUUUCACACACAUUGCAUAUGUUACAUUUUUUGAUUGACCCCCCCCCCCAAAAAAAACUCUCAAGAACCCACGCACUAUAUCUCUCUAGGUUUGUAUCUCUCUCACACAACCCCACGUAGGUGGUGUACGUAUACAAGAAGAGAAUAGGUGCACCGUGCACGUACUCAUGCUUCGUGCCCAGCCACACCCGUGCAGGUACACGGUGGAGCUCAUUUCUUUAUGAAAUGGCAGCCCACGUGCUAAUUUGAACGCCUGCAGCGGUUGUUUACCUAGGGAGGUCGUGUACCACGGGUGCACGAAACAAAGUUCGACUUGCCGCGUUGCCGCAUUAUUUUUAAAUAAAGUUAUAACGCUCAAUGACACGUACACAGAAUAUAAAAUGAUUUUUAUGGAGAAAAAGGUAGUCCGCUCCAUAUAUACAAUGGAGCCUUGCGUGCCUGGUUUGUCGCUCUUCAGAGUAUCUCACACAAGGCUGCGGUGGCCUCUCUCUCUCUCUCACCGUUGGUCAUUGAUCCGGUCGCAUCCCGUCCACCGGGGGAAAGGGAGUGCAGUGGCCUCUCUCUCUCUCACUGUUGGUCACUGAUCUGGCUGCAUCCCGUCCGCUGGGGGAAAGGGAGGAAGUGCAUCAUUUCUCUGUUCAACGGCGCCGAGGUAGCACGUCCCGAUCUGCGGUACACGUCGUUCUCUCUGACCAAGCUCCGGCGUGGCAAGGCCUACGCCACCUGCUCGCAGAUUCCGCCCGCCGCCGCUCACCUAGUUACACCCCGACGACCUCCAGGUAUCCCCUCCGGCCUUGCUUCACUGCCCGUCUUCCCACGUCGCUACAUGUGGAUCUUCCAUAGUUCUUUGCCCAGAACAUAGCUCGUCCGGCGUACUUUCCAUAUUGCAUUCUCCUCCUCACACCAUUUUAGACAAACACAACUAUGUUGUUAUCUUCCCUUAGGGCAAGCAAUAUGCUUCUUUUUUGUCGUCGCAUGUGUCAUCAACUCUUAUUGGCCAGUAAUUGUUUCCUUUCUACCUCUUUUUUGCAAACAGGGCUAUCCAUUUCACCUUGUUGCUAUUGCGACCUUUUGGUGAACUGCACAAAUCACUUUUUUCUUAAGAGUGUUUUGUGCAGUUGUACUAAAAUGUCACACGGGGAACGUCUCUACAUUUUAGUGCGAGUGCACAAAGGGAGAUUGGUUUUGCUCUAUCCUCCUCAUCCAACUCCGUGCCUAAUCUUCUCCAACUAGUUAGUCUUAAGAGAGACUGCAAAGGUGACCGUCUUCUAUUUGUGUGUUUAUUGUUUCAUCAGCAGUCCUCUAUUAUCGUAAUCACACUUAAUAUCUUUGGAACAGGGACGCUCAGCUCUAUUUUAGUGGAACUGCACAAAAUGAUCGGAAUGUUGCAUGCUCCAGAUAGCUACUUUUUUCCCAACAUGCCUUGUUGAUUUAGACAGAGCUGGGGGGACGUUGCUGCUAAUGAAAGCAUGGAUCAAUUUUAAUUUAACACCUUAUCACAACUCUGUCUUCAGUUGUGAUACAAUUAUUAGCUCUGAUCUGCUAAUAAUUGACAUGCAUUAGCAAGGAAGUUAGUUUUUUAUUGUUUCCGAAGGAGCAUCGAUGGCAAGACACGUGAAACAAAAGCUGAAAGCUUACACCAUUGUACAAUUUCAUGUCGCUGGAAAAUUAUUUGUAUAAUAUGUCAAUUAUGUAAACAAAUGAUGGAAGCUUGAUAGCAUUGCCAGAAGCCUCUUCAUCAUCCGGGUCCAAGUGCCAUGCAAAAAAUUAUACUCCUUCGUUCCUAAAUAUUUGUCUUUUUACAAAUUUCAAACGGGCAUAUUUUAGAGUGUAGAUUCACUCAUUUUGCUUUGUAUGUGCACUCUCUCCGUUCCUAAAUUUUUUAUUCGUCUUUCUAGAGAUUUCAACAAGUGACUACAUACGGAGCAAAAUGAACUCUAAAAUAUGUAUAUAUACAUCCGUGUGUGCCAGUCCAUUUGAAAUCUCUUAAAAGACAAAUAUUUGAGUAGUCACUCGUUGAAAUCUCUAGAAAGACAAAUACUCCGGAGUAUAUUUAAGAACCAAGGGGGUAGUGCACAACCGCAUGAGAAACUCAGCCCGGUCGUUGCGCCGCAUUAAUAGUGAGUAAUGAGUAGUCAAAUCAUAAGCCCCACCUUUCCCACUGUAAGUUGCUCUGAAGAAGCAACCAUCAAUACACUCUUCUUUGAAUCCGCUCAUACUACUCCAUCCGUCACUGUUUAUACAACGCGCUUCAGAAAAAGAAAUAAAAUCUGUGGGACCAAGGCGACUAGCAAUCGGCCUGAAAAAUAGCAUUGGUAGUUAUAACACGGCGUCUAUUACUAGAUGGAAUAAUGCGUACACACAUGCAUGAAGUGCUUCCACCCCGGGUACACACAUGCAUGCACUUACUCCACUCCGUAGUAGUACAGAGUACAUGGAGAGAAAAUGUGGACUUGGUUGCGGUUACCACGCCCUAAUUAAUUGAGCAUUAAACCAAACGCGUGUAAAGUCUCUCUGGUGGUGGAAAUGCAUUGAGAGAAAUGCAUCAUAAUGAAGCGCGCCCUUUAAACUGUGACGGAGGGAGGAGUAGUAUGAAGGUGCAAAACCAAGUGCGCGUAUGGCCAGUCGGUCAAUGCACCUCCUCUUGGCAUAUCACUGACAUGUGGGACAGGAGUGUGAGCAAACCGAUCUCAAUUGACGGCAAAGAGCCAACCCGCCGUUCCUUGAGAGAGACAAGGAGCGAGAACACACAGACGGGCUUGCAAGGAGGCCAAGAUAUAUUCGAGCAUGGCUAGUUGAUCGAUAUCAUUCAUUACAUGUUGGGCUGGUGUUUUCCGCCCUUGUCCGGAAUAAACAUGUACUUUAUCAGAGAUAAAAAAAUAAGAGUACAAAUGCUCCACCAUGCGGUUCUAGUAGUAGUACUACUUGUACUAAUGCACUUGGCUCUUCGCCUCUUCGUGAAGUUGACCAAUGAUGGUACUCCGCAUGUUGGGUACUACAGUGUAUGCCUCUGACAAUCUGACACCGAAUGGACUGAUGCAUGUCCACCGAGGGUAGGUUGCAUUAGUCAAAAGGCGUAAGCGAGCUUCACCUUGUCCUGCAAGCUUCUCCUUGUUCUGCGAGUUGAUGGGACACACCAAAAAGUAGUGCUAGUCCAUACUCCCUCCUUUCCGGUUAAUAUAUCUUAAUCUUUUUUGCAGGUAAAUGAGAGAGCUCUAUUCGUAUAUAAGCAUUCUUAGGACGAUCAGCCAAGAAACUGGUCACUAGGAACCGAGGUACCCCACAAAAAAAGAAGUAGGAAGUGAGGUGUUUCAUCAAGCCAGCUCUCAGCCACAUUCAAAGUGCAGCAAGCACGGUUCGCAUGAAGAUGCGCCGCAAGGUUUGCUGACCUGUUUACAUGCUGAAUAACAAAAAAGAGGAAAUAUUACCGAGCGCUAAUAUUUGUAAUAGGAUAUGAGCCAGAAUUAAGCGAGAAUUGUGGCGAGUGUUCCAUGCAAUCAACUUCCAUUAUCACAUGCGAGAACCCUCGAAGAGAACCAAAUGUGUUGAAGAUUGCUUUAUCACAUUUUAAAAUUAUAAUAAGAGUGCAGACGCUCCUCCAUCCGGUUCCUAGUACUAGUAUAGUACGUACCUUUAUAGACUAUAGUAGUAGUACUAGUACUAGUAAACUUUGCGCUUGGCCGUUCGCCUAUUCGGGAAGUCGAAGAAUAGUAGCACUAGUAGUAUAGUGUAUGCUUCUGGCAAUCUGACACCGAAUUAACUGUUGCACGUCCACCGCCUGAGCGAGGGAGAGCUUGCAUUAGUCAAAAGUUUCUCCUUGUCCUGCGAGCCACCGCGCGCAAGCUUCUCCUGUCCUGCAACCAUCUCCUCAUUCGGCAAGUUGACGGGACACAGCAAAAGUAAUGCUAGUCCAUACUGCCUCCUCUCCUGUUAAUAUGGCUUAAUUUCAAUUGAGAUAAAUACACUGUCUGUCACUGUAUAUUUGUAAAAAUAUGGUCAGUGAACUUCAUAAUACGCUCAUUGUGCUCAAUAUAUAUAUUUUCCGGUGUUUAUAUGGUCACUAGCUCACCCUGACUGAGUAUGUGUGUGCAUGCAAGUGUAGGUUGAGCAAUUAGCCUGACCGUGUGUGUUCCAUCGUGUGCUCGGACAUGCAUGCAUUAGGGCGUCGCGCGUGUUUUUGCGUCCAUGUGUAUGUGUGACUGUUGCAUACACGUAGGGGGAGUACGUGUAGGUGCCACUAAGGAGCAGUCAAAUCACACAGUAAGUUAGCCGGAAGAAGCAACCAUCAUUUCACUCUUGAAUGACACGUACACAAUAUAAAAUGGUUGAUAUGGAGAGAAAAAGAAAACCACUAUAUAUAGACUAGCAGGAGCCUAAGCUACAUGCCUGAUUGCUAAGGCUGCUCUCUUCACAAGCAAAGAACGACGGGCCUGAUCCCGCAGCUGGGGGAAGGGAACAAUGUUCUGCGUAGAUGCGGUCGACAUCGGUGAGGGAGAAAACCCACAGUCUUUAGUUGUGAAGUAAAUAUUGGCUAUGAUCUAUGAAUCAUUGAGAUGCAUCAGCAUGCGUGUUAGUUUUCCUUUGUAUUUGAUGGAAUGUUGUAACGGGGCAACCUUGGAAUAGGAAUGAAAAUGGAGUAGAAAGUUUUCGUUUUUCCGGAGAAAAAAUGGAAACGGAGAGAAACCAACGUUUCGUUUUGUUGGAUCGCGCCAUCGAGCAAAACCAAUGUUUAAAUCACGUCUGUCAUGUUCGUGUCUCACCCUCCUCUAUGGCUCGACCCCACACGGUUUCUUGGCAUGCCACUCACCGCAAACCGAGUAUACGAUAACUUUCCCGCCUACUUGUCGAUGGAUUGCUCCAUGGAGUACUAGCACUACAGGAAGAGAUUAACGAGUUGGGGGAGGACAGCUAGCUGUAGCACAGACUCCCAAGAACGUUUUACAUGCAUGUUGUAGCCGGCUAUUGCGACCUUUGAACGUGGAGCAGCCGCGUGCACCUGGAAGCGGCGCGGGCAGCGCUCUCUCGGCCGGCGUGCCGCUUCAAUGCCGGCGCCAGUGAGAGGUCGCGUCCGCUCUGGCCAGGCAUGAAUGCGGCACCGACCGUUUCAGGAGGGAAGCACGCGCGGGUGAUGAAGAGGGUUCGGGUUGGUCAGGACCGGCCGUGGCAGCGAUCCGGACGUGCGCAAACAAGAGAUGCUGUACGUUAAUAUUGCUGCGUAUAUAAUUAACAACGUAAAUAAUGUGCCAGUUGGACAAAUAUGAUUGGAGAUGGAGAUGGAAAUGGAAUUUUACGUAAACACGGAUAUGCAUGUCUAUGUCUAUGUGUGUGUGCGCGACGACUCUCGCGACCUGGAAGAGGGGGCGUGUUUUUGAUCGAGUUUUCUUUCUUGGUACAUUAGAAAAUCAGUUUGUCUAAUUCACAUCUAGAUGUUAUUUAAGGAUAUCACAUCUAAGCUCCCACAAGUAUAUAAUGUAGCAACAAGAAACAAAAAAAACUAGGACAAAAAAAUAGACCACAAACAGAGUGGACAUCAACUUAGAUGUGACAUAACUAUGUCACAUCUAGAUGUGUCCUAGACAGACCCUUAAAAAACUUUCCGCUAGUUUUUGUUUCUUUUUUCCGGCAACGCGCUUAUUCUAUUUAAAACCACUGCUAUGGAGAGAUUUUCUUACUUCAUUAUAGCCUCUUGUUUGAUAGAGUUUCUCGCGUCUCGCUCUCUCACCCUCUCCAUAUCAAAACAUCCACUCUAUCUCUCUCGUCACCGGUGGUCACAGAUCCGUCCGAAUCCCAUCCGCUGCGGGAGGUGAGGAGGUGCAGCAUUGAUGUUAUCACCGUCAGCGACGGAGGAAGCCGAUGCGCACCAUCCUCUCGGAGUCGGCGCUGGCGCGGACGAAGAUCCUCCGCGCCCUUGUUCGCUGUCGUCGUGUGGGCAGAUCCUACCCGCCCUCCUGAACGACAUCUCGCCCACCUGAGGUAUAACUUCUUGUACUGGUCCAGCUCCCCAGGUCACUGCGUGCGGGUUUUCUUCUAUGCGACUACUCCCCAGCUCCCCGUGCAUAGUAGCGAGGGUUCGUCGGCUGGUCCAACAUCACCUACUAGUACUAUUAUAGAGGAAAUGCCACUCAAAAAGUUGUCCUGAUUUAUGCCUCGGUGGAGGUAUACUUGUUUUUUCGACAAAAAGUACAUGGUGGUUGUGCGGUCAUUGUCCAUAUGGUGGUAGUACUAUCACUGGUUAAAUGAAGAAAUGCUUUUUUUCUCGGGUAUCCUGGUUUAGUUCCCAUCAAGAUAUAAUUAUGAUGCUUCUGUUUGUUGGUGUACUUUUCAUUCUUUCUUAUUGACAAUUGAGAUGUUGUUGCUAACCCUUUUUUUAUAUUUUUGGAAACAUCGAUGCGUGUCUCCAUACCCGGGCAUGUAUUCCUCAAUUUUAGUGGAACUGCACAAAAUUGGAUGGCCAUUGUUUUGCGCCUCACUGUCCUCUGCCACGUGGUUCUUCCUUCCUUGAGCUUGAUUACUGAGAAGAAACAGACCACAGUGAGGAUUUGUCGAACUUCAUAGGUGCCUCACCCAAACUUGAUGCCAAAUGGAUGAUGCAUCACCACAAUGACCUAUCGAUGCUCAUGGUUGCGCCUCAUGGUUGCAUCGGCUGGUGAAGCUGAUCGAUUUUCAAUGAAAACAAGCUGUCUUCCAUCAGUGCUCUUUGCUUGUUACACACAAAGAUGAUAUCCUUCGUCAGUUCACCUUGGUUGCGUUGGAGACGCAGUCGUCUUUCACGUUGGUGCAAUUUUAUCACACAAUUGGCUAUGAAAUCAAAUGUUUCCUCGAAGAUGGAUCGACGUUGGUACUAAGAGCAUAAGUUUUGUAUUGAUUUCUAAGCCUUCUCACAACUUUGUCUCCAGCUCCCCUCUAAUUUUAUUUGUCCAGCUAUUAACUUUGAUUUAAAAAAUGGUGUGGACUAAAAACCCGGAUGGACGUAGUAGCCCUCCAUUUUUAUUUACUCCGCAUAUUAGAUUUGUCUGAAGUCAAACUUUGUAAUACUCUCAAACCUUUCUGAUAAUUGAAAUUAAAAUUCUUUAUUUGUACACACUCUCACACGUUUCUGAUAAUUUGGCGCAUGAGUGGUUGUUCACAUGGAGGGUAGUGUACCACAUGUGAAGGACAGGAAGUGCGACCAGGACGCGUGGGCAUGGAUCGUUAGUUCAUCAGAAGUAGUACUAGUUUUCUUCACUGUACAUUAAAUAAAGAGUUUCGUUUCGUAACUUACACAAUUUAAAGCGAUUGUUAUGGAGAGAAUAAGAAAACCACUACACUAUAUAUUAGUCGUAUACACGAGAGUACUAUAUGGACGCAGCUUCAUUGACUUAGUGCACCUGCCUUUGGGUUUAUGACAGGUGGGCCCACAAUGUGGCCGGCUCACCUGUCAUACAGCCAAAAGCAGAUGCAGUAAAGGCACCGGAGCUUAGUCCAUACUACAUUAGUAUAUAUAUAAGCGGUAGCCUCAGCGCCUAUUCGCUAGGGUUUGCACUCUCCACACGCUCUCCACACUACAUAUACGAUACACGCUGGAGGCUCAGUGUUCAUUUGCUAGGGUUUGCUAUAUUCACAGUCUCUCACCCUCUCUUCACCAGAUCUAAACAAGACUGCGUUGGCCUCUUGUCUCUCUCUCCCCCCUCACAGCUGGUGAAGGAGGCGUCCGUAUCCCGUCGCACCGGGAAGGGGAGGAGGUGCAGCGUUCACUCUAUCGCCUUCGGUGAGGGAAGAAAUCCACUGCCGGCUGCGUUGUUCGCUUUCACCCAGCGCCUGUGCGGGAGGGCCACUGACCCCUUCUUCCUCGCUGCCGUACGUAGUGUGGGCAGAUCCGGCCUCCCGCCGCACGCCUUGCCACAUCCCGACGACCCUAAGGUAUAAGUUUCUUUGAAACCGUCGUUGCUCUAGCUGCAUGUGGAUCUUUUUCGAUCUGUAGUCGAAUCUAGGUAUUGGUUCAAAGAGGAAAGAAGGGUGCGGUGGGGUGGAGCAUGAAUCUAGGACGUGGUUCAAUGAGGAAAGGAGGGAGGAAAAGUAGUAUAGACUUGCUAUCCAGCCGCUUUGUUGGUCGAAAAGGGAAAAAGGGGUAACCCAGGACACACAUCUGUAAGGAACCGAUNNNNNNNNNNNNNNNNNNNNNNNNNNNNNNNNNNNNNNNNNNNNNNNNNNNNNNNNNNNNNNNNNNNNNNNNNNNNNNNNNNNNNNNNNNNNNNNNNNNNNNNNNNNNNNNNNNNNNNNNNNNNNNNNNNNNNNNNNNNNNNNNNNNNNNNNNNNNNNNNNNNNNNNNNNNNNNNNNNNNNNNNNNNNNNNNNNNNNNNNNNNNNNNNNNNNNNNNNNNNNNNNNNNNNNNNNNNNNNNNNNNNNNNNNNNNNNNNNNNNNNNNNNNNNNNNNNNNNNNNNNNNNNNNNNNNNGGGGGGGUCGGGUAGUUUGUGCAGGACUAGAUUUGCUGCCCUCACAUAGGAAAAAAGUUCAAAGAGAACAAAUAUGGGACCAACACAGAUAUGCUGCUUGGCUACAUACUCUGCAUCACCCAUUUAUACGUGUGGACGCACAUGGUGCUAGCAUGUCCCAUACAACUAUUUUGCUGUUGUUAAUCUAAGAAUGCCGCCGGAAAAUUGAAGCAAUGCCACUAUUAAAAGUAAAUUACAUUUUUUAAGAAUGUUGUUUCAAGAGAAUGUCGCUGUUAAUAUGAAUCAAUGCAACCGUUUUAGAAAUGCUACUAUCUUACUUUGUUUUCCAUCCAAGAUAAGUUAGAUGCUUCUAUCUGUCACCGUUUGUUUCAUCCUCCUUUAUCGGAAGUAAUUGUUUCCUUUUUUGCCUCUGUUAAAACAGGUGUAUCGAUUCAACUUGUUGCUAUUGCAACAUUUUGCUUCGCUACUCGAAACACUUAUGUUUUAAGAGUGUUUUGUGAAGUUCAACUUGAAUGUCGACUUUGCUUAAUUUUGGUGGAACUGCACAAAAGGAGAUCGAGAUUUGUUUCCAGUGUUCGUGGCGAGUUGUUUCAAAUCUUGGUCUCAACCACAUGAUGUGCAGUGUGCUUUGAGGUGUUGUGCUACUUGUUUUGGCACUGUUCUAAAUAAAUGUUGAAUUGAAACUAUUGUAUUGCUGUCUUUUCCCAUUAAGUAGUGAACAAAACUAGGACCAACCCAGACAUGAUGCUUGUUGCUUUGUUACAACAAAUUCAGCAUCACCCCCUUUAUAAGCCAGUAAUUGAUGCCAGUCUUAGAAUUAACUACUGAAUCUUAUUUCAAAACUGCAACACUUGUUAGGGAUUGGCGAGAUUACCAUUUUUGUGGCCGCAUGUUUCAUCCUCCUUUAUUAGCCAGUAAUUGAUUCCUUUUUUUGCCUCUGUUUAAACAGGGAUAUCUAUUCAACUUGUUGCUAUUGCGACAUUUUCCUUCUCUACAUGAAACACUUUGCCCAGUGCAACUGCCCAAAACGAUAUUGGAUUUCCUAUUCGUGUUGACAGAUUCAUAUUUUAUCCUGGUGUUCUCAUGAAAGGUCAGUACAAGCCUUCAUCCACAUGAUUGUACAGUGUGCUUUGAGAUGUUGUGCUACUUGUAUUGGUACCGUUUUAAAUAAAUGUUGAAUUGAAGCUAUUGUAUUGCUGUCUUUUCCCAUUAAGUAGUGAACAAAAAUGGGACCAACCCAGUCAUGAUGCUUGUUGCUUUGUUACAAAAAACUCUGCAUCACCCCCUUUAUAAGUAGAUGGAAGCACAUGUUGUUGUUGCACCCACUCUCCCCUGGAACUUUUUAUGCUUUUCAUUAAUCUAAUGCCGCUGGUAAAAUUAAGCAAUGCCACUCUCAGAAUUAAUUAACUACUGAAUCUUAGUUCAAAACUGCAACACUUGUUAGGAAUGGUACUAUCCUGCUUUCUAGUUCUUUCUACAUGUUUAACCAAGGUAUAUUAAGAUAAUGUCUCUGUUAAAAUGAAUCAGUUGCAUUGUUUUAGGAAUGGUACUUUUCUGCUUUGUCGUUCUUUAUACAUGUUGAAACAAGGCAUUGUUAAGAUAAUGUCUCAGUCAAUAUGAAUGAAUCACACUGAUGGAGAAUUGCUACUCUCCUGCUUUGUUUCCCAUUAAGACAAGUCAUCAACCGUUAUUUCUCAGUAAUUGUUUCCCUUAUACCUAUUGUUGCUUACAGGGAUAUCAAAAUUAAAGCUUGGUUUUAUUCCGACUUCGAUUUUAGUUGAACUGCACAAAAGGAGCCAAUGUGUCCAAGGCAAACUGUUGCGUUACUGGGUCCAGUUGGUCGUUCCACUUUGCAGGAAGAAGCAGUCACUGGUUGCGCUACGUUACAGAAGGAAUGACCGAGAAGCUUUACAGAGUAUUACUAGACACCGGUGACAUGACUAGUCUGCAAAGACCAUUGGCAAUUUAACAACACGUGGAGUGCCCUGGGCAAAAAGUGCCCAAACAAGUACAAGAAGCUACGACAUGACUCCACGAUCAUAGGCAUUACAUAUUUUGAAUGGGAAAAGCUUGUCAAAGUUUAAUCAUUGAUGUUAGCAAGAAGACGUUAGUUUAAUAUAUUGGAAUUGGAAAACCUUGUCAAAAUUUGCUGAUUGAUGUUAGCCAGAAGACAUGCAUUUGAUAUUUUUGAGUGGGACGCCCUUGCUGUGAGCAGCGUCGAGUGUUUUUUCCUAUUCCUGUGUUCAGUUUAGAAGUAAAUAGUUACUCUUGUGAGAUAUUCCUGUGUUAAGAGUUUGUUCUGAAUAUUGUCUAUGUAAUGCCAGGCCUUGUGUUUGAUUGCAAAGUUGAGCUUGGAAUGUUGUGGCAUGCGGCAUCACGAGCUAUUCACUAUGCCUCCUGAGAAUAAUGCUUCGUAUUGUUUUGCAUGUCUAUCUAAUGCCAGUGAUUUCCUUGUUAAGAAGAUCAUCCUCUUCUGUUGUUUCCGUGUGUAAGAAGUUCAUCGUCUGAUGUUUUAUUCAUAGCCUAUACGACAUGUCGGGUAGGUUAGACGUGAAACCAUAUGAUCUGCCGACCAACUCAUGAUAUUAGGCCGUGAUUGGAUCGUCAUUUUCCAACCAAAACCGCUUGUAAAACUGACCCUUGUAAAUUAAAGCAGAUGGUCUCGGGCGAAGGUGCUUGGUUGGUUGAUUUCGACUAGUAAAAUAUCAGAAGUACUUCACACACGAUAAAACGCUGAACGACACUUGGACAAUUGCUAACCCAGCCGUUAGCUGCUGUUUCAGCCUUGCCCGUGGAUGGCAUGAUACGCACGUCGUGCAUGUAUCGUCUGGUAAUGUCGUCCAUAUAGCAGUGCUCAUAAAAUAUACACUGGUCUCUCAAAUUACACGUGUAACCCACCGGUUUUACUUAAAGACCUCAGGCCCUUGAUUUAAUUAUGCCUGUAUUUUACGCGUUGUUUCCGAUGGCGAGUAAAUUACACUUGUAUGUUAAUACAUGUUUUAAAUAAACCAGAGCUCCUAAGCGCGGCCUUACCGUUUCAUGCCAUCUCAGUUUCUCGAAGGUGCUCAUAGGUGUCCAAUGAUCCUGGCUUCCUGAAUGAGCAGCAUGCGCUGUAUCAGACCUCCGUAGGGCCCGUGAGGCCCUCUCGGUUGUCCUUCGAGUUGUUGCGCUCGCCGUGGCGCCGAGCAUUGUUAACAUCGUCAACGAACAUGAGGAUUUAGGAGAUGACUUUAUUUUGACUAGAUGACACUAGGGACCCACUAGGGCCAUAGCCGUACGUAUGCAAGUGCCUCCUUAUUAUGUACAACUAUAUUUGUUUUUGCUUUCUCCUUGUUUCCUGACAUCACGGUCCCACACCAUUGUUAACCUAUGUAGUCAAUAUAAACGAGAGAAUUGCACAAGGUGCGGCCGACAGCUGGGACCAAGCAGCUCGGGCAGUAUUUGUGUUUUUGAGGCGUGCACAUUGCAGAGUUUUUCUUGGCGAUGAUUUCAUUGUUGUUCAGAGGAGAGCAGGGUAUUAACUGGGCGAGCUAUGGCCUAUCUAGCCCAGGCCAGAUAUCUAGCCUAGAUAGUAAUUUUUUCAAGAUGAAAAUGGCUAGCCCAGCUAUACGUCUUUUUGAGGAAUACCCAGGCAAGGUGAACUUGUUAUUCUCCGCCCUGCUGGGCUGCAAAUCUUUCCUAGGAGGGAUGCAUUAGGCUUAACAGGAAAAUGGGCUUUAAAAAUAGUAAAUGGGAUGUAAUUAUAAAAAUUGGGCAGUAACUAUUAAAAAAUGCACCAAACACGAAAUUAGUUUAUAAAAUAUUAUUUAUGGAUUUUGAAAAUCUUAAUUUUUCAUUGUUGCACGCGCAAUGUUUCGUUGGAUUUUUACGUAAUACAAAUUUAUAUUUAAUCUGACUAGAAAUUUCGGGAUAAAAAUAUUUCGGAUCCCAUCAAAAUGUGGGAAAUUUUAUUGAAUUCUGUCUUCAACGGUUGGUUGAAAUUAUUAAUUGUUGUCCUAGAUAGAAAAUGGGUUGUACUUUUAACAAACUGUAAAUGGGCUAUUUUAAAUUCCAUUAGAAUUCAAAAAUGGGCUGUACAUUCUUACAAAAUGCAAAUGGGCUAUAAGUUCUCUGCCACACACUUGUGGGCCUACUAAGUGACCCGACCCCUAAAAAAAUAAGUUGACGUGUAUGCAAGGCUUUGUCAACUUAUUAUAGUCAACACAUGGUUCUAGCAGCAGUGGCCGUUGGAUGUCUAUCUAACGGAUGUCGUGCUUCUUCUUCAAUCUCGAAUAUUCUUAGCUUUGGCCGCCCAAAAAAUGAUUCCUCCCCCUGACAUCUGGGGCGCACCGUAUCGGAGGCUGACCUAUGGGCCUACUAAGUUGGAGCGUACCAAGGGCUUUGUCAACUUAGUCAAUAUAAACGAUUCUAGAUUUAGUGACCGUACGAUGUCCAUACAACGGCCGUAGUGCUUCUUCAACCUCUGGUCUUCUUGGUCCAGCCGCCCAAAGCAGCGCCGGUCGUGCCGCCUGCUCCUGCCUCCCAUGGCCGGCUGAGCUGCCGCGGAGGCCUCACCACCCCCAUACUACUCCCAUCGCUGGCCAGGCCAUCCCUCCACUCACCCACACCCCCUGUUAUUCUGCGGCGAUGGCAGCCUCACACCGCAGCCGAACCAGUGAACCCUCGUACUCCUCUCCGCGCGGGCUUCCACUGCUGCGUCUUCCCCGGCUCCGUGUCGUCCCCUUCCUAGACCUCACCAUCAUCCACCGCCCUAGUGCUCUCGGCGCGGCGUGGUCAACAUGGUCAACGACUAACUUCCAUUGGAAGAGUACUGUACGUGGAGAAGCUAACAGCUGGGUCCACGGCGGCCGCAAGGAAGUGCCUCCUUAUUACGUGCAAAAUAAUUAUUCCUCCACCCGACAGCAGGGACCCACUGGACGGGCCACCUUAUUUCGCGAAAAAAACGUUUCCGCCCUGACUGCUAGGACCCACAGGACGGGCCACCUUAUUUCGCGAAAAAAAUGUUCCCCCGCUGUCAGCUCGAACCCACCGGAAGUGCCUCUUUAUUACGCACAAAAAAAUGAAUAACCCCCUGCUAGAUGGGACCCACCUUGAUGGGAGGCUGACUUGUGGGCCUACUAAGUUGACGGGGAUGGAGGGCUUUGUCAACUUAGUCAAUAUGAACGAUUCUAGCUCCAGUGACCGUACAAUGUCCAUCCAACGGCCGUAGUGAUUCUUCAACCUCUUGUCUUCUUGCUCCAGCCGCCCAAAGCAGCCGGUCGUGCUGCCUGCUCUUGCCUCCUGUGGCCGGCUGUGCUGCCGUGGAGGUCUCACCGCCCCCUACUAUUCCCACCACUGGCCAGGCCCUGCGGCGACGACAGCCUCACACCACAGCCGAACAAGUGAACCAUCAUACUCCUCUCCGCAUGGGCAUCCACUGCCGCGUCUUCACCGGCUCCACGUCGUCCCCUUCCUAGGCCUCGCCAUCGUCGACCGCCCUGGUGCUCUCGGCGCAGCGUGGUCAACAUGGUCAAAGAACGACUUCCAUCGGACGUGGACUGUACGUGGAGAGGCUGACAGCUGGGUCCAUGGCCGCAGCAAGGAAAUGCUUCCUUAUUACGCGGAAAAUAAUUAUUCCUCCACCUGACAGAAGGGACCCACCGGAUGGGCCACCGUAUUUCGCGAAAAAACGUUUCCCUCCUGACUGCUGGGACCCACCAGCUACACCUUCGCACGCAAGGAAGUGCGUCCGGGCAAAAAAAUUGAUUCGCCCCCCUGACUGCUGGGACUCACCAGCUACAUCUUCGCACGCAAGGAAGUGCGUUCGGGCAAAAACAAAACCAAAACAAUUCGCCCCCCUGACUGCUGGGACCCACCAGCUACAUCUUCGUAGGCAAGGAAGUGCGUGACAGUCGGGACACACCUGGUCGAAGCGUACGUAGCGUUGUCAUUCUGGUCGCGAACGUGUACGUACAUACUGGUCGAUGUAGAGGCGCGCACGUGUCGUAGUAGAGGCAUGCAACGUGUCGUAGUAGAGGCGUGCACAUAGCAUGUAUACGUACAUACAGCGGCCAGGGUGCAAGAAAGAAAAUAUGGCCACAUACGUACAUACGGGCAGGCUCUCGAAUGCCUACUGGCGCAUACGUACAUGGCUGGGACGGAAUGGAGAAACAGCGUCAUCGUCAUUUUCAUGGGGAGGCAACAGAAUGCGUCGUGUUCAUGGGAAGGCAACAGAAUGCGUCGUGUUCAUGGGGAGGCAACGGAAUGCGUCGUGUUCAUCGGGAGGCAACGGAACACGUGGGAGCCAACCGGCUGGGUCCAAACGGAAUACGUCAUCAUGUUCAUCGGGAGGGCUAGCACGGAACAGGCGAUGGAAAUGAGGCCUGGCGUACCGCAGAACGGAGGAAACACACCUCCUACGGUCGAAACGGGGGUCAUGUUGAUCGGGAGGGGUGUGGCGUACCGCAAAACGGAUGAAACAGACCUCCUACGGUCAAAACGGGGGUCCUGUUGAUCGAGAGGGGUGUCGCGUACCGCAAAACAGACGAAACAGACCUCCUACGGUCGAAACAGGGUGUGGCGUACCGCAAAACGGACGAAACGGACUUGUGUUGGAGCGCUACGGUCGAAACGGGGGUCCUGUUCAUUGGGAGGGGUGUGGCAUACCGCAAAACGGGACUCCACGGGAUACUGUUCAUCUCCACCGUUGACCUCCUCCAGCCUCCACGAGCUCCUGUUCAUGCAGCCUCCACCGUGCGCUACUCCACCAGCUACUGUUCAACCACCCCUCCACCGUCUACUGUUCAUCCAACCCUCUACACCACAGGGUCCUGUUCAACCACCCAUCCACGGGCACCCCUCCGUCGUCUACUGUUCAUCCAGCCCUCCACCACACCACGGGGUCCUGUUCAUCCAGAGGCAACGCCACCACUCACUGUUCAUCCAGACCCCCCCGUAACGCUCACUGUUCAUCCCAGAGGCAGCAUCGAUCGGCUUUAGUUAGCAGCAGUAGCGAAGGAAUCACUCGAUCGAGUUCAGUUAACAGCCAUCGAUCGAUCGCUCGGGUUCAGUAACGUGUAACCUACAGUGCAAUCUCUCGGGUUCAGUUAGAGCCAACGCCUAGCACACAUGCGCGUACCUAUAUGAGAGAAACGUGCAUCGCUCGGCCCCCGACCUCCCACCGUAACCGGCAACUCCCCAAAAUUUUCCUCCCCCUCGCUUCUACCACGGUUUUUUUACGUCAUGGACGGCCCAAAGAAUGUCAUGCAACUGCGUCUCUGGCCCGCCCAGGACAAAAACCCAUUUUCUGUCAUGAUUCUUUGUCAUAGAAGUAGGAUCCCACCACAUCUAUGAUGAUACCGGGUUUUGUCACAAUUAUCGUCAUAGAAGUGUCAUAUGUAUGAUAUAAUUUUUUUUCGUUCGGCCCAAAAUGUCACGGAUGUGUCUUUUUUUGUAGUGUAUGCAAGCAGCAGAACAACACGAUGCAACGGAAGAACUCUAGCAGCGGAACAACGAUGACGGUGGUGAACUCCACUCCGCAGGGACUCUGACUGGAACGCUUAUCCUAGCUCGCACGAAUGGAAACCACGACAAGCAAGCAAUCAAAUCCGGCAUGACCCGCAAACUAGCAUGACACACCAGGUCAGUACAUUGAAUGUACUUGCAAGCUCACAAUGACCAGAAGCAUUCAAAUCAAACAACAACAUGGCAAUUAUAGGUUAAGCAGAAAUUAACAUGAUAUCAUCAUAACAACAUGGCAUCAACAUGAACAUGAUACAGCUAGAACAACAUGAACCUCGCAUGAACAUAUGAAUCUGAUGAUACUAGCAUGCAACAUGAUGACACUAUAUGCACCACUUAUUCUGCUCGGGCUACCUCGUAAACGACACAUGCAUCACUUACCAACCUCGGACAUCACACGAUCAUCUCAGGAUCAAAUCAAGCUUGGUAUAAACAAUACCGUAGUAAUCAAUAAAUGACCACAAGGAGCUUGAUCUUUACCCACGAUUCUCGCACAACAUCACGAAUAUACAAGGACUUGGUAUCCUCGAUACCACCGUGAUCCUUAUGGCAAUCACAACCCAACCAAUAAAUGGCCCGUGAUCCUUAUGACGAUCACCACCUGACCAAUAAAUGGCCCAUGAUCCUUACAACGAUCACAACCCGACUAAUAAAUGGCCAGUGAUCCUUACGGCGAUCACAACCACGAGUUGUCAUUAACCAAGUUAUUCUUAUUACUGUUGACUCAUGGUGUGAACUACUUUUGAUCUGGGUCCUUAUCUGCGGGCGCGGCUAUCGAUAGAUUUAAUAUACACUCUGUAGAGGUUAGUACACUAUACCCACACUACGGAACCCAUGUCCUCGCACUCCCAUUCGGGUGGACCAACGGCGUUCCGACAAAACCGUCUUACUGCCAUGACACUCUCCCGUCCACUCCGACUCACUCCCCACUGGGCUAAGUCAUGGGUGGCCCCGUGUCUACCUCAAGACACAACAACCACCGUCGUGGCCCGCCCCACACGGGGACACGGAUCCAAAAACUCAACAACGGGCACACAAGGUUAUGCCUGCUUACCGGGCCAGGGUAGAACACGCCCAUAACCUUCCCUCAUUGGAGGCACUGGCGAGAGGCACGACAAUAGACCUAGUUAGGACCGUCCCAUACCGGUAAGCGUGGUUGCACUGGUCAGCAUCGAUUCAGCGGCACCAUGACUCAGCCAACAGUUGUUCAAGUUCAAUUUAAUCCGAUUAACUUGAAUGCAAAUAUGCCGAGCCAUGAUAAAAUGCAUGAACAUGAUGUCAACAUAGUCAUGAGGGUAUCACAUAACUAUCCAUCAUAUCAACAAUGAAUCAUAUCCACUGAGCAUGGCAUACUGAUGACCAUCACCAAUAUCAACAUGUACUACUAGCAAGCAUAAACAUAUGAAAGGAAAUACUAGCAGGUAUAACCUGAUAAUAGAGUACAAGACAACAUAGCACAAAAGUGAACAUGCAAAUCUAAACAUCACCGGAACAACGAUAACCAUCUUUUCAACAAGCAAACAUUUAAUAAAGAUUCAAGUUGAAAACCAUGGCUACUGCAUGACUAUCAUGCAAGUGGGUAUUGUGGCUUGCCUGGGGUGGAAGAAAUCACCGGGAGAAAGUGCGGUGAAGCCGCAGAAAGAUUUGCCGGAAACAAUUCUCUCUCGGAGGGGCUCAUUUGGAGCUACGGUCAAAAAGUUAUGGAGUGUUUUCUGCCAGGGACCCAUCUGCAAGAAAAAUACUUUCAAACAAGGGCCUAGAUAGAAAACUGAAAGCGCAUUUGACAAAAUACGUUUUUGGUGGAUGAAAACGUAGACGCCCAAAUGCGUCUCCACUUAUCCACGUCAGCAUGGACCGGUCAACGCCGGGCCGGCGGCUGGGAGGCUAACGCGCGGGUCCCACCUUAUCCACUUCUCUCUCUCCUCCCUUAUCUUCUUCCUAUCUCCCCCCGAUGGCGAGCUGCGGCAGAGACAUGGCCGAGCGCUCCGGCGACGAGUCCGGCCGACUCCGGCCACCUCUGGCAGCGCCCCAACCGCCGAAACAAUCAGGAGACGGAGGCGCGCCCAUCCCCGCACUAAACGAGCCUCGAAGAGGGCGGGAGCGAGAGCACCAUGGACCAUGGCGGACGGCGGCUCGGUCGAUCUUGGGGACGAUGGCCCCAGCUACUCCGGCGACUAGUUGAGGGGAGGGGGAGGCUUGGUGGGUUGAGGGGAGGUCUCUGGGGGUGGAAUGGAGGAGGGAGGGAGCUCAGCUUGCCGGAAUCGAGCUUGACAGAGACGGCGGCCAUGGUGGCGAUGGGGGGCACAGAGAGCUCCUGGAGCUCAGGCGAGUGGGUUGGGAGGGAGCUGGAAGUGAGGUGAGGCGAAUGGGGUGCUCAGACGGCCUCGAGGGUGGCCAUUUUAGGUGGGUGAGGAGCUACCGUGCUGUCACCGCCGCGGACGCGUGCUCACGCACAUGAACUCGGGGGCAAACGACGGGGAGGGCACCAAGGAGAGCUCACGGGGAGGAGGAGGCCAAAGGAGCACGGGGAAGAUGGCGACAACGACGAACAGAUCCAAACCGCCACUAUACGUCCGUGGGCGCGCGGCGGUUUGCGUCAAUGAGGAAGCUGCUGGAGGGGGAGAGGGGUCCAUCGGAAUGGUGACGAUGAGAUGUAGCCACUUGACAUGCUCACGGGCUCUAAGACGAUGAGGGGGAGUGGUGCCAAAGAACAAAAAGUGCUCUAGACACGCCACAACACACAGAGCGCGCGCACAGGCAUGCGAACUGCGUAGUCACCACGUGAACCGGGGCAUUAAAUGCUCUAUAUCACCCGAAACAUUGUCUAGCUGAUAGUCCUUCCAAGAUAGAGCAUUAAUAAUGGGUCAUUGGCUUGAUCUAAGUCACUGUGGUUGUGUUGGAAUGGAGCUCUGAAGUUUACUGCAGUAAACUUAGCCAUGCACUGGUGAUCAACAGGGGAUUGCUUGAAGCCAAAUAAGUUGUCUAGGGUGUUUAGCUAUGGAGGGACUAUGAUCCUGGAGGUUUCGAGGGGAAAUGGACCAAGAUUUUACUGCAGUUGCUUCACAACUGACAAAAAUGGUCCAGAAACUAGAUCAUGAUGGUGCACUCACAUGGAGUUAUGGAAUGGGAUGCAACAUGGCAAAUCCUCAUGAUAUGGACAUAUAAAGAUGCUGUAAAAAGCUCAUGCCAAAUGGGCAAGCCAAAAUGGCACUUGCUUCACAAACAUCAUUUCUGUCCAGAAACUUAGAAUAAUUUUGGUGGUCAAAUGGAUCAAUGAAAUGAUGCCAAAAUGGGUUGAGAUAUGUUUUAUGGGUAUAAGAAUUAUCUGGUAAUUUAUCAGGAUUUUUGAAGCAACACAAAAUGCACUUGCUUCACAACCUGAAAAUAUUGCCAGAAUCAAAGAUUUGCUCCUAUGCUCACAUAGUUGAUUGGAUGGGGCCGCAAAUGGGUGGAAGGGGUUAAUAUGAGCACAUUAAAAAGUGUGUGCAAAAUUUCAACUCAUUUGGGUACUCCUAGCUGGUACUUCCUUCACAAAGCUUUCCGUUUGACAUAAACUUUGAAAAAUCAUUGAGGAAGAUUGGCUAGGCAAAUAAAGUUGAACUUGUGCAAGAGGCAAUUAUUUGGACGUAUAAACAUGCCCAAAAAGGUUGGGAGCCACUAGGAAAAAUAUAAAUGACACUUCCUUCACAAAGUGCCAUUUAGGGCAAAAUAGAAAAAGGAAUAUUAGGGAAUUAUUUUUGAACAUGGCAAUGAAAAGUUUUGCCAUGUUUGAUCAAGAUAUGACCCAAGCAAUUUAUGAGAAUUAUUUGGGAAUUUUUGGAGUGAUGGAAAUAUAGAUUGCUUCACAACCUAGGGCAAUUUGAGUUAUUCCUUUAAUAGAAAAGGAAUAUUCUUAAUAAAAGGAAUAUUGGGAUUUGGUCCAAGGUGGAAAUGGAAAGGUCUAGGGAAGGGUUUGGAUAUGACAAGCCACUCUGGAAGCAAAGAAGAGGUCAUCUUCUUCAGUUUCCAGACCACAAAGCCAUGGAAAAAGAAAACUCACGCAAAAACAUUGGAAAAACAAAAGAAAAAGAAUGGGCCAAAAAUCAGGCUGUCACAGAACAAUAUUUGCUAGACCAUGAAAAUGAUCUGAAUCUGCACAAAAGAAAUGAAAUAGAUAAAAUCUUCUUCGAAUAACGACCUCUGCUUAAACACAAUUUGCCUAUUGAAACUCUAGGAGGCCCUCUUCCACCUAAAGGUGAUCCUGUGUUUGAAUUAAAACAAUUACCAGACACUUUGAAAUGUGCUUAUCUUGAUGAGAAAAGAUAUAUCCUGAUAUUAUUAAUGCUAAUCUUUCAGAACAUGAAGAAGAAAGAUUAUUAAAGGUUCUAAAGAAGCUCCAAGCUGCCAUUGGAUAUAUUCUUGAUGAUUUAAAGGGCAUUAGUCCCACUCUCUGUCAGUGAUACGUCUCCAACAUAUCUAUAAUUUUUGAUGUAUUCAUGCCAUGUUUAUAAUAUUUCUACAUGAUUUUGGUAUGAUUUGGUUAGAACUAACCCAGACUGACGUUGUUUUCAGCAGAACUACCGUGAUGUUGUUUUUUGUGCAGAAAUAGAAGUUCUUGAAAUGCGCUGAAUCAACGGAGAUUUUUUUUGGAAAAUAUAAAAAAUACUGGAAUGAAAAGUUACCGGAGGGGAGUCUCGUGGGCCCCACGAGGGUGGAGGGUGCCCCCACCCCCUUGGGGCGCGCCCCUGCCUCGUGGACUCUCCGUGGGCUCCUCUAAUGUGAGACCGACGCCAAACCCUCCUAUAAAUCCCCAAACUUCCAGAAAGAAACCUAGAUCGGGAGUUCCACCGCCACAAGCCUCUAUAGCCACCAAAAACCAAUCAGGACCCUAUUUCGGCACCCUACUGGAGGGGGGGGGGAUUAUCACCGAUGGCCAUCUUCAUCAUCCCGGCGCUCUCCAUGACAAAGAGGGAGUAGUUCACCCUCGGGGUUGUGUACCAGUAGCUAUGUGUUUGAUCUCUCUCUCCCUCUCUCUCUCUCUCUCGUGUUCUUGAUUUGGCACAAUCUUGAUGUACCGUGAGCUUUGCUAUUAUAGUUGGAUCUUAUGAUGUUUCUCCCCCUCUACCUUCUUGUAAUGGAUUGAGUUUUCCCUUUGAAGUCAUCUUAUCAGAUUGAGUCUUUAAGGAUUUGAGAACACUUGAUGUAUGUCAUGCAUGGGAUACCCGUGGUGUCAAUGGGGUAUUCUAUUGAUCCACUUGAUAUAUGUUUUGGUGAUCAACUUGCGGGUUCCAUGACCUUGGCAAUCUAUGCAUAGGGGUUGGCACACGUUUUCGUCUUGACUCUCUGGUAGAAACUUUGGGGCACUCUUUGAAGUACUUUGUGUUAGUUUGAAUAGAUGAAUGUGAGAUUGUGUGAUGCAUAUCGUAUAAUCAAACCCGCGGAUACUUGUGGUGACAUUGGAGUAUCUAGGUGACAUUAGGGUUUUGGUUGAUGUGUGUCUUAAGGUGUUAUUUUACUAUGAACUCUAGGGCUGUUUGUGACACUUAUAGGAAUAGCCCAAUGGAUUUAUCGGAAAGAAUAACUUUAAGGUGGUUUCGUACCCUAUAAUAAUCUCUUCGUUUGUUCUCCGCUAUUAGUGACUUUGGAGUGACUCUUUGUUGCACGUUGAGGGAUUGUUAUAUGAUCCAAUCAUGUUAUUAUUGUUGAGAGAACUUGCACUAGUGAAAGUAUGAACCCUAGGCCUUGUUUCGAAGCAUUGCAAUACCGUUUUCGCUCACUUUUGUUACAUUCUAACUUGCUGUUUUUAUAUUUCCAGAUUAUAAAAACCUAUAUCUACCAUCCAUAUUGCACUUGUAUCACCAUCUCUUCUCCGAACUAGUGCACCUAUACAAUUUACCAUUGUAUUGGGUGUGUUGGGGACACAAGAGACUCUUUGUUAUUUGGUUGCAGGGUUGUUUGAGAGAGACCAUCUUCAUCCUAUGCCUCCCAUGGAUUGAUAAACCUUAGGUCAUCCACUUGAGGGAAAUUUGCUACUGUCCUACAAACCUUUGUACUUGGGGGCCCAACAACGUCUACAAGAAGAAGGUUGCGUAGUAGACAUAUGCCUUUCGGUUUAUGCAAUGCACCUGCUACCUUUCAGAGAUGUACGACUGCUAUAUUCUCUGAUAUUUGUGAAAAUAUUGUUGAGGUUUUCAUGGAUGAUUUUUCCAUUUACGGAACUUCUUUUGAUGAUUGCUUAAGCAAUCCUGAUCGAGUUUUGCAGAGAUGUGAGCAAACUAAUCUUGUCUUUAAUUGGGAGAAGUGCCACUUUAUGGUUAAUGAAGGUAUUGUCUUGGGACAUAUUCAGAAUGAGGUAUUGAGGUGGAUAAAGCUAAAGUUGAUGGAAUUGAGAAAAUGCCAUGUCGUAAAGAUAUCAAAGGUAUUCGUAGUUUCCUAGGUCAUGCUGGUUUCUAUAGGAGGUUUAUUAAAGACUUCUCUAAGAUUUCUAGGCCUCUUACAAAUGUUUUACAAAAGGAUAUUCCAUUUGUUUUUGAUGAUGAUUGUGUAGAAGCCUUUGAAACACUUAAGAAAACCUUAAUUUCUACACCUAUUGUUCAACCACAUGAUUGGAAUUUGCCUUUUCAAAUUAUGUGUGAUGCUAGUGAUUAUGCUGUUGGUGCUGCUCUACAUCAAAGAGUUGAUAAGAAACUAAAUGUUAUUCAUUAUGCUAGGAAAAUUCUAGACAGUGCCCAAAGCAAUUAUGCUACUAUUGGAAAGGAAUUCUUAGCAGUGGUGUUUGCUUGUGAUAAAUUUAGAUCUUACAUUGUUGAUUCUAAAGUUGCUAUUCACACUGAUCGUGCUGCUAUAAAAUAUCUUAUGGAAAAGAAAGAUGCUAAACCUAGACUCAUUAGGUGGGUUCUCUUGCUACAAGAAUUUGACUUACAUAUCACUGAUAGAAAGGGAGCUGAGAACCUCGUGGCUGAUAACUUGUCUAGGCUAGAAAAUAAUCUUGAUGACCCACAACCUAUUAAUGAUAGUUUUCCUAUGAACAAUUAGCUGCAAUAAAUGUUUCUCAUAACACUCCUGGGUAUACUAAUUAUGCUAAUUACAUUGUUGCUAAAUAUAUACCACCUAGUUCCACAUACCAACAAAAGAGAAAAUUCUUCUAUGACUUAAGACAUUACUUUUGGGAUGAUCCACAUCUUUAUAAACAAGGAGUAGAUGGUAUUAUUAGAUGUUGUGUACCUGAGCAUGAACAGGGAAAAAUCCUACGGAAAUUUCACUCUGAAGCUUAUGGAGGGCAUCAUGCGGGAGAUAGAACUGCUCACAAGGUAUUGUAAUCUGGUUUUUAUUGGCCUACUCUCUUCAAGGAUGCCCGUAAGUUUGUUUUAUCUUGUGAUGAAUGUCAAAGAAUUGGCAAUAUUGGUAAGCGUCAGGAAAUGCCUAUGAAUUAUUCUCUUGCUCUUGAACCAUUUGAUUUUUGGGGUUUUGAUUACAUUGGACCUUUUCCUUCCUCUAAUGGCUAUACACAUAUUUUGGUUGAUGUUGAUUAUGUUACUAAGUGGGUAGAAGCUAUUCCAACAAGUAGUGCUGAUCAUAAAACCUCUAUUAAAAUGCUUAAGGAAGUCAUUUUCCCAAGGUUUGGAGUCCCUAGAUAUUUAAUGACUGAUGGUGGUUCACAUUUUAUUCAUGGCGCUUUCCGUAAAAUGGUUGCUAAAUAUGAUGUUAACCACAGAAUUGAAUCACCCUAUCAUCCUCAGUCUAGUCAUCUUGAACUUAGCAAUGGAUAAAUAAAGUUAAUAUUACAAAAAACUGUCAAUAGGUCCCGAAAGAAUUGGUCUAAAAAAUUAGAUGAUGCACUUUGGGCUUAUAGAACAGCAUAUAAAAAUCCCAUGGGUAUGUCUCCUUAUAAAAGGGUUUAUGGAAAAGCUUUUCAUUUGGCUCUUGAGUUAGAGCAUCACUACAUGAAUCAACUACUUUGCCAUCAGCCACGGCGGACGGCAAAGGCACGGAUGGCGGACGGCACAAGUGGACGGCAACGUACGGGACGGCAAAGAGCUACAUUACCGUCCGCUUCGGGCGGCUGACGGCAAAGGGUCCUUUGCCAUCAGCUGCCGACGGCAAAGAAUACUGACAGCAAUAAUUGCGCUGUUACUCCGUUAGGUGGUUAACGGCAAGCCUUUGCCAUCGGCCGCUGACGGCAAACAUCGGAAGGCCUUUGUCAUCCACUGCUGUAGGCAAAGUUUUUUUUUCUCUUUGCCGUCAGCCACUGUUGGCAAACUGACCAAAUAGGUCAGCCUCCCAGGAAGAACAGUUGCCUGCCACGUGGCCUCUUUGCCGUCCACUACUAAUGGCCUUUUGGGUAGAAAGCGUCCAAAUACUGUCAUAAUUGCGUCAUAGCAUUCUCUGCCCAAGUUGAACUGAGCCUUCAAAGCCAUUACUUGUGAGAUGGCAUCCAACUGACAAAGCUCAGUGUGCUCGUGGAGCGGACGGUUUGAAGACUCCAACAUUUCAUUGAAGGCCUUUGCAGAUUCCUCCAUCUCCUCGUCCGAAUCCCGAGCAUCAUCAUAGUCUUGCACCAUGUUUUCCAUCUCGGUACCAUGCUCGUCGGUACGACGAUGAUCCACCUCAGCUCGGUCACGUUGGGAAGACUCACCAUGAAAUGUCCACACCAUAUAAUCAGGCGUAAAACCAUUCUUCUGCAGGUGUUUACCCAUUUCAGCCUCUGUCCUUUUUUCCCAAUUGCCGCAUCGGAAACAGGGGCUCCAAGUUUUCCUCUGGCCAUUUGCAGAUGCGGCUUGCACAAACCCCUUGGUUUUUGUGAACCAUUCAGCGCUCCAUUUGUUCUGACCAGUGUGACCGGUAUACAUCCACGCACGAUCACUCAUCUUGACUUUCAGAGCUACUGGACACACACCAAUUAUAUAUAUAAUUCACCAUGUAUAUAUUCAUCAGUUGAUCUACUUUAUCAAUUUUAUUACGUCCAUGCAACCUACACUCUAAUAGGUAAUGACAGGUCCUAAUCCCACCCGAGUAUGUGUAGAUUGGGUUCAUUUUCCCAAGCUAUGCUCCGGAUCCGACGCAAAAUUUUGGCAUCACCUCCCCACUGUUCUCCUGAUACACGUCUCUGCAAUAAACAGAGAGGAUGUGUACCCGAAGAACAACAGGGGAGGCUCUGACGAAAUUUAUGCGUCGGAUCCGGAGCAAAGCAUAUGGGAAAACGAACCCAAUCUACACAUACUCGGGCUGUCCAUGGAUAGCGUUGGACAAUUCGAAAGAAUCAAGGUUAUAAAUAUGCAAAUGCAUGCAUAUUUAUAACUAUGAUGCUUUCGAAUGGGAGACACAUAUUGGUUACGCAUACUGAUGAUUCAAGACACAUAUAUAGCUAGCUACCAAAUUUCAUGUCAUUUGUGCAAAUAAUUAAUGGGGGAGAAGGACAUGUCAUUUGUGCUCACCCACGAACGAAGGGGCAGAGCUCGUCAAAUGCACGGCGAGGUCGUCGAACACCAAACCUCGCAGCGAUGAAACAACUGCACAUCUAAAUCUACCCGAUCAACACAAUUAUAUAUGAUGUUUUUCAUAACAAAAUCGAAAAAUAUAUGACCUAACUAAAAAUUCACAAAUAUAUAACCCCGUCGGCCUCUGGAAGGCCAAAGAGCACCUUUUCGGGAGGUUUAGGGGGUCGGGGUGUCAUGUCGGUGUCGGGGUGCUGUUUCGGGGUCAGGGUGUCGUGUCGGGGNNNNNNNNNNNNNNNNNNNNNNNNNNNNNNNNNNNNNNNNNNNNNNNNNNNNNNNNNNNNNNNNNNNNNNNNNNNNNNNNNNNNNNNNNNNNNNNNNNNNNNNNNNNNNNNNNNNNNNNNNNNNNNNNNNNNNNNNNNNNNNNNNNNNNNNNNNNNNNNNNNNNNNNNNNNNNNNNNNNNNNNNNNNNNNNNNNNNNNNNNNNNNNNNNNNNNNNNNNNNNNNNNNNNNNNNNNNNNNNNNNNNNNNNNNNNNNNNNNNNNNNNNNNNNNNNNNNNNNNNNNNNNNNNNNNNNNNNNNNNNNNNNNNNNNNNNNNNNNNNNNNNNNNNNNNNNNNNNNNNNNNNNNNNNNNNNNNNNNNNNNNNNNNNNNNNNNNNNNNNNNNNNNNNNNNNNNNNNNNNNNNNNNNNNNNNNNNNNNNNNNNNNNNNNNNNNNNNNNNNNNNNNNNNNNNNNNNNNNNNNNNNNNNNNNNNNNNNNNNNNNNNNNNNNNNNNNNNNNNNNNNNNNNNNNNNNNNNNNNNNNNNNNNNNNNNNNNNNNNNNNNNNNNNNNNNNNNNNNNNNNNNNNNNNNNNNNNNNNNNNNNNNNNNNNNNNNNNNNNNNNNNNNNNNNNNNNNNNNNNNNNNNNNNNNNNNNNNNNNNNNNNNNNNNNNNNNNNNNNNNNNNNNNNNNNNNNNNNNNNNNNNNNNNNNNNNNNNNNNNNNNNNNNNNNNNNNNNNNNNNNNNNNNNNNNNNNNNNNNNNNNNNNNNNNNNNNNNNNNNNNNNNNNNNNNNNNNNNNNNNNNNNNNNNNNNNNNNNNNNNNNNNNNNNNNNNNNNNNNNNNNNNNNNNNNNNNGGCGGCGCCGGGCGGCGGGGGCGAGGGCGGCGGGGGCGGGGGCGGAGGAGGUCGAGGGAGAGAGAUGAGUAACGGGUAGGGGAGGGGGCUCGGUCGUUAGUUAGGUUAGUUAGGGUAGCCUUUGCCGUCCGCCCUCCUUUGCCGUCCGCUUUUGUUCAUAUUUGCCAUCUGCGGCGGACGGCAAAGCGGGGGGAUGUUAAGUAUUUUUUAACCAGCUCCUCAGUGGGCCCCCCUCCCUCUUUGCCGUCUGCUAGCGGACGGCAAGGAUUCUUUGCCGUCAGCUAGCAGGAGGCAAAGAACAGGCUGAUGGCAAAGGCUUUCUUUGCCAUCAGCCAGUUCUUUGCCGUCUGCUUUCGGGUAGCUGAUGGCAAAGAGCUUCUUUGCCGUCUGCUAGCUGACGGCAAAGAGCUGGCAGAUGGCAAAGUAGCUGAUUCCAGUAGUGCAUAAAGCAUAUUGGCAAUUAAAGAACUCAACUAUGAUUUCAAACUUGCCAGUGAAAAGAGGUUAUUUGAUAUUAUCUCACUAGAUGAAUGGAGAACCCAAGCCUAUGAAAAUGCCAAGUUAUUUAAAGAAAAAAAAAUAAAAGAUGACAUGAUAAGACAAUCCAAAAGCGCGAGUUUAAAGUUGGAGAAUAUGUUCUUUUGUACAACGCUCAUUUCAGAUUCUUUGCAGGCAAACUUCUCUCCAAAUGGGAAGGACCAUAUGUUAUCGAUGAGGUUUAUCGAUCUGGAGCCAUCAAAAUAAAUAAUGCCGAAGGUUGUUAACGGGCAAAGAAUAAAAAAUUAUAUCUGAGGCACACCCAUUAAUGUUGAAAGGAAUAUUAUCCAAACUAUGACACCGGAAGAACACAUAACGGAUACCUUCCUGAAUACUCCAGAAUCAUGAAAAAAAGAGGAGGUACGUGAUACGGUAAGUAAACGGACUCCGAAAAAUCCGCAAAUAUAUUUUUUGUCAGUUUUGGAAUAUAUUAAAAAUUAGGAAAAUAAGAAACAACCAGGAAGGUAGCCCUUGUGGGCACAAGACACCAGGGUGCGCCUAGUUUGCCAGGCGCGCCUAGCUUGCCAGGCGCGCCCAGGUGGGUUGUGCCAACCUCGGGUACCUUCUGAACUCCGUUCUUCUUCCGUUUGCUUGUUUCCCAAGAUAAAAAUCUUUAUAUACCCCCCGAACCUAUUGACCACCGUAUCACGGAGAAAUCUUCUAUUUUCAUUUCCGCUAUUUUCUGACAGAUCUAAUUCACCAUGGCCGCUUCGAGCUCCAUGAUACGUCUCCAACGUAUCUAUAAUUUUUGAUUGUUCCAUGCUAUUAUAUUGCCUGUUUUGGAUGUUUAUGGGCUUUACUUUAUAGUUUUAUAUCAUUUUUGGGACUAACCUACUAAAUGGAGGCCCAACCCGAAUUGCUGUUUUUUUGCCUAUUUUAGUGUUUCGAAGAAAAAGAAUAUCAAACAGAGUCCAAACGGAAUGAAACCUUCGGAAGCGAUCUUUUUGGAACAAAUGUGAUCCAGGGGACUUGGAGUGGACGUCAAGCAACAGAGGAGGUGGCCACGAGGGUACCCGGCGCGCCCCCUACAGGUGGGGGCGCCCCCGACCCUCGUGGUUCCCUCGAGCAUCCACCGACCUACUUCUUCCUCCUAUAUAUACCCACAUACCUUGAAACCAUCGAGGAGCACCACGAAAAACUAUUUCCACCGCCGCAACCUUCUGUAUCCGCGAGAUCCCAUAUUGGAGCCUUCGCCGGCACUCCGUCGGAGGGGGAAUCGACCACGGAGGGCCUCUACAUCAUCUCCAAGGCCUCUCCGAUGAGUUGUGAGUAGUUUACCACAGACCUUCGGGUCCAUAGUUAUUAGCUAGAUGGGUUCUUCUCUCUCUUUGAAUCUGAAUACAAAGUUCUCCCCGAUCUUCUUGGAGAUCUAUUCGAUGUAACUCUUUUUGCGGUGUGUUUGUCGAGAUCCGAUGAAUUGUGGGUUUAUGAUCAAGUUUAUCUAUGAGAAAUAUUUGAAUCUCCUCUGAAUUCUUUUAUGUGUGAUUAGUUAUCUUUGCAAGUCUCUUUGAAUUAUCAGUUUGGUUUGGCCUACUAGAUUGAUAUUUCUUAAAAUGGGAGAGCUUUGGGUUCAAUCUUGCGGUGUCCUUUCGCAGUGACAGCAGGGGCAGCAAGGCACGUAUUGUAUUUUUGCCAUCAAGGAUAAAAAGAUGGCGUUUAUAUCAUAUUGCAUGAGUUUAUCCCUCUACAUCAUGUCAUCUUUCUUAAUGCGUUACUCCGUUCUUUAUGAACUUAAUACUCUAGAUGCAUGCAGGAUAGCGGUUGAUGUGGGGAGUAAUAGUAGUAGAUGUAGGCAGGAGUCGGUCUACUUGUCACGGACGUGAUGCCUAUAUACAUGAUCAUGCCUAUAUAAUCUCAUAAUUAUUUGCUUUUCUAUCAAUUGCUCGACAGUAAUUUGUUCAGCCACCGUAAUACUUAUGCUAUCUUGAGAGAAGCCACUAGUGAAACCUAUGGCCCCCGGGUCUAUCUUUUAUCAUAUAAGUUUACCAUCUACUUUUAUUUGCAUCUUUACUUUUCCAAUCUAUAUCAUAAAAUACCAAAAAUAUAUUUAUCUUAUCAUAUUUUCUCUAUCAGAUCUCACUUUCGCAAGUGGCCGUGAAGGGAUUGACAACCCCUUUAUUGCGUUGGUUGCGAGGUUCUUGUUUGUUUGUGUAGGUGCUUGGGACUUUUGAGGAGCCUCCUACUGGAUUGAUACCUUGGUUCUCAAAAACUGAGGGAAAUACUUACGCUACUUUGCUGCAUCACCCUUUCCUCUUCAAGGAAAACCAACACAAGCUCAAGACAUAGCAAGAAGGAUUUCUGGCACCGUUGCCGGGGAGGUCUUCGCUCAAGUCAAGACAUACCAAGUACCCAUCACAAACUCAUCUCCCUCGCAUUACAUUAUUUGCCAUUUGCCUCUCGUUUUCCUCUCCCCCACUUCACCCUUGCCGUUUUAUUCACCCUCUCUUUCCCAAUUUCCUCUCUCUUUCGCUUGCCUUUUGUGUGCUCAUCGCCGUGGCUAGUCCUCCUAUUAUCGUUAAUACUCCCGAUCAUGAAGUUCUCAAUUUUAAACAAAGGGAGGGAGAAAAUUUAUAGGAUGCUUGUCAUAGAAUUUGCAAUACUCAAAAUAGAUCUACUAGGAAGCAAUCUACUUCCGUUCUUCUUUGCAAUUUUUAUGUAGGCAUUACUCCUUGGAAUAGAUAUAUUCUUGAUACCAUUACCGGAGGAAAUUUCUUGGGUGGCCAUACUUUUGAUGCUUAUAAUGCCAUGUUAGAUUUGUUUGGUCCACCCCCUCUUUUGGUUAAUGGAACUGUUUUAACUUUGGAACAUGUGAUGCAAAGGCUUGAAAUUAUUGAAAAUAAAGUUGCCACUGUUGAGUUAAUUGCAAAUUUGGAUAAAAAGAUCCAUAAUCAAAUUACCCAAUAUGGAUAUAGGGUUGGAGUUACCUUGAAAUUUUAAAGAAAAAGAACCUAUAGUUAAUGAAAGAAUAGAUUUAGAUUCUACAAGAAUUGGUAAACUGGAGGACAUUAUCACCAACUUAGGGUCUGCCUUUUCAUCUGUGAAAAAUACCCCAACUCCCCCUACCAAAAUUGCCAAGGUCAUGUAUGCUCCUAAAAAUAAGGGUGAAUCUUCUAGUAAAGGAAGUGCCGAUCUCAAAUCAAUAAGUGUUCAUCCCAAUUUUCUCGCUAUCAUUAAGGAACCUUUUGCUACAAACGAACUUCUUGAUUUCUUGACUAGGAGUUUAAUCAUUGCUAAAAAUAAAGAAACACCUAAGGAUUAUAAGUGCUCUAUUGAAGAAUUGAGUGCCAAAGAUGGCACUACUUAGAUCUAUCCUCGCUUUUGUGCCUAGCUUGGGGCGUUAAACAAUAAUGCUAGUUGGGAGGCAAACCAAUUUUAUUUUUGUUUUUCUAUUUUUGCUUCUGUUUAGUAAUAAAUAUUUCACCUAGCUUCUGUUUAGAUGCGUUUUCAUGUUUUAAUUAGUGUUUGUGUCAAGUAGAACCUAUAGGAUAACCUACGAUGAUAGUUAAUUUGAUUCUGCUAAAAAACAGAAACUUUGCACGCACAAAAAUAAUUUUAGUAAUUCACAGAAACGUGCUUUUGCGUUGAUUCGUUUUGCUGUAGAUCAAUAGACAAAUUUCCCAGGACUUCCUAUUUUGGUAGGUUUUUUAAAGUUCCAGAAGUAUUCGAGAGUUACAGAUUUCUACAAACUGUUCUGUUUUUGACCGAUUCUGUUUUUCGUGUGUUGUUUGCUUAUUUGGAUGCAUCUAUGGCUAGUAUGUAGGGUAUGAACCAUAGAGAAGUUGGAAUACAGUAGGUUUAACACCAAUAUAAAUAAAUAACGAGUUCAUUACAGUACCUUAUGUGGUGGUUUUUCUUUCUUGCACUAACGGAGCUUAUGAGAUUUCCUGUUGAGUUUUGUGUUGUGAAGUUUUCAAGUUUUGGAUAAAGAUUUGAUGGACUAUGGAAUAAGGAGUGGCAAGAGCCUAAGCUUGGGGAUGCCCAUGGCACCCCAAGAUAUUCAAGGAUAACCAAAAGCCUAAGCUUGGGGAUGCCCUGGAAGGCAUCCCCUCUUUCAUCUUCGUCUAUCGGUAACUUUACUUGGAGCUAUAUUUUUAUUAGCCACAUGAUAUGUGUUUUGCUUGGAGCAUCUUAUAUGAUAUUAGUCUUUGCUUUUUAGUUUGCCACAAUCAUCCUUGCUGUACACACCUUUUGAGAUAAUCCCACUUGAUUGGAAUUUAUUAGAAUACUCUAUGUGCUUCACUUAUAUCUUUUGAGCUAGAUAGUUUUGCUCUAGUACUUCACUUAUAUCUUUUAGACCACGGCGGUGGCUUAAUUUUGAAGAAAUUGUUAUUCUCUCAUGCUUCAUUUAUAUUAUUUUGAGAGUAUCUUUGAACAGCAUGGUAUUUGCUAUGGUUAUAAAAUUGGUCCUAGAAUGAUGGGCAUCCAGGUUGGGUAUAAUAAAAACUAUCAUAGGAAGUGAAAUUGGAUGCUAUGAUCAAUUUGAUACUUGAUACUUGUUUUGAGAUAUGGAGGUGGUGAUAUUAGAGUCAUGCUAGUUGGGUAAUUAUGAAUUUAAAGAAUGCUUGUGUUGAAGUUGGCAAGUCCCGUAGCAUGCACGUAUGGUAACCGUUGUGUAACAAAUUUGAAAUAUGAGGUGUUCUUAGAUUGUCAUCCUUAUGAGUGGCGGUAGGGGACAAGCGAUGGUCUUUUCCUACCAAACUAUCCCCCUAGGAGCAUGCGCAUAGUGCUUGGUUUUUGAUGACUUGCAGAUUUUUGCAAUAAGUAUAUGAGUUCUUUAUUACUAAUGUUGAGUCCAUGGAUUAUACACACUCUUACCCUUACAUCAUUGCUAGUCUCUUCUGUACCGUGCAUUGCCCUUUCUCACCUUGAGAGUUGGUGCAAACUUUGCCGGUGCAUCCAAACCCCGUGAUACGAUACACUCUAUCACACAUAAACCUCCUUAUAUCUUCCUCAAAACAGCCACCAUACCUACCUAUUAUGGCAUUUCCAUAGCCAUUCCGAGAUAUAUUGCCAUGCAACUUUCCACCAUUUCGUUCAUCAUCAUGGAACGCUUCAUCAUUGUCAUAUUGCCUUGCAUGAUCUUGAAGUUGACAUCGUAUUUGUGGCAAAGCCACCAUGCAUAAUUUUUCAUACAUGUCACUCUUGAUUCAUUGCCCAUCUCGGUACACCGCCAGAGGCAUUCAUAUAGAGUCAUAUCUUGUUCUAGUAUUGAGUUGUAAUUCAUGAGUUGUAAAUAAAUAGAAGUGUGAUGGUCAUCAUUAUUAGAGCAUUGUCCCCAAAUAAAAAAAAGAAAGGCCAAAAGAGAAAAGAAGGCCCAAAAAAAGGAGGGCAAUGUUACUAUCCUUUUCCACACUUGUGCUUCAAAGUAGCACCAUGUUAUUCAUAUAGAAAGUCUUCUAUGUUGUCACUUUCAUAUACUAGUGGGAAUUUUUCAUUAUAGAACUUGUCUUGUAUAUUCCUACGAUGGACUUCCUCAAAUUCCCUAGGUCUUCGUGAGCAAGCAAGUUGGAUGCACACCCAUUUAGUUUCUUUUGUUGAGCUUUCAUAUAUUUAUAGCUCUAGUGCAUCUGUUGCAUGGCAAUCCCUACUCCUCAUGUUGACAUCAAUUGAUGGGCAUCUCCAUAGCCCGUUGAUUAGCCUCGUUAACAUGAGAUUUUCUUCCUUUUUGUCUUAUCCACACAACCUCCAUCAUCAUAUUCUAUUCCAUCCAUAGUGCUAUAUCCAUGGCUCACGCUCAUGUAUUGCGUGAAAGUUGAAAAAAGUUUGAGAUUACUAAAGUAUGAAACAAUUUCUUGGCUUGUCAUCGGGGGUGUGCAAGAUGAGAGCAUUCUUGUGUGACGAAAAUGGAAGCAUGACCAAACCAUAUGAUUUUGUAGGGAUGAACUUUCUUUAGCCAUGUUAUUUUGAGAAGACAUGAUUGCUUAGUUAGUAUGAUUGAAGUAUUACUAUUUCUUAUGUCAAUAUGAAAUUUUAUUUUGAAUCAUUUGGAUCUGAAAAUUCGUGCCACAAUAAAGAAAAUUAUAUUGAGAAUUAUGCCAGGUAGCAUUCCACAUCAAAAAUUCUGUUUUUAUCAUUUACCUACUCGAGGACGAGCAGGAAUUAAGCUUGGAGAUGCUUGAUACGUCUCCAACGUAUCUAUAAUUUUUGAUUGUUCCAUGCUAUUAUAUUACCCGUUUUGGAUGUUUAUGGGCUUUACUUUACACUUUUAUAUCGUUUUUGGGACUAACCUACUAACCGGAGGCCCAGCCUGAAUUGCUGUUUUAUUUGCCUAUUUCAGUGUUUCGAAGAAAAAGAAUAUCAAACGGAGUCCAAACGGAAUGAAACCUUCGGAAGCUAUCUUUUUGGAACAAACAUGAUCCAGGGGACUUGGAGUGGACGUCAAGAAAUAGAGGAGGCGGCCACGAGGGUGCCCGGCGUGCCCCCUAUAGGUGGGAGCACACCCCACCCUCGUGGGCCCCUUGAGCAUCCAACGACCUACUUCUUCCUCCUAUAUAUACCCACGUACCCUGAAACCAUCGAGGAGCACCACGAAAAACUAUUUCCACCACCGCAACCUUCUGUAUCCGCGAGAUCCCAUCUUGGAGCCUUCGCCGGCGCUCCGCUGGAGGGGGAAUCGACCAUGGAGGGCCUCUACAUCAUCUCCAAGGCCUCUCCGAUGAGUUGUGAGUAGUUUACCAUAGACCUUCGGGUCCAUAGUUAUUAGCUAGAUGGCUUCUUCUCUCUAUUUGAAUCUCAAUAAAAAGUUCUCCUCGAUCUUCUUGGAGAUCUAUUCGAUGUAACUCUUUUUGCGGUGUGUUUGUCGAGAUCCGAUGAAUUGUGGGUUUAUGAUCAAGUAUAUCUAUGAGAAAUAUUUGAAUCUCCUCUGAAUUCUUUUAUGUGUGAUUAGUUAUCUUUGCAAGUCUCUUCAAAUUAUCAGUUUGGUUUGGCCUACUAGAUUGAUCUUUGUUGCAAUGGGAUAAGUGCUUAGCUUUGGGUUCAAUCUUGUGGUGUCCUUUCCUAGUGACAGCAGGGGCAGCAAGGCACGUAUUGUAUUGUUGCCAUCGAGGAUAAAAAUAUGGGGUUUAUAUCAUAUUGCAUGAGUUUAUCCCUCUACAUCAUGUCAUCUUUCUUAAUGCGUUACUCCGUUCUUUAUGAACUUAAUACUCUAGAUGCAUGCUGGAUAGCGGUCGAUGUGUGGAGUAAUAGUAGUAGAUGCCUACAGGAGUCGGUCUACUUAUCACGGACGUGAUGCCUAGAUACAUGAUCAUGCCUAGAUAAUCUCAUAAUUAUUCGCUUUUCUAUCAAUUGCUCGACAGUAAUUUGUUCACCCACCGUAAUACUUAUGCUAUCUUGAGAGAAGCCACUAGUGAAACCUACGACCCCCGGAUCUAUCUUUUAUCAUAUAAGUUUACCAUCUACUUUUAUAUGCAUCUUUACUUUUCCAAUCUAUAUCAUAAAAUACCAAAAAUAUAUUUAUCUUAUGAUAUUACCUCUAUCAGAUCUCACUUUCGCAAGUGGCCGUGAAGGGAUUGACAACCCCUUUAUUGCGUUGGUUGCGAGGUUCUUGUUUGUUUGUGUAGGUGCGUGGGACUUCUGAGGAGCCUCCUACUGGAUUGAUACCUUGGUUUUCAAAAUCUGAGAGAAAUACUUACGCUACUUUGUUGUAUCACCCUUUCCACUUCAAGGAAAACCAAUGCAAGCUCAAGACGUUGCACUCUUCCAAGGACAAGUUCUUCGAGAACAUCAUCAACCCAUAUCAGCGGGAGGUGAUGUAGCACCCUCAAGCUAUCGAGAUGAGCGAGGUGGUGCUCCACAUUCGCGAUGUGAAAGGCCCCAAAGGGACGGGAUCCGUGGAGGCUAGGCUUGAAGCUAUGGAGCAGGAGGUCUUCCGGUGCAAGGGGAUGGUGGAACAUGGACUCAAUGCCAAUAACCUCAUGAUCGCGGAUUACACCCAUGAUCUCAAGGUGGAUGGCAAGUCCAUGAAGGACAUCAUCUUCACCUUCAACGAGCAAAUCAACUUUCUCCAAAGCCUGAUCUACGAUCUCCAAAACCAAGUAUUUGAAUAUGAGGCAAGGUUUAAAGGUAUGAGUUUGGCUGCCAGUUGCAGGACCCACGAGACUCACUCCUUCUCUUAUGAUGGUGAGCCCCUACCAUGGAAACCUGAGGAUAAGAUUGCUACCAGUUCAUCACCACCACCUCCGUCCUCAUCACCCAAGGAGACUUGAGUAUCGAGUAUGCGCACUCCCCAGCCAAGCUUGGGGGAGGUGCCCCGGUAUUGUAUCACGUCCACCAUCUUCUACCUUAACUUAUCUUAGUUUGAUCCAUAGUUAUAUUUUUCUUUAGAUGAAUAAAAGUUUAGUUCGAUCAUCUCUUUUCGGGUGUUUGCUUAGUGAUACAUCCUUGUAAUCGUGUGCGAGAUAUAUAAGAAAGUUUAGUUUGAGUUCUGUUCUCUUUACUUCCAUUUUCAAUAAAAAGGAAGGAAAUAAAUGAAAAAGAUCAUAUGGUAAUCUUAUGGUAAGUAAUGACACCACAUAAGGAAGAGUAUAAGUAGAAAAUUUUAUUAGAGAUUAACAAACAUAGCAUUGGUCAAUGAUGCAAUUCAUGAAAGAAUUAAUAAGGGAAGAGAAGAUUCACAUGCAAAUAUACUAUCUUGGACAUCUUUUGUGAUUGUGAGCCCCCAUCAAAAUAUUAUAUGCCAAAAUUGUUGACGUUGGACAAGGAAGACAACGUAAUGAUUUAUGUUCGUUCAUAUUCACAUAAAAGUUAUAUUGUCAUAGAUCCUACUUGUGCACAUCUUUGCUAGCCAAACAUUCCGCACUAAGUAAAGAUACUACUUGUGCAUCCAAAAACCCUUAAACGCACAUCUUAUUUUGAGAGUCCACCAUACCUACCUAUGGAUUGAGUAAGAUCCUUCAAGUAAGUUGUCAUCGGUGCAAUAAGGCAAUAAAAACUGCUUCUAAAAGUGUUGGCUUAUUUAGUGUAAGAGAAAAUUGAGCGUUGUACGAACUUGUGAUGGCAAAGAAUAAAAGCGACAGACUGCAAAAUAAAGGUUGCUAUCAUAAGGGGCAAUAUAACGUGGCGUUCUUUUGCACUAAGAGAUUGAGCAUACAAACGAAAAGCGCGUGGCAACCUCUGCUUCCCUCUGCGAAGGGCCUAUUUUUUACUUUUAUGUACUUACUUUUAUGCAAGAGUCAAAUUAUUUCCCUCUACUCCUUUUUAUUUUCUCUUUUGGCAAGCAUCAUGUGGUGAGGAAACAUCUAGGCACAUAUAUCUAGUUGGAUAUGGAUGGCAUGAGUUAUUAUUGUUGACAUCACCCUUGAGGUGAAUACGUUGGGAGGCGAAACUAUAAGCCCCUAUCUUUCUAUGUUCCGGUUGAAACUUUUUGUUCAUGUCUAUGCGGUGAGUGUUAGCAAUCAUAGAAGACUAUAUGAUGGUUGAGUAUGUGGACUUGCCAAAAGGCUCCGAUAUGUGACCCUUCCCUGAAAAGAUGAUGAAUUGUAGUUGCAAAGUUGACUGAGAACAUAAUUUGUUAGUUUUCAAUAGAGUUUAUGCUUUAUACUCCGAUGUUGUGAUGAAUUGUUACUUAUUCAUGAGAAGUUAUAUGAUAAAAGUUUUAUGAUAAAAAUUCUAUGAUAAAGUUUUAUGUUAAAGCUUGUUGCUGUUAUAAUAAUAUACAUGAUGCUUCUAUGUCCGUAUUUUGUUUUUCUCGACACCUCUCUCUCUAAGCAUGUGGAAAUGUUUUUCAAUUUUGGUUUUCGCUUGAGGACAAGCGAGGUCUAAGCUUCAGGGAGUUGAUACGUCCAUUUUGCAUCAUGUUUUCGUACUGUAAUUUAUAAUGUUUUUAUGCAUAAUAAUGCUUUUUGGAGUAAUUCUAAUGCAUUUUCUCUCAUAAUAUGCAAGGUUCACACAAAGAGGGGGAAUACCGGCAGCUGGAAUUCUGGACCUGAAAAAGCUACGCGAGCCCCCUAUUUUUCACAACUCCAAAUGAGAUGAAACUUCACAAGGAUUUUUUAUGGAAUAAAUAAGAAUUAUUGGAGCAAAUAACCACCAGAGGGGGCCCACCAGGUGGGUACAACCCAUCUGGGCGUGCCAGGGAGCCCAGGCGCGCCCUGGUGGGUUGUGCCCUCCUCGGCCCACCUUCGGUGCCCAUCUUCUGGUAUAUAAGUAAUUUUGACCUAGAAAAAACAAGAAAGGACUUUGUGGACUAAGCGUCGCCGUCUUGAGACAGAACUUGGGAAGGAGCACUUUUGCCCUUUGGCGGAGCGAUUCCGCCAGGGGAACUUCUCUCCCGGAGGGGGAAAUCAUCGUCAUCAAAAUCACCAACAACUCUCCCAUCUUGGGGAGGGCAAUCUCCAUCACCAUCUUCAACAACACCAUCCUCAAACCCUAGUUCAUCUCUUGUGUUCAAUCUUUGUACCGGAACUAUAGAUUGGUACUUGUGGGUGACUAGUAGUGUGAAUACAUCUUGUAGUUGAUUACUAUAGAGUUUAUUUGGUGGAAGAUUGUAUGUUCAGAUCCAUUAUGCUAUUUAAUACCCCUCUAAUCAUGAGCAUGAUUAUUAUUUGUGAGUAGCUACUUUUGUUCUUGAGGUCACGGGAGAAAUCUUGUUGCAAGUAAUCAUGUGAACUUGAUAUGUGUUCGAUAUUUUGAUGGUAUGUAUGUUGUGAUUCCCUUAGUGGUGUCAUGUGAAUGUUGACUACAUGACACUUCACCAUACUUGGGACUCAGGAAAUGCAUUGCGGAGUAGUUAUUAGAUGAUGGGCUGCGAGAGUGACAGAAGGUUAAACCCUAGUUUAUGUGCUAUUCCGUAAGGGGCUGAUUUGGAUCCAAAAGUUUAAUGCCAUUGUUAGAUUUAUUCUUAAUACUUUUCUCAUAGUUGCGGAUGCUUGUGAGGGGAUUAAUCAUGAGUAGGAGGUUUGUUCAAGUAAGAACAACACCUAAGCACCAGUCCACCCACAUAUUAAAUUAUCAAAGUAGCGAACACAAAUCAAACCAACAUUAUGAAAGUGACUAGAUGAAAUUCCCGUGUGCCCUGAAGAACACUUUGCUUAUCAUAAGAGGCUGUUUUGGCCUGUCCUUUGCCUCAAAAGGAUUGGGCUACCUUGCUGCACUUUUGUUAUCGUUAUCGUUACUUUCUCAUUACAAAUUACCUUGCUAUCAAACUACUCGUUACUUAUAAUUUUGGUGCUUGCAGACAUUACCUUGCUGAAAACCGCUUGUAAUUUCCUUGUGCUCCUCAUUCGGGUUGACACUCUUACAUAUAGAAAGGACUACGAUUGAUCCUCUAUACUUGUGGGUGAUCAAUUACAGCGGCGGAAAAGUAUUUUGGUGGAUGCUUCUGGUGGUUUUGGAAUAUUUGAGGAUUUAUAGAGAUGAGAGGGAACUCGGUGGACUCCCGGGGGCCCACAAGCCAGGGGGGCGCCCCCCUAGGGCGCGCCCUGAGGGCUUGUGGAGCCCUUGGGACUCUUAUGACCCUCCAAGUUUCAUGGGUGUGUUCUGGUCCAAGAAAAAUCAUCGUGAAAGUUUUAUUCCGUUCAGACUCUGUGUGAUAUUCCUUUUCUGUAAAACUCAAAAACAAGGGAAAAACUGAAACUGGCACUGGGCUCUAGGUUAAUAAGUUAGUCCCAAAAAUAAUAUAAAAUAGCAUAUUAAUGCAUAUAAAACUUCCAAAAUGGAUAAUAUUAUAGCAUGGAACAAUAAAAAAUUAUAGAUACAUUGGAGAUGUAUCAAGCAUGCGCAAGCUUAAUUCCUGCUCGUCCUCGAGUAGGUAAAUGAUAAAACAGAAUUUUGAUGUGGAAUGCUACCUAACAUAUUUAUCCAUGUAAUUUUCUUUAUUGGGGCUUGUAUAUUUAGAUCCAUAAGAUUCAAAACAAAAGUUUAAUAUUGACAUAAAACAAUAAUACUUAAACAUAUUAUUAAAACAACCAUGUCUUCUCAAAAUAACAUGGCCAAAGAAAGUUAUCUCAAAACCGUGACUUCUCAAAGUUGAAAGUUAUCCAUCUUCAUGCACAACCCCGAUGACAAGCCAAGAAAUUUUUUCGUACUUUUGAUGUUCUCAAACUUUUUCAACUUUCACGCAAUACAUGAGCGUGAGCCAUGGAUAUAGCACUAUAGGUGGAAUAGAAUAUGGUGGUUGUGGUGAAGACAAAAAAGAAGGAGAUAGUCUCACAUCAAAUAGGCGUAUUAACGGGCUAUGGAGAUGCCCAUCAAUAGAUAUCAAUGUGAGUGAGUAGGGAACGCCAUGCAACAGAUGCACUAGAGCUAUAAGUUUAUGGAAGCUCAAAAAGAAACUAAGUGGGUGUGCAUCCAACUCACUUGCUCACGAAGACCUAGGGCAAUUGAGGAAGCCCAUCAUUGGAAUAUACAAGCCAAGUUCUAUAAUGAAAAAUUCCCACUAGUAUAUGAAAGUGAUAACAUAGGAUACUCUAUAUCAUGAAGAUCAUGGUGCUACUUUGAAGCACAAGUGUGGAAAAAGGAUAGUAGCAUUGUCCCUUCUCUCUUUUCUCUCAUUUUUUUUAUUUUCGGGCUCUUUGGCCUCUUUUUUUUCCUUUUUUUCUCAUUUUUUAUUAGGGCUUCUUUGGCCUCUUUUAUUUCGUAAAGUCUGGAGACUCAUCCCAACUUGUGAGGGAACCAUAGCUUCCAUCAUCCUUUCCUCACAUGGGACAAUGCUCUAAUAAUGAUGAUCAUCACACUUUUAUUUACUUACAACUCAAGAAUUACAACUCGAAACUUAGAACGAAACAGAACGGUAGAAGUUGCAUGGCAAUAUAUCUCGGAAUGGCUCUAGAAAUACCAUAAUUGGUAGGUAUGGUGGAUAUUUUGAGGAAGGGUAUAUGAUGGGUGUAAUGCACCCGCAAAAUUUGCGCAGUACUAGAGAGGCUAGCAAUGGUGGAAGGGUGAGAGUGCGUAUAAUCCAUGGACUCAACAUUAGCCAUAAAGAACUCACAUACUUAUUGCAAAAUUCUAUUAGCUAUCGAAACAAAGUACUACACGCAUCCUCCUUGGGGGAUAGAUUGGUACGAACAGACCAUCGCUCAUCCCCUACCGCCACUCAUAAGGAAAACAAUCAAUAAAUAAAUCAUGCCCCGACUUCAUCACAUAACGGUUCACCAUACGUGCAUGCUAGGAGAAUCACAAACUUUAACACAAGUAUUUAUUCCAAUCCACAAUUACUCACUAGCAUGACUCUAAUAUCACCAUCUUUAUAUCUCAAAACAAUGAUAAGGAAUCAAACUUCUCAUAGUAUUUAAUGCUCUUUAUGUGAAAGUUUUUAUUAUAUCCCUCUUGGAUGCCCAUCAUAUUAGGACUAAAUUCAUAACCAAAGAAAAUUACCACAUUGUUUAGAGAGACUCUUAAAAUGAUAUAAGUGAAGCAUGUGAGUUCAACAAUUUCUAUGAAAUAAAGCCACCGCCAUGCUCUAAAAAGAUAUAGGUGCACUAGAGCAAAAUUGCCUAGCUCAAAAGAUAUAAGUGAAGGACAUGGAGUAUUCUAAUAAAUCACGAUUCAUGAAUGUACCUCUCAAAAGGUGUGUACAACAAGGAUGGUUGUGGCAAACUAAAAAGCAAAGACUCACAUCAUACAAGACGCUCCAAGCAAAACACAUAUCAUGUGGUGAAUAAAAAUAUAGCCUCAAGUAAAUUUAUCGAUAGACGAAGACGAAAUAGGGGAUGCCAUCUGGGGCAUCCCCAAGCUUAGAUGCUUGGUUGUCCUUGAAUAUUAUUGGUGCCUUGGGAAUGCCCAUGCUUAGGCUCUUACCACUCCUUAUUCCAUAGUCCAUCAAAUCUUUACCCAAAACUUGAAAACUUCACAACACAAAACUCAAUAGAAAACUCAUGAGAUCCAUUAGUAUAAGAAAAAUAAAUCACCACUUUUUGAUAUAGUUGUGAACUCAUUCUUUAUUUAUAUUGGUUUAAUAUAUACUGUAUUCCAACUUCCCCAUGGUUUAUACCCUGAUACUACCCAUAUAUUCAUUAAAAUAAGCAAAAAACACAUAGAAAACAUAAUCUAUAAAAAACAAAACAGUCUGUAGCAAUUUGGAAACUUCAAAUACUUCUAUAACUCCAAAAAUUCUGAAAAAUUAGGACAACCAGGGGAAUUUUGUAUAUCAAUCUUGUGUAAAACAUUCAGAUCAAAAGCACGCUUCUGUGAUUUUUGAAAAUUAAUUUACUGGGCAUAAAAGUUUCUGUGUUUUAGCAAGAUCAAAUCAACUAUCACCGUAAGCCAUCCCAAAGGCCUUACUUGCCUAAAACAGUAAUUAAAACACCAAACACAAUUAAUACAGAGGUAAUAAUGUGUAUUUAUUGAAAAACAGGACCAAAAACCAAAAACAUAAAAAAUAAAAUUGGGUUGCCUCCCAACAAGCGCUAUUCUUUAACGCCCCUAGCUAGGCAUAAACAUAGAUCUAGGUACUGUCAUCUUUGGUAUGCAAUCCGUAUGUAGCUCUCAUAAUAUAUACAUAUGGCAUCUUAAUUUUCUUCCUUGGGAAGUGUUCCAUACCCUUCCUUAACGGAAAUUGAAAUAUAAUGUUUCCUUCUUUCAUAUCAAUAAUUGCACCAAUAAUAGGACAUGUAGGAUAGCAAUCUAUAUCAAGCACAAUGAAAUCUACGAGCACAUAAUUCCUAUUUGCAACAAUAAGAACAUCAUUAAUUCUUCCCAUAGGUUUCUUAAUAAUGGAAUCCACGAGAUGCAAAUUUAAAGAACAAUCAUCAAAUUCUCGAAAACCUAGCACAUCACAAAAGUUUUUGGAAUCGUGGAAAUGCUAGCACCCAAAUAAUAUAAAGCAUGUCACUCAUAAUUUUUAAUUUUAAUCUUAAUAGUAGGUUCCCGCUCAUCAUAAAGCUUUCUAGGGAUAGAAACUUCCGACUCAAGUUUUUCUUCAAAAGAUUUCAUCAUAGCAUCAAUGAUAUGUUUAGUAAAAUCUUUAUUUUGAUUAUAAGCAUGAGGAGAAUUCAACAUGGAUUGCAACUAGGAAAUACAAUAUAUCAAAGAAAAAUUAUCAUAAUUAAAAUCCUUUAAAUCCAAAAGAGUGGGUUCAUCGCUACUUAAAGUUUUGACCUCUUCAAUCCCACUUUUAUCAAUUUUUGCAUCAAGAUCUAUAAAAUCCAAAUCACUGGGACGCUUUUUAAGUAAAGUUGCCUCAUCUCCAGUCCCAUAUUUAUAAAGAUUUAUAUUGGAAAAAACUAUUCAAUAGGAGUCACAUCAAUCACUUUAAGAUCUUCAUCAUUGUUUUCACGAAAACUAGAAGAACACGCUUUCACAAACCAAUCUCGCUUAGCACGCAUCCUAGCGGUUCUUUCUUUGCACUCAUCAAUAGAAAUUUUAAUAGCUUUCAGAGAUUCAUUAAUAUCAUGCUUGGGUGGAAUAUAUCUAAUUUUUAAAGAAUCAAUCUCAAGAGAAAUUCUAUCCACGUUCCUAGCCAAAUCAUCAAGCUUAAGCAAUUUUUCUUCAACCAUAGCAUAGAAAUUAUUUUGAGAACUAAUGAAAUCUUUAAUAUAUAUUGUUCUCAAGAUCAGAUGGCAUCUUAUUAUAAUUUCUAUAAGAAUCAUUGUAGGAAUUACCAUAAUUAUUAGAGGAAUUACUAGGAAAUGGCCUAGGAUUAAAGUUACCUCUAUACGCGUUAUUACCAAAAUUGUUCCUUCCAACAAAAUCCACAUCCAUAGAUUCAUUAUUAUUCUCACUCAAAGUAGACAAAGGCAUAUCAUUAGGAUCAAUAGGAGCACUCUUACUAGCAAACAAUUUCAUAAGUUCAUCCACCUUUCCACUCAAAAUAUUAAUUGCUUCAAUCGCUUGCACUUUUUUACUAGUAGAUGAUCUUUCGGUAUGCCAUUGAGAGUAAUUAGCCAUGAUAUUAUCUAGGAGUUUAGUAGCUUCUUGAUACGUCUCCAAUGUAUCUAUAAUUUAUGAAGCAUUCAUGCUAUAUUAUUAUCUGUUUUGGAUGUUUAUGGGCUUUAUUAUACACUUUUAUAUUACUUUUGGGACUAAUAUAUUAACCGGAGGCCCAACCCAUAUUGCUGUUUUCUUGCCUAUUUCAGUGUUUGGAAGAAAAGGAAUAUCAAACAGAGUCCAAACGGAAUGAAACCUUUGGGAGAGUUAUUUUUGGAAUGGAAGCAAUCUAGGAGACUUGGAGUACACGUAAGGGAAGCAACGAGGAAGCCACGAGGCAGGGAGGCGCGCCCUACCCCCUGGGCGCCCCCACCCUCAUGGGCCCCUUGUGGCUCCCCUGACCGACUUCUUCGCCUAUAUAUGUCCAUAUACCCUAAAAACAUUGAAGAGCACAAUAUAUCGGGAGUUCCACCGCCGCAAGCCUCUGCAGCCACCAAAAACCGAUCGGGACCCUAUUCUGGCACCCUGCCGGAAGGGGAUCCCUCACCGGUGGCCAUCUUCAUCAUCCUGGUGCUCUCCAUGAUGAGGAGGGAGCAGUUCACCCUCGGGGCUUAGGGUAUGUACCAUUAGCUAUGUGUUUGAUCUCUCUCUCUCUCUCUCUCUCUCUCUCUCUCGUGUUCUUGAUUUGGCACAAUCUUGAUGUAUCGUGAGCUUUGCUAUUAUAGUUGGAUCUUAUGAUGUUUCUCCCCCUCUACACUCUUGUAAUGGAUCGAGUUUUCCCUUUGAAGUUAUCUUAUCGGAUUGAGUCUUUAAGGAUUUGAGAACACUUGAUGUAUGUCUUGCAUGUGCUUAUCUAUGGUGACAAUGGGAUAUCACAUGAUCCACUUGAUGUAUGUUUUGGUGAUCAACUUGCGGGUUCAGUGACCUUGUGAACUUAUGCAUAGGGGUUGGCACACAUUUUCGUCUUGACUCUCCGGUAGAAACUUUGGGGAACUCUUUGAAGUUCUUUGUGUUGGUUGAAUAGAUGAAUCUGAGAUUGUGUGAUGCAUAUCGUAUAAUCAUACCCACAGAUACUUGAGGUGACAUUGGAGUAUCUAGGUGAAAUUAGGGUUUUGGUUGAUUUCUGUCUUAACGUGUUAUUCUAGUACGAACGCUAUGAUAGAUCGAACAGAAAGAAUAGCUUUGUGUUAUUUUACUACGAACUCUUUAAUAGAUUGUUCAGAAAUGAUAACUUUGAGGUGGUUUCGUACCCUACAAUAAUCUCUUUGUUUGUUCUCUGCUAUUAGUGACUUUGGAGUGACUCUUUGUUGCAUGUUGAGGGAUAGUUAUAUGAUCCAGUUAUGUUAUUAUUGUUGAGAGAACUGGCACUAGUGAAAGUAUGAACCCUAGGCCUUGUUUCCUACCAUUGCAAUACCGUUUACGCUCACUUUUACCACUUGUUACCUUGCUAUUUUAUAAUUUAAGAUUACAAAAACCUAUAUCUACAAUCCAAAUUGCACUUGUAUCACCAUCUCUUCGCCGAAAUAGUGCACCUAUACAAUUUACUAUUGUAAUGGGUGUGUUGGGGACACAAGAGACUCUUUGUUAUUUGGUUGUAGGGUUGUUUGAAGGAGACCAUCUUCAUCCUAUACCUCCCACGGAUUGAUAAACCUUAGGUCAUCCACUUGAGGGAAAUUUUCUACUGUCCUACAAACCUCUGCACUUGGAGGCCCAACAACGUCUACAAGAAAGAAGGUUGUGUAGUAGACAUCAUUUCUCCUAAUGUGAUUUCCAUAAAAGUACCUCCCGCGGCUGAAUCUAAAAGAUUUCUAGAUGCAAAAUUCAAUCCGACAUAAAUUUUUUGUAUGAUCAUCCAUAAACUUAAACCAUGAGUAGGGCAAUUUCGUAUCAUCAAUUUCAUCCUCUCCCAAGUUUGUGCAACAUGUUCAUGAUCAAGUUCCUUAAAAUUCAUUAUAUCGUUCUGUCGAUGUACAGAAGUAGGGGCUCUCUUUUGUACCCCUUUACUUGUGCACGAGCAGUCAGAGCCACGCCCAUGGCCACACUUAGCAGGGCAGAGGAAGGAAGUAAAAGUACAAGACUACCGAAGCGGCGCUCAAACUAGGGGCACAAAAGGUAAAGCGACAAGAUGGGUUUCCCCCGGCAAGAGCCUUGCUAGGGCAACUUGCCCAGCACCAACAGAGCGUGCCACCCUUGAGCCCAAGGGUUCCAACACCAUCGACCACAUUGGAACCAAGGCUCGGGAGGCACCUCCGUGGUUGCAUGCAGAUCUUCGUGAAGAUUGUCGGAUUUAGGGUUCCGGAAAAACCCUUGAGGUUCGAACAUUGGGGUGCGCACGAAGAUUUCCCCCUACCGAAUCUCGCCCUCAGCCUCGCCGCGAUUUCUAAGCUUAGCUCGAUGAACUCACAACACAAGAGACAAAAGAUUUAUACAGGUUUGGGCCACCGUUGUGGUGUAAUACCCUACUCCUGUGUGGUGGUGGUGGAUUGCCUCUUGGGCUGAUGAUGAAUAGUGUAAGCAAAGAACAACCUCCUGAGGAGAGGUGUUCUUAUGCUUCGUGGGUGGCAUUCUACUUGUUCUUGUUUUGGGUCCCCUUCUACUAUGGUGGCUAGUCCUAUUUAUAGAGGCCCUGGUCCUCUUCCCAAAUAUUGAGCGGGAAGGGAUCCAACAACGGCCAAUUUGAAAGGGGACAACUAGUACAAGCUAUCCUGACUAAAGGUGGUCUUCGCCUUUCAAAGGCACUGGUGGUGACGCCGUCUUGGGCUCCACGAUGACCUCCAUCCUGCUGUCCUGCUGGUCUUGGUCUUGUUGCACCGAUAUGGAAACCUUUGCCUGAUGCCUCGGAACUCCGCACCUACGCUUGUCCCCUUAGCACCAAAGGGGAAACAAGGAUACUACACGCUAGCGCCUGCCUGGCGCUCACCUGGCAUUGGUCGUCAUGGCUUGUGCUCACGAGGUACCCCUUGCCUUGAUCUCUCCGCCCCCUCGCGAGCCUGCCAGGUGAGGCCGCUCCUGGGGAGGCCUCAUGUCGUCCACCUCGCGAGGCUUGGCCCCUCACGAGGAUCUUGAGUGUUGGUUGACGAAGAUGGGGCGUACUGGGCCACUGGUGGAGCCACGCCGUAGGCCGCAGGCAGGAAAGUCUGGGGACCCUGUUCCCAGAACACCUACAGUAGCCCCCGGGCCCAAGGCACGCUCGGACUUGGCUUAGCGGCGAAGCCAAAGGGCUAGUGCAAAGCACCGCUGGCCCCAACAGCCUGCGGCCUUGGUCGAUGCGUGGCGACUGGUUGGACGUGGGCGUCUCCGCUUCCCCACGCUACCUCGACAACUGCCCGUCUGACAAAAGGCUGGCUCAGGCAAGGCUUGCCAUCAUUGCUUCCAUUCGUCUUGCUCCAGAUCCCCUUCCUCGUUGCUUGCUUCUGAAAUCUCCAGAUCCGCUUCGAUCCUUUCCCUUUCAGCGACCGAUGGCGCCUCGCAAGGCCAAGGUUGAUGCGCUGCCAGCUUGGUAAGCGCCAGCCCUGGACGCGCCCAUUGUCCUGGAGAAGAAUCUCGCCACCACGCGCCUGCUGACAGUGGGGGAGAGCAAUGAAAAGGGGAAGACCAAACUCUGGGCUGGCUCCGCUGUGCCGGAGGCUCGGGGGAGCACCUUCUAUCCCUUAUUCAUGAACGCCAUCGUCGCAGGCCUUGUUCCCCCCUUCUCCAACUUCUUCUACGCCAUCCUCCGCCAUUACAGGUUGCAGGCCCUUCAUCUCCAUCCCAACUCCAUUCUUCUCUUGUCGAUUUGCGCCUACUACUGCGAGGCGCACGUUGGGGUGAUGCCGUCCAUGGUUCUGCUGCUCCACUUCUUCCUCCUCUGAACCAACGGCGACCACACCUCAGCGUGCACCAAUUUCAUCACAUACGGCAAGGCCAAUGCAAUCUUGAAGGUCGGGAAGAGGGUCGACGGCUUUCGGAGCAAGUGGGUCAUGAUGGAUGCCAAGUGUGUCCACCCCUGGUUGGCGCUACCAACGGAGAUGCUCCAAUCUGACGAAGGGUGGUCUCGCACGAAGCUCACUGACGAUCGGGCGACGUUGGUGCUGGAGAGGAUGAACGCCGACCUGAAGCCGGGCAAUGCAAAGGCGGCGAAGCUGAUGGGGGCCGUGCUGCUGAGGGAGUUCUUGAUGCAGCGGGUGGCUCCGCUUCAGGUGCACUCGCGCCCCUUGUGGAUGCUCGAGGGUGUAGACGACAAGCUUCGCCUGAAUCCAGUGGCUUUGGCUGAUGAGGAGCUUGCCGCGGUUCUUCGCCUCUUGGCUGGGGACGACCAAGAGUAUCCGCCGAGUGCCCUUGUCCCCUUGUUCCUCCGCAAGGACAGGGCGCAGGUGGUUUUGAUGGGCGUAGCCUAGUGCCACCGGCGCCCCUUGCGGUCCAGGAGAUGGCGGUGCCGGUGAACGUGUCGUCAGGUGACUCCCGUGAGGGAGGAGAAGAGGAGGAAGAUGAGGAGCACGACCCAGAGGCAACUCCGAGGAGACGGGGGAGACCUCCCCCUUGUGCAAGGCUAACCUCCUCCGGACGAUGCCGGAUGAAGACAAUGAUGACGAUGCCCCCCUGGGGAAGAAAGAGCCAUGCACGGCAGGAGGUCCCUCGCGAGCCAAGCCCAGCCUCCUGAGGGGGCCUCCGGCCGAGGUUCUGAUGAAGAGCAGGGCGUCGCUGAUCUCCUGAGAGACCGCUUCUGCCCGGACGCCGCCUGGAGCCGCUUCCUGCCCUUCUACUGCGCCUUCUCCUGUUCCUGGAGCCCUUGUGGCUGCGCCCUGGGCCGCGAGGCUCUCGGGCUUCAAGCUCAGCAAGAGGAAGGUCGACUACACCAUGGUAGACCAGUAAGUGUCCAUGCUCCGUCUUGUUCUUGAUUAUGCUGUUGGUACUUGACAUUCUCCAUUGAUUGGCUAGGCUGCCGCCUGCGGUGAAGAAGAGGAAGGAGGACGAGGUGACGCCGUCUGGGGCCAAUCCAUCUGCCAUGGCCGCACCUUCUUCCGUGAGGAGGGGAGGCGAUGGUGCUGACACCUCCCCUUCCCGGUCAUCCUCGCGAGGCCUGGGAGGGCAUCUUCGUGAAGAGUCAGCCGCCAUGGCCCUGAUGGCUCCGGAGGUGCUGUUACCGGAUGCUGCUGCCGAGGUACCCAAGGCUCAGGAGCCCCUGGUCUCCCAAACCCUGGCUACGCUGCCGCCUCCUCCUUCUGCCGUGAUACUGGUUCCAGGUCCUUCUGCCUCCCCCGAUGUCUUGGAACAUGUACUUUCCGAGAUGGCCCAGCUACGAGAAGACCUCCAGGGCGCCGAAUCCCAUCUGGUAUCUGGGCGUUUGGAGCUGGUUUCCGGCUGGCUUCACUCUAACGCCUCUGUCUGAGCGGCGCUGAGGAGGGUCGCGGCAGCCUCUGAGGAGGAGAAGCGGGCCGCCACCCGAGUCGCAGCUGCUCGCGAGGUGGCGCUGAAGGACGUCGUCGCCGCCCAGGACGGCUGCAAGGCACUGGAGGCCGAGCUAAAGGAUUCGCACGACAAGCACGCCGAAGAAGCUCAUGACUGCUAGGCAGAGGAGGAGAGGAUGAAGGCUCGGGAGGACGCCGUCAGGGGCCGCGACACCGAGCUAGCGCGGUUGGUGGAGGCGCAGGCCACUGAGCGCGGCCAGUUAGAAAAGCUGGAGUAGAAGGUGAGUGCGGAGCAGGCCGAGCUUGACGCCAAGGCGAAGGUCCUGGCCGAGGACCGCACGGCCUUUGCACUCCUCGAGGUGAGGUCUCGUGUGGUGCUGAAGGCACUCUAUGAGAAGGGCCUGGAGAAGCCGCUGACUACCGACGAGGAUGGCCCCGCCCAGCUGCUUCUUUACUUGGUCUAGGCACUUGAGGAAGUCGUGAGCAGCAUCGGCCCCAUGGCAGAGGAAGAAGCUCGCGUCCUUUCUUCUACUGCACUGACACGCGUCUUCAGCCACCUCCACCUCCGUAACCCUGACGCCAAUCUUGACGAGCUGCUGGAGCCUGUGAACGGCGAGUGCUAUGCCGCUGCUGCUGAAGCCGUGAAGGGCUAGGUGGAGGCCUUGUUGGAGAAGUUCCGUGCCUUCGAUCCUGCGCCAAUGGCAGGCAGUGCUGCUGAUCCUGUGGCCCCGGGUGGUGGUACAGGUGAAGGCGGCGCCACCACGGGAGUGGAGUCCCUGCUGGGCGACAGCAGUGUCCAAGGAUGACUGACUUACGACUUCUUUCCUGCUUAAUCCCUACAAUGUGCACCAUGCCUCGUGGAGGCGUUUAAACUUGCAUCUGGUAUUGUGAAGACAAUUAUGGUUUGUAAUAUUUGCAUCAAGAUUUUGUAGUUUCCUUCCUAUUUGCUUUACGCUCUAUGUCGGUAGGGCCCAGCCCCGCGCGUACCUCAGCCGCCAUUGGCCCCGACCGGAUCACCAGGACGGGACCAAGGAGUGAGGGGCUACAUGACCAGUUAGGCUCCUGAGUCGUGAUGCUCAGGAGUCCCCCUUGACGCGCAAACAACAAAUAGGGAGGGAACCUAGGAGUAGAUUUAGCGUUCUAUGUCGACAGAGCCCGGCCCCGCGCAUACCUCAACCGCCGUUGGCCCCGACCGGAUCACCAGGACGGGACCAAGGAGUGAGGGGCUACAUGACCAGUUAGGCUCCUGAGUCGCGAUGCUCAGGAGUCCCCCUUGACGUUCAAACGACCUUCAUACCUUAGUUCCGCUCGGGGAGGGGCGCGCGACGACCAGGUCUGGAGGACCUGGCUGUGUGGCGCACGCUCGGGCGUGACCCGGGCACAGCCCCCGUGCCCAGCCCCCUCACGCAACGCUCCCGAGGGGAGGUGUUGCGAUGAGGCCAGACACUGAGCUCUGGGGCUCCCGAGGUUGAUACGGCCGUGGGGCCGCCCUCAGUUGUUUAUCACCAGUGUGGAGCAUAGUGCUUCCGUAUGUGUACGGUGUUGGAAAUAUGCCCUAGAGGCAAUAAUAAAUAUGUUAUUAUUAUAUUUCUUUGUUCAUGAUAAUAGUCUUUUAUUCAUGCUAUAACUGUAUUAUCCGGAAAUCGUAAUACACGUGUGAAUACAUAGACCACAAUAUGUCCCUAGUGAGCCUCUAGUUGACUAGCUCGUUAUGAUCAACAAAUAGUCAUGGUUUCCUGGCUAUGGACAUUGGAUGUCGUUGAUAACGGGAUCACAUCAUUAGGGGAAUGAUGUGAUGGACAAGACCCAAUCCUAAGCCUAGCACAGAUCGUGUAGUUCGUAUGCUAAAGCUUUUCUAAUGUCAAGUAUCUUUUCCUUAGACCAUGAGAUUGUGCAACUCCCGGAUACCGUAGGAAUGCUUUGGGUGUACCAAACGUCACAACGUAACUGGGUGGCUAUAAAGGUGCAUUACAGGUAUCUCCGAAAAUAUCUGUUGGGUUGGCACGAAUCGAGACUGGGAUUUGUCACUCCGUGUAAACGGAGAGGUAUCUCUGGGCCCACUCGGUAGGACAUCAUCAUAAUGUGCACAAUGUGACCAAGGGGUUGAUCACGGGAUGAUGUGUUACGGAACGAGUAAAGAGACUUGCCGGUAACGAGAUUGAACAAGGUAUCGGUAUACCGACGAUCGAAUCUCGGGCAAGUAAAAUACCGCUAGACAAAGGGAAUUGUAUACGGGAUUGAUUGAGUCCUUGACAUCGUGGUUCAUCCGAUGAGUUCAUCGUGGAACAUGUGGGAGCCAACAUGAGUAUCCAGAUCCCGCUGUUGGUUAUUGACCGGAGAACGUCUCGGUCAUGUCUACAUGUCUCCCGAACCCGUAGGGUCUACACACUUAAGGUUCGAUGACGCUAGGGUUAUAAAGGAAGUUUGUAUGUGGUUACCGAAUGUUGUUCGGAGUCCAGGAUGAGAUCCCGGACGUCACGAGGAGUUCCGGAAUGGUCCGGAGGUAAAGAUUUAUAUAUGGAAAGUUGUUGUUCGGCUUCCGGAAAAAGUUCGGGUUUUUUCGGUAUUGUACCGGGAAGCUUCCAGGAGGUUCCGGAGGAUUCCGGAGGGGUCCGGAGGUCCGGAAAUUGUUCCACCACGUCCAAUACAGUAGCAUGGGCUGUAAGGGGGAGCCCUAGCCUUUAUGGGCCAAGGGAACCAGCCCCCCAAGGCCCAUGCGCAUGGGAAGGGGGAAACCCUAAAGGGGGAGGCCUCCACUUGACUUGGGAGGCACUCCUCCCCCCUUGGCCGCACCCCUUGUGGUGGGAAACCCUAAAGGGGGCGCAGCCCCCCCUUCCCCCUAUAUAUAGUUGAGGUUUGGGGCUGCUAAACACAUGAGAACUUCUCCUCUUGGUGCAGCCCUACCUCUCUCCCUUCUCCUCAUAUCUCGCGGUGCUUGGUGAAGCCCUGCAGGGUUGCCACGCUCCUCCACCACCACCACGCCGUUGUGCUGCUGUUGGAUGGAGUCUUCCUCAACCUCUCCCUCUCUCCUUGCUGGAUCAAGGCAUGGGAGACGUCACCGGGCUGUACGUGUGUUGAACACGGAGGUGCCGUCCGUUCGGCACUAGGAUCUCCGGUGAUUUGAAUCACGACGAGUACGACUCCUUCAACCCCGUUCUCUUGAACGCUUCCGCUUAGCGAUCUACAAGGGUAUGUAGAUGCACUCUCCUUCCCCUCGUUGCUGGUUUCUCCAUAGAUAGAUCUUGGUGACACGUCGGAAAAUUUUGAAUUUCUGCUACGUUCCCCAACAUACGGGCAUAGCCGCUCCUUGGUAGUGUCAUCUGCCAGCGCGGAGCAUGAUGCUUCCACUGGUGCAUGGGAGGGGUGCUCCCUCUAAGGAGAGCCCUCGAGGCGUGUGCAGCACCACCCUGGCAUGUGGCUUGCACGGCAGGGCUAAACGAGGUGUAUCUGGGCACUCAUGAGCCAGCACGGGACUCACGAGGCCCUACCUCAAGGUGGGUUGCGCCUGGUCUUGGAUCUUUGACAACUGUGUGUUCUUGCGAGAUGGUUAGGUAUAAAUGCUCUGCAUCCUCAGGUCCAAACCCUCGAGCGAUCUCAACCGCCGCUGGUAUGCCAGGUUGCGAUAUCAUGGUUAAGGCCAGGGGGUGAGAGCCAAUAAGAGCUCCUGAGUUGCGAUGCUCAGGAGCCCCCCUUUUAACGCGCAAGCGAACUGCAUGAGAGAGGAAGGGAGCCAUGGUAGGUGGUAAUCGAGAAGGUGAUAAUCACAUGUAGAUUAGGCAUGAAAAGCAACCAACUUAGGUAAAUGCAGAAUUUAUACAUGCCACUAGGUCAGACCCAAGCCAUCGGCGUUCUGGGAACGGGGGUCCCCAGACUUGCCUGCCUACGGCGUGGCUCCAUCGGUGGCCCAGUACGGCCCGUCUUCAUCAACCAACACUCAAGACCCUCGUGAGGGGCCAAGCCUCGCGGGGCGGACGACACAAGGCCUCCUUAGGACUGGCCUCGCCAGGCAGGCUCCCGAGGAGGCAGAUCAAGGCAAGGGGAACCUCGCGAGGUUCCCAUGACACAAGCUGUGACGAUCGAGACCAGGCGGGCGCCAGGCCGCGCAGUGUCCUCGUUUCCUCUUCGGGGUAAAGGGGGCAAGCGCAGGCGCGGAGUACUGAGGCAUCGGGCAAAGGUUUCUAUAUCGGUGCAACAAGACCAAAGACCAGCAGGACGGCUGGAUAGAGGUCACCGUGGACCCCAAGACAGCGUCAUCACCAGCACCUUUGGCAGGAGAACACCACCUUUAGUCAGGAUAGCUUGUACUAGUUGUCCCCUUUCAAACUGGCCGUUGUUGGAUCCCUUCCCGUUCAAUAUUUGGGAAGAGGACCAGGGCCUCUAUAAAUAGGGAUAGCCACCACAGUAGAAGGACAAGUUGAGUUCAUCCGCACACCACACCACCUCAAUAACACCUCUCCUCGCGAGGCUGUUCUUCCUCUAUACUGUUCAUCAUCAGUCGAGGAGGCAAUCAACCACCACACACAGGAGUAGGGUAUUACACCACAACGGUGGCUUGAACCUCUAUAAAUCUUGUGUCUCUUGUGCUUUGAGUUCAUCGAUCUAGCUUAGGGAUUGGGGCGAGGCUGAGAGCGAGAUUCGGUAGGAGGAGAUCUUCAUGCGCACCCCAGUGUUCGAACCUUAAGGGUUUUGUCGGAACCCGAUAUCCGUCACAAGCGCUUGGGAAUGAUGCAGCCCGAGGGGCGCCCCCAUCAACGUAAGCUAAAGGAUAAAAAAGAGAUACAUGCCGCAGGGAUGGACCCACGCGGCCUGGGAAUGAUGCGGCCCUGAGGGCACUCCCAGCUGAAAUGAACUUGGGAGAUGUCACCUUUUUCGUUAUAGAGCGGGUGUUGGGGCAGCUGAAGAUGUGCGGUGAAGACCCCGACCCUCACGAGCCACCUGGGCCCUAAGCCUUAGGAGGCUCUGGGGGUCCAGGUGGUUCCAUGAGGACCAUCUCCAUCUCUGCUAGGACCGCGUGGUGCCUGGCCUCCUGAGCCACCAGGAUGCUCUACAGGUGACGCUGGUAGGUGGCAGCCGCGUUCGGUAGGCCGAAAGACAUGCAAACAUAGCUAUGCGGCGGACCCUCCUAGUGUCCCACGCGCGAAGGCCAGAAGAGCUCCUGAGAUGUGGCUUGGUUUAGCCCUGGAAUGUCGAUGCAGACGCGCAGCCCACCAUCCUCGCCUGGAUGGGGAGCUACGCCAGGCGAGCGGUAGUCGCCAUGCACGACCCUCGCUUCCUGAAGAUCCUGAGUGGUCUUGGCAAUGCACUCCUGAACGUUGGGCUUUCCAUGCCCUGUGUCUUCCUGAGGGAAACAUGUUGUGGAGCACGCCUCCAAGUGGUGCCUGAGCGCCUCCCUCGUGAUGUUGGCGAGGUCUAAGGCCCUCUAGAAGAGAGCCCCCGAGCCUUGCCCAAGGAGGGUGCCGGGCGCGCCUUUCUAUGUGAUGGAAGGAGGUGCCCCAGGCACAGGCGCUGAUCCUGACGCGGCACCACCCGAGAUGCCGACCUCCUGAGGCCUUGUGCGGAGCGGUUGCUUCUUCUUCUUAGGGAUGGCCUCAGGAGGGUUCUCGCCCUUGCUAUCCGGGUCCUCGAUUGCUGCGGCUUGGAAGGCACAUUCGAGGGAACACACCGCAUCUCUCUCUUCGCAGGGGACCGGAUGACUCCGGUGCUUCCUGGCAUCUUGAGGACGUUGUAUCCGUGGUGGGUCACUGCCAUGAACUUGGCCAGGGCAGGAUACCCGAGGAUGGCAUUGUAUGGCAGGUGGAUGUGGGCGAUGUCGAAGUCGAUGAGCUCGGUGCGGUAGUUGUCACGCUAUUCGAAGGUGACACGGAGGCAGACCUGCCCUAUCGGGGUGGUGGAACCGUCAGUGACUCCUGAGAAAGGCUUGGUAGGCUGGAGCUGAUCGUAUGGCACUUGAAGGUUGUCGAACAUCUCAAUAGAUAAGACGUUAAGCCCGCGCCGCCAUCGAUGAGGGUCUUGGUGACUUGCACAUUGCUGAUGAUUGGUGAACAGAGCAUCGAGAGAAAGCCAGCAGUAGCCGCGCACUUGAGUUGAUCUGCCGAGCUGAAGUUGAUGGCGCACUUGGACCACCUGAGCGGGCGUGUGGUCUCGAGCCUGGGAAGGGCUGCGUUCACCUCACGAGCAAACUGCUUGAAGAUACGCUGAGAGGACGGGGCCUGAGCUCCGCCCAAGAUGCAAGCGCUAGCACGUGGCUCCUGGAAGGCCCCAGCCCCCUCGUCCUAAUGAUGGUCGUCAUUCCUUCUUGGCGGCGGCAGCAGCGGAAGAAGGCCUGCGUUACCCUGGGGGCGGUCCUCACGAGGUUGAUCCCUCCAGGCGCCCUCACGAGGCCGGUCCCUCUAGGUGCCCUCACAAGGCUGGUCACGCCACUCCUGGCGAGGGCCACGGUCGUCCCAUCGUCCUCCGCCAUGUCCUCCUCCUCGGCCGUAGCCCCGGUAGUUUCCCUCGGGGCGUCGACCGAAGCGUCCUUCUCAAACGGCCCUGAGCUCCUGGCAAUCGUUAGUGUAGUAGGUGUGGAGGUUUUGGUAGGCGCAGAACGGUCAGCUGCCCUUGGACGACUCCGGAUGGUCCCUACCACACUUCAUGUCGGGCUCCGCCGCGAGCACGGCCACUCCCUUGCUCUUCACGUCCUUAGCCUUGGUCUUCUUUUCUUCCGGGUCGGCAGCUGGGAGCUCAAGGAGGGAGAGGCGUCCCUCCUCAGCUAUUGCACACUUGGUCGCCAGGUUGAACAGCUCCAGGGAUGUGCAUAACUCCUCAUGGAUGGUGAGCUUCUCCUUCAUAUUGAUGUCAUGGACGCCAUCAGAGAACGCUGAGAUGAUGGCCUUGUCCGUCACCUUGGGGAUCUUGAGGUGGACGCUGUUGAAGCGCUAGAUGUAUUUCUGCAGGGUCUCCCCGGGCUGCUGCUUGAUGCGGCGCAGGUCACCCAUGGCCGGGGGGCGGUCGCGAGUGCCCUUGAAGUUGGCGAUGAAGCGGCUGCGCAUCUCGUCCUAGGAGGAGAUCGAUCCGGGAGGCAAGUUCAGGAGCCACGAGUGGGCAUCGUCCUUGAGUGCCAUGGGAAACCAAUUCGCCAUGACUUUCUCGUCGCCUUUGCCCGCCUCAAUGCUCAGCUCGUAGAGCUCAAGAACUCCAUGGGGUCGGGGGUGCCGUCAUAGCGAGGAGGUAGGUCCGGCUUGAACUUGCCCGACCAGGCGACACUAUGCAGCUCGGGGGUGAAGGUGCGGCAGCCUGCUGUGGUCACCGGGGCCCUUUGCUGAUGCGGAGCUUGCUCUUGAUGGUACCCGCGCACCGCGGCCAUGGGCAGUACGUGGUCUUGUCGUGCCGGUGCGGGAGCACGGGGGUGCCUCUCGAGGCCGAGGGAUUUCUUGAUAGCUUCCUCCUUCUCGCGCGGGCGCCGGACGCGAUGGGUCACGCCCGGGGGCCACGCGCCUUGGCGCCAGGGCGCCGUCUUGGGGCAGAGGUGUUGGAGGCGCUUCAUGAGCCACGUCGCCCAUACCUGGCGGAGGGCGAGGCAACGAGAGGGACGGCGUGGGAGAGCCCCCUGCGGCGCUGACGAGCUCGGUGAUGCGAGCGAGAAAUUCCUUGUAGAGGUCAUCGACGGGGCGGUAACGCGGGAGCUCGCGUGCCAUAAGCAGCGCGGCCUACGUGUCUGUGGGGGCGCGACGAGCGUGGGACGAUGAACCGGCUGGGGUCAGCGAUGGAGUGGCGGUGUGGCCGUCCCGCCGCACCGAGGUGUGCAGCGAGGAUGCUUCCUACUCAUUCCUCGCUGGGCCGGUGGCAGCGUUGGUGGCAGGAAACGGAGAACAACUUGGAGGCCCGCCGACAGGAGCCGUCUGGGCGAGCGAGCGGUGAGAGCAGCCCGACGCUCAGCGCAGGAUCGGCAGGCGUCAGACAUGGAUGCGACAAGCGAUGGGACAUGGAUCAGUGGAAGGAAGACUUCGGUGCACCCCUACCUGGCGCGCCAAAUGUCGGAUCUAGGGUUCCGGCAAAACCCUUGACAUUCGAACACUGGGGUGCGCACGAAGAUUUCCCCCUACCGAAUAUCGCCCUCAGCCUCGCCGCGAUUUCUAAGCUUAGCUCGAUGAACUCACAACACAAGAGACACAACAUUUAUACAGGUUCGAGCCACCGUUGUGGUGUAAUACCCUACUCCUGUGUGGUGGUGGUGGAUUGCCUCUUGGGCUGGUGAUGAAUAGUACAAGGGAAGAACAACCUCCUGAGGAGAGGUGUUCUUGUGCUUGGUGGGUUGUGUUCUACUUGUUCUUGUUUUGGUCCCCUUCUACUGUGGUGUCUAGUCCUAUUUAUAGAGGCCCUGGUCCUCUUUCCAAAUAUUGAGCGGGAAGGGAUCCAACAACGGCCAAUUUGAAAGGGGACAGCUAGUACAAGCUAUCCUGACUAAAGGUGGUCUUCGCCUGUCAAAGGCGCUGGUGGUGACGCCGUCUUGGGCUUCAUGAUGACCUCCGUCCUGCCGUCCUGCUGGUCUUGGUCUUGGUAAACCGAUAUGGAAACCUUUGCCUGAUGCCUCGGUACUCCGCGCCUGCGCGUGCCCCCUUAGAACCAAAGGGGAAAUGAGGAAACUGUGUGCGCUGGAGCCCGCCUGGCCUUAGUCUUCAUGUCUUGCGUCAUGGAAACCUCGCAAGGUACCCCUUGCCUUGAUCUCUCCGCCCCCUCGCGAGCCUGCCUGGUGAGGCCGCUCCUCGGGAGGCCUCGUGUCGUCCGCCUCGUGAGUCUUGGCCCCUCAUGAGGGUCUUGAGUGUUGGUUGACAAAGACGGGCUGUACUGGGCCACUGGUGGAGCUACGCCAUGGACCACAAGCAGGCAUGUCUGGGAACCCCUGUCGGUGUCAAAACCGGCGGAUCUCGGGUAGGGGGUCCCGAUCUGUGCAUCUUAGGCUGAUGGUAACAGGAAGCAAGGGACACAAUGUUUACCUAGGUUCGGGCCCUCUCGAUGGAGGUAAAACCCUACUUCCUGCUUGAUUAAUAUUGAUGAUAUGAGUAGUACAAGAGUAGAUCUACCACGAGAUCAUAGAGGCUAAACCCUAGAAGCUAGCCUAUGAUGAUUAUGAUUGUAGUUGUGACCGGCCUUCUAAGGACCAACCUCUCCGGUUUAUAUAGACGCCGAAGAGGGCUAGGGUUUACAUGGAGUCGGUUACAAGGAAGGAAAUAUAAUAUCCGGAUCACCAAGCUUGUCUUCCAUGCCAAGGAGAGUCCCAUCCGGACACGGGACGAAAUCUUGAGUCUUGCAUCUUCACGCUCCAAUAGUCCGGACGAUGUAUAUAGUCUGGCUGUCCGGAUACCCCCUAAUCCAGGACUCCCUCAGUAGCCCCUAAACCAGGCUUCAAUGAAGAUGAAUCCGACGCGCAGUCCUAUCUUCGGCAUUGCAAGGUGGGUUCCUUCUCUGAAUACUCCAAAGUAAUUAUAGAACACGUAAACUGUGUCCGGACCUGCAAAAUGAUCUUCACAUACCACCGUAGAGAGAAUGAUAUUUCAGCUGACAACUUUUCAGACAACGUGAUAUGUCAUUACGGUCGGGUCUUUGUUCGAACCGUUUUCCCACAACUAGCCACAACGCGUAUUGCGAGGCGGUUUCCUUGACACCUCUUGUCAUAGCAGAGAUCGUGUCCCCUUAUCACAGGAUUCUCAUCAAUACGGGUAUGGGUAAUCCCAUCGCGCCAUCAAUCGUGGCGCUUGGGAAGUAAGCGAUUCUCAACGGGCAAGUGAGGAGGCGCACCGCUUUCGUCGCCUCUAUAAAGGGAUAAAGGAUCCCCAUUUUCGCCCACACCUUCCUCCUCCUUUGCUCAUACUUGCCUCCUCGAGCUCCAAUGCCCUAGUCAAAGUCUUCUCCGCAUAGCUGAAUAUGUCCGGAGCAGGAGGCAAGUAGGUGGCUUCCACCGUGAAGGAGAAGCAUAUCGCGAGUCUUCGGGCGGCCGGAUACUUGGCCACAGACAUAGCGCACCAGCUAUCGGACGACGGGCAGGUCAGUCCAACCACGGGACCCCAUGAGAGGGUCGUGUUUCUCGCCCACUUCGUCCGUGGACUGGGAUUUCUGCUUCAUCCCUUCGUCCGCGGGCUCAUGUUCUACUACGGGCUAGAUUUCCAUGAUCUAGCCCCAAACUUCGUCCUCAACAUCUCGGUGUUUAUCGUCGUAUGCGAGGCCUUCCUCCACAUCAAGCCUCACUUUGUCUUGUGGCUACAAAACUUCUGCGUGAAGCCAACGAUCAUGAGGGGCCAGCAAGAGGAUUGCGGAGGGGCCAUGGUGGGCAAGAUGCCUAAUGUCACCUGGCUUGACGGCUCCUUCACGGAGACCGUGAAAGGGUAGCAAUCGGGGUGGUUCUACAUCACCGAGCCGCGCGACGCCAACUGGGCGGCGGCCCCCGAAUUCCGAUCUGGAACCCCCAUGCGGCUCACCUCCUGGGAAAAGAAGGGCCUAGCCUAGGGCGAACCUGUGUAGCUGACCGGACUCCAAAACUGCCUCAAGAAUAUGAAGGACAAGAACAUCAAGCUUGUCAACGUGAUACAUGUCAUGCUCGUUCGCCGGAUUCUUCCGUGCCAAAGGCGGGUGUUUAAUCUAAGGGAGUUCGUCCCGACCGAACACCAGACGCUUCGAAAGCUCUAUGGAAUGAAGCACAAAGACACAUGGAAGGCGCUGUUCAAGGCCUCUGAAGUACCUCCUCCCAUAUCCGAUGACCGUGGACUUCAUGCCGCGCGGCCUCCUCGUCCGGUGAGUUUUCUGACUACCACCGGAUUCAGUUCUUCCCAAUGUAUUCGUGGGGGAGUCUUAAGUAAUUGUGCAUAUUUGAUCAGGAUUAUGUGGAGAAAGCGAAGCGGAUUGACUGUCCGGCUCCGCUGCCCGAAGGUCCAGCCGAUGCUCUCCUGACGUAGAUGCUAGUUCCGACGCCCUACAAGGCACCGGAGAAGAAGGCCAAAAAGAAGGCCCCGGGGACCAGGAAGGGUCUCCGGCGUAAAGUUGUACCGGAGGCCUCGUUCAACGAUGACGAGGCACACUCCUCCCCCGAAGGGGAGGAAGAAGAGGAAGAGGCCGCCCCAUCCGGAUAGGACGGGGGGCCUGAGAAGGCGGACCAGGGGCUAGGACAGGCUCCCGGCGCAAGGCCGUCAUACCCUCGUCGUCCGACAACGACGAAGCAGAUACCUCCCGCGGAGGCGGGGGNNNNNNNNNNNNNNNNNNNNNNNNNNNNNNNNNNNNNNNNNNNNNNNNNNNNNNNNNNNNNNNNNNNNNNNNNNNNNNNNNNNNNNNNNNNNNNNNNNNNNNNNNNNNNNNNNNNNNNNNNNNNNNNNNNNNNNNNNNNNNNNNNNNNNNNNNNNNNNNNNNNNNNNNNNNNNNNNNNNNNNNNNNAGAGGAAAGCCGCCCCGGAGGGGGAGGCUGGGAUAUCCAAGAAGGGAAAGGUGUCCCUUCCGGACUACUCCACCACCGCCGCUGAUAGCGAGGAGGGGUGGCUGCCCAGGGGAAGCCCUUAGCACGACCGUAAGUAUCCGCACUCUAUUGUGAUUUUUCUUCAUAGUAUUGUUAUAAUGCUGAACUUGUAUACAGUCCGGCCAGGGUCCAUCCCAAGGUGUCGUCUUCGGAUGGGUCCUUGAGCGAUUCAGUGAUGAACUCGCUUCCGACGGCCACUACUCCUCAGCCUGCGGAUGACAUGGAGGUGUUGUCCCAAAGUCUCCCAAAGCGGGGGGAGGUGACUGGAGGUGCCUCAAGGCGGAUUUCCAGACAUCGGACAUGCGGGGUUCAAGAUCCCCGCGGAUCGUGUUGAUGAGAGCCGCAGUAAGACAGGCUCUCAGCCGAAUACUAUUCCGGAACCUCCAGUGGUUCUGGACUCAGGCUUGCAGCCCCUCAUUAGGGAGGGUGAGCCGUCUGUGCCGAGGACUUCCGCUACGCCUGAGGCGUCAGAUUGUCUGCUAGAAGCGCUUCGCGACGCUUCGAUGGAUGAAGAGCACCGUACUCUUAUGAGUGCGGUGAUUCAGAAGGUUUUGUCUGCCAAGAGCGGACUAACCGAAGCUUGCACCAGCCUCCUGAUAGGCUUUGAGGUAAGUAAUAAAAAUGUGUGAAAUUACCACCUGAUAGGUAGUAGCCCCUGAUACUCUGUUUGGUGUUCAAAAAGAAAAAUCAAACGGAGGUUCAAUUAUAAUCUACAGGAGUCUAAUAAUAAGUGUGAAUGUGAAUAAGCAGGCUAUGCUACUUACUGAUGCUGUCCGCACAGCCGAGAUCGCUAGACUAAAAUGGGACCUAUAGCAGGCGCACGGAUAGCUCGACCUCACGAAGAGGCAGCUCGAAGGGAACAAAGGUGAGUGAUUCCCUGCUCUCAUAUAAUGAAGGAUAGAUAAAAUUGGUUAUUCUAACGACGAAGCAUCGUGAUUUUGUAACAGGGGCCACCACCGAAGUGGCGUCUCUAAAGAAAGCGAUGUCCGAGGCCAAAGACAAGGUGGCCUUGGAACGCAAGGGGCGUGAAAAGCAAGAUGCUAGAGUGGGCGAGGUACAUAGAGAGCUCCAGGAGCUCGGAAAGAAGUUCGAGUCCGUGGAGCAUGAGCUUAAGGUGAAAGAGGCCGAGCUUGCGAAGGCCCUCGCUAGUAUAAAAGACGCCAAGGCCAAAGCCGAGAAGUCACAACAGGAAAUCCAGGAGGCCAAAAAGAUAGCGGCGGGUAAGAAAUUCUUUAUGCAAAGCAAGCAUGUGGAGGAGGCGUUUCUUUUACUGCUGCAGCAUAUCAGAUGCUGCAGAGUUCUACCAUGCCGAGGAUGGGAGCGCGAUGGAGAAGCUGUUCUGGUCCCAGUAUGCUGGGACCGAACAUCCAACGCUUCUGAGUGACCAACUGAAGCAGUUGGUUGAAGUUCACAGGGCGGCCAAAGUGGCUAUGAAGGAUUUCAUAGUCCGGAUGUGGCCCGGUGAGCCCUUGCCUACUAGCUACUUCGGCCUGAUCAAGUGGAUGGUGAAUGCCUGUCCGUGGCUUGAAGUGAUCAAACAAUCCAUUUGCAUUGAGGGUGCUCGCCUGGCCUUUUCCCGUGUGAAGGUGCAUUGGGGCAAGCUUGAUGCGGAGAAGCUGGUAAAGGACGGGCCGCCGGAGGGCAAGGCGCAUCGCUGUCCCGAGAAAUAUUAUGAUGUCGUUAUGAAGGCGCUCGUCUCGUGGUCGAUGAAUGUACCAAGGACACAAUUUUAGAAUGAAUUCACUUCUGUCAUGUUUGUAAUAUCAGGAGAAGUUACUUGCACUCUGUAGCGCUUUCUGAUUUAAAAUAUUAUCUUCUGUGCGGCUGUUUAUAAAAUUCUGAAAGUAGGCCAUUCGUCGGCUUCUGCCCCUAGGUAACUAGUACUGGGGUGUUCGUGGAAAUCCCAGACACUCUUUAUCCAAAUGUUUGGUCCCUAAAGGAGGUGUCUAGCGCAACGGACAAGGCAAUCAGACUAUGCGGCUUUAUAACCUUCACUUAGCCAUAGAAGUCUACAAUUUUAAAUUUUGGCGAAGCCUCUAGAAUUUGGAAGGCCGGACUGGGGUGCUAUAUACGCCUAAAUCGGACGAGGCCGAUUCCUCGCCUAAAGCAGAAAAAAUCUUUAAGGAUUUUAAGACCUCUCAAACAGCGACCAGCUCUCGCCACAUCAUGCCGGUAAGUUUUUGGCUUUCUCUACUGAGGUGCUCGUCCGGAAGAACUGGGACACAAUUGCAGUAGUUCUCCCUGCGCUACCUUAGCCGAUAUAACGGAACGUAAUGUACCAAAACAAGGGAGCCGGGCUAACCCAACUGUGGACCCAAGACAUGAUACGGAGCUGAUGCAUAUAGUGCUAUAAGUUCGGGGUGCAGCACUGUUGAAAGUGUUCGUACUUUGCUUGCCGUAUUGCGGGGUGCCAUAAGAAGCCCCUAACAAAAUAAACGUACCAAAGUGUACGGAUGCAAUAGUAAAUAAUCAUUUAUAGAAAAAAUGUGCAGAUAUGAAUAAUAAGCGGACGCUAUAUAUGAUCUCCCAUCGAUGAAUAAUACGUUUAAGCGUAUGUUUACAAUGGGUGCGUUUACGCAAAAGUAAAUAGGACUAUUUAACAUGUCCUAUCCAAGGGCAGGCUGCAUGUAGGUAUAUAAAACAGGUAUAACGAUCGUGAACAGAUUCCACCUGGGUAUUUCCUUUUGUGCGCAAAUCCUGUUGCCUCCUUGAUUUUCUCUCCUAUGUAAGUCCGACAAUCCGGCUCUUCUGAAGAGGCUGCCCUAAAGCAAUGUCCUGAAAGAUAAAAAGGGAGGGUUAUGAAGGUAUGUUGCGGUGAUACAACACUGUUGACUGAGUGACUGCUGAGCCUCCGCCUGUGCCCAUGGUAUUUUGAGUGCGUAAUUGUGUACGCGUGGCACGAAUGCUGCUUUGAUGGGGCUUGAGCGGAUGCCGGACUGCUAGUCGCGCUCUUGGCGUGCCUGGUGAUGUUUUUAUGGGGUGCUCCGGACUCGCUUGAUGGUGCUUGAGGUUGUCGUCACCGAAUUGGUGGUUUGUCGGAGGAGGCCGCAUUGUACUUCCGCUGCGAGGGCUGCAGUAUGCUCUUCUGUACGGAGAGAGCGGUCCAUAUUUCCGUUGACUGUUAUGACCCCGCGCAGUCCUGGCAUCUUGAGCUUGAGGUAUGCAUAGUGUGGUACCGCAUUGAAUCUAGCGAAUGCGGUUCGUCCGAGCAGUGCGUGGUAUCCACUACGGAAAGGGACGAUAUCGAAGAUUAACCCUUCGCUUCAGAAGUUAUUCGGAGAUCCAAAGACCACUUCCAAUGUUGUAGAGCCCGUUCAACGGGCCUCUACUCCAGGAAUUACACCUUUAAUGGUGGUUUUGGUGGACUUGAUCCUUCAAGGGUCGAUGCCCAUUUUGCGCACUGUGUCUUGAUAAAGCGGGUUCAGGCUGCUGCCGUCGUCCAUAAGGACUCGCGUGAGGUGGAAUCUGUCGAUGAUUGGCUCUAGGACCAAUGCGGCUGAGCCGCCGUGACGGAUGCUAGUAGGGUGAUCCCUAUGAUCAAAGGUGAUCGGACAAGCUGACCAUGGGUUGUAUUUGGGGGCGACUGGUGUCACGCCCAAUAUGUGAUACUAUCCUAAAGAGACUCGAAGGUCCCACCAAGGAUAGAACCACAUAUUGAAACACUUCUGCAAGGUGGAUAUCAUUACAUCAACAUUACAUAAAAGAUGGGGAUACAUACAAGAGGCAUACAAUGCCACCCGAAUAGAACAUCAUCUUACAUAAGAGCACCAUCUGACUACGGAUGAAACACAAACAGAAACUCAAACGACAUCCACCCUGCUAGCCCAGGCUGCCGACGUGGAACCUAUCCCCUGAUCGAAGAAGAAGCAGAAGAAUAACUCCAAACAAGCAAACACCGCUCUCGUGUCAUGAUCAUCACCUAACCUGUACCUGCAACUGUUGGUGUAGUAAUCUGUGAGCCACGAGGACUUAGUAAUCCCAUUACCAUGGGUAUCAAGACUAGCAAAGCUUAAUGGGAAAGGAAGGGGUAAAGUGGUGAGGUUGCAGCAGCGGCUAAGCAAGUAUGGUGGCUAACAUACGCAAAUAAGAGUGAGAAGAGAAGCAAAGGAACAGUCGUCAACUAGUAAUGAUCAAGAAGUGAUCCUGAACUCCUACUUACGUCAAUCAUAACCCAAAACCGUGUUCACUUCCCGGACUCCGCCGAAAAGAGACCAUCACAGCUACACACGCGGUUGAUGCAUUUUAAUUCGGAUCUGGUGUCAAGUUAUCUACAACCGGACAUUAACAAAUUCCCAUCUUCCCAUAACCGCGGGCACGGCUUUCGAAAGUUUAUACCCUGCAGGGGUGUCCCAACUUAGCCCAUGAUAAGCUCUCGCGAUCAACGAAGGAUAUACCUUCUCCCAGGAAGACCCGAUCAGACUCGGAAUCCCGGUUUACAAGAUAUUUCGACAAUGGUAAAACAAGACCAGCAAAGCCGCCCGAUGCACCGACAAUCCUGAUAGGAGCUGCACACAUCUCGUUCUCAGGGCAACACCGGAUGAGCAAUCCGUACAACUAAAACCAGACCUCAAUUUUCCCUGAGGGGGCGCUGUAAAGGGCUCUAGUUNNNNNNNNNNNNNNNNNNNNNNNNNNNNNNNNNNNNNNNNNNNNNNNNNNNNNNNNNNNNNNNNNNNNNNNNNNNNNNNNNNNNNNNNNNNNNNNNNNNNNNNNNNNNNNNNNNNNNNNNNNNNNNNNNNNNNNNNNNNNNNNNNNNNNNNNNNNNNNNNNNNNNNNNNNNNNNNNNNNNNNNNNNNNNNNNNNNNNNNNNNNNNNNNNNNNNNNNCCGGAAACCCAAGGGAAAAAGGGCUAUGUGAGGCAAAUGGUAAAACCAAGGUUGGGCCUUGCUGGAGUUGUUUUAUUCAAAGCGAACUGUCAAGGGGGUCCCAUAAAUCACCCAACCGCGUAAGGAACGCAAAAUCCAGGAACAUAACACCUGUAUAACGGAAACUAGGGCGGCAAGAGUGGAACAAAUCACCAGGCAUAAGGCUGAGUCUUCCACCCUUUACCAAGUAUAUAGAUGCAUUAAUAAUAUAAGAGAUAUUGUGAUAUCCCAACAUAAUCCUGUCCACCAAGGAGCAAUCUUCAACUUCACCUGCAACUAACAAUGCUAUAAGAGGGGCUUAGCAAAGCGGUAACAUAGCCAAGCAACGGUUUGCUAGGAAGGGUGUCAAAGGUUAGAGGUUCAUGGCAAUUGGGGAGGCUUGAAGAGCAAAUGAUAGGUAACACAACAUAGCGAUAGAAUGAAGCAACUAGCAUAGCAAUGAUAGUAGUGAGAUCCAGGGAAAUGGUCAUCUUGCCUGAAAUCCCGCAAGGAAGAAGAACGAGUCCAUGAAGAAGAUGAACCAACAUAGUCGAACGAAUCCUCACGAUCGCAACAUUACCAGAACUAAGAAGCAACACCGGAAAGAAGCAAGCAACAUGGUAAAUGCACAAGCAUAAACAUGGCAUGAUGCACAAACAAGUAUGAUGCAUGUCUGGUUUAAAUAGCAUGGCUUGGCAAAGUGAACAAGCAGUACUACAAGUUAAGUGGAGAUCAACAUGCAACGAGUUGCAUAUUGAAAAAACACCACAUUGACAUAUUUAGUUUAAUCUCGUUUAAGCUACCAAACAAUAUUAAAUGUUGUUAAACAUGGCAAGAGGGGAAGCAUAAUUAAGCUACCUAUCUAGGCAAGUUUAAAUGAGGCCCGAACAACAAACAAUAAUUCCGGAAAAUCCCCAUGUGCAUAUUUUGAAUUAGCUAUUGUUCUUCACUAAAACAUAUUUUAAAGUUGUUAAACAAGAAAAUAAAGUGGACCAUGUUAAACUAGGCAUUUUUCCACCCCAUUUACAUAUAAAGUUUAUUUAAAACGGAGCUACAGUUAUUUAGUUAUGAAAUAAAUCAUUUUAACAUGGCAUUUGAGCAAAUUUAAACAAACAGCAUUUUAAACAUUUUAAACAUGGAUGAAACCAGCAUACUAUGAAACUAGAUGAAAUUCUAAGCAUUUUACAUAUAUAAAGUUUUUACAUAUGAUGCAUGGUUGAUGAGUUAUUAAAUGCAUGAACUCUAGGGACUAUUCUACAAAACAGUAAAUCACUAGAUAAUAGAGAAAAUCGCAGCGCUGGGAAAAAAACUAUGCGGGCCAAAUCUGGCUAGGCCAACGGUGUACAGGAGAGGGGCUGGAGGGGCGCUCACCCAUGGGCUUGGCCCGGCUCGAUGAGGAGGGCACUGGCUAGGCCGGACAGGGACGAGGCCCACGAGGCCGGGUCAGCGGUCACAGGGUCUUGGCGCUGCAUGCAUUCCAGGACGAUGAGCGGGCGAAGCAGGCGACAACGGGCAGCAAACAGGAGGGGUGCCAGCGGCGGGGACGGGCCCUGCCGGCGGGAUCCUGCCGUGAAUGGGCAAGGGCGGCGGAGGCCGACCAGAUCUGGCGGGUGGCCAUGGUGGAACUUGGCGAUGAGGCGACCUGCGCGAAGCUUCUGCGAGGCUCCCAUGGAGGCUCUGCUGUUCGACCUGAAGAGAGAGGGGUCACGAUGUGAGGGAGAGAGAAGAGCAGAGGAGGAAGGAAGGAGAAGGGCAGAGGCGAGGGGCACGGCCUGCUGGUCCGGUCGGUGCGGACGAGGAGAAGGCAGGGCCUCGGGCGCGGGGCGGUCAGGACGUGGUGGCGGCGGCGAGGUUGGAGGCGGGCGACGACGGGCGAGCUCGGGCUCAUGGGCAGAGAAGGAGCAUGGCACAAGGGCUUGGGUGCUGCUGCUCAUCACCGGCGGGAAGGCACGGCUAGCUGCGCGAGAUGGAGGCACACGGGAGGAGGUUGCGGCCAGCGGGCGGAGCAGACGAAGCCGAGCGCUCCUGCUCGGGGUCUCGGGCAAACGUACUGUAGGCACGUGGGGUGGCUGCGGGAUGGAUGGAUUUGGAAGGAGGGAGGAGCGGGCUGCAGGCUCUAUGGUUGGUGGAUCGAGAGGAGCGGCUGGUUGGAUCCGUGGCGAAAUCGAGGAGGGGAAGGUGUGGUCUGCUAUGCUGGUUGGAUCGUUCUGGGAGGUGGAGGCAACGUGUUGGGUGGAAAUGGAUCCCGAGGGGAAGAAUGAGAGUGGAGGCGGCGGCUAGGAGGAUCCCUAGAAAUUAGGGAUUUGGUCUCGGUUUAGACUAGUAUAUAUAGCGGGUGGGUUAGGCUAGGGGCUAUCUCGUCCCUCCAAUCGUAAUCAGAUGGAAAAAUAGGCUAGGGAAGUCCAAAUAAGAAAACAAAGAUGUUUUAUAGACGUUAGGGGAUGAUCCGGAUCCAUCGGUAACGACAGACCGGUUCGGGUUCGGGCAAGUUUUUCGGACGCAUGGAAGAGGGGGUCGGCGGUUGUAGAGAGAUUAGGUGGUCACGGUCAAGAGGGAAGCGAAAAACCCGAUUGGUCUCGGAAUGGUCAACAAAGGCAAGGGGGGACGCGGCAACUAAGAACAGAUGCAAGCUUUAUGAAAACAUGCAGAUACAAUGCGCAUGAUGCUAUGAGAUGAAAUGCAAGACAUGAACAAAAUGCAAAACAAACGACAAAAACCCAACCACGAAGGAAAUAUCAUAUCGCAUCUCCGGAAAAGGCAAGAGUUGGAGUUACGAAUAUGGAAAGUUGUAUCCGGGGCGUUACAACUGGCUCCAUCACAUUGACGUCCCAUAGUGCUCGCUUCCGUUCCCGCUUGGGAAUGUGAGUGGCGUAGAUCAUGUUGACCGUUUUCACCUGGUGGGGGAAAUUUCUUCUAUCCCCCCAUGUUCGGACGCCGGGGCUCUUCGUCAUCGUUGUUGUGCAACCCCUUGUCCUUGUUUUUGGAAUUUAUUUACUGGCCUGUUUGAACACCCAACAGUCUCUAUUAGUGUGGUUGGCUGGCUUGUCUGGGGCGCCAUGAAUUUGGCACGGGCGUUCCAGUAUGCGGUCCAGACUGGACGGUCCCUGGUUGUUUCAUUUGAAUGGCUUCUUCCGCUGACCCGAUUUGGAUCUGCUGAAUCCCGCGUUGACUGCCGUGUCUUCAGUGUUGUCUCCGUUGUUCCGUCGCUUGUGUCUGUUGCGCCAUGGCUUGCCAUUAUUGUCGCGGAUGCCCGAAGUGCCAGAAUGUGGUGUAGUGUUGCUGCGAGCCAACUAGCUGUCCUUGCCCACGCAAAAGCGGGUCAUUAGUGUUGUGAGAGCUGCCAUGGAGUUGGGUUUCUCCUGGCCGAGGUGUCGGGCGAGCCACUCGUCGCGGAUAUUAUGCUUAAAGGCCGCCAAGGCUUCGGCGUCCGGACAGUCAACUAUUUGGUUCUUUUUAGUUAGGAAUCAAGUCCAGAAUUUCCUAGCUGAUUCUCCGGGCCGUUGAGUGAUGUGGCUCAAGUCAUCAGCGUCCGGUGGUCGCACAUAUGUGCCUUGGAACUUGUCGAGGAAUGCGUCUUCCAGGUUUUCCUAACUUCCAAUGGAAUUUGCGGGCAGGUUGUUUAGCCAGUGCCGGGCGGGUCCUUUGAGCUUAAGGGGAAAAUACUUGAUGGCAUGUAGAUCGUCUCCGCGGGCCAUGUGAAUGUGGAGAAGGAAAUCUUCGAUCCAUACUGCAGGGUCCGUUGUGCCAUCGUAUGAUUCGAUGUUUACGGGUUUGAACCCUUCUGGGAAUUCAUGAUCCAUCACUUCAUUGGUGAAGCAAAGGGGGUGUGCGGCGCCUCUGUGCCGGGCUAUGUCGUGACACAGUCCGACUAAGUCUGGUUGAUUGUGUUCGGCCCGGCCAGAUUUAUUGUUAAUGUAUCCGGUAUGACGGUCAUUUUCAUGUGUUGCAGUGCGCCCCCGUGAUCCAUAGAUCGAUCUUGGUUGUCCUGCGUUGUUUUCCAAUCUGUCUCGCAGGUCCUGAGUAUUGCCCCGGGCCGUAGUAAACUGGUGCGGGGGUGCGGGCUGGUAUUCGGGAUGAUAUGUCGUUUUAUCUCGGCCACGAGGUGGCCGGUCAGCCGUGUGGCACUCGUUUCCAUAUUCCUCGGCUGCUAGGACUUCUGUCCAUCUGUCUGUGAGUAGGUCUUGAUCAGCUUGAAGCUGCUGCUGCUUCUUCUUCAGGCUCCUCGCAGUGGCCAUAAGCCGCCGCUUGAAGCGCUCCUGCUCCACGGGGUCCUCAGGCACGCCGAACUCAUCGUCGCCGAGGCUAAUCUCGUAUUCGGAGGGGGGCAUGUAGUUGUCCUCCUCCAGAUACCCGUCCGUAGCCUGUUCAUCUGGGCUGUCCUGCCCAUCUUCCUGCUCGGCCUGCUUGAAGGCGGGCUGGUCGGGGUUGUAUUCAUCUUCGGCACCGUCCGGAUUGUUUUCGUCUCUGGUGCCGGUAUUGCUGUGGCGGGGCUUGGAGUGGCACUGGCGAUGCCCAUGCUUUGCUUUCUUCUUGGAGGGGCUAUCCUCCAUUGCCUCAUCGCCAUUGGUUUCUUUCGGAGUGUCCACCAUAUAUAUGUCAUAUGAAGAGGUGGCUGUCCACCGCCCCGUGGGUGGUGGUUCCUGUUUUUCUCCUACAUCGUCAUCCAAACCGUCGAUGUCUUCGGAGUCGAAGUCCAGCACGUCGGUCAAAUCAUCGGCCAUGGCUAUGAAGUGGGUGGUGGGUGGGCAACGAAUUCCUUCGUCGCUAGCUUCCCACUCGAGCCGGACAUAGUUCGGUCGAGAGCCUCCUGACAAAGAGAGAGACUUUAAUGAAUUCAGCAUGUCGCCAAAGGGCGAGUGCUGGAAGAGAUCCACAGUGGUAAACUCCAUUACCGGAGCCCAACCAGGCUCGGUGGGCUCGGGAGCGCACAGACUGGAACCUACAACCGGAUACGAGUGUGGGGGACCAGAAUCACAGGCAUCCCUAGAGGUGAGGCCUGGGUUCGGCUCUACCGCCGAUCAGUGUGCGGCCUGCGGGGCGGGGUCCAUCCACCCGUCCUUGGGCCACGCAGUCUGCUCCAGAUUUAGGUCCGGGGCUACUGCAGGGGUGAUAUCCCGAGCACCGUCCGACAGCAGGUCUAGGCCGUGCUCAUCGUGACUGUUCGGUGCUCCUGGCACAUGCCAGAUUCCGUCGAAGAUCAAGUCUCCGCGGAUAUCGGCCGUGUAGUUCAGGUUUCCGAACCUGACCUGGUGGCCAGGGGCGUAGCUGUCGAUAUGCUCCAGAUGGCCAAGCGAAUUGGCCCGCAGUGCGAAGCCGCCGAACACGAAGAUUUGUCCGGGGAGAAAAGUCUCGCCCUGGACCGUGUUGUUGAUGAUUGAAGGCGCCAUCAAGCCUCAUAGCGGCGACAUAGAGGAACUCUCAAUGAAAGCACCAAUGUCGGUGUCAAAACCGGCGGAUGUCGGGUAGGAGGUCCCGAUCUGUGCGUCUUAGGCUGAUGGUAACAGGAAGCAAGGGACACAAUGUUUACCCAGGUUCGGGCCCUCUCGAUGGAGGUAAAACUCUACUUCCUGCUUGAUUAAUAUUGAUGAUAUGAGUAGUACAAGAGUAGAUCUACCACGAGAUCAUAGAGGCUAAACCCUAGAAGCUAGCCUACGAUGAUUAUGAUUGUAAUUGUGAUCGGCCUUCUAAGGACCAACCUCUCCGCUUUAUAUAGACACCGGAGAGGGCUAGGGUUUACAUGGAGUCGGUUACAAGGAAGGAAAUAUAAUAUCCGGAUCGCCAAGCUUGUCUUCCACGCCAAGGAGAGUCCCAUCCGGACACGGGACGGAAUCUUGAGUCUUGCAUCUUCACGCUCCAACAGUCCGGACGAUCUAUAUAGUCCGGCUGUCCAGAUACCCCCUAAUCCAGGACUCCCUCAACCCCCGUUCCCAGAACACCGACAAAGAUCAUAAACACACAAGAUUAGAUGACGACCAGAAGACGACGUUCCUCGGCAAGAUCCUUGCCGAGGAAUUCCACAAGGCCUCUGGCAAGAUCCUUGCCGGGGAUGACCGGAAUGUCGCGGCAAGACCCUUGCCGGGACCCCGGCAAGACCCUUGCCGAGGAUGUUAGCGGCGCCGCGGCCAGGCCCACAUCUGCCAAGACUCCACCGCCGUUCCCAUGCAGCUACCAGCUCAGCCAGCCAGGCGAGCACCUGGGUGGCGACGUGCGGCCUCUAGACCGACUCAGCAAGCACCUGCGUGGUGGCAUGCACAUCUUCGAGAAAACUCUACCACCGCACCAGCCCAACAACCAGCCAACAUGGCACUGCGACCCCUCAUCAGCUCGGACGCGCGUCAGAGCCAGGUGAGGCGGCGAUAGCUGGGAGGAGCUUCCUUUCCGUCCCUGAUAAAGCAAGAAGGGCACGUCGGCAGCAUAUUAAAUGCGUUUAUCCGACGGUGCCAGAGGAUAGUCUCGGCCACUAUAAACCUUUCCUCCUCCUGUGUGCCACUAUGGCGACCCCUUUUUUCUAUAAAAGGAGGCCCGAGGCGUAGGGGAGGGUGAUUCGGAUCCUUCGAACAAGUCACGUGCCGUAGCUAGUUCAAGAACUCAAGAACACUCAAAUAUACACCAAAGCAGGACUAGGGUAUUAUGCAUCCUCGCGGCCUGAACCUGGGUAAACGGUCUUUGUGCUGACUCCUAGACCCACUCUUUCCACAACCUCACGCCCGCCGACCGUAGUAGGGAUUCCAGCGAUCCCAUAGGUGUCGUUUUCCACCGACAUCUCUGGCGCGCCAGGUAGGGGCGCCAGUUGUGAAAAUCUGGUUUUGGAGCCGACGCGUCGAUUCUUUGAUGGAGAUGGCCCGAAGGGGGAGGGCGACGUUGAUCAGCCGCCCUCUGGUGCCGUCCGCAGCCUCGACAGCCAUCCGUGUAACCAUGAAAAGCUAAGUCAUGCAAAGUUUUGGCUAAUUUCGUUUAUCUAAGUUAUUCCCCUCGAAAGGUCUCACCCUUCGUAUGGAAAGCCUGCAUGCGAUGGGACCCUCCGCUGUUGGCAACGCCCUUGUUCUGUUUCGAGUCCGCUCAACAGUUCGAGCAGCAGCAUCAAGGGUGGCAGGGUGGCCUAUGCGCUUUAGGUAACGACCUUGUUCCAUUUCGAGUCUGCUCAACAGUUCAAGCGGCCGCUCUAAGAGCGGUAAGGUGGUUUUCCUGGCAGCAAGCACACCCAGCCGGCCGCUAAGGAUCCGUCCUUCAAAGUGAUGUGGCUUGGGUUUACGCGCCGGCAAGCUCAUCCAACUCAACAUAGGGCGUACAUACCAAGAAAGAUCGAACAGGGGAAUAGCAUGCACCACAUUAAAGUACUGCAGAGUUAUGUUACAUCAAAUAAUCGCUGCGGUUCUAACUUAAGAUAAAAUUGUCUUGGUCUUGAACUCGCAGCGGCAACGAGAAAUGGGGUGCCUAGUCCCGGCGCUGGCCGUCGACCCUCUCGACUCGGUCGACACAGUCGUUGACGGGCUUGAUGCGCUCCUUGAGCGCCGCGAGGUCUGUCCCCUCCGGUUACCUCUCUAGCGCAUCGGCAAAGUUGACGGUGGGGUUCUAGAACGCCACCUUGGUGAGCACCUUGGUCAGGGCGCCCCGGCAGAGCCUCCGGGACUCGUUUGCCAGAUAGGUUGCCCGGUUGGAGCAGAACUGCUCUAGGGCUUCAAGAAUACCCUCGAAGAACAGGGUCAGUGCAGCAUGGGGACUCACGUUCGGCUUCGGGGCGUACCUCACACUUGGCAUCCCCAUGGUAGCCAGCUUCUUGGUGAUCCUGCCGGCAACGUCGGCAAGGCGGCUGAUCCAAUGGUUUAUGCCCUCCGCGUAAUCCUUGUGCUCGGCAGCGUCAUCCCUUCGCAGCUGCCUCUCUUCCUCCAAGUCCUUGGCCAGGGACUCUUCCCGGGCCCUGGCCCCCGAAAGCAUCCCCUCAAGGCCCUCCAGCUUCAACUUCAGGUCGUGGACAGAGUCGUUUGCUUGGGAGAGUAGCUCGGCCUUGUCGAGGACUGCGGCCUGCGCCUCCGCCAAGGAGCUGCUGAUCGUGUUCUUCUCCUUCGCCAGAUCUAGGGCCUUGUUCUUCAGGCCGUCCCGCUCCACCUCCAUCUCCUUCACCUUGUCGUCAUGGAUCAGGGCUUGAGCAUCGAGUGCCUCCUUGUGCCUCUUCUCCAGCCCCUAGGUCCGCAGCGCGAUGAGUCUCUCGACCUCCUCAUCCUUGCCGUGGAGUGUGGCGGCGAACGCCUCCUCACGAGCGAAGAGGUCCUCCACCUGGGAGUUUAGCUCGGCCUGGUGCAGGUGCCGGGUGGCCUCAUCCUUGGCGGCAUGUUCCCUCGCUGCCUCCUGGGCCUUCUCGACGUCAGCCUGCUUCAAGAUGAGCUCUUGCUUGCGCUUGGCCAGCAGAUCUUGGGUAGCCUUCAGCUCUUCGUGGGCCUGGCAGAACUAGGCCUGCGUCUCGGCGAUGCGUUUCUCAAGGUCCGCCUCCGCCUUGUCCGCCACCGCUACCCUGGACUUCACCUUGUCUAGAUGGGCGCGAUGGAGUGCCUGGAGCUUCUGGAAGUCGGCGUUCGUGGACCGAAGAAGCCGCUCCUCUUGAGAACUGCCACCACCAGUGCUCGGUUCAUCAACAACCUGGAGCCCGUGGAGGGGAGCGCCUCGUCAUCAAACACCUCCUCCUCGACCGGUGCCCCAAUGCCCGCCGUCCCUGGAAGGUGGACGAACAGGUCGUCGCCCACCUUCAAGUACCUGCCCGAGUGAGAGGUAGCGGAGGAGGAGGGUUGAUCGUCGACCACCCCUCCUCGGCAGCAGCCUUGCCGGCCUUCCCGGCAGGCCCCUUGUCGGCCACCUCUGUGGCGCUCUUGCCGGCCUCAGCCUCCUCGGCGGCGCCCUUGCCGGCCUCCUCGGCAGCAGCCUUUCCGGUCCCUCCGAUAGGCCCCUUGCUGGCCUCCUCGGUGGCGAUCCAGUGGGCCUCGGCCUCGACGUCCUUAGCGACCUCCUCGAUGACGAUGUCGAUGUUUUCCUGCUCCACCGAGGAAGAGUCUAGAUGCCGAGGAGGAGAGUAAGACAGAGCCAAGACCAAGGUUCAAGGAAAAGAAAGAACAUAGACGGGAAACGAGCGACUUACCUACACCGGGCUAGGAAGAAGUGGUGCCCUCCCUGCCAGCCUUUGUUGCCGGGGCAGAACCCCCGAAACCCAAGUUCGCCUCCUCCUCCUCCAUGUACGUGGGCUCGGUGGUGGAUGCCCUUGCUGGGGACACCCCUCGGGGCAGCGUAGUCGAGGGUGGCGGCAUGUUGGGAGUGGCCCCCAGUGGAUCCUCCUACUAUUGUUCUUCUCCUACAAACCCGGCAAGGUCAGCAUCAACACCUCGCACCCCGGUGUUCAUCGAUUAAGUAGUGAGUGAUGGGCUUACUCUGGGGGCUAAGGCGGGGGCUGCAUCGGGGGCUGCUGUCUGGGCUGCUCUCCACCACCAACGACAUACGUGAAGUACCCACCGGGGGCUCACCGCCUGUUGAGACCUUGGACCUUUUUGCCACCCUCUGGGCCAGAGUCUCUGCAUCCCUAUGAAGACAACACCAAAUCCAGUGAGGAUGAUGUAGGCGAAAGGACAAGGAGUCAAGGGGAGCAAAAUACUUACUCGUCCUCCACCUCCUCCUCCAUUGGCUUCCUCUUCCUCUUCGGGGUAAAGGACCUGAGGUCAAAGUCGGCCUCCAGGGUGCUAACCGAGGCAGAAGGAGAGGGAGAUGUAGUCCGGCACCACUUGGAUGAGGAGGAGACAUUCACCAUCUUUUUCGCCAUGGCGGCCUUCGCCGUCUUUGUUGUUGCCGCGGCCUUCAUCGCCAUCGUCUGGCACACGAGUUGCUCUUGGGCCGGUUGUCGCUGCGUGAUCUUGCCGGGCCGGACCGGCUCGCCAGGGAUGGUCUGCCGUAGGACACGUCUCCUCCCUGUUGGCGAAGGAUCCUAGUAGUGGCGACCGAGAGCUUCUUGUCAUUGACGUCAAGGUCGCCCCAGUCCUUGCAACGGGCCGGCGUGAUCCGACAAACCCGGCAGAACUCUUGUGGGUCCUCCUCCAUGAUCCAUAGCCACCGGCCCCACCAUUCCUCCCAUCUCUUAUUCAGGGCGCCCUCCGGAUAAGCGCCCUUCUCUAGGGUCCUUGGGAUCCAAGUGACGUAGCCAUUGAUGGCACCCCCUGGCUGGAUGCGAGGGUAAAAAUAAUGGCGAAAGAGCACCAUGCUAGGGUGCACUCCGGCGAAGCCCUCACAAAGAUGGGAAAAGAAAGCCAUGCACGCCACGGCAUUAGGCGUGAAAUCAAGAAGAUGGAAGCCAAAGGUGUGCAUGAUAUCGUUUAAGAAAUCGGAAAAAGGCGGGCAAAGGCCGCAGGAGAAGUAAUCGACAAAAAAGGAUACCGAUUGGGGCCGGCCUCGGUGAAAUCAGUAGGGAUGAUGCGUGUGGCAGGGUGCCCCUUUGUCGCCCUCCCCCAGAGGGGCUUGAAGAAAUCCCUAAGGUGAACUGCAUCGACCAUCGAGCGGAAAUAGGCGCUGCGUCCGCCGUACCGCCAGCUUCUUCUCCAAUGACUCCUCCUCCCCGGUGUCCAUCACCACCCCUUUGCACUUGCUGGUUUUGGGUGGCAUGGCAGCUGGGGAAUGCUGAGGGAUCAAGAACAAUGGAAGGUGUGAUAGUGGCGAGCGAAAGCAAGAGCUUGAGGAGGAAGAUGGAAGGGACGGCGGUUCCGAGAUUGGAGAGGAUGCAGAGGGUAAAUGAGCAGAGCGCCUGCGGUUAUUCCUUUUUUAUGGGGAAGGCGCAGGCCGCCUCUUUACCACUUACUGUGACGUGACGCAUGCGUGGGAGGACAGUCCCACGCAUGACCCCCACGUCACAUACGACACUCCAUGUCACGCAUUCAACACGGGUCGUGGGGAAGCACAGCGGACGAAGAAGUUACUGCGGUAGAAAUCCGCCCCGCCUGCCUACACACCGUUCUGGGACUAGCCCAACAAGGCGUCGCGCUUAUGUGUGGCCCAGGCCCGGGGACUCCUAUCGGUGUACAAAAGUGGGGGCUCUCUUUUGUACCCCUUUACUUGUGCACGGGCAGUCAGAGCCGUGCCCACGGCCACACUUAGCAUGGCAGAGGAAGGAAUCAAAAGUACAUGACUACCAAAGCGGCGCUCAAACCAGGGGCGCAAAAGGUAAAGCGACAAGAUGGGCUUCCCCUUGCAAGGCUCUUGCUGGGGCAACAUGCCCAGCACCAGCAGUGUGCGCCACCCUUGAGCCCAAGGGUUCCAAGGCCAUCGACCACAUUGGAACCAAGGCUCGGGAGGCACCUCCAUGGUGGCAUACAGAUCUUCGUGAAGAUCAUAAACACACAAGAUCAGAUGAGGACCAGAAGACGACGAUCCUCGGCAAGAUCCUUGCUGAGGAAAUCCACGAGACCUCCGGCAAGAUCCUUGCCGGGGACGACCAUGAUGUCGCGGCAAGACCCUUGCCGGGACCCCGGCAAGACCCUUGGCGAGGAUCUAAGCGGGGCCGCGGCUAGGCCCACAUCUGCCAAGACUCCACUAUCGUUCCCAUGCAGCUGCCAGCUCAGCCAGCCAGGCGAGCACCUACGUGGUGGCAUGCAGAUCUUCGAGAAGACUCUGCCACCGCACCAGCCUAGCAGGCAGCCAACGUGGCACUACGACGCCUCAUCAGCUCGGACGCGCGUCAGAGCCAGGUGAGGCGACGACAGCUGGGACGAGCUUCCUUGCCGUCCCCAAUAAUGCAAGAAGGGCACGUCGGCAGCGCAUUAAAUGUGUUUGUCCGACGGUGCCAGAGGAUAGACUCGGCCACUGUACACCUUUACACCUCCUGUGUGCCACUAUGGCGACCCCUUUUUUCUAUAAAAGGAGGCCCGAGGCAUAGGGAAGGAGGAUUCAGAUCCUUCAAACAAGUCACGUGCCAUAGCUAGUUCAAGAACUCAAGAACACUCAAAUAUACACCAAAGCAGGACUAGGGUAUAACGCAUCCUCGCGGCCCGAACCUGGGUAAACGAUCUUUAUCCUGACUCCUAGACCCGCUCUUUCCACAACCUCGUGCCCGCCGACUGUAGUAAGGAUUCCAGUGAUGCCAUAGGUGUCGUUUUCCACCGACACGAUCCUAACAGAGAUGAUCUUAGCGGGAGAAAAAGUCUUGGAGAUAGAAGCAUCUUUACACUUAUUCCAUGAAUCAAUACUAUUUUUCAGUAAAGAUAAAAACCAAGUUUCAGUACGAUCAUAGUGAGAACGGAAAUACCUUCAGUUUAACAAAUAUCAUUAUCCACAUCUUUCUUAUGUUGCAUAUCACACAACUCAACGAAGGUAUUUAGAUGGGAUGCUAUGUCUUCACUAGGAAGGCCAGAAAAUUGAUAUUUCAUGACAAGAUUCAGCAAAGCGACAUUAGUUUUGUAAGAUUCCGCACUAGUGGUGCGCGGGAGCAACCGGAAUACUAAUAAAAUUCAUUAUUAUUAGUAUUGGAAAAUCACACAACUUGGUAUUAUCUUAAGACAUCAUGACAAAGCAAGCAAUCUAACACACGAGCAACCAAAAAGCAAACGAAAAGGCAAAUGGAAGAAGGGCGAAUAAAAAAGGCAGAUCUUUUUGUAUUUUUCUGAAAUUGUUUUAGAAGUGGGGGAGAGGAAAAUGAGAGGAAAAUGGCAAAUAAUGUAAUGCAAGAGAUGGAAGUUUAUGGUGGGUACUUGGUAGGCUUGAUGUAGAUCUCCCCGGCAACGGUGCCAGAAAUUCUUCCUGCUACUUCUUGAGCUUGCGUUGGUUUUUCCCUUGAAGAGGAAAGGGUGAUGCAACAAAGUAGAGAUAAGUAUCCCCCUCAGUUAAGAACCAAGGUAUGAAUCUAGUAGGAGAUACAAGCAAGUCUCCAAUCUAUGCACAUGCAAAAAAAAUCAAACACUUGCCCCCAUCGCGAUAAAGGGGUUGUCACUCCCUUCACGGUCACUUGCAAAGGUGAGAUCUGAUAGAGAUAGAUAUAAAAGAUUACUAAAACGUAGAACACAAUAAAAGUAAAUAAAUCGCAGCAAGGUAUUAUUUGGUUUUUGGGUCUAUAGAUCUGAAAAUAUAUGAUGGAAAAUAGACCCGGGGGGCAUAGGUUUCACUAGAGGCUUCUCUCUUGAAGGAAAAUAAUAAGGUGGGUGAACAAAUUACUGUCAAGCAAUUGAUAGAAAAGUGCAAAGUUAUGACGAUAUCCAAGGCAAUGAUUAUGAAUAUAGGCAUCAUGACCAUGUCAAGUAGACCGACUCCUACCUGCAUCUACUACUAUUACUCCACACAUCGACUGCUAUCCAACAUACAUCUAGAGUAUUAAGUUCCGGAGUAAUGCCCUAAGCAAGAUGACAUGAUGUAGAGGGAUAAUCUUAAGCAAUAUGAUGAAAACCCCAUAUUUUUACCCUUGAUGGCAACAAUAGAAAUACGUGCCUCGCUACCCCUACUAUGUCACUGGGUGAGGACACCGCAAGAUUGAACCCAAAACUAAGCACCUCUCCCAUUGCAAGAAAAACCAAUCUAGUUAGCCAAACCAAACCGAUAAUUCGAAGAAAAAAAUACAAAGAUAUGAAAUCAUGCAUAUAAGAAUUUAGAGAAGAUUCAAAUAAUAUUCAUAGAUAAUCUGAUCAUAAAUCCAGAAUUCAUCGUAUCUCGACAAACACACAGAAAGAAGAUUACAUCAGAUAGAUCUCCAAGAACAUCCAGGAGAACAUUGUAUGGAAGAUCAAAGAGAGAGAAGAAGCCAUCUAGCUACUAGCUAUGGACCAGUAGGUCUGUGGUAAACUACUCACGCUUCAUCGAAAGGGCAAUAGAGUUGAUGUAGAAGCCCUUCGUGAUUGAAUCCCCCUCCGGCAGGAUGCCGGAAAAGGCCCCAAGAUGAGAUCUGAUAUGUCCAUUUUGCAUCAUGUUUUCCUACAGUUAUUUAUGUUGUUUUAUGGUAUAAUAAUACUUUUUGGAGUAAUUCUAAUGCCUUAUCUCUCAUAAUAUGAAAGGUAUGCACAAAGGGGGAGAAUUCUGGCAGCUGGAAAUUUGGACCUAAAAAUCUACGUCAAGCUACCUAUUCUGGACAACUCCAAAUGAGCUGAAAAUUCCCGAGGAUUUUUUAUGGAAUAUUUAAGAAUUAUUGGAGCAAAUAGGUACCAGAGGGGGCCACCAGGUGGGCACAACACACCUGGGCGCGCCAGGAGGCCCAGGCGCGCCCUGGUGGGUGCUGCCCUCCUCGACCCACCUCCGGUGCCCCUCUUCUGGUAUAUAACUCAUUUUGAUGUGGAAAAAGAAUAUAAGGAGAGGACUUUUGGGACAAAGUGCCGCCGCCUCGAGGCGGAACUUCGGCAUGAGCACUUUUGCCCUCCAGCGGAGCAAUUCCGCCGGGUGAACUUCACUCCCGGAGGGGGAAAUCAUCAUCAUCAUCUUCACCAACAACUCUCCCAUCUUGGGGAGGGCUAUCUUCAUCAACAUCUUCAACAACACCAACUCCUCUCAAACCCUAGUUCAUCUCUUGUGUUCAAUCUUUGUACCAGAACUAUAGAUUGGUGCUUGUGGGUGACUAGUAGUGUUGAUUACAUCUUGUAGUUGAUUACUAUAUGGUUCAUUUGGUGGAGGAUUAUAUGUUCAGAUCCAUUAUGCUAUUUAAUACCCCUCUUAUCUUGAGCAUGAUUAUCAUUUGUGAGUAGUUACUUUCGUUCUUGAGGUCACGGGAGAAAUCAUGUUGAAAGUAAUCAUGUGAACUUGAUAUGUGUUCAAUAUUUUGAUGAUAUGUAUGUUUUCAUUCUCUUAGUGGUGUCAUGUGAACGUCGACUACAUGACACUUCACCAUAUUUGGGCCUAAGGGAAUGCAUUGUGGAGUAGUUAUUAGAUGGUGGGUUGCGAGAGUGGAAGAAGCUUAAACCCUAGUUUAUGCGCUAUUCCGCGAGGGACCGAUUGGAUCCAAAAGUUUAAUGCUAUGGUUUGAAUUUAUUCUUAAUACUUUUCUCGUAGUUGCAUAUGCUUGCGAGAGGGUUAAUCAUAAGUAGGAGGUUUGUUCAAGUAAGAACAACACCUAAGCACCGAUCCACCCACAUAUCAGAUUAUCAAAAUAGUGAACACGAAUUAAGCCAACAUGAUGAAAGUGACUAGAUGAAAUUCCCGUGUACCCUCAAGAACACUUUGCUUAUCAUAAGAGACCAUUUUAGCCUGUCCUUUGUCUCAAAAGGAUUGGGCUACCUUGCUGCACUUUUGUUACUACUAUCGUUACUUGCUAGUUACAAAUUAUGUUGCUAUCAAACUAGUUCGCUACUUACUGUUGGGGAACGUUGCAGAAAAUUAAAUUUUUUCCUACAGUUUCACCAAGAUCCAUCUAUGAGUUCAUCUAAGAAACGAGUGAUAGGAGAGAGAUGCAUCUACAUACCACUUGUAGAUCACGUGCGAAAGCGUUCAAGGGAACGGGGAUGAUGGAGUCGUACUCGCCGUGAUCCAAAUCACCGAUGACCAAGUGCCGAACGGACAGCACCUCCGCGUUCAACACACGUACGGAGCGGAUGACGUUUCCUCCUUCUUGAUCCAGCAAGGGGGAAGGAGAGGUUGAGGAAGAAGGCUCCAGCAGCAGCACGACGGCGUGGUGAUGGUGGAGAUGCAGUACUCUGACAGGGCUUCGCCAAGCACUUAACGGAGGAGGAGAGGUGUUGGGGAGGGGAGGGGCUGCGCCUUGGAUGUCCUAUGCAGCCCUCCCCUUGCCCCUCUAUUUAUAGGGGAAGGGGGAAGGGGGCCAGCCCCCUCUAGAUGAGAUCUAGAGGGGGGGGCAAGGGAGGGGGCUUCCCCCCAAGCAAGGGGGGCGCCCCCACUAGGGUUUCCCCCGAAACCUUAGGCGCAUGGGCCCAAGGGGGGGGGGUGAAGCCCUCCAGGGGCUGGUUCCCUGUCCCCCACGGCCCAUGAGGCCCUCCGAGAGGGGUGGCACUUCCCGGUGGACCCCCGGAACCCCUCUAGUGGCCCCGGUACAAUACCGAUAUGCCCCCGAAAUUUCCGGUGACCGUAUGACAACUUCCCAUAUAUAAAUCUUCACCUCAGGACUAUUCAGGAACUCCUCGUGACGUCCAGGAUCUCAUCCGGGACUCCGAACAACAUUUGGUAAUCACACACAAGUCUUCCUAAUAACCCUAGCGUCACCGAACCUUAAGUGUGUAGACCCUACGGGUUCGGGAGACAUGCAGACAUGACCGAGAAGGAUCUCCGGUCAAUAACCAACAGCGGGAUCUGGAUACCCAUGUUGGCUACCACAUGCUCCUCGAUGAUCUCAUCGGAUGAACCACGAUGUCGAGGAUUCAAUCAACCCCGUAUACAAUUCCCUUUGUCAAACGGUACGUUACUUGCUCGAGACUCGAUCGUCGGUAUCCCAAUACCUCGUUCAGUCUCGUUACCGGCAAGUCACUUUACUCGUACCGUAAUGCAUGAUCCCGUGACCAAACACUUGGUCACUUUGAGGUCAUUAUGAUGAUGCAUUACCGUGUGGGCCCAGAGAUACCUCUCUGUCAUACGGAGUGACAAAUGCCAAUCUCCAUCCGUGUCAACCCAACACACACUUUCGGAGAUACCUGUAGUGCCCCUUUAUAGUCACCCAGUUACGUUGUGAUGUUUGGUACACUCAAAGAACUCCUACGGUAUCCGGGAGUUUCACGAUCUCAUGGUCUAAGGAAGAGAUACUUGACAUUGGAAAAGCUCUAGCAAAACGAACUACACGAUCUUGUGCUAUGCUUAGGAUUGGGUCUUGUCCAUCACAUCAUUCUCCCAAUGAUGUGAUCUCGUUAUCAACAACAUCUAAUGUCCAUAGUCAGGAAACCAUGACUAUCUGUUGAACAACGAGCUAGUCAAAUAGAGGCUCACUAGGGACGUAUUGUGGUCUAUGUAUUCACAUGUGUAUUACGAUUUCCGGUUAAUACAAAUAUAGCAUGAAUAAAAGACAACUAUCAUGAACAAAGAAAUAUAAUAAUACUCCUUUUAUUAUUGCCUCUAGGGCAUAUUUCCAAUAGUCUCCCACUUGCACUAGAGUCAAUAAUCUAGUUAUAUUGUGAUGAAUUGAACACCCAUAGAGUUCUGGUGUUGAUCAUGUUUUGCUCGCGGAAGAGGUUUAGACAACGGAUCUACGACAUUCAGAUCCGUGUGUACUUUGCAAAUAUCUAUGUCUCCAUCUUGAACAUUUUCACGGAUGGAGUUGAAACGACACUUGAUGUGCCCGGUCUUCUUGUGAAACCUGGGCUCCUUGGCAAGGGCAAUAGCUCCAGUGUUUUCAUAGAAGAGAGUGAUCGGCCCUGACGCAUUGGGUAUGACUCCUAGGUCGGUGAUGAACUCCUUCAUCAAUAUUGCUUCAUGCGCUGCCUCCGAGGCUGCCAUGUACUCUGCUUCACAUGUAGAUCCCGCCACGACACUCUGCUUGCAACUGAACCAGCUUACUGCUCCAUGAUUCAACAUAUACAUGUAUCCGGUUUGUGACUUAGAGUCAUCCAGAUCUGUGUCGAAGCUAGCGUCGACGUAACCCUUUACGACGAGCUCUUCGUCACCUCCAUAAACAAGAAACAUGUCCUUUGUUCUUUUCAGGUACUUCAGGAUAUUCUUGACCGCUGUCCAGUGUUCCUUGCCGGGAUUACUUUGGUAUCUUCCUACCAAACAUACGACAAGUUUUACAUCAGGUCUGGUACACAGCAUGGCAUACAUAAUAGAUCCUAUGGCUGAGGCAUAGGGGAUGACACUCAUCUCUUCUUUAUCUUUUGCCGUGGUCGGGCAUUGAGCCGAGCUCAAUCUCACACCCUGUAAUACAGGCAAGAACCCUUUCUUGGACUGAUCCAUUUUGAACUUCUUCAAAAUCUUAUCAAGGUAUGUGCUUUGUGAAAGACCUAUGAGGCGUCUCGAUCUAUCCCUAUAGAUCUUGAUGCCUAAUAUGUAAGCAGCUUCUCCAAGGUCCUUCAUUGAAAAACACUUAUUCAAGUAGGCCUUAAUGCUGUCAAAGAAUUAAAUAUCAUUUCCCAUCAAAAGUAUGUCAUCUACAUAUAAUAUGAGAAAUGCUACAGAGCUCCCACUCACUUUCUUGUAAACGCAGGCUUCUCCAUAAGUCUGCAUAAACCCAAACGCUUUGAUCAUCUCAUCAAAGCGAAUGUUCCAACUCCGAGAUGCUUGCACCAGCCCAUAAAUGGAUUGCUGGAGCUUGCAUACGUUGUUAGCAUUCUUAGGAUCGACAAAACCUGCCGGCUGCAUCAUAUACAGCUCUCCCUUAAGAUAACCGUUAAGGAAUGCCGUUUUGACGUCCAUCUGCCAUAUCUCAUAAUCAUAGUAUGCGGCAAUUGCUAACAUGAUUCGGACGGACUUAAGCUUUGCUACGGGAGAGAAAGUCUCAUUGUAGUCAACUCCUUGAACUUGCCGAUAACCCUUAGCGACAAGUCGAGCUUUAUAGAUGGUAACAUUACCAUCCGCGUCCGUCUUCUUCUUAAAGAUCCAUUUGUUUUCUAUCGCUUGCCGAUCAUCGGGCAAGUCUGUCAAAGUCCAUACUUUGUUUUCAUACAUGGAUUCUAUCUCGGAUUGCAUGGCUUCUAGCCAUUUGUUGGAAUCUGGGCCCGCCAUAGCUUCUUCAUAGUUCGAAGGUUCACCGUUGUCUAACAACAUGAUUUCCAGGACAGCGUUGCCAUACCACUCUGGUGUGGAAUGUGUCCUUGUGGACCUACGAAGUUCAGUAGCAACUUGAUCUGAAGUACCUUGAUCGUCAUCAUUAAUUUCCUCUCUAGUCGGUGUUGGCACCACAUGAACAUUUUCCUGAGCUGCACUACUUUCCGGUUCAAGAGGUAGUACUUCAUCGAGUUCUACUUUCCUCCCACUUACUCCUUUCGAGAGAAACUCUUUUUCCAGAAAGGAUCCGUUCUUGGCAACAAAGAUCUUGCCUUCGGAUCUAAGGUACAAGGUAUACCCAAUGGUUUCCUUAGGGUAUCCUAUGAAGACGCAUUUUGGCGACUUGGGUUCGAGCUUUUCAGGUUGAAGUUUCUUGACAUAAGCAUCGCAUCCCCAAACUUUUAGAAACGACAGCUUAGGUUUCUUCCCAAACCAUAAUUCAUACGGUGUCGUCUCAACGGAUUUAGACGAUGCCCUAUUUAAAGUGAAUGUAGCUGUCUCUAGAGCGUAUCCCCAAAAUGAUAGCGGUAAAUCGGUAAGAGACAUCAUAGAUCGCACCAUAUCCAAUAGAGUGCGAUUACGAUGUUCGGACGGACCGUUACGCUAAGGUGUUCUAGGCGGCGUGAGUUGUGAAACGAUUCCACAUUUCCUUAAGUGUGUACCAAAUUCAUGACUUAAAUAUUCUCCUCCACGAUCUGAUCGUAAGAAUUUUAUCUUUCAUUCAUGUUGAUUCUCUACCUCGUUCUGAAAUUCCUUGAACUUUUCAAAGGUCUUAGACUUGUGUUUCAUCAAGUAGACAUACCCAUAUCUACUUAAGUCAUCAAUGAGAGUGAGAACAUAACGAUAUCCUCCGCGAGUCUCAAUGCUCAUUGGACCGCACACAUCGGUAUGUAUGAUUUCCAAUAAGUUGGUUGCUCGCUCCAUUGUUCCGGAGAACGGAGUCUUGGUCAUUUUGCCCAUGAGGCAUGGUUCGCAUGUGUCAAAUGAUUCAUAAUCGAGAGACUCUAAAAGUCCAUCAGCAUGGAGCUUCUUCAUGCGCUUGACACCAAUGUGACCAAGGCGGCAGUGCCACAAGUAUGUGGGACUAUCGUUAUCAACUUUACAUCUUUUGGUAUUCACACUAUGAAUAUGUGUAACAUUACGUUCGAGAUUCAUUAAGAAUAAACCAUUGACCAUCGGGGCAUGACCAUAAAACAUAUUUCUCAUAUAAAUAGAACAACCAUUAUUCUCGGAUUUAAAUGAGUAGCCAUCUCGCAUCAAACGAGAUCCAGAUACAAUGUUCAUGCUCAAACUUCUCACUAAAUAACAAUUAUUGAGGUUUAAAACUAAUCCCGUAGGUAAAUGUAGAGGUAGCGUGCCGACAACGAUCACAUCGACCUUGGAACCAUUCCCGACGCACAUCGUCACCUCGUCCUUCGCCAGUCUCCGCUUAUUCCGUAGCUCCUGCUGUGAGUUACAAAUAUGAGCAACGACACCGGUAUCAAAUACCCAGGAGUUACUACGAGUACUGGUAAGGUACACAUCAAUUACAUGUAUAUCAAAUAUACCUUUAGUGUUGCCGGCCUUCUUGUCCGCUAAGUAUUUGGGGCAGUUCCGCUUCCAGUGACCCUUUCCUUUGCAAUAAAAGCACUCAGUCUCAGGCUUGGGUCCAUUCUUUGACUUCUUCCCGAUAACUGGCUUACCGGGUGCGGUAACAUCUUUGCCGUCCUUCUUGAAGUUCUUCUUACCCUUGCCCUUCUUGAACUUAGUGGUCUUAUUGACCAUCAACACUUGAUGUUCUUUCUUGAUUUCAACCUCUGCUGACUUCAGCAUUGAAAAUACUUCAGGAAUGGUCUUUACCAUCCCCUGCAUAUUGUAGUUCAUCACAAAGCUCUUGUAGCUUGGUGGGAGUGACUGAAGGAUUCUGUCAAUGACCGCCUCGUCCGGGAGGUUGAUCUCCAGCUGGGACAGGCGGUUGUGCAACCCAGACAUUUUGAGUAUGUGCUCACUGACAGAACUAUUUUCCUCCAUCUUACAACUAUAGAACUUGUCGGAGACUUCAUAUCUCUCGACCCGGGCAUGAGCUUGAAAAACCAUUUUCAGCUCCUCGAACAUCUCAUAUGCUCCGUGUUUCUCAAAACGCUUUUGGAGCCCCGGUUCUAAGCUAUAAAGCAUGCCGCACCGAACGAGGGAGUAAUCAUGAGCACGUGACUGCCAAGCAUUCAUAAUGUCUUGGUUCUCUGGGAUGGGUGCUUCACCUAGCGGUCCUUCUAGGACAUAUGCUUUCUUGGCUGCUACGAGGAUAAUCCUCAGGUUCCGGACCCAGUCCGAAUAGUUGCUACCAUCAUCUUUCAGCUUGGUUUUCUCUAGGAACACGUUGAAGUUCAUGUUGACAUUAGCGUUGGCCAUUUGAUCUACAAGACAUAUUUUGCAAAUAUUUUAGACUAAGUUCAUGAUAAUUAAGUUCAUCUAAUCAAAUUAUUUAAUGAACUCCCACUCAGAUUAGACAUCCCUCUAGUCAUCUAAGUGUUACACGAUCCGAGUCGACUAGGCCGUGUCCGAUCAUCACGUGAGACGGACUAGUCAUCAUCGGUGAACAUCUCCAUGUUGAUCGUAUCUUCCAUACGACUCAUGUUCGACCUUUCGGUCUCUUGUGUUCCGAGGCCAUGUCUUUACAUGCUAGGCUCGUCAAGUUAACCCUAAGUGUUUAUGCAUGUGUAAAACUGUCUUACACCCAUUGUAUGUGAACGUAAGGAUCUAUCACACCCGAUCAUCAUGUGGUGCUUCGAAAUGACGAACUUUAGCAACGGUGCACAGUUAGGGGGAACACUUUCUUGAAAUUAUUAUAAGGGAUCAUCUUAUUUUCUACCGUCGUUCUAAGUAAACAAGAUGCAUAAACAUAAUAAACAUCACAUGCAAUUAUAUAAUAGUGACAUGAUAUGGCCAAUAUCAUAUAGCUCCUUUGAUCUCCAUCUUCGGGGCUCCAUGAUCAUCUUCGUCACUGGCAUGACACCAUGAUAUCCAUCAUCAUGAUCUCCCUCAUCGUGUCUUCAUGAAGUUGUCAUGCCAAGGACUACUUAUACUUCUAUGGCUAACGCGUUUAGCAAUAAAGUAAAGUAAUUUACAUGGCGUUCUUCAAUGACACGCAGGUCAUACAAAAAAUAAAGACAACUCCUAUGGCUCCUGCCGGUUUUCAUACUCAUCGACAUGCAAGUCAUGAUUCCUAUUACAAGAACAUGAUCUUAUACAUCACAAUAUGUCAUUCAUCAUUCAUCACAACUUCUGGCCAUAUCACAUCACAUGACAAUUGCUGCAAAAACAAGUUAGACGUCCUCUAAUUGUUGUUGCAUCUUUUACGUGGCUGCAAUUGGAUUCUAGCAAGAAAGUUUUCUUACCUACGAAUAACCACAGUGUAAUUUUGUCAACUUCUAUUUACCCUUCAUAAGGACCCUUUUCGUCCAAUCCGCUCCAACUAAAGUGGGAGAGACAGACACCCGCUAGCCACCUUAUGCAACUGGUGCAUGUCAGUCGGUGGAACCUGUCUCACGUAAGCGUACGUGUAAGGUCGGUCCGGGCCGCUUCAUCCCACAAUACCGCUGAAGAAAAAUAAGACUAGUAGCGGCAAGCAAGUUGACAAGAUCUAAGCCCAGAACAAAAUUGUGUUCUACUCGUGCAAUAGAGAACUACGCAUAGACCUAGCUCAUGAUGCCACUGUUGGGGAACGUUGCAGAAAAUUAAAAUUUUUCCUACGGUUUCACCAAGAUCCAUCUAUGAGUUCAUCUAAGCAAUGAGUGAUAGGAGAGAGAUGCAUCUAUGUACCACUUGUAGAUCGCGUGCGGAAGCGUUCAAGGGAACGGGGAUGAUGGAGUCAUACUCGCCGUGAUCCAAAUCACCGAUGACCAACUGCCGAACGGACAGCACCUCCGCGUUCAACACACAUACGGAGCUGAUGACGUCUCCUCCUUCUUGAUCCAGCAAGGGGGAAGGAGAGGUUGAGGAAGAAGGCUCCAGCAGCAGCACGACGGCGUGGUGAUGGUGGAGAGGCAGUACUCCGACAGGGCUUCACCAAGCACUUAACGGAGGAGGAGAGGUGUUGGGGAGGGGAGGGGCUGCGCCUUGGAUGUCCUAUGCAGCCCUCCCCUCGCCCCUCUAUUUAUAGGGGAAGGGGGAAGGGGGCCGGCCCCCUCUAGAUGAGUUCUAGAGGGGGGGCGGCCAAGGGAGGGGGCUUGCCCCCCAAGCAAGGGGAGCGCCCCCACUAGGGUUUCCCCCCAAACCCUAGGCGCAUGGGCCCAAGGGGGGGGGGCGCCCAGCCCUCGAGGGGCUGGUUCCCUGCCCCCUACGACCCAUGAGGCCCUCCGAGAGGGGUGGCCCCUCCCGGUGGACCCCCGGAACCCCUCCGGUGGCCCCGGUACAAUACCGAUAUGGCCCCGAAACUUUCCGGUGACCGUAUGACAACUUCCCAUAUAUAAAUAUUCACCUCUGUACUAUUCCGGAACUCCUCGUGACGUCCGGGAUCUCAUCCGGGACUUCGAACAACAUUCGGUAAUCACAUACAAGUCUUCCUAAUAACCCUAGCGUCACCGAACCUUAAGUGUGUAGACCCUACUGGUUCUUGAGACAUGCAGACAUGACCGAGAAGGCUCUCCGAUCAAUAACCAACAGCAGGAUCUGGAUACCCAUGUUGUCUCCCACAUGCUUCUCGAUGAUCUCAUCGGAUGAACCACGAUGUCGAGGAUUCAAUCAACCCCGUAUACAAUUCCCUUUGUCAAACGGUACGUUACUUGCCCGAGACUCGAUCGUUGGUAUCCCAAUACCCCGUUCAGUCUCGUUACCGGCAAGUCACUUUACUCGUACCGUAAUGCAUGAUCCUGUGACCAAACACUUGGUCACUUUGAGCUCAUUAUGAUGAUGCAUUACUGUGUGGGCCCAGAGAUACCUCUCCGUCAUACGGAGUGACAAAUCCCAGUCUCGAUCCGUGUCAACCCAACAGACACUUUCGGAGAUACCUGUAGUGCACCUUUAUAGUCACCCAGUUACGUUGUGAUGUUUGGUACACCCAAAGCACUCCUACGGUAUCUAGGAGUUACACGAUCUCAUGGUCUAAGGAAGAGAUACUUGACAUAGGAAAAGCUCUAGCAAAACGAACUACACGAUCUUGUGCUAUGCUUAGGAUUGGGUCUUGUCCAUCACAUCAUUCUCCCAAUGAUGUGAUCCCGUUAUCAACGACAUCUAAUGUCCAUAGUCAGGAAACCAUGACUAUCUGUUGACCAACGAGCUAGUCAAAUAGAGGCUCACUAGGGACGUAUUGUGGUCUAUGUAUUCACACGUGUAUUAUGAUUUCCGGAUAAUACAAUUAUAGCAUGAAUAAAAGACAACUAUCAUGAACAAAGAAAUAUAAUAAUAAUCCUUUUGUUAUUGCCUCUAGGGCAUAUUUCCAACACUUACAUGUUUAGCACUUGCGGACAUUACCUUGCUGAAAACCACUUGUCAUUUCCUUCCGCUCCUCAUUGGGUUCAACACUCUUACUUAUCGAAAAGGUUACAAUUGAAAUCGUAUACUUGUGGGUCAUCAGGAUCUCACGCGAACAACAGGUUACGACGGCGGAAAAGUAUUUUGGUGGACCCUUCUGGUUGUUUUGGAAUAUUUGAGGAUUUAUAGAGCUGAGAGGGAGGUCGGUGGACUCUCGGGGGCCCCACAAGCCAGGGGCGCCCCCCUAGGGCGUGCCCUGAGGGCUUGCGGAGCCCUUACGACUCUUCUGACUUUGCCUCCAAGUUCUGUGGAUGUCUUCUGGUCCAACAAAAAUCAUGGCGAAAGUUUUAUUCCGUUCAGACUUCGUUUGAUAUUCCUUUUCUGUAAAACUCAAAAACAAGGAAAAACAUAAACUGGCACUGGGCUCUAGGUUAAUAAUUUAGUCCCAAAAAUAAUAUAAAAUAGCAUAUUAAUGCAUAUAAAACAUCCAAAACAUAUAAUGUAAUAGCAUGGAACAAUAAAAAAAUUAUAGAUACGUUGGGGACAUAUCAGUCGCCAUCAUCAUCACCAACCCUUCUUCAUUACCAAUUUCAUGAUGCUCACUACCGGGAGUGAUUAAUUCCUUCGUAGGCUUGCUGGAUGGUGAUGGAGUUGGAUGUGAUUUGUCAUGUAAUCGAGUCAAUUUGUUUGGGCUUGAUCCCUAGUAUCCACUAUGUUUUGAGAUUGAUGUUGCCAUGACUUUGCUAUGCUUAAUGUUUGUCACUAGGGCCCGAGUGCCAUGAUUUUAGAUCUGAACCCUUAAUGUUUUCAGGAAUAUAUUUGAGUUCUUGAUCCUAUCUUGCAAGUUGUAUACACCUAUUACGUAUUAUGAUCCGUAUACCCCAAGGUGACAAUAACUUGGAUUCUUUUUGGUGAUUAGCGUAGUAGGAGGAGUUCAUGUAUUCACUAAGUGCUAAUGCUUUGUUUCUGGUCUCUAUUAAAAGGAGGCCUUAAUAUCCCUUAGAUUUCCUUAUGGACACCGCUGCCACAGGAGGGUAGGUCAAAAAUGUCAUGCAAGUUCUUAUUAUAAGCACAUAUCACUAUAUACGUAAUACAUGCCAAUGUUACAUUGUUGAAUUGGAGCUAUUGGGUAUCACUCUAGGUUGUGACUGUUGCAUGAGGAGUUUUAUCCAUCACUGAUCCAAUGCGUAUGCUUUUUUUCAUAUUGAUCUUUGCUAAGUUACUUUCGUUGCUGCAGCUGUUAUAAUCACCCCAAACUUCUAUUGUUACUGUUACUACUGCUAUCAAACUAUGAUAUUACUGUGCUACUGAUGUCGCUUGAACUACGUUCGUAUUUCCCCAAAGAGGAAGGGAUGAUGCAUCACAACUUCGGUAGGUAUUUCCCUUAGUUAUGAAACCAAGGUUAUCGAACUAGUAGGAGAACCAAGCAACACUAUGUAAACGACACCUGCACACAAAGAACAAAUACUUGCAACCCGAUGUGUAAAAGGGGUUGUCAAUCCCUUUCGGGUAAUGGUGCCAGGAAUUGUCAAGUUGACGGGAUAAAAAUUAUGAUAGAUUGAUAGAUGCAAAUAAUAGCAAAUAAAACUCCGCAAGAUAUUUUUGGGUUUUUGAUAAUAUAGAUCUGAAAAUAAAAUAUGCAAAUAAAAGAAAAGGCAAAUAGCAAUAUAGAUCUGCAAAUAUAUGAUGGUAAAAUAGACCUGGGGGCCGUAGAUUUCACUAGUGGCUUCUCUCAAGAAAUAGCACACGGUGGGUAAACAUAUUACUGUUGGGCAAUUGAUAGAACAUCGGAUAAUUAUGAGGAUAUCCAUGCAAUGAUCAUUAUAUAGGCGUCACGUCUAAGAUUAGCAGAUUGACUCCUGCCUGCAUCUACUACUAUUACUCCAAACAUCAACCACUAUCCAACAUGCAUCUAGUGUAUUAAGUUCAUGGAAAAAUGGAGUAAUGAAAUAAGAACGAUGACAUGAUGUAGACAAGAUCUAUUCGUGUAGGGAUAGCCCCCAUCUUCUUAUACUUAAUAGCAAUGAUACAUGCAUGUCUUGGUGACCCUUCUGUCACUGGGAAAGAACACCGCACGAUAGAACCCAUCACAAAGCACCUCUUUCCAGGGCAAGAAAAAUCGAUCUAGUCGGCCUAACUAAACCAAAGAUUCGAAGAAGAAAUUCGAGGCUAUAAGUAAUCAUGCGUAUAAGAGAUCAAAAACUCAAAUAACUUUCAUGGAUAUAUAGAUCCGAUCAUAAACUCAAAGUUCAUUGGAUCCCAAUAAACACACCGCAAAAAGAGUUACAUCAAAUAGAUCUCCAAGAUACCAUUGUAUUGAUAAUCAAAAAGAGAGAAGAAGCCAUCUAGCCACUAACUACUCACGCAUCAUCGAAGAGGGACCACUGAGGACGAUGGACCCCUCCGUGAUGGUGCCUAGAUUGGAUCUCGUGGUUCUGGAACUUGCAGUGGCAGGAAUUUUGUUUCAUCGACUCCCCUAAGAUUUUUCAAAUAUUGGGGUAUUUAUAGAGCGAAGAGCUGGUGUGGGAGGCCACUGAGGUGGGCACAACCCACCAGGGCGCGCCCUGGGGGAGGGGGGUUGUGCUCCCCUCGGGCCACCCAUCUGGUACUUCUUUGGCCCAUCUUCUGUCUUUUGGUCCAAAAAAAGUCUCCAAAAAGUUUCGGUGCAUUUGGACUCUGUUUGGUACUGAUAUUCUGCAAAGUAAAAAAAGCAAAAAAUAGCAACUGACACUAGGCACUAUGUCCAUAGGUUAGUCCCAAAAAAUGAUAUAAAGUUGCUAUAAAAUGAUUGUAAAACAUCUAAUAAUGAUAAUAUAAUAGCAUGGAACAAUCAAAAAUGAUAGAUACAUUGGAGACGUAUCAGCUACUAAAAACUUUGCUGCAGAUAUUUAGUUCUCCAAGUGUGGUUGAAUUGACAACUCAACUGCUAAUACUUGCAAAUAUUCUUUUGCUCCCCUUGUGUAGAAUCAAUAAUUUUUUGGUGAAAUACCACCCUUGAAGAUUGUCACGAUCCACUAUACUUGUGGGUUAUCAAGACAUUUUUUCUGGCGCCAUUGCCGGGGAGCAUAACUCUAUUUGUUGUGUCACUUGGGAAUUAUAUAGGUUGAUCACUCUGAAGAAUCUGAAAGACACUAACACGAGGGAAGGUAAGGAACUGCCAUCUAGCUUUGCACUUGAUUCACCUUCUGUUUUGAGUAGACUUGUGACACCACCACCUGCUAUUAAUUCUGAUAGGUCACAAGUAAUUGAUGAUGCUACUUCCGCUAUGAAUGAUGCUAGUACUUUGCUUGAUAAUAAUGUUCCACUAGGUGAAUUUCUUGAUGAACAACUUGAUAAAGCUAAAGAAAUUGAGAGUGCUGAAACUAAUGAAACAACUGAAAAUUAUGAUUCACUUAUAUUGCCUAGCUCUCCUACUAUAGUUGAAAUGCCUAAGAUACAUGAGGGUUAUGUUAUGGAUGGGGAGAUAGCUAGAGAGUUUCUUGCUUGUAAUGAUGGAGAAUAUGUUAAGAAAUUAUUGAGUAAGCUGAAAGAAAGUCUAUGAUAGGAAGAGUGAAAUAUGGUCCUAAGUUCACUACUUUUCCUAUCUUUGUUACUGAUAAGGAUUUUGAAUUCUCUGUCGAUCCUAAGUUAAUUACUUUGGUUGAAUAUGAUCCUUCCCAUGGUUAUGAAUCUGAAACUGUUGUGGCACACCUUACUAAAUUAAAUGAUAUAGCCACCCUAUUUGCUCACGAGAAAAAAAAUCGCUACUACUAUAUUCUUAAGUUGUUUCCUUUCUCACUUGGUUUAAUCUCUUGCUCCUGGUUGUGUGCAUAGUCCCUAGGAUAUGAUAUACUACUUCUUUGAAAAAUAUAUUCCUGCUCAUGAGAAACAAGAUGUCUUAUAGAAAAUAUUUAACUUUGUGCAAAUUGAAAAAGAACUACAAGAAACUUGUUAAUACGUGACGGUCCUAGUCCAUCACAAAUCAACCAAAAUUUGUCAUGCGUUCAGGUCCACGAAGGAUCUGAGAUCCGUCAUGUAUAUCACGUCAUAAUUUGACAUCGUACCUUCCAUGACGGUACUUGGCCGUCACGGAUCUGCCUCAGGCCCGCCAAGCCCAAACUGGGCUGUGAAGGAACAAACCGUCACCGAUUUACAUGACGUGGAUGCAACGUGGACCUAACAAGGCGUUUACGUGGAUCUGACAUGGAGACUAACAUGGCCCAUGUUGUAAACAGCCCAAUUAGGGAUUUGGCCCAAUAAUUUUGAACAGUCCAACCGAUCAGUUAUUUAUCUUUGUCCUGCCAUUAGCCUACCUGUUUUUUGGUUCAAACUAUUAGCUCCAUUUUAGUAUAGCCGGUUUUCUAUAUACAAAACAAUUUACAACAGGGCAACCAAAUUAUAUUCAUUCAAAAAAUAGCAAUUGUUUACAUGACAAAACAGAUUUCCAACAAUCUAGUCUGAUUUGAAAAAACAAAGCUUAAUAUCAAAACAUCACGAGCAUAUCUAGCGCUAUAAGCAUCUUUUAAAAAAUUGAGUUACAUGGCUUCAAAGAAAAUGCACUACUAGCUGAUUUUAAUCUCCAACACUACAGCAAUUCAAGGCAGCUAUCCAGACCCAAUUAAUUCCUGCUAAAAAACUUCAAUCUCCAGUAACACGGUGGCAAACCUGCAUAGAAUCAAAACACAUUCAAAAUUAUAAUCAAGUUAGCCUACAAGUGACAAGCAAAUUUAGUCCAAAGAAAAGUGUGACAAAUGAAAGUAUAAUCAAGUUAGCCUACAAGUGACAAGUAACAAACACACAUCACAGAACUAAAAGUGCAAUAACAGCAGCAGUUGGUUCAGCCAUUGGUUCUGGACCAAACAAACAGCAAGUGCAUGUGGCUAACCCGGCUGGGACUUGCCUAUUUUCCGGACUAGCAAACAAACAUGAGAUUUCUCAAAGAAGAAAGCAAACAAACAUGACACGAACAAGUACUUAGUUUUAUUUUUUUGUGAGAGGAAGUUGUGCCCCAGUACAGGUAUUAAGUUUAUCUGGAUCAAACAUUUCUAUACUCUAAAAGAAAUGAAAACAAAAGUGAGAGGCAGGCACUUAGUUUCUUUUGUGAGAGGAAGCUAUACGCGCCUGUACAAGUACUUAGUUUUUCUGGAUUAAAAUUUUCUGUACAAGCGAUCAGCUGAAAAUUAUGUAAAGAAAAUUCUGCCAGCAAACACUGUACCACACCAUUCCUUAACAAAAAAGAAUGACAGUAAAGAAGUGGUAGACUAACUUCAAGAUAAUUAACACAAACUGGACAUAAACAUAGGACAAGUUCAAACCAAAGUAUGUAAUGUUGUGGACUAUAUAACCCAAUGUUUAUGCUGCAAGUUAUCUCAAAGCGACAAAAAAUACAGUACUAAACAAUACUUGCUUGCCAAGUGAACUUCAAAUGCCAUACAAAAUAUUGACAAAGAAUAAGAUACAGUUUCACUGAGAGAUCUCCCACACUAAUAGUUUAUUUGUGGAGUACUAAGCGGUGUACUUGUUAUUACAUGAAAAAUUCAAAAUGUGUACUGUAGUGAAUUAUGAAACAAGAAAAUACUUGAUAAACAGUGAACUAAUAGUUAGGAAAGCGAGGCCUGAAUUGAUCAUGCUCUGCUUAUAUUGAAGAACGGGUAGAAAAGCUAGUCUAGUAUCCUUGUUACUUCUUUUCAUAACAAUUCUAUAUGCUCAGGGCUAGGGCUUUCCCACUUGACCAGCAUUGAGAGUACUAUUAUUUAUGGCGGAAACAAUAAUGAAAUGAACAAGUACAUUUGUGAACAAGGUGAUAGGUGUAGUUCAGUAGUAGUUGAGCCGGGGAAUGAAAAUAGCGGAGAAAUCAUAGGAGUGACAGUGGAGAACUAACCCUUGGUUGAUCGUGGUUCAGCUCCCAACGACCACCAUGGUUGCCCUCUCAAGCUCUAUUGUGCACAAUGCAGUGGACGACUGUUACAGAGCUACCUAGACCUGCAUCCCAAAAACAAGAGAUCAUAAUCAGACAAUUAGAUUGUUAAGUGAUCGAAAUAAAAAGAGGAAUAACAUGAAGAAAAAUGAUUUAGGAUCACUUGUCACGAGCACUAUUCAGGAAGGCAACCUAGUGAUGGAGCAAAGGAGUUGAAGAACCAAUGCGUUGUGUCACUCUGAUGGCAAGUGCUAGCUAGCUCGGUGUCUGCCUCAAGGUUGAGAGAGUGAGCAAACACUUGGCCUUGGUACUAGUAGCAGAUGCACAACUAAAAGUAGUAAUACUACUCUAAAUUGACUCGCUAAUAGAUGUGUUUAGUACACAAAUUAACAGGUUUAAACCUCUGUAUUAUUACUGUAGGACUGCCACAAUGUAACGAUGUAAUUUUCUUCUUAGGUUCAGAUUAAACAUAUUUUUGGCAUACAUAUUCACCUGGCUGGCUGCAUGAGACAACAAGGAUAGAAAAAGAAAAGUACCUAGGGAGAAAUCACUAAACAGAACAUGUCGACAUGUUAAUACAGUAACAGAAAUCAUGUCUCCAAGACCUAGGGAAAUAUUCUAAAGUGAAAUUAGAACUUGAUAAAAGGCCAAAUACCAUAGUGCGGUGGUUUGACUCUGCUUUGUACCCUGUUGUUUGUCUCUACUUGGUACCCUACAGUGUAGAGGAUAUAGAAACAUUCAGAGAAAAAUCAGUGUUAAACAUUCAGAGAGGAAGCACGCACACACAACACACCGGCUGCUGCACCAGAUCCCCUAGCUGCCAGCACCUUGUCAGCACGCACAGACAACACAGCCUUAUAGUUAGAGAGGGCAGUAGCCACGCUAGGUAAUCGACACUGACAGUGUUGGACCUUUGUUAUGAAUCUAUAUAGGAACAGAGGUGACGCCACUGUUCAAAUACGCAUGCAUCAUUAAGUACUAUCUACUGUAUAUAGUAAGAAAGGGGAUUAAAAGAUUGACUAAACUGAUGGGCACCAAAGAAUUUAACAUUGCAAGUGAAAUAAGAACUAUAUUGUAUAGCAUUGAAAAAAACUCAUCAAUAAUAUUGUAACUUGGUAUAUCCCUUCUUGCCUCCUUCCCUAAGAUACAUGAUACAUCAACGAUUGAAAAAGGCCAUCAAUUUGACGAGUACACAACACACUCUGAACCCAAAGACAGUAUACAGACUAGUCGGUGAAUCAAGAAGAAGCACAAAUUUGCUGCUGGAACUGUUGUCAAGACAGAGAGAAUGAAUUCAUAAGGUUAUUCACUACAAGUAGAAUGGAAACCUACAACUGCUAAAAUUCAUCCUCAGACAGACUGCUCAUUGACAAGCUGCUCCUUGAAUGCUAAGUACUCAGAAACUGUUCACGAAUUGCAGGACUCUCAAACAAUUCCUGCACACAUGCAUUAGGGGAUCAAAACAAAUCACGAGAGGCAGGUGGGGGACAUGAGGGAGGGGGCUAUAGUGAUCUUGGUCGGACGGGGGGCUAACCUUGGUGGAGAAGAGGUGUCGCGGACGGCGGCCCAGGAGUUGGUCGCUCGCCACUGGACGUUGCCUAGCGGCAUCACCGCACAGCCGGCAAGGUGGGCUCAAGGAAGAGGGGUGUGGAUGGAGAGGAGCUACCGGAGACACGAUGUGUGGAUGGAGAGGAGCCGCCGGAGAUGUGAAGUGUUGGACACAAUGCCACGGCCAAAACCCUAGCCAUGGCUAAGGGUCACAGGCGAGCGCCGGAGAGGAAUGGAUGUAUUGCGAGAGGGAUGGAUGGGUGGGGGAUGCGGUGGAUCUGGUAGUUGUCGGAGCUGCGAGGUGAGAAGAAGGGAUGGGAGGGCCGGCGGCGAGCUAUGGGAGGAAGGACACGAAGAUGUGGUGGGUGGCGGCGUGCGGUGGGAGAUGAGGGAGGGGCUGCGGAUGGAGAGAGGAGGGGACAGGGAGGAGGAUUUAGGGUUAGCAUUUUAUAUGGGAAUAGUUAGGUGGGCUUGAGCGGGCUUUGAGCGGGCUUGCGGGGCUGUGCCAGGCCGUCCGUGACAGAUUUCAAAAAUGUCAUGAGAAAUCCGUCAUGGAUUAACAGGUUUCCCUCAAGCUUGGGGGAGGCUUCUCCAAUUAUACUUAAUGCUUUGCCUAAUCAUCCUCUUAAUAAAAAUGAAAUACUUGAUAUAUUUUAUAAUGGACUACCCUAUGCUUCUAGGGACUACCUAGAUAGUUGUGCUCGUUGUGUUUUGAGGGAACAAACUGUUGAAAAGGCUGAAGAACUAUUGAACAAUAUAUUGAGAAAUGAAAAUGUUUGGACACUUCCUAAACCACUGAUACGUCCAUUUUGCAUCAUUCUUUUAUAUCAUUAUUUAGUGCAUUAUGGACUGUUAUUUCACUUUAUGGUACAAUACUUAUGCCUUUUCUCUCUUAUUUUACAAGAUUUACAUGAAGAGGGAGAAUGCCGGCACCUGGAAUUCUGGACCGGAAAGGAGCAAAUCUGAGAGACCUAUUCUGCACAACUCCAAAAGUCCUGAAAAUUUACGGAGAAUUAUUUCUGAAUAUAUUAAAAAUAUUGGGCGAAGAAAAUACCACCGGGGACCCACUAGGUGGCCACAAGCCUGGGGGGGGGGCGCUCCCUACCCCUGGGCAUGCCCCGAGGGGUUGUGGGCCCCCUGUAGGCCUCUGGUGCCCUUCUAUGCUAUAUGGUGUCUUUUGAGCUGGAAAAAAUUAAGAGGAAGCUUUCGGGACAAAGCGCCGCCGUCUCGAGGCGGAACUUGGGCAGAAUUAAUCUGGGGCUUCGGCGAAGUUGCCAGGGAAACUUCCUUCCUAGAGGAGGAAAUCUAAGCCAUCAUCAUCACCAAUGGCCCUCUAAUCAAGAGGGGGUCAAUCUGCAUCAACAUUUUCACUAGCACCAUCUCCUCUCAAACCCUAGUUCAUCUCUUGUAUCCGAUCUUUGUCUCACAACUUCAGAUUGGUACUUGUGGGUUGCUAGUAGUGUUGAUUACUCCUUGUAGUUGAUGCUAAUUGGUUUAUUCGGUGGAAGAUCAUAUGUUCAGAUCAUUUAUGCUAUUAAAUACUCCUCUGAUUUAGAACAUGAAUAUGCUUUGUGCAUAGUUACAUUUGUUCCUGAGGACAUGGGAGAAGUCUUGUUAUAAGUAAUCAUGUGAAUUUGGUAUUUUUUUGAUAUUUUGAUGAGAUGUAUGUUGUCUUUCCUCUAUUGGUGUUAUGUGAACGUCAACUACAUGACACUUCACCAUGGCCUAGGGGAAGUCAUUGGGAAGUAAUAACUAGAUGAUGGGUUGCUAGAGUGAUAGAAGCUUAAAUCCUAGCUUAUGCGUUGCUUCGUAAUGGGCUGAUUUGGAUCCAUAUGUUUCCUGCUAUGGUUAGAUUUAUCUUAAUUCUUCUUUUGUAGUUGCGAUGCUUGCGAGAGUGGUUAAUCAUAUGUGGGAGGCUUGUCCAAGUAAGGACAACACCCAAGCACCGGUCCUCCAACAUAUCAAAUUAUCAAAGUAAAGAACGCGAAUCAAAUGAGCAUGAUGAAAACUAACUUCAUAGUAAUUCCCAUGUGUCCUCAGGAGCGCUUUGCUUUAUAUAAGAGUUCGUCCAGGCUUGUCCUUUGCUACAAAAAGGAUUGGGCCACCUUGCUCCACCUUUGUUACACUUGCUACACUACAAAAAAAAGACACAUCCGUGACAUUUUGGGCCGAACGAAAUUUUUUUCUGUCAUACAUAUGACACUUCUAUGACGAUAAUUGUGACAAAACCCGGUAUCAUCCUAGAUGUGGUGGGCUCCUACUUCUAUGACAAAAAAUCAUGACAGAAAAUGGGAUUUUCAUCCUGCGCGGGCUGGAGACGCAGUUGCAUGACAUUCUUUGGGCCGUCCAUGACGGAAAAAACCAUGGUAGAAGCGAGGGGGAGGAAAUUUUUGGGGAGUUCGCGGUUACGGUGGGAGGUCGGGGGCCGAGCGAUGCGCGUUUCUAUUGUACACGUACGUGCGUGUGUGCGAGGCAUUGGCUCUAACUGAACCCGAGCGAGGCAUUGGGCUCUAACUAAACCCGAGCGAUUGCACUGCAGGCUACGCAUUACUGAACCCGAGCGAUCGAUCGAUGGCUGUUAACUGAACCCGAUCGAGCGAUUCCUUCGCUACUGCUGCUAACUCAAGCCGAUCAAUGCUGCCUCUGGNNNNNNNNNNNNNNNNNNNNNNNNNNNNNNNNNNNNNNNNNNNNNNNNNNNNNNNNNNNNNNNNNNNNNNNNNNNNNNNNNNNNNNNNNNNNNNNNNNNNNNNNNNNNNNNNNNNNNNNNNNNNNNNNNNNNNNNNNNNNNNNNNNNNNNNNNNNNNNNNNNNNNNNNNNNNNNNNNNNNNNNNNNNNNNNNNNNNNNNNNNNNNNNNNNNNNNNNNNNNNNNNNNNNNNNNNNNNNNNNNNNNNNNNNNNNNUGGUGGCGUUGCCUCUGGAUGAACAGGACCCCUUGGUGUGGAGGGAUGGAUGAAUAGUAGACGAUGGAGGGGUGCCCGUGGAGGGGUGGUUGAACAGGACCCCAUGGUGUGGAGGGCUGGAUGAAUAGUAGACGGUGGAGGGGUGGUUGAAUAGUAGCCGGUGGAGUAGCGCACGAUGGAGGCUGGAUGAACAAGAGCCCGUGGAGGCUGGAGGAGAUCGACGGUAGCCCGUGGAGGCUGGAGGAGGUCGACGGUGGAGAUGAAUAGUAUCCCGUGGAGUCCUGUUUUGCGGUACGCCACACCCCUCCUGAUGAAUAGGACCCCCGUUUCGACCAUAGGAGGUCCGUUUUAUCCGUUUUGUGGUACGCCAGACCCCUCCCGAUCAACAGGACCCCCGUUUCGAGCGUGGGAGGUCUGUUUCGUCCAUUUUAGGGUACACCACACCCCUCCCGAUCAACAGGACCCCCGUUUGGACCGUAGGAGGUCCGUUUCCUCCGUUUUGCGGUACGCGACACCCCUCCCGAUCAACAGGACCCCCAUUUCGACCUUAGCAGGUCCGUUUCCUCCGUUUUGCGGUUCGCCACACCCCUCCCGAUCAACAGGACCCCUGUUUUGACCGUAGGAGGUUCGUUUCCUCUGUUUUGCGGUAUGCAAGACCCCUCCUGAUGAACAGGAUCCCAUUUCGAACAUGGCCGGUAGAACACAAGGCCGUUUCCUCCGUUCUGCGGUACGCCAGGCCUCGUUUCCAUCGCCUGUUCCGUCCAAGCCCUCCCGAUGAACACGACCACGCAUUCCGUUGCCCCUCGAUGAAGACGACGCAUUCCAUUGCCUCCCCAUGAACACGGCGACGACGCUGUUUCUCCGUUCCGACCCAGCCAAUGUACACGAGCCCUGGCCGUACGUAUAUAUGCGCGAUUAGGCGUUCGAGACCCCCCCGUAUGUACACAUACGUGGCCGUAUUUUCUUUCUUGCACCCUCGCCGAUGUACGUACGUGUACAUGCUACGUGCGCGCCUCUACUACGACACGUGCGUGCCUCUAAUACGACACAUGCGCAUCUCUACAUCCACCAGUACAUAUGUACGUACACGUUCGCGACCAGAAUGACAACGCUACGUACGCUUUGACCAGGUGGGUCCCGACUGUCAGGCACUUCCUUGCCUGCGAAGAUGUAGCUGGUGGGUCCCAGCAGUCAGGGGGGCGAAUGUUUUUUUUCCCGGACACACUUCCUUGCGUGCGAAGAUGUAGCUGGUGGGUCCCAGCAGCCAGGGGGGCAAAUUGUUUUUUUUUGCCCAGACGCACUUCCUUGCGUGUGAAGGUGUAGCUGGUGAGUCCUAGCAGUCAGGGGGAAACGUUUUUUUCGCGAAAUAAGGUGGCCCGUCCGGUGGGUGCCUACUGUCAGGUUGAGGAAUAGUUAUUUUGCAUGUAAUAAGGAGGCACUUCCUUGCGGCCGCCAUGGACCCAGCUGUUAGCCUCUCCACGUAUAGUAUUCUUCCAAUGGAAGUCGGUCGUUGACCACGUUGACCACGCCGCACCGACAGCACCAGGGCGGUGGACGACGGCGAGGCCUAGGAAGGGGACAACGUGGAUCCGGGGAAGACGCAGCAGUGGAAGCCCGCGCGGAGAGGAGUACGAGGGUUCACUGCUUCGGCUGCAGUGUGAGGCUCCCAUCACCGCAGAAUAACAGGGGGUGUGGGUGAGUGGAGGGAUGGCCUGGCCAGCGGUGGGAGUAGUAUGGGGGUGGUGAGGCCUCCGCGGCAGCACAGCCGGCCACGGGAGGUAGGAGCAGGUGGCACGACUGGUGGUGCUUUGGGUGGCUAGACCAAGAAGACCAGAGGUUGAGGAAGCACUACAGCCGUUGGAUGGACAUCGUACGGUCACUUAAGCUAGAAUCGUUUAUUAUUGACUAUGUUGACAAAGCCCUUGGUACACUCCAACUUAGUAGGCCCACAGGUCAGCCUCCGAAACGGUGCACCCCAGAUGUCAGGGGGAGGAAUAAUUUUUUGGGCAGCCGAAGCUAAGAAUAUCCAAGAUUGAAGAAGAAGCACGACAUCCCUUGGAUAGACAUCCAACGGCCACUGCUGCUAGAACCGUGUGUUGACUAUAAUAAGUUUACAAAGCUUUUCAUACGCGUCAACUUUUUUUUAGGGCACGCGUCACUUCGUAGGCCCACAAGUGUGUGGCAGAGAACUUAUAGCCCAUUUUCGUUUUGUAAGAAUGUACAACCCAUUCUUGAAUUCUAAUGGAAUUUACAACAGCCCAUUUACAGCUUGUUAAAAGUACAACCCAUUUUCUAGCUAGGACAACGAUUAAUAAUUUCAACCAACCGUUGAAGACAGAAUUCAAUAAAAUUUCCCACAUUUUGAUGGGAUCCGAAAUAUUUUUAUCCCGAAAUUUCCAGUCAGAUAAAAUAUAAAUUUGUAUUACGUAAAAUCCAACGAAACAUUGCGCGUGCAAGAAUGAAAACUUAAGAUUUUCAAAAUCCAUAAAUAAUAUUGUAUAAACUAAUUUCAUGUUUGGUGUAUUUUUUAUAGUCACUGCCCAGUUUUUAUAAUUACAUCCCAUUUAUUAUUUUUUAAAGCCCAUUUUCCUGUUAAGCGUAAUGCAUCCCUCCUAGGAAAGAUUUGCAGCCCAGCGAGGCGGAGAAUAACAAGUUGACCUUGCCUGUGUAUUCCUCAAAAGACGUAUAGCUGGGCUAGCCAUUUUCGUCUGGAAAAAAAUAGUAUCUGGGCUGGAUAUCUGGCCUAGGCUAGACGGGCCACAGCCCACCCAGCUAAUACCCUACUCUCCUCUGAACAACAACGAAAUCAUCGCCAACAAAAACUCUGCAGUGCUCAUGCCUCAAAAACACAAAUACUGCACGAGCUGCAUGGUCCCAGCUGUCGGCCGCACCUUGUGCAAUUCUCUCGUUUAUAUUGACUACAUAUGUUGACAAUGGUGUGGGACCGUGAUUUCAGGAAACCAGGAGAAAGCAAAAAAAAAUAUAGUUGUACAUAAUAAGGAGGCACUUGCGUACGUACUGAUAUGGCCCUAGUGGGUCCCUAGUGUCAUCCGGUCAAAAUAAACUCAUCUCCUGAAUCCUCAUGUUCAUUGACGAUGUUAACAAUGCUCGGCGCCACGGCAAGCGCAAUAACUCGAAGGACAACGGAGAGGGCCUCGCGGGCCCUAUGGAUGGUCUGAUAUAGCGCCCGUUGCUCAUUCAGGAAGCCAGGAUCAUCGGACACCUAUCAGCACCUUCGAGAAACUGAGACGGCAUAAAAUGGUAAGGCCGCGCUUGGGAGCUCUGGUUUAUUUCAAACUUGUAUUAACAUACACAAGUGUAAUUUACUCAUCAUCGAAAACAACGCGUAAAAUACAGGCGUAAUGAAACCGAGGGCCCGAGGUCUGUAAUUAAAACCGGCGGGUUACGCGUGUAAUUUGAGAGACCAGUGUAUAUUUUACGAGCACUGCUAUAUGGACGACAUUACCAGAUGAUACAUGCAUGACGUGCGUAUCAUGCCAUCCAUAGGCAAGGCUGAAACAGCAGCUAACAGCUGGAUUAGCAAUCGUCCGAGUGUCCUUCAGCGUUUUUAUCAUGUGUGAAGUACUUCCGAUAUUUUACUAGUCGAAAUCGACCAACCAAGCGCCUUCGCCCAAGACCAUCUGCUUUAAUUUACAAGCGUCAGUUUUACAAGCGGUUUUGGUUGGAAAACGACGAUCCAAUCACGGCCUAAUAUCAUGAGUUGGUCAGAAGAUCAUAUGGUUUCACGUCUCACCUACCCGACUUGUCGCAUAGGCUAUGAAUGAAACAUCAGACGAUGAACUUCUUAAGCACGGAAACAACAGAAGAGGAUGAUCUUCUUAACAAGCAAAUCACUGGCAUUAGAUCGAGAUGCAAAACAAUACAAAGCAUUAUUCUCAGGAGGCAUGGUGAACAACUCGUGAUGCCGCAUGCCACAACAUUCCAAGCUCAACUUUGCAAUCAAACACAAGGCCUAGCAUUACAUAGACAAUAUUCAGAACAAACUCUUAACACAGGAAUAUCUCAGCAGGGUAACUAUUUACUUCUAAUCUGAACACAGGAAUAGGAAAAAAUACUCGACGCUGCUCACAGCAAGGGCGUCCCACUCAAAAAUAUCAAAUGCAUGUCUUCUGGCUAAGAUCAAUGAGCAAAUUUUGACAAGGUUUUCCAAUUCCAAUAUAUUAAACUAACGUCUUGUUGCUAACAUCAAUGAUUAAACUUUGACAAGCUUUUCCCAUUCAAAAUAUGUAAUGCCUAUGAUCGUGGAGUCCUGUUGUAGCUUCUUAAAUUGCCAAUGGUCUCUACAGACUAGUCAUGUCACCGGUGUCUAAUAAUACUCUGUAAAGCUUCUCGGUCAUUCCUUCUGUAAUGUAGCACAAACAGUGACUACUUCUUUCUGCAAAGUGGAACGACCAACUAGACCCAGUAAUGCAGCAGUUUGCCUUGGACACAUUGGCUCCUUUUGUGCAGUUCAACUAAAAUCGAAGUCGGAAUAAAACCGAGCUUUAAUUUUGAUAUCCCUGUAAGCAACAAUAGGUCGUGGAUGGAAAACAAAGUAGGAUAGUAGCAUUUCUAAAACGGUUGCAUUGAUUCAUAUUAACAGAGACAUUCUCUUGAAACAACAUUCGGUUAAAAUGUAAUUUACUUUUAACAGUGGCAUUGCUUCAAUUUUCCGGCAGCAUUCUUAGAUUAACAACAGCAAAAUAGUUGUAUGGGACAUGCCAGCACCAUGUGCGUCCACACAUAUAAAUGGGUGAUGUAGAGUAUGUAGCCAAGCAGCCUAUAUGCGUUGGUCCCAUAUUUGUUCUCUUUGAACCGUUUUCCUAUGUGAGGGCAGCAAAUCUAGUCCUACACAAGCCACCUGACCCCCCAGUUUCUUUCCCUUUUCAACAAAGAGAUCGGUUCCUUACAGAUGUGUGUACUGGGUUACCCCCUUUUUCCCUUUUCGGCCUACAGAGCGGCUGGAUAGCCAGUCUAUACUACUUUUCGCCCCUCCUUUCCUCAUUGAACCACAUCCUAGAUUCUUGCUCCAGCCCACCGCACCCUUCUUUCCUCUUUGAACCAAGACCUAGAUUCGACUACAGAUUGAAAAAGAUCCACAUGCAUCUAGAGCAACGACGGUUUCAAAGAAACUUAUACCUUAGGGUCGUUGGGAUGUGGCAAGGCGUGCGGCGGGAGGCCGGAUCUGCCCACACUACGUACAACAGCAAGGAAGAAGGGGUCGGUGGCCCUCCCGCACAGGCGUUGGGUAAAAGAGAACAACAGAGCUGGCAGUGAAUUGCCUCCCUCGCCGAAGGCGAUAGAGUGAGCGCUGCACCUUCUCCCCUUGCCGGUGCGACGGGAUACGGAUGCCUCCUUCACUAGCUAUGAGGGGGAAGAGAGAGACAAGAGGCCAACGCAGUCUUGUUUAGAUCUGGUAAAGAGAGGGUGAGAGACUGUGAAUAUAGCAAACCCUAGCAAAUGAACGCUCAGCCUCUAGCGUGUAUCAUAUAUCUAGUGCGGCGAGCGUGUGGAGAGUGCAAACCCUAGCGAACAAGCGCUGAGACUCCCGCUUAUAUAUAUAAUACUGUAGUACGGACUGAGCUCCGGUGCCUUCACUGCACCUGCUUUUGGCUGUAUAAUAGGUGAGCCAGCCACAUUUUGGGCCCACCUAUCAUAAACCCAAAGGCAGGUGCACUAAGUCAAUGAAUUUGCGUUCAUAUAGUACUCUCGUGUAUACGACUAAUAUAUAGUGGAGUGGUUUUCUUAUUCUCUCCAUAACAAUCAUUUUAAAUUGUGUAAGUACGAAACGAAACUCUUUAUUUAAUGUACAGUGAAGAAAACUAGUACUACUACUUCCGAUGAACUAACGAUCCACGCCCACGCGUCCUAGUCGCACUUCCUAUCCUUCACAUGUGGUACACUACCCUCCCUUAAGUGAACAACCACACAUGCGCGAAAUUAUCGGAAACGUGUGAGAGUGUGUACAAAUAAACAAUUUUAAUUUCAAUUAUUGGAAAGGUUUGAGAGUAUUACAAAGUUUGACUUCAGACAAAUCUAAUAUGCGGAGUAAAUAAAAAUGGAGGGCUACUACGUCCAUCCGGGUUUUUAGUCCACACCAUUUUUUAAAUCAAAGUUAAUAGCUAGACAAAUAAAAUUACAGGGGAGCUAGAGACAAUGUUGUGAGAAGGCUUAGAAAUCAAUACAAAACUUAUGCUCUUAGUACCAACGUCGAUCCUUCUUCGAGGAAACAUUUGGUUCAUAGCUAAUUGUGUGAUAAAAUUGCACCAACGUGAAAGACAACUGCGUCUCCAACGCAACCAAGGUGAACUGACGAAGGAUAUCAUCUUUAUGCAUAACAAGCAAAGAGCACUGAUGGAAGACAAAUUGUUUUUCAUUGAAAAUCGAUUAGCUUCACCAGCCGACGCAACCAUGAGGCGCAACCAUGAGCAUCGAUAGGUCAUCUUGGUGAUGCAUCAUCGAUUUGGCAUCAAGUUUGGGUGAGGCACAUAUGAAGUUCGACAAAUCCUCACUGUGGUCUGUUUCUUCUCAGGAAUCAAGAUCGAGGAAGGAAGAACCACGUGGCAGAGGACAGUGAGGCGGAACAACAAUGGCCAUCCAAUUUUGUGCAGUUCCACUAAAAUUGAGGAAGACAUGCCCAGGUAUGGAGACACGCAUCGCUGUUUCCAAAAAUAUAAAAAAGGGUUAGCAACAACAUCUCAAUUGUCAAUAAGAAUUAAUGAAAAGUACACCAACAAACAGAAGCAUCUUAAUUAUCUUGAUGGGAACUAAACCAGGACAACCGAUAAAAAAAGCAUUUCUUCAUUUAACCAGUGAUAGUACUACCACCAUAUCGACAAUGACCGCACAACCACCAUGUACUUUUUUUUUCGAAACAACAUGUAUUCCUCCACCGAGGCAUAAAUCAGGACAACUUUUCGAGUGGCAUUUCCUCUAUAAUAGUACUCCCUCCAUUUUUGUAUACAAGGCCACUAUCAAAAUUACAAUUUGCAACUAUACAAGGCCACUAACACAAAUCGAUGUAAAAUUGAUGAGGUUUGCCUCGUACUAGCAAGCGAAGACAUUAAUACCUCAUGCAUGCAUGCAGGAGUGAGAAGAUUGAUUUGAAUGCACCAUAUUAAUCAGCCAACAAGGAGAGAGAGAGUUGUCUUGUUGUCCAUUGGAGAGAUAAACACACAUUAAUUAACACGUCAAGAAAGGAGAAAAGACUAGUUUGCAACAUUGGUUUAAGUAGGCAUUAAUUUCUACAUUGAUACUUGUAAUAUGGGUUUGUGGCCUUGUAUACAAAAAUGGAGGGAGUACUAGUAGGUGACAUUAGACCAGCCGACAAACCCUAGCUACUACUAUGCAUGGGGAGCUGGGGAGUAGUCGCAUAGUAGAAAACCCGCACGCAGCAACCUGGGGAGCUGGACCAGUACACGAAGUUAUACCUUAGGUGGGCGAGAUGUCGUUUAGGAGGGUGGGCGGGAUCUGCCCACACGACGGCAGCGAACAAGGGCGCGGAGGAUCUUCGUCCGCACCAGCGCCGACUCCGAGAGGAUGGUGUGCAUCGGCUUCCUCCGUCGCCAACGGCGACAACGUCAACGCUGCACCUCCUCACCUCCCUAAGCGGACGGGAUUCAGAUGGAUCUGUGACCACCGGUGAGGAGAGAGAUAGAGUGGACACUGUCAUCUUGUUUUGAUAUGGAGAGGGUGAGAGAGCAAGAAGCGAGAGAAACUCUAUCAAACAAGAGGCUAUAAUGGAGUAAAAAAAUCUCUCCAUAGUAGUGGUUUUAAAUAGAAUAUGCGCGUUCCCGGAAAAAAGAAACGAAAACUGGCGGACAAUUUUUUAAGGGUCUGUCUAGGACACAUCUAGAUGUGACAUAGUUAUGUCACAUCUAAGUUGAUGUCCACUCUGUUUGUGGUCUAUUUUUUUCUGUCCUAGUUUUGUUUGUUUCUUGUUGCUACUCCCUCCGUCCAGGUGUGUAGGGCGUCUAAGGAAGGGCAGCAUGAUUCCCUCAAAAAAAAGGGAAGGGCAGCAUGAUCUAGGCGCGAGUGGAGUGGGCGAAGUGAAAAUUUAAACCAGGAAAAUAGCCAGUUAUCGAGCAAGUUUAGCCCUUAAUUCUUGCUGGUAAAUCUCGCUAGACACGCCAAUUUAUUGCCUGACCUUUCCCUUCCUCAACGAGCUGCGCAUGCAUGCAACAACACUCGCGCUAGUUAACUGCCUUCCGAUUUUUUCGCUUGGGCUGACCAAUAAUCAACUAUCUUAUUGUGCAUGCAUUGGCCUAACACAUACCGCGGGUCAUCAGUUUUGAUUAACACGACAUUUAAAAAUGGCUGCAUGGGGAGCUAGAACAAGAGACUGUAAAACGAGGCUGGUUUAACUACCUAUAUGCGACUAAAACUUUGGGAACAAAUGGACUCUCUUAGACGCCCUACACACCUGUACGGAGGGAGUACAUUACAUAGUUGUGGGAGCUUGGAUGUGAUAUCCUUAAAUAACAUCUAGAUGUGAAUUAGACAAACUGAUUUUCUAACGUACCAAGAAAGAAAACUUGAGCAAAAACACGCCCCCGCUUCCAGGUCGCGAGAGUCGUCGCACACACACACAUAGACAUAGACAUGCAUAUCCGUGUUUACAUAAAAUUACAUUUCCAUCUCCAUCUCCAAUCAUAUUUGUCCAACUGGCACAUUAUUUAUGUUGUUACGCGGUAAUAUUAACAUACAACAUCUCUUGUUUGCGCACGUUCGGACCGCUGCCACGGCCGGUCCUGACCAACCCGAACCCUCUUCAUCACCCGCGCGUGCUUCCCGCCCGAAACGGUCAGUGCCGCAUUCAUGCCCGGCCAGAGCGGACGCAACCUCUCACUGGCGCCGGCAUUGAAGUGUCACGCCGGUCGAGAGAGUGUCGCCCGCGCCGCUUCUAGGUGCACGCGGCUGCUCCGCGUUCAAAGGUCGCAAUAACCGGCUACAACAUGGAUGUAAAAAGUUCUUGGGAGUCCGUGCUACAGCUAGCUGUCCUCCCCCAACUCGUCAAUCUCUUCCAGUAGUGCUAGUACUCCAUGGCGCGGUCCAUCGACAAGCAGGCGGGAAAGUUAUCGUAUACUACUCGGUUUGCGGUGAGUGGCAUGCCGAGCGACCGUGUGGGUCGAGUCGUGGAGGAGGGUGAGACACGAACACGAUAGACGUGAUUUAAAUGUUGGUUUUGCUCGAUGGUGCGAUCCAACGAAACGAAACGUUGGUUUCUCUCCGUUUCCAUUUUUUCUCCGAAAAACAGAAACUUUCCACUCCAUUUUCAUUCCUAUUCCAAGGUUGCCCCGUUACAACAUUCCAUCAAAUACAAAGGAAAACUAACGCGCAUGCUGAUGCAUCUCAAUGAUUCACAAAUCAUAGCCAAUAUUUACUUCACAACUAAAGAGAAAAGUUGUGAGAGCGUAUACGAAAGAAAAACUACUAAUGGGGUCACUACGACUUAAACCCUAAACCCUAAACAUGAUUUAAUUUCCUAGCCAGGUAGAACCUGUCAAAGGAAAGACGGCUGGCACCCUCGGAUCAUACGAUGCGUUUGUGUAGUUCCACUAAAAUCGACCUGAGCAUCCCUGAUGGCAAAGAUAUUGAAGAUGUGUGAUUAGAAUAAUAGUACUGGCACUAGUUCAUGGGACAUAAAUUCAUCACAAGUAGAAGCCGGUAGAAGUAGAGAAAGAUAAACAUGGAGAUGGAGCUACGGCAGUGGAGCAAGUCAGCUCCAAAAGGAAGAUGGACUAUACCUGGGACGUCGGGCUCUAGCUAGAAGGGCGGUUGGGACGCGGCAUCGGCCCAUACCGCGGUGACCCCCGAUUGGGACGCACCGACUGUGGGGUUUCUCCCUCGCCGAUGUCGAUCGCGUCUACGCAGUAGAUUGUUCCCUUCCCCCAGCUGCAGGAUAAUGCCCGUCGUUCUAUGCUUGUGAACAGAGCAACCUAAGCAAGCAGGCUUGUAGCUUAGGCUCCUGCUAGUGUAUAUAUAGUGGUUUUCUUUUUCUCUCCAUAUCAACCAUUUUAUAUUGCGUAUGUGUCAUUCAAGAGUGAAAUGAUGGUUGCUUCUUCCGACUAACUUACUGUGUGAUUUGACUGCUCGUUAGUGGCCCCUACACGUACUCCCCCUACGUGUAUGCAACAGUCACACGUACACAUGGAUGCAAAAACGCGCGUGACGCCCUAAUGCAUGCAUGUCCGAGCAUACGAUAGAACACACACGGUCACGCUCAAGUGCUCAACCUACACGUGCAUGCACACACAUACUCAGUCAGGGUGAGCUAAUGACCGUAUAAACACCGGAAUAUAUAUAUAUAUAUUGAGCGCAAUGAGCGUAUUAUGAAGUCCAACGACCAGUGUCUUGGCUAAUCGUCCUAAGAAUGCUUAUAUAUGAAUAAAGCUCUCUCAUUUACAAGCAAAAAAGAUUAAGCCAUAUUAACCGGAAAGGAGGGAGUAUGGACUAGCACUACUUUUUGGUGUGUCCCGUCAACUCACAGAACGAGGAGAAGCUUGCAAGACAUGGUGAAGCUCGCUUACGCCUUUUGACUAAUGCAACCUACCCUAGGUGGACAUGAAUCAGUCCAUUCGGUGUUAGAUUGUCACAGGCAUACACUGUAGUACCCAACAUGCGGAGUACCAUCAUUGUUCGACUUCACGAAGUGGCGAAGAGCCAAGCGCAGUAGUACGAGUAGUACUACUACUAGAACCGCAUGGUGGAGCAUCUGUACUCUAUUUUUUUUCUCUGAUAAAGUACACGUUUAUUCCGGAGAAGGGCGGAAAACGGUAGCUCGACAUGUAAUGAAUGAUAUCGAUCAACCAACCAUGCUCGAAUAUAUCUUGGCCUCCGUUCGAGCCCGUCUUUGUGUUCUCGCUCCUCGUCUCUCUCAAGGAACGGCGGGUUGUCUCUUUGCCGUCAAUUGAGAUCGGUUUGCUCACACUCCUGUCCCCCAUGUCAGUGAUAUGCCAAGAGGAGGUGCGUUGACCGACUGGCCAUACGCGUACUUGGUUUUGCACGUUCAUACUACUCCUCCCUCCGUCACGGUUUACAGGGCGCGCUUCAUUAUGAUGCAUUUCUCUCAAUGCAUUUCCACCACCAGAGAGACUUUAGAUGCGUUUGGUUUAAUGCUCAAUUAAUUAGGGCGUGGAAACCGCAAUCAAGUCCACAAUUUUCUCUCUCCAUGUACUCUAUAUUGUACUACGGAGUGGAGUAAGUGCAUGCUUGUGUGUACCCGGGGUGGAAGCACUGCAUGCAUGUGUGUACGCAUUAUUCCCUCUAGUAAUAGACGUCGUGCUAUAACUACCAAUGCUAUUUUUCAGGCCGAUCGUUAGUCGCCUUGGUCCCACAGAUUUUCUUUUCUUUUUUCUGAAGCACGCUGUAUAAACAGUGACGGAUGGAGUAGUAUGAGCGGAUUCAAAGAAGAGCGUAUUGAUGGUUGCUUCUUCAAAGCAACUUACAGUGGGAAAGGUGGGGCUUAUAAUUUGACUGCUCGUUACUCAGUAUUAAUGCGGCGCAACGACCGGGCUGAGUCUCCCAUGUGGUUGUGCACUACCCCCUCGGUUCUUAAAUAUACUCCAGAGUAUUUGUCUUUCUAGAGAUUUCAACGAGUGACUACUCAAAUAUUUGUCUUUUUAAAGAUUUCAAAUGGACUGGCACAUACGGAUGUAUAUAGACAUAUUUUAGAGUGUAAAUUCACUCAUUUUGCUCCGUAUGUAGUCACUUGUUGAUAUCUCUAGAAAGACGAAUAGAAUAUGUAGGAACGGAGGGAGUACACAUACGAAGAAAAAUGAGUGAAUCUACACUCUAAAAUAUGCCCGUUUGAAAUUUGUAAAAAGACAAAUAUUUAGGAACGAAGGAGUAUAAUUUUGUGCAUCGCACAUGGACCCGGAUGAUGAAGAGGCUUCUGGCAAUGCUAUCAAGCUUCCAUCAUUUGUUUAAAUAAUUGAUGUACUAUACAAAUAAUUUUCCAGCGACAUGAAAUUGUACAAUGGUGUGAGCUUUCAGCUUUUGUUUCGCGUGUCUUGCCAUCGAUGCUCUUUUGGAAACAAUAAAAAAAUAACUUCCUUGCUAAUGCAUGUCAAUUAUUAGCAGAUCAGAGCUAAUAAUUACAUCACAACUGAAAACAGAGUUGUGAGAAGGUGUUAAAUUAAAAUUGAUCCAUGCUUUCAUUGGCAGCAACGUCCCCCCAGCUCUGUCUAAAUCAACAAGGCAUGUUAGGAAAAAAAGUAGCUGUCUGGAGCAUGAAACAUUCCGAUCAUUUUGUGCAGUUCCACUAAAAUAGAGCUGAGCAUCCCUGUUCCAAAGAUAUUAAGUGUGAUUACGAUAAUAGAGGACUGCUGAUGAAACAAUAAACACACAAAUAGAAGCCGGUCACCUUUGCAGUCUCUCUUAAGACUAACUAGUUGGAGAAGAUUAGGCUCGGAGUUGGAUGAGGAGGAUAGAGCAAAACCAAUCUCCCUUUGUGCAGUCGCACUGAAAUGUAGAGACGUUGCCCGUGUGACAUUUUAGUACAACUGCACAAAACACUCUUAAGAAAAAAAUGAUUUGUGCAGUUCACCAAAAGGUCGCAAUAGCAACGAGGUGAAAUGGAUAGCCCUGUUUGCAAAAAAGAGGUAGAAAGGAAACAAUUACUGGCCAAUAACAGUUGAUGACACAUGCGACGACAAAAAAGAAGGAUAUUCUUGUCCUAAGGGAAGAUAACAACAUGGUUGUGUUUGUCUAAAAUGGUGUGAGGACAAGAAUGCAAUAUGCAAAGUACGCCGGGCGAGCUACGUUUUGGGCAAAGAACUAUGGAAGAUCCACAUGCAGCGACGUGGGAAGACGGGCAGUGAAGCAAGGCCGGAGGGGAUACCUGGAGGUCGUUGGGAUGUAACUAGGUGAGCAGCGGCGAGCGGAAUCUACGAGUAGGUGGCGUAGGCCCUGCCGUGGCGGAACUUGGUCAGAGAGAACGGCGUGUGCCACAGAUCGGGACGUGCUGCCUCGGCGCCGUCGAGCGGAGAAACAAUGCACUUCCUCCCUUUCCCCCGGUGGACGGGAUGCGACCGGAUCAGUGACCAACGGUGAGAGAAAAAGAGAGAGGCCACCGCACUCCCUUUCCCCCGGUGAACGGGAUGCGGCCGAAUCAGUGACCAACGGUGAGAGAUAGAGGCCACCGCAUCCUUGUGUGAGAUACUCCGAGGAGCGACAAACUAGGCAUGCAGGCUCCAUUUUAUAUAGUGAGCGGACUACCUUUUUCUCCGUAAAAAUCGUUUUAUAUUCUGUGUACAUGCCAUUGAGCGAUAUAACUUUAUUUAAAAAUAACGCGGCAACGCGUCAGGUCGAACUUUGUUCCGUGCAUGCGUGGUACACGACCUCCCUAGGUAAACAACCGCUACAGGCGUUCAAAUUAGCACGUGGGCUGCCAUUUCGUAAAGAAAUAAGCUCCACUGUGUACCCGUGCAGGUGUGGCUGGGCACGAAGCGUGAGUACGUGCACGGUGCACCUAUUCUCUUCUUGUAUACGUACACCACCUACGUGGGGUUGUGUGAGAGAGAUACAAACCUAGAGAGAUAUAGUGUGUGGGUUCUUGAGAGUUUUUUGGGGGGGGGGGCGAUCCACGAGAAGAGAGUGGAGGUAUUUAACAUGUAUGUCAAAAAAUGUAACAUAUGCAAUGUGUGUGAAAUAGAGUCCUGGAUAUAACAUGUAUAUUGAGGGGGCGAUCCACGAGAAGAGAGUGGAGGUAUCAUCGGCUUGAGGUGUCCAUAGAAUCGAAGAGAGGGAUGAUGAUGAUGUGUGUGUGUGUGAGUGUCUGUGUGUGUGUGCGCGCGCGCGAUCGAUAAAGAGUGCCAUCGAAUUUGUGUGUGCCCACGUCAAAGAUAUAGAGUGGCUGGCGUACAGGAAUGUGAGAGGGGACAUGUGCAGUUUGUCUCUAUGGCAUGGAUACCUACCUACAACGCUCGACUAUCGGUGUGUGGUGGGGGAAGAGGGAGGCCCAAUUAACUAUAUAGGUACAAUGGCUAGUAUAUGUGUGGAGGAGGAGAGAGGCCUGUUGGGGAACGUAGCAGAAAUUCAAAAUUUUCUACGCAUCACCAAGAUCAAACUAUGGAGUAAUCUAGCAAUGAGGGGAAGGGGAGUGCAUCUACAUAGCCUUGUAGAUCGCUAAGCGGAAGCGUUCAGGAAAACGGGGUUGAGGGAGUCGUACUCAUCGUGAUCCAAAUCACCGAAGAUCCUAGUGCCGAACCGACGGCACCUCCGCGUUCAACACACGUGCAGCCCGGUGACGUCUCCCACGCCUUGAUCCAGCAAGGAGAGAGGGAGAGGUUGGGGAAGACACCGUCCAGCAGCACCACAACAGCGUGGUGGUGAUGGAGGAGCGUGGCACUCCAGCAAGGCUUUGCCAAGCACUGCGAGAUGAGGAGGGAGAGAUGUAGGGCUGUGCCUUGGAGAGAAUAACUCAUGUGUUGGGCAGCCCCUAGACCUCAACUAUAUAUAGGGGGAAGGGAGGGGGCUGCGCCCCCUCUAGGGUUCCCACCCCAUGGGGUGCGAUAGCCCCUAGAUCCCAUCUAGGCUGGCGGCCUAAGGGGGAGAGGGGGAGGCGCACCUGGGGUGGGCCUUAGGGCCCAUCUGCCCUAGGGUUUGCCCCCCUCUUCUCUUGAGGCGCCUUGGGCCUUGGUGGGGGGGGGUGCACCAGCCCACCUGGGGCUGGUCCCCUCCCACACUUGGCCUACGCAGCCCUCUGGGCUGUUGGCCCACCUCGUGGACCCCCGGGACCCUCCCGGUGGUCCCGGUACGUUACCGAUAACACCCGAAACUUUUCCGGUGACCAAAACAGGACUUCCCAUAUAUAAAUCUUUACCUACAGACCAUUCCAAAACUCCUCGUGACAUACGGGGUCUCAUCCGAGACUCCGAACAACAUUCGGUAACCACGUAUAUCUAUUCCCUAUAACCCUAGCAUCAUCGAACCUUAAGUGUGUAGACCCUACGGGUUUUGGAACCAUGAAGACAUGACCGAGACAACUCUCCGGCCAAUAACCAACAACAGGAUCUGGAUACCCAUGUUGGCUCCCACAUGUUCCACGAUGAUCUCAUCGGAUGAACCACGAUGUCAUGGAUUCAAUCAAUCCCGUAUACAAUUCCCUUUGUCUGCCGGUAUAGUACUUGCCCGAGAUUCAAUCGUUGGUAUGCCGAUACCUUGUUCAAUCUCGUUACCGGCAAGUCUCUUUAAUCGUUCCGUAACACAUCAUCCCAUGAUCAACUCCUUGAUCACAUUGUGCACAUUAUGAUGAUGUCCUAUCGAGUGGGCCCAGAGAUACCUCUCCGUCAUACGGAGUGACAAAUCCCAGUCUCGAUUCGUGCCAACCCAACAGACACUUUCAGAGAUACCCGUAGUGCACCUUCAUGGCCACCCAGUUACGUUGUGACGUUUAGCACACCCAAAGCAUUCCUACGGUAUCCGGGAGUUGCACAAUCUCAUGGUCUAAGGAAAAGAUACUUGACAUUUAGAAAAGCUUUAGCAUAUGAACUACACGAUCUUGUGCUAGGCUUAGGAUUGGGUCUUGUCCAUCACAUCAUUCUCCUAAUGAUGUGAUCCCGUUAUCAACGACAUCCAAUGUCCAUGGUCAGGAAACCAUAACCAUCUAUUGAUCAACGAGCUAGUCAACUAGAGGCUUACUAGGGACAUGGUGUUGUCUAUGUAUCCACAAAUGUAUCUGAGUUUCCUAUCAAUACAAUUCUAGCAUGGAUAAUGAACAAUUAUCAUAAACAAGGAAAUAUAAUAAUAACCAUUUUAUUAUUGCCUCUAGGGCAUAUUUCCAAUAGUCUGCCACUUGCACUAGAGUCAAUAAUCUAGUUCACAUCACUAUGUGAUUGUAAUGAAUCGACGCCCAUGGGGUUUGAUCAUAUCUCGCUUGUGAGAGAGGUUAUUAGUCAACGGAUCUGAACCUUUCAGAUCCGUGUGUGCUUUGCAAAUCUCUAUGUCAUCUCCUAGAUGCAGCUACCACGCUCUAUUUGGAGCUAUUCCAAAUAACUGUUCUACUAUACGAAUCCGCUUUACUACUCAGAAUAAUAUGGAUUAGUGUCAAAGUUUGCAUCGGCGUAACCCUUUACGAUGAACUCUUUUACCACCUCCAUAAUCGAGAAAAUUCCUUAGUCCACUAGUUACUAAGGAUAAGUUUGACCGCUGUCCUGUGAUCCAUUCCUGGAUCACUAUUGUACCCCUUGACUGACUCAUGGCAAGGCACACUUCAGGUGCGGUACACAGCAUAACAUACUAUAGAGCCUACGUCUGAAGCAUAGGGGACGACCUUCGUCCUUUCUCCCUUUUCUACCAUGGUCAUGUCUUGAUUCUUACUCAAUAUUCACACCUUAUAACACAGCCAAGAACUCCUUCUUUGCCGAUCUAUUUUGAACUCCUUCAAAAUCUUGUCACGGUAUGUAUUUAUUUCAAAGUACUAUUAAGUGUUUUUGAUCUAUCCUUAUAGAUCUUGAUGCUCAAUGUUCAAGUAUCUUAAUCCAGGUUUUCCAUUAAAAACAUUUUCAAAUAACCCUAUAUGCUUUCCAGAAAUUCUACAUCAUUUCUGAUCAACAAUAUGUCAACAACAUAUACUCAUCAAAAAUGCUAUAGUGCUCCCGCUCAGUUCUUUGGAAAUACAAGUUUCUCAUAAACUUUGUAUAAACCCAAAAUCUUUGAUCAUCUCAUCAAAGUGUAUAGUCCAACUCCGAGAUGCUUACUCCAGUCCAUAGAAGGAUUACUGGAGCUUUGCACACUUGUUAGCAUCUUUCAGGAUUGACAAAACCUUCUGGUUGUAUCACAUACAACCUUUCCUCAAGAAUAUCGUCGAGGAAACAAUGUUUUGACAUCAUAUCUGCAAGAUUUCAUAAAUCAUGCAGUAAUUGCUAAUGUAAUUCCAACAGACUCUUAGCAUCGCUACGAAUGAGAAAGUCUCAUCGCAGUCAAUUCCUUGAACUUGUCAGAAAACAUCUUAACGACAAGUCGAGCUUUCUUAAUGGUGAUACAUACCAUCAUUGUCCGUCUUUCUUUUAAAAUCCAUCUGUUCCCAACAGCCUUACGACCAUCAAGUAGUUCUUCCAAAGUCUAUACUUUGUUUUCAUGCAUGGAUCCUCUCUAGGAUUUUAUGGCCUCGAGCCAUUCGUCGGAAUCCGGGCCCACCAUCGCUUCUUCAUAGCUCAUAUGUUCAUUGUUGUCUAGCAACAUGACCUCCAAGACAAGAUUAUGUACCACUCUGAAGUAGUAUAUAUCCUUGUCAACCUAUGAGUUUUGGUAGUGACUUGAUCCGAAGUUUCAUGAUCAAUAUCAUCAGCUUCCACUUCAAUUGGUGUAGGCACCAUAGGAACAACUUCAUGUGCCCUGCUACACACUAGUUGAAGUGACGGUUCAAUAACCUCAUAAGGUCUCCACCAUCCUCCCACUCAAUUCUUUCGAGAGAAACUUUUUCUCGAGAAAGGACCCGUUUCUAGAAACAAACACUUUUGCUUCCGGAUCUGAAAUAGGAGGUAUACCCAACUAUUUUUGGGUGUCCUAUGAAGAGUUAUUUAUCCGCUUUGGGUUCGAGCUUAUCUGGCUGAAACCUUUUCACAUAAGCGUCGCAGCCCCAAACUUUCAAGAAACGACAGCUUAGGUUUCUCUAAACCAUAGUUCAUAUGGUGUCAUCUCAACGGAAUUACGUGGUGCCCUAUUUAAAGUGAAUGUGGUUAUCUCUAAUGCCUAACCCAUGAACAAUAGUGGUAAUUCGAUAAGGGACAUCAUGGUAUGCACUAUAUCCAAUAGGGUGCGGCUAUGAUGUUCGGACACACCAUCACACUAUGGUGUUCCAGGCGGUGUUAGUUGUGAAACAAUUUCCACAAUGUCUUAAUUGUGUACCAAACUCGCAACUCAGAUAUUCAUCUCUAUGAUCAUAUCAUAGACAUUUUAUCCUCUUGUCACGAAGAUCUUCAACUUCACUCUGAAAUUACUUGAACCUUUCAAUAAUUCAGACUUGUGUUUCAUCAAGUAAAUAUUCUCAGCAUCUACUCAAAUUAUCUGUGAAGUAAGAACACAACAAUAUCCACUCCGUGCCUCGACACUCAUUGGAUAUUACUUCCAAGAAGUUGCUCUCUUGUUCCAUCUUACUAAAAAACGAGGCUUUUAGUCAUCUUGCCCCUGUGGUAUGAUAUGCAUGUCUCAACUGAUUUAGAAUCAAGUGAGUCCAAACGAUCCAUCUGCAUGGAGUUUCUUCAUGCGCACAUACCAAUAGACAUGGUUCACAUGUCUCAAACUUUUCAAAAAACGAGUGAGUCCAAAGAUCCAUCAACAUGGAGCUUCUUCAUGCGUUUUAUACCAAUAUGACUCAAAUGGCAGUGCCACAAGUAUGUGGUACUAUCAUCCCUAUCUUAUAUCUUUUGGCAUGAACAUGUGUAUCACUACGUUCGUGAUUCAAUAAACCCAUUUUAGGUGCAAGACCAUUGAAGGUAUUAUUCAAAUAAAUAGAGUAACCAUUAUUCUCCUUAAAUGAAUAACCGUAUUUCGAUAGACAUAAUCUAAUUAUGUCUAUGCUCAACGCAAACACCAAAUAACAAAUAUUUAGGUUUAACACCGAUCCCGAUGGUAGAGGGAGUAUGCGAUGCUUGAUCACAUCAAGCUUGGAAACACUUCCAACACAUAUCGUCAUCUCACCUUUAGCUAGUCUCCGUUUAUUCCGUAGCCUUUUAUUUCGAGUUACUAACACUUAGCAACCGAACCGGUAUCUUAAUACCCUGGUGCUUACUAGGAGUACUAGUAAAGUACACAUUUAAUACAAUGUAUAUCCAAUAUACUUCUGUCAACCCUGCCAGCCUUCUCGUCUACCAAGUAUCUAGGGUAGUUCUGCUUUAGUGGUUGUUCCCUCAUUACAGGAGCACUUAGUCUCGGGUUUGGGUUCAACCCUGGGUUUCUUCACUAGAGCAGCAACUGAUUUUCCAUUUCAUGAAGUAUUCCUUCUUACCCUUGCCCUUCUUGAAACUAGUGGUUUCACUAACCAUCAACAAUUGAUGCUCCUUCUUGAUUUCUACUUUUGUGGCGUCAAACAUCGCAAAUAUUUCAAGUAUCAUCAUAUCUAUCCCUGAUAUGUUAUAGUUCAUCACGAAGCUCUAGCAGCUUGGUGGCAAUGAGUUUGGAGAAACAUCACUAUCUCAUCUGGAUGAUUAACUCCAACUCGAUUCAAGUGAUUGUUGUACUCAAACAAUAUGAGCACAACCUCAACGAUUGAGCUUUUCUCCCUUAGUUUGCAGGCUAAGAAACUCGUCGGAGGUCUUAUACCUCUUGACGUGGACACGAGCCUGAUAUCCCAAUUUCAGCCUUUGAAACAUCUCAUAUGUUCCAAGACAUUUCGAAAUCAUCUUCGGUGCCUCAAUUCUAAAUCAUUUAACAUUACUGAACUAUCACGUAGUUAUCAAAACGUGUAUGUCUGAUGUUCGCAACAUCCACAGACGACGUUUGAGGUUCAGCACACCGAGCGGUGCAUUAAGGACAUAAGCCUUCUACGCAGCAAUGACGACAAUCAUCAGUUUACGGACCCAGUCUGCAUAAUUGCUACUAUCAACUUUCAACUAAAUUUUCUCUAGGAACAUAUCUAAAACAGUAGAACUAGAGCGCAAGCUACGACAUAAUUUGCAAAAACAUUUUGACUAUGUUCAGGAUAAUUAAGUUCAUCUAAUGAACUCCCACUCAGAUAGACAUCCCUCUAGUCAUCUUGAGUGAUACAUGAUCUGAGUCAACUAGGCCGUGUCCGAUCAUCAUGUGAGACGCACUAGUCAUCAUCGGUGAACAUCUUCAUGUUGAUCGUAUCCACUAUACGACUCAUGUUCGACCUUUCGAUCUCUUGUGUUCCGAGGCCAUGUCUGUACAUGCCAGGCUCGUCAAGUCAACCUAAGUGUUUCGCGUGUGUUAAUCUGGCUUACACCCGUUGUAUGUGAACGUUAGAAUCUAUCACACCCGAUCAUCACGUGGUGCUUCGAAACAACGAACUUUCGCAACGGUGCACAAUUAGGGGGAACACUUUCUUGAAAUUAUUAUGAGGGAUCAUCUUAUUUACUACCGUCGUUCUAAGCAAAUAAGAUGCAUAAACAUGAUAAACAUCACAUGCAAUCAAAUAGUGACAUGAUAUGGCCAAUAUCAUUUUGCUCCUUUUGAUCUCCAUCUUCAGGGCUCCAUGAUCAUCAUCGUCACCGGCAUUACACCAUGAUCUCCAUCAUCAUGAUCUCCAUCAUCGUGUCUCCAUGAAGUUGUCUCGCCAACUAUUACUUCUACUACUAUGGCUAACGGUUUAGCAAUGAAGCAAUUACAUGGCGUUAUUCAGUGACACGCAGGUCAUACAAUAAAUAAAGACAACUCCUAUGGCUCCUGCCGGUUGUCAUACUCAUCGACAUGCAAGUCGUGAUUCCUAUUACAAGAACAUGAUCAAUCUCAUACAUCACAUAUCAUUCAUCACAUUCUUUUGGCCAUAUCACAUCACAUAGCAUACCCUGCAAAAACAAGUUAGACGUCCUCUAAUUGUUGUUUGCAUGUUUUACGUGGCUGCUAUGGGUUUCUAGCAAGAACGUUUCUUACCUACGCAAAAGCCACAACGUGAUAUGCCAAUUGCUAUUUACCCUUCAUAAGGACCCUUUUCAUCGAAUCCAAUCCGACUAAAGUGGGAGAGACUGGCACCCGCUAGCCACCUUAUGCAACAAGUGCAUGUCAGUCGGUGGAACCUGUCUCACGUAAGUGUACGUGUAUUGGUCCGGGCCGCUUCAUCCCACAAUACCAUCGAAAUAAGAUAGGACUAGUAACGGUAAGCAUAUUGAACAAAAUCAACGCCCACAACAAGUUGUGUUCUACUCGUGCAUAGAAUCUACGCAAUAGACCUAGCUCAUGAUGCCACUGUUGGGGAACGUAGCAGAAAUUCAAAAUUUUCUACGCAUCACCAAGAUCAAUCUAUGGAGUAAUCUAGCAACAAGGGGAAGGGGAGUGCAUCUACAUACCCUUGUAGAUCACUAAGCGGAAGCGUUCAAGAGAACGGGGUACUCGUCGUGAUCCAAAUCACCGAAGAUCCUAGUGCCGAACGGACGGCACCUCCGCAUUCAACAAACGUGCAGCCCGGUGAUGUCUCCCACGCCUUGAUCCAGCAAAGAGAGAGGGACAGGUUGGGGAAGACUCCGUCCAGCAGCAGCACAACAGCGUGGUGGUGAUGGAGGAGCGUGGCACUCCAGCAGGGCUUCGCCAAGCACUGUGAGAGAUGAGGAGGGAGGGAGGUAGGGCUGCGCCUUGGAGAGAAUAACUCAUGUGUUGGGCAGCCCCUAGACCUCAACUAUAUAUAGGGGGAAGGGAGGGGGCUGCGCCCCCUCUAGGGUUCCCACCCCAAGGGGUGCGAUAGCCCCUAGAUCCCAUCUAGGCUGGCGGCCUAAGGGGGAGAGGGGGAGGCGCACCUGGGGUGGGCCUUAGGGCCCAUCUGCCCUAGGGUUUGCCCCCCUCUUCUCUUGAGGCGCCUUGGGCCUUGGUGGGGGGGGGGGCGCACCAGCCCACCUGCAGUUGGUCCCCUCCCAUACUUGGCCUACGCAGCCCUCUGGGGCUGUUGGCCCACCUCGUGGACCCCCGGGACCCUCCAGGUGGUCCCGGUACAUUACCGAUAACACCCGAAACUUUUCCGGUGACCAAAACAGGACUUCCCAUAUAUAAAUCUUUACCUCCGGACCAUUCCAAAACUCCUCGUGACGUCCGGGAUCUCAUCCGAGACUCUGAACAACAUUCGGUAACCACGUAUAUCUAUUCCCUACAACCCUAGCGUCAUCGAACCUUAAGUCUGUAGACCCUACGGGUUCGGGAACAUGUAGACAUGACCGAGACAACCCUCCGGCCAAUAACCAACAGCGGGAUCUGGAUACCCAUGUUAGCUCCCACAUGUUCCACAAUGAUCUCAUCGGAUGAACCACGAUGUCAAGGAUUCAAUCAAUCCCGUGUACAAUUCCCUUUGUCUACCGGUAUAGUACUCGCCCGAGAUUCGAUCGUCGGUAUGCCGAUACCUUGUUCAAUCUUGUUACCGGCAAGUCUCUUUACUCGUUCCGUAACACAUCAUACCAUGAUCAACUCCUUGAUCACAUUGUGCACAUUAUGAUGAUGUCCUACCGAGUGGGCCCAGGGAUACCUCUCCGUCACACGGAGUGACAAAUCCCAGUCUCGAUUCGUGCCAACCCAAUAGACACUUUCAGAGAUACUCGUAGUGCACCUUCAUAGCCGCCCAGUUACGUUGUGACAUUUGGUACACCCAAAGCAUUCCUACGGUAUCUGGGAGUUGCACAAUCUCAUGGUCUAAGGAAAAGAUACUUGACAUUUAGAAAAGCUUUAGCAUCCAAACUACACGAUCUUGUGCUAGGCUUAGGAUUGGGUCUUGUCCAUCACAUCAUUCUCCUAAUGAUGUGAUCCCGUUAUCAAUGACAUCCAAUGUCCAUGGUCAGGAAAUCGUAACCAUCUAUUGAUCAAUGAGCUUGUCAACUAGAGGCUUACUAGGGACAUGGUGCUGUCUAUGUAUCCACACAUGUAUCUGAGUUUCAUAUCAAUACAAUUCUAGCAUGGAUAAUAAACAAUUAUCAUAAACAAGGAAAUAUAAUAAUAACCAUUUUAUUAUUGCCUCUAGGGCAUAUUUCCAACAAGGCCUACCUGAUGUAUUAAGGAGAUCGAUCUGCCUCAUGUAUUAAGGGAGAUCGAUCAGCAUCCAUGCAUAUGUGCAGGAGAGGAAUAAGGUUGGGAGAGAGACAGAGCUAGAGUGUUGGAGGAGGUGGUAGUGGAGUUGCUUCUAACAAAUUGUGGGAUAGGCUUGCUAGACAGACGGAGGGCACGCCCGCAAUAUCAAUAAGUGAGGAGAUGGCUGCUUGUUGUCUGUGCACGUGUGUGUGUGAGAUGGGUCAGGAGGCAUGCACGAAUGAUGAGGGGGGACGAUGUGGCUGUGGUAAGCAGACGUAACUACACAGGAAGAUCAAUCACCCUUUGUUAGAGAAAGGAGAGACAUAACUUGGGAGGUACGUCGAUCGAUGGGGGGGUAGUUAAAGUCGAUCUAGGUAUAUGUUGGGAGAUUGAUCGGUAUACAUGCAUGUGUGUGUUAGAAGCAAAUGAGGCACGAGGAGAAGGAUAGAGAGAGAGGGAUGCAUGUAGGCGGUGGUACGAGAGGCAUACUAUAUCAAGGGGGGAGGAGUGUGCGAGUACGAGAACGAUGAAAAGAGUGGUGGGAGUGAGGCAUGGGCGGUGACAAGAGAAGAGGGGAAGCUUGUGUUUGUGCUAGGCACACCUGGCUAGAGAGGCAUAUCAAUCGAUGUGUGCCGUAAAGAAGGAUCUGGGGGGCCUACACACACCGUGGGUGAACGACAUAAAGUGAAAAGACGAAUUUGCGCGAUGGAGCUAGAGAAUGUUGAGGGAGGGUGAGAGGGAUGCGGGCGUGUGCAUGCACAAGAGAAAGUUAGCACUAGCUACAAAGAUAAGAGGGUUGUUUGGGUGUAAAAUACGAAUAGAGAUCAUAUAUACUUCAUUAUAAAAAGUGAUUUCGGAUAUUUGAAGAAUUUAUCAUAGUGUUUUAAACCGACGCAUGUGUGAAUAUAUAUAAUGGUGAUACACAUGGUGUGGUUAUGAACAUGUUAUACUACAUUUAAUAUAUUUUAUCUCUACUCUUAUAAAAAAACGGAGUAGUUGAUGAUGGUGUGCCUGCCAUCCUACAUUAUAGGCCGUCCAAUUUAUAUCUGGCGGAUAGGAAGGAAACUAUGAUGGUUGAAGUUGGCAACAAUCAUGAUAUUAGAUUAUUAUUGAAAUAGAGAAAUGAAUUCAAAUUUAGUUCGAAUUGCAGUGGUAGUAUAGACAUUUGGAAUGCACUAAAAUGUUGGUAUGAGUAGGUUACAUGCAUUAUACAGCAAGCGAAAAAAUUUAAUUGGACAUAGCUUUGAAUAGUAUUUGUAUAGUAAAACGGGGCAAGACUCUCUCUUUGUGUGGUGUGAAUAGUUUUAUUUUUUUAGUUUUCUUUUGGUUGAGGGAAGUGCGAAUUAAUUUGGUACGUACAAGUACAAUAUUACUACACAUUAGGCUUGUCCCUAAAAUUCAAACCGCGUCUUGUUAUAUCCCGAAAAUUUAGAUAUAGUGCUCUCAAAACUGGCGCCUUCAAAACCCGCGCCUUGCUAUCCUGAAAUUACAAUGCACGCGAAAACUCCCUCUAGCUGCCAAAUCCCACCACGCGAAAUCCCCCUUCUAACUCUGAACUGAAAGGGAUGCUAGUUCAAAUCGUGGGAGGUACUUUUGUAACACACCCUACAUUUUGGACAAGCGCGUCCCUAAGUCUUGCUUCACCCCCUCCCAUCGCCCCCUUCUAGCCAUUCGAAAUCCCAGGCCGCCAUAACCUCUCCGCUCCAGCCGCGAAACCCCAGCCUCCUCCAUCCGCCGGAGCCUCUUCCCCGACAAGUCAUCCACCGCAACAGCUCGACGUGCCUCGCCCACCUCCCUGGAUGAGGAUCCGUCAUCCAUCUCGCCGUCCCACCGGUUCAGCCACCCCGUCCUCCACCUCCAAGGAGUUGCUCCGACGAUCGCCUCGUCUAUCGCGACUGCUCCAUCCCCACAACGCCGCCUUAACCAGCUCCACUGGAACCGCAACAUCCUCACCGACUCCUCGGACGAAGCCGACGCCUACUCGGCGCCACCAAAGAGGUUGUACACUCAUCACAUCGCACCUUCUCCUUAACUCGACCUACCGGCACCGAUGGUACUCCAUCCCGUAACCCCAUGGAGCGGCUACCUUGAAGCCGGCGCCGCGGGCGACAUCUCCACGGCGGCUCUCCCCCAGUGUGAGGCCCCUUCGGCGGCGGCGUCCAUACCAGCCGGAUCUGCUACUACUGCUCCGGCUCUCGCUUGCUCGCUCGCGCUGCUGCUGCUGCUCCAGCUCUCGCUCCAUCGCUCGCUCGCCCAGCUACUGCUGCUGCUCUCCCCUUCGCUCGUGCUGCUGCUCUGCUCCAUUAAGCCACACUUCAGUUGAGUGAAUCGACUUUUGGGUCAGUCGAUUUUCAGGGAUUGGGGAGGCUCACCAGAGUUAAGGAAGAACCACCCGCAGCAGGGACGGGGGCUAGCCGGAGAGGUACCCCACUAUCUAUCUUAGGGUUCAGGGCGGGGGGCCUAGAGGGCUGGCCGGGGCGGCGGUGGCGAGUUGUUUCGGGGCAGCGAGGCGACACUGGGGCCGGCGGUUCGGCCGGUGGUGGCUGGCGGCUCAGGGGGGGUGCAGGUUGAAGAUGAACUGCAGGCCCUCCCUAAACUACAUGUCAAGUGCCUCUCUGCUACCAUUGCGUUCAGUUUCGACAGUAGCAUUCAGAUUCCACAGUAAAUUUCAGUUUUGACAGUUAAGUUUAGAGUCAACAGUUUUUACCUCAUCUAUGGUAGUCAGGUGGUUUUUGGUGAUGUUAAUUUUACAUCCAUUUUACAUCAUCUACUAGAGAUGCUAUUGGAAUCCCACUUGAGAUUGACGAUGUAUGUCUUGUGCUGCUUUAGCCUUGACGUCUUACGGCUCACCGGAGCUGCUCCAACGACAGAACGAUCCAUCACAAUAGAGCAGUGCCCUGGACGCCAUCUACAGAUUCCUCAGAUCUUCCUCCACACCUCCGACAUCCACCUCUGCCUCAACUGCUCCAGCGACCAAGCCAAUGAUGCUGAGGUCGACACGGCUAUGGCAAAGAGGUUGUACACUUGUUGCAUCACUUAUUACUAUACAUUCACGUCGAUCCAUUAGGGCUAUUUUAGUUCAACGGAAAAACGUCAAUCCAUUGGUUGUUACCAUCACUCUAAAUUUCUGCAUGCUCUCCUUACAUAAUCUCACCAUAUUUUUUUCGUAUUCAUGUCAGAUAUUGUACACAGUCAUGCUGAACAUGUAGAGAAAAAGAGAAGAGUUUUGCACGGCAAUACAAUGUCAUGCAGACAUCGCUCCAUGGUGGGUUCAAUGGCAAACCCUCCCCACCCCUCUCCAUAUUGUAAUCCAGAGGAAGAUAUCUGUUCUGAGGCGGAUUCAGACACCGCUAAUCACUCCUAUUUACCUCGCAAGGUGUUUGCUCUACCUUGGCAUGAUGAUGUUAGUCAUAUCAUGCAUAUGUUGCCUUGCAGUGCCUACUUUUGACAUCAUAUAUGUCAUCCGCUUAGUUUAGACAUGUUCUGUAAUGCCACUUGUUUAGUUUCUAUAUCAUAUAUGGGAAUUAUGCAGUCUCAUGUCUUUUAGCCAGCCAUAAUAUAUGUGAAAUGUGCAAUGCCAUCCUGUUUAACCAGGCAUCAUAUAUUUGAAUGAUAUCUUGCCCAUCCUUUUCUUCAUUACAUUUAAAUUUGUCGAUAAUGUUUGUACAUUAAACUACUCUUCCUGUGAAUCAGCCAUUUGGGUGGGAGAUGGAAAAAUCUGGAGUGAAAACAAGGCCUUCAGAGCAGACAGUGCUACCUGUCCAAGCAGAUCUCUUGUUGGGUCCCGAUUGCUCCUCGGAGAUGGAUUCAGAGACAGAUGAUCAGUCCUAUUCCCCCACGGAGGUGUAUGCUCUAACUUGGCACGGUUAUACUGCUCAUAUCAUGCACACGGUGUCUUGCAUUGCAUAGUUUAGACAUCAUAUACACAAUAUUCAACACCAUGUUCUUAGUUCAGACAUCAUAUCGAAUGCCCUCUGUUUAGCAUAUAAAUCACAUAUGUGAAUUAAAUGAUGCAAUCCUGAUUACUUAGAUAACAUGUAGGUGAACUAUUUCAUGCGAUCCUGUUUAGUUAUUCAUCAUAUCUUUGAAUUAUGUUAUGCUAUGCUAUCCAGUUUAGAUAGACAUCAUAUAUGUGAAAUUAUGUCAUGCUAUCCGUUUUAGUUAAACAAUAUACAUGUCAAUUAUUUCAUGCCCUCAUUUUUCCACAUUAUCUAUUGCAUCUAUCUCUCAUACAAUGUCUGUACAUUCAACUAUGUUUCCUGUUUAUCAGCCAUUUGAAUUGGAGCGGGUGAUGCCAGUAUCUAGUGGACUAAAAACACGGUCUUCAAAUAAAACAGUGCUACCUCUUGGUGGAGAUAGCACCCCGGUUGUACAUGCACAAGAACCAGCCCUACCACACAUAACCCAAACUCUCACAGAUUGUACCCCUACUACGAUGGACAGUGAACCAGCUUCACCCAAUCUAACCCCAACCCUAGCCGACAGUAACAGAGUUCCUGUUGACACAGCACCAUCUCCACCAAAGAGCUCCCAAACAAGAGCAGUUAGUAAGGCAGCUUCAGUGCCCAAAGGGCUAGUAGUAUCAUGGCGAACCCCAACUCCACCAGUUAGUACGCCUAUUCCUAUGGAGGAAGCACAACCAGCUAGUCGUAGUUUAGCAUCUAUCGCAUUUGAUGUUGUUAAAUCGUAUGUGCGUAUCUUCCCAUCUUGGAAAUAUCAUACUGAAGAUGAAGGAAAAUGCCAGUUGCAGGUGUUUGUCCAGGAGAUAUGUGUAAGUAAUGUUAUUCAUGGCAAUUACUUUGCUUCGUCCCAUACAUCCUACCUCCAUGAUGGUUAUAAUACAACAAAUUUUCCCAUUUUUCUCUAUAGAGAAGGACUGAUUUGGAAACUCAGAAUGAGGUAACCUGUGCUAAUACCUCUGCUAUCUUCAAGAAUGCUUGGUGGCAGUAUCGGAAUUACCUGAAGAAAACGUACUUCACCGGCAAAGAAACUCAUCAAAUUCCCUUACGUUCUCCUGAGACACAUUUACUGGACGAUGACUGGGAACGCCUUGUUCUGUACUGGUCUCGAACCAAGAAUGUGGUAAGGUCUAUGAGCUCAUUUUCUAUUUUUAAGUAUUAUAUUCUUGCGUCUUACAGUACUCUGUUCAUGUAGAACAAGUGCCUAAACCUGAAGAACAACUUUUCUAAUUUAAGAUUCCAUUGCUAUCAUAGUUCAAAAAAGUGCUAGGCGUUAAUUGUGCGUUUUGCCACCGCCUUGUGCUUUACUGACCAAAGCGCAUGCUUAUGCGCAGUUAUGCACAGAUUAUGUGUAGUUAUGCGCAAUGCGUUUUGCCAACACCUAGAGCCUAGGCGCGCUUAAGCGCUUUCUUAGGCGUGCCUUUUUUAACUAUGAUUUCUUUGCUCUUAUAUCACUGUAUUUACUCAUACAAACUUAUGUUUAAAUUGAAGGAUCCAAUCGAAACUCCAAUGGCACAGCAGGUAUGUUCACGCAUGUUUCUUUAACAGGUUUGCUCUUAUCAAUAGCUCUGUUGAUUUCAAUUUCAAUUGUGUAUACAAUUGACUUUCAUAUCAUGCACAUUACUAGCAUCACAACAGAGCCAAUAGUGUUGUUGUACAUGUAGACCCGUGGUACCCAUCUGAAAUCUUGUUGUGCCGUGUAGUUUCCCACGCUUUGUAUUCUUUCACUGCUGCUUUGUCUUGAACUGAUAUGAUUUGAAUCGUGUCUCUAUUUUGAUUUGGCAAGAAAAUGAAGUGACCAUAGGACAUAGAUAUAUGUUUGUUUGAUGCUUUUAUUAUGUACUAGUUCUUGGCAAUAGAAGACUUUGUAGUUUAAUCCUGUCCACCUUACUACUGAACUGGUUCACCGAAAUGAGUUUCAUAUACUAGUACAUGCUAAACUUGUUAUGUGUCUGCUUGUUUCUUCUUUUAGAAUGCUGACAGAAUAUUGGGGAAGAGUGCCUUAUUAAGCAAUGGUAAAGGAAGUAAUGCAGAUAAGGUUCAGGAUAGUGACACAUCCUUGUUGGUCUCCAACAAAGCUGAUAAAACAGCUAAGGAAGACUAUCUUCAAGACAUUGAAACAACCCCAAAGUCAUGUCUUGGUUUAGUGUUCGAGUUACUGGUCACUACCACUUGCACAAGCUAUUCAAACUCACUGUCUAAAUCAGUUCGGUUUCUUGAGUCUCAACUACAAGCUGAAAGACAUCGAUCAGCUGUGCUGCGACAAGAAGCGGAAGGACUGCGGAAGUCCCUGGAGCAUUCAGAUGCAUACUUUCUGGUGCAACAACAAGCGUUGGAGGAUUUUAGCGCCAAACAGGACAAAGCUAAUCAGCUUGCUAAGCUUAUUGCCAGCAUGGUGGAUACCCAGGAAAAUGUUUCUUGAGAUCUUCUGAAGUUGUUUCAGUUAUGCUCUUGUUUUGCUGCCGCGUUUAUUUGCACUAGUGGCCAAUUUUGACGGCCAGUGUAUGUAAUGUGCUGCUUUGUUCCCUAUAUUUGCACUGGUGGCGAACUUUGAUGCCCAGUGGAUGUAAUAUGUGUAAUAGCGGUAAUAGGCUAGCGUUAAUUGCUUGCUUAUGUAUUUCCUUAUUAUCUUGUUUUGUUGUUUGCUUGUAGUCACAAUAGCCUACGUUUGGUAACUAGGCCAAAAUAAUCAUGCCAACACACGGACUGUUGUAACCAUGGGCCUCCUGCAGGUCGUAUGAUCCAUGGGCCUUCUUCCGGCCGUAGGAUCCAUCGGCCUUCUAUACGGGCCUUAGGGUCCAUGGGCCUUCUACGGGCCGUAGGGUCCAUGGGCCAUCUGCGGGCCGCAGGGUCCAUGGGCCUUCUAUGGGUCGUACGAUCCAUGGGCCUUCUACGGGUCGUACUAUCCAUGGGCCUCAUACGGGCCGUACGAUCCAUGGGCCUUCUACGGGGCUUAUCAUCAUUUCGCCAAUCAUGGGCUGUACUAUUCGUGGACCAUAAUGGGCCGUUAAUAGGCCGUAUUUGAUAACUCUAUGAAAACGGCCCAACGAGUUUUUUUUGACAUGAAAACGGCCCAACGUAUUAAUGGUCCGCAAACGGGCCGACUGUAAUGACGGGCUGAAUUCGGCCCACAAGCAGAAAAUGAAAGUAACGGGCCGUAUGUAACCGAAUGCUGCAAAUGAGCCCAAGAAUCAAUGGGCCCUGAGAAGGCCGAAAGAUAACUUGGGCUGGAAACGGAUGUCGGUGUCAAAACCGGCGGAUCUCGGGUAGGGGGUCCCAAUAUAUGUGUCUUAGGCUGAUGGUAACAGGAAGCAAGGGACACAAUGUUUACCCAGGUUCAGGCCCUCUCGAUGGAGAUAAAACCCUACUUCCUGCUUGAUUAAUAUUGAACAUAUGAGUAGUACAAGAGUAGAUCUACCACGAGAUCGUAGAGGCUAAACCCUAAGAGCUAGCCUAUGAUGCUAUGAUUGUAAUUGUGAUCGGCCUUCUAAGGACCAUCCUCUCCGGUUUAUAUAGACAUCAGAGAGGGAUAGGGUUUACAUGGAGUCGGUUACAAGGAAGGAAAUAUAAUAUCCGGAUCGCCAAGCUUGUAUUCCACGCAAAGGAGAGUCCCAUCCGGACACGGGCCGAAGUCUUGAGUCUUGUAUCUUCACGCUUCAAUAGUCCGGACGAUGUAUAUAGUCCGGCUGUCCGGAUACCCCCUAAUCCAGGAGUCUCUCAGUAGCCCCUGAACCAGGCUUCAAUGACAAUGGGUCCGGCACGCAGUCGUGUCUUUUGCAUUGCAAGACGGGUUCCUUCUCCGAAUACUCCAAUGUACCCAUCAGGACAAACAGUUUCCGGCAUCUCAUCAAUGUUGUACUCCUUGGCUUCAGUGCUUCAAUAAUGACCAUUUCCACAUGUCGAGCGAAUGCGAGGAGUCGAGGCAUUUUUGCAUUUGCCACCCUCGAUCCUUCGGGCUAACCGUCUAUUUGAAGAGACGUGGAUUCCCAGAUCCAAACCUCACUCUCCCUCCUCGAGCAAGCAUCCAAGAGAGCGCCCCAAAAAAACCAUUCCAACAUGGCCGGUCGUCAUAGCUCUUCUGCUCGCUCCCCUUGCCCCAAGCCGGGGGACUGGGGAGAUUGUUCAGUUUCUCAUAGCCGUUUGAUAAAGUUACAAACCCAAGGGCUUCUCCCACCGGCGUUCAUGGUCCCUGUCUGAGCCGGAGUGUCCACCUAUAACGGCGGAGAACAAGCGGAGAGAUCCCCCAAUCUGUCACCAGAGGAGCGAAUAUGCCUCAUUCCACAUCUGUUAAGGGGCGUCGGGUUUCCUAUUCAUCCAUUCCUUCGUGGGCUUCUGGAGUUCUACGGCCUCCAGUUGCACAACUUUACCCCAGCCUCCGUACUACAUAUAGCUGGGUACGUCGCCCUUUUCGAGCUAUUUCUAGGUUGCGGGGCUCAUUUCGGAUUGUGGUAGAAGUUGUUCUGCCUUGUCCCCCACAACCAGGGAGAAUCCCUAUGUCAAGUGGGAGGGGCCAAAGUAUGGGGUAUCGCUGAGACCGGAUACCUAUCCGGCACUCCCAAGAAGGCACCAGAUAACUGGGCUUCAGAGUGGGUCUAUAUUGACGACGCUCCCCUUCCGGAUCUAGUCCGGACAGGACUCCCCAAGUUUAGUAACACCCGGCCGAGGGCACGUCUAAGCUGGCGCCCCCGAGGCCCCCAAGAAGAGGAUUCCAGGGAAAUACAUUUCCUGAUGAGCAGGAUAAAGUUACUGGCCAAAUCCGGAGUGACGAUAGUCGAGGUCAUGGCAAUAUGCAUAAUGCGGGGAGUGCAACCGCUUCUAUAUCGGGGCAAUCCCAUGUGGCAUUACAACGGGACAGAUGAUGCCACCCGCUGCGGCCGUAAGGGUCCCGACUCCGCCACUGCUCUGGCAAGGAUAUUGUCCGAUCUAUACAAAGGAUAAGAGGAAGACUUCCUUCAUAUCAAACCGCGAGACGGAUUCUCCAUAUACAAUCCCCCAAACUGGGUAAGUCGUCAUUUACGUUCUCGCUUCACUUAUCGUGGCGUUCUUUGCUAAGGUUACCAGCCUCGAUAUUUCCGAGCAGGAACUAAGGAGGGUCGUAGAAGGAAUCUCCAGCCCUUCCCCAUAGCCAGAGGACCCCAAAAGGGCCCUGGAUCCAGGACUCGAAGAAGACCCGGAUGCGGCCGUGGAGCUCGUCGACGGGAUAUUUUAUGGAGCGAGCCGUGAUGGCGCCUCAGUGGCUAUUACCGCUGAUUAUCCCGGACUGCUACCUUCAUCACGUGUAAGCCAAGCCAAAGACUUGAUCCUCCGAAGAGGACUCUUUCAUGAUGUCACGCUUUAUCCCUGAUGCGUCGUGUUUUUGCAGAAGCGACAUUCGGAGCGCAGGGCCGAGCCCCUAGGGACCCGUCAGCCACAGACGUCCGGAUUGGGUAGGAUCAAGAGGAGGGCGGUUAGGACCUACACGCCUCUAUAGAGGUAAGGAAACAACCUUUCAUGUAAUUAUUGUUACUUGAAGUCUAACAAUGCCCUUUACAUCCUGGAAGGAAGAGGGAUAUCCGGACUAUAUUCGGGGAUCCUGCCAACCACGCCUCCACCAGUCGGGCUCCAGAAUUGACUUCGAGAGAGGAGGCGGACGUAGGGCCAAUGCCGCAUAGUCCUCCCAUAGAGGAUGCAGAUAUGUUUUCGGCCACAAACUCCAAAGUGGAGAGCUCCAUGAAUCACCGGCGACGGAGGGCCGUGCUUCAGAACAACAUCUUUUCUGAAGAGGCCUUUAAUGCCUUCAAUUCGGCAGACGCAUAUGUCCGAGCCGCUCAAGGCGGUCUUGCCCAAGAGACGAACCAGUAUACCAAAGAUAUACGGGUAAGAAAUUGUGAUAAGUAUGUAUAGCAGUAGCCCUAAGACUUGAAACGAUUGGAAAUUUAUGCACAUGUUCUUGUAAAUAAGAAUGAGCAAUUGUCUCGGGAGGUAGAGGAGUGCAAGACCCAACUGAGGGCCACGGUUGCCAAGCUAGAAGAAUCCCAAAAGGCUUCAGCUGGUAACAUUUAGCUUGAUUGUACGAAAAUGUGCCAGUUAGCAACUGGCUAGUACGACAAGUUUUAACAGAAAAUCUGCAGAUAACCCCGAAGUAAAUCCGGAGGGUGGGAGAUAUGAUGAGUCGCAUCUCCAGCGGCAACUAAAGGCUGGUGAGUGCAUUCUCACGCAGGUUCGGCAGGAGAAGAACAAUCUGCAAGAUGCCAAUGUCCGGCUGGACGUAGAGUUAAAAGACGUGUGUGCCCAACUGGCGGACUCCGUAAAGGAGAACAAAGGGCUUCGACGCAGCAUUUAUGGGGAGUGCCUAGACGAACUGUAUGAUAGUUCGGCGCGGAAGUGUAUUGAAAGAAUUUUGUUUGUCGGAAUUUUAACGGGUCGCCCCGAGGAGGAGAUGCCCUCAUCUACAGGUGAUGUACUGCAAGAACUUUAGCAGUUGCACGAGCGAGCUCGGCAGGUGAUGCACGUCGUUGCUCAGGCCUUGUGGCCAUCAAGCCCCCUGCCAAAUGGCAUGGGGGAGCUUGUGGACCUGCUUCAAGGAUCCCGACGGCGCUUCUAGCUAUGGAAGAUAUCAGCAUGCCAGCGAGGUGCAAGAGAAGCUUGGGCAAUGGUGAAGACGCGCUACACCAAGCUGGACCCAAACCAUAUGGCCGAAGUAGGACCGGCGGGGCCCCAUGGGCAAGAAAUUCCUGUAAGUCUGGUAUAUGACCAGGUAGCGUUAUCCGCUAAGUAUUCUCAACAGGAUUGUAAACUAGAUAGCUUGUUGGAUGGCAUAGAGGAGGAAUAUAGUCAGUCCAAGUGACUGUGUAAUUUAAUGGGCAUAAGUAGCCCCUAGCCGGAUUGAAAUCAUUUGUCAUGGCGGACCUUUUCGCUUCAGCCCCCGGAUCCUAUAGUCCGGGGUGUGUCCGAAUACCCGCUCAGCUAUACAAAACCGGGGUAUGCAUGGAGACCAGGCGUAGGGGUCAUAAGUGCUUGAACAGACAAGUACCCAACUAGUUAUGUUAUAUUACAUGGAUAGUAAGAAACAUCUUCCAGGGAGAAUAGUUCCGUUAGGGGUUCCUUUCCCUGGGGGUGCAUGCGGCAAAGCUCAUGUCCGGACUGCGAACAAAGGCGCAGGAUACAAAACUUCCGGGGAUUUAUGUUAUGAUAAACGAAAACAUCUUUUGUUCACCGAUGAAUAUUCUCUUAAGGAAACUAGCUUUCGGCUUCACCCAGUCUGAGGUACACAUCCGGCUCAACCGGCAGUAACAAUCGCAGAGGUGCUCCCCUUAUGCCCUAGCCGAAUCAGCGGGAACGUAGGGCAUAAACACAGGAGCCAGGCAACCCAGCUUGGCCACGUCUUAAGUCAUAUCGAUGCAUAUAAUGUUGAAGAAAAGGCACACAUGAAAAAAAGAAACUCAUGUGUGAUGGGCAAAAAGCCUUCAGAGUAAUUUAUAUUUAGCUUCCGUAUAAGAAGCCGCCAGGUAUUGCUUACACACAUAGUGUGGCCGAAACAAUCCGGGAGUCCGUACUGUAUGAAAUACUUUGUGUGAAGAGAAAAAGAUCGAGAAAGGAAGAGGGAGAGAGCAUAAUUAAAAAGGAGGAGGUAAGGAGACAAGCACUGAGUUUGGCGCUAGGCGUAGAAUCUCUGGAGUCUGGCCGCGUUCCAUGGGUUUGGCUCGAGUCUGAUAUCGGACGCAUUACGUAAGCGGUACGCUCCUCCGGUGAGAACUUGCUCGAUGACGAAGGGGCCUUCCCACUUGGGUUUGAGCUUGUCCUUUUUCUUCUCCGGUAAGCAUAGAACGAGUUCGCCAAUAUUAUAAAUUUUGGCCCGUACUUCUCUGCUUUGGUAUCGUUGAGCCUGUUGCUGAUAGAAUGCGGGACGGGCCUUAGCGACAUCGCGCUCCUCCUCCAGGGCGUCCAAGUUAUCCUGCCGAUCUAACUCGGCUUCCUUUUCUUCGUACAUGCGUACACGUGGCGAAUCAUGUAUUAUGUCGCAAGGUAGUGCUGCUUCCGCACCGUACACCAUAAAAAAUGGUGUAUAUCCGGUGGUGCGAUUCAGCGUGGUCCGCAGCCCCCAGAGUAUGGAGUUGAGCUCCUCGACCCAAUGAGUAUCCAACUUUGUCAAGGAUCGCACUAGUCUGGGUUUGAUGCCACUCAUGAUGAGACUGUUUCCCGUUCGACCUGGCCAUUUGUUUGAGGAUGGUACGGAAGCAUAGUCAAGCUUAAUGCCCAUUUUUCCGCACCAAGAUUUCACCUCAUUGGCCGUGAAAUUUGAGCCACUAUCGGUGAUGAUGCUGUGGGGGACACUGUAUCGGUGUACGACCCCAGAUAUAAAGUCUAUUACUGGUCCGGAUUCGGCCGUUUUCACUGGUUUGGCUUCUAUCCAUUUGGUGAACUUAUCUACCAUGACCAAUAAGUAUUUUUUCUUGUGGCUUCCCCCUUUAAAGGGUCCAACCAUAUCCAGCCCCCAGACCGCGAAGGGCCAAGUUAUGGGGAUUGUUUGGAGAGCGGUAGGGGGCAUAUGACUCUGAUUGGCAAAGAGGUGGCAACCGACAUAAUGUUGGACAAGGUCUUGUGUGUCAACUCGGGCCAUUGGCCAAUAGAAAACUGUACGGAAGGUCUUGCUGACUAGUGCUUGAGCCGCGGCGUGGUGCCCGCCCAGUCCGGCAUGGAAUUCAGCCAAGAGCUCCCGCCCUUCCUCUUCGGAGAUGCACCUUUGAAGCACUCCGGUCGCACUUUUCUUAUAGAGUUCUGAUACGUCUCCAAGGUAUCUAUAAUUUAUGAAGUAUUCAUGCUAUUAUAUUAACCAUCUUUGGUGUUUUAUAUGCAUUUAUAUAUCAUUUUAUAUGAUUUUUGGGACUAACCUAUUGACCUAGAGCCCAGUGCCAGUUUCUGUUUUCUCCUUGUUUUUGUGUUUUACAGAAAAGGGAUACCAAACAGAGUCCAAAUGACGUGCCAAUUUUUGAGGAUUUUUUAUGGACCAAAAGGAGACCACGGAGCAUCGGAGUUGGGCCAGAAGAGCUCCGGGCUGCCCACGAGAGUGGGGGGCGCGCCCCUCCUCCUAGGGGGCGCCCUCCUAUCUCGUAGACGGCCCGGAGACCCCCCCCUGACAUGAAACCAACGCCAGUAAUUCCUAUAAAUACUGAAACUUUCGGGAAUUAACCUAGAUCGGAAGUUCCGCCGCCGCAAGCCUCUAUAGCCACGAGAAAUCAAUCUAGGCCCUCUCUAGUACCCUGCCGGAGGAGGCCGUCAUCACCGGAGGCCAUGGAGGAGGAUCUCGGAGGGGCCAUCAUCUCCACGAAGGCCAAGGACCAGAGGGGGAAAGCCAUGGAGGAGGAAGCACAAGGGGGAGAACCUCUCCUCCUCUUUCUUGGUGGCACCGGAGUGCCAUCGGGAGGGGAAUCAUCGCUGCGGUGAUCGUCUUAAUCAACAUCACCAUCAUCAUCACCACCCUCAUCUCUUUUACGCGGUCCACUCUCCCGCACCCCGCUGUAAUCCCUACUUGAACAUGGUGCUUUAUGCUACAUAUUGUGAUCCAAUGAUGUGUUGCCAUCUUAUGAUGUUUUGAGUAGAUAUCUUUUUUCCUUGAGUUGAUUGAUGAUCUAGAUUGAUACGAGUUCUAUGUUUUAUUUUGGUGCUGUCCUAUGGCGCCUUCCGUGUUGCGCAAGCGUGAGGGAUUCCCACUGUAGGGUGUUGCAAUACGUUCAUGAUUCGUAUGGGAAUAAAAGAGGACUUGAUGCUUUAAUGCUAUGGUUGGGUUUUACCUUAAUGAUUAUUUUAGUAUUUGUGGAUGCUUGCUAGAUUCCAAUCAUAAGAGCAUAUGAUGCAAGUAGGAAAAGUAUGCUAGUUUAUGCCUCUCCCUCAUAUGAAAUUGCAAUGACGACUAUCGAUCUUGUUAACAAUUGCUUAGGACAAUUCCGCACACCGAUCCACCAUUAUUCCACACUCGCUAUUUAUAUUACUUAGUAAUAUAUUCUAACUUUAUGAUAACAGCACCUACUUUUAUAUUUUAGCUCUCCGAUAUCAUGCAAAGUUAUCCUCUUCAUACCCACAACACAGUUUUAUUUCUCGUUUCUAGUUGGAAGCAAACGUUCGGUGCACGUAGAGUCGUAUCAGUGGCAGAUAGGGCUUGAGAGAAUAUUGGUCUUACCUUUAGCUCCUUGUGGGUUCAACACUCCAUACUUAUCACUUCCACCUUUGGGAAUUUCUACGAUGAUUGCCUGCACUUGGGGAUUAUCAAGCUCUUUUCUGGCGCCGUUGCCGGGGAGCAAUAGCAUGGGGUUGAUAUUCUCGUGUGUGCUUGUUUGCUUUCUUUACUUAGUAGAUUUUGUUUUUCCUUUUUGUUCCUGUUUAGUUGUGGGUGAAACACACAAAAAAAUUUAAAAAUAAUGAAAAUACCAAAAAGGAAUUGCUUGCCUCUCAUGCCUAAAAAAGUUUUUCAAAAAGAGAAGUGAUUGGAAAGUUAUGCAUUGAAGAAGUGGGGGUUGACCUUGAGCACUUGUGUUCAUGCUCACAGAAACAAUGUAGAAUUUUUCAUGGAAGUUUAUAUGUAAAUAAUUAUCCCCUUUUAUAUAACCAUUGUAUUAUAAAAAUAAUGUGUCAAGCUUUGGUUUUAGCAUGAUUAGAUUGCUUGUUUACUAUGUGCAGAACAAAAACAGAAACUUUGGCUGUAGUCCAUGAAUUUACAAUUUUUAUUGUAAAGUCAAAUGGGUCUGAAACUUUUUGCACAUUACUUCUGUACAAAUUGUUCAAAUUGUAAAAUUUAUUUCAUAAUUUUUGGAGUUACAGAAAUUUACUAAACUUCCAGAUUACUACAGACUGUCCUGUCCUUAACAGAUUCUGUUUUUCGUGUGUUGUUUGCUUAUUUUGAUGUAUCUAUGGCUAGUAUCGGGGGGUAUGAACCAUAGAGAAGUUGGAAUAGAGUAGGUUUAACACCAAUAUAAACAAAUAAUGAGUUAAUUACAGUACCUUAAAGUGGUAGUUUGCUUUAUUACACUAACGGAUCUCACAAGUUUUUGUUUAAGUUUUUGUGAAUGAAGUGUUUGAAGAACGAGGAGUUACCGAUGUGAGAAGAAUAAAGAGAGACAAGAGUUCAAGCUUGGGGAUGCCCAAGGCACCCCAAGUAAACAUUUUAAAGGAUACUCAAGCAUCUAAGCUUGGGGAUGCCCCGGUUGGCAUCCCGUCUUUCUUCUUCGACAAAUAUCGGUAUACCUCGGUUUUUGUUUUGUUCACAUUGUUUGUGCCCCUUGUGUUUUUCUUUUUCUUUAAGAAUCAUGCUAGUAGGAGAUAGAUCUUCAUUGAUUUAUAGAAUACUUCAUGUUCUUCACUUAUACCUUUUAAGUAUGAUCUUAUAGAAUUACUCUUUGUGCUUCACUCAAAUCGUUUGAGUAUGGUUUUAUAGAAUGCUUCGUACGCUUCACUUGUAUAUUUUUGAGCUUGUAUGUUGGCUAGUCUAUAUUAAUUGUAAAAUGCUCCAGGAACUUCACUUAUAUCUUUUGGAGUAUGAAUAAUGCUAUAGUUUAAAUUGGGUUUGGAAGAGUGUCAACUUUAGGAAUUAGUGAUCCCACUAUCUUGGAGGGUGUAGAAUCUUCGUACGAUAUUUAUGAAAGUGGAUUUGGAAGAGUGUCAACUUGAUUUAGUAUUCCACUAUUUUGGAAGAGGUUACAAUUGAGUAUGAGAACAAAGUUUCUAUCCAUGAUGCUACUGAAAAUUAUUAUGAGGGAGGAAUAUGUGCUUGUAGGAGUUGCAAUAAUGUCAAGUUUCCUCUCUACGUGGUUAAAGUUUUUUAGUUAAACUUGUUUCGCCUUCCUAUGCUAGUUGAUUCUUGUUCCUAUAAAUUGCGUGCUCACAAAAUCCCUAGGCAUAGGAAGUGAGUUAUAUUUAAAUGUGCUAGUCAUAUUCUUCAUGAUGCUCUCUUUUUGUCUCAACUCUUAUCUUUUGUGUGAGCAUCAUUGAAAUCAUCAUGCCUAGCUAAAAGGCAUUAAAGAAAAGCGCUUGUUGGGAGACAACCCAAUAUUUAUCCUUACUAUUUUUGUGUGUCAACAUGAUUAAGAUAUUGUAGUAACCAUGUUUUAUAGUUUUUGUUUCAAUAAAGUGCCAAGUAAGACCUUUGGGAAGACUUGGGUGAAAGUUAAUGUGAUCUUGCUGUAAAAAACAAAAACUUUGCGCUCACGAGAUUAGCUGUCAUUUUUUUACAGAAGAGUGAUUUCGAGUUGAUUAUUUUCUCAGAAGAUUAAUAGACAAAUUCCUCACGUCCACCAAUUUAUUUAAUAAUUUUUGGAGUAGCAUAAGUAUGGUUAUUGUUCAGAUCAUUACAGACUGUUCUGUUUCUGACAAAUUCUGUUUUCAUUGCAUAGUUUGCUUGUUUUCUAGUUUCUAUGGCUUAUAUUUCUCAAUAUAAAUUGUUGAAAUGAUAUGGUACAGUAGGCAUUAUAUGAAAACAAUUAUGAACCUUGUCUUUUACAGUACCAAAGUGCAUGGUUUACUCUUUAUCAUACUAACCUAUCUCACGAAGUUCCAUUAAGUUUUUUGUGAUUGAAGUUUUCAAGUUUUGGGUGAGAUAUCGAUAUGAGGAAAAUAAGAGUGGAAAGACCCUAAGCUUGGGGAUGCCCAAGGCACCCCAAGGUAAUAUUCAAGGAAGACUCCAGCGCCUAAGAUUGGGGAUGCUCCGGAAGGCAUCCCCUCUUUCGUCUUCAAAACUAUCGGUACAUCUUACUCGGAGCUAUAUUUUUAUUCGUCACAUGAUAUGUGUUUUGCUUGGAGCGUAUUUCAAAUUUUACUUGUUGUUUGAAUAAAUCAUUGGAUCUGAAUUAUUGAAUAAAAAAGGGGGGAACCCUCCCAUGGCUAGUUAAUUAUUUGACUACUCAGUGUCCUUCACUCAUAUCUUUUGGAGUAGUUUGUCAUUUACUCUUGCGCUUCAUGUAUAUCCUAUGAGUAAAUGGGAAAAUGAAUUGAAUGUCAUAAAUAUGAACUUUUAUAUGUUUCAUUUGCUUAUAACAUGUUUAGUGAUGACUUCACACAUAGAAAGUAUGAGGCAUAAAAGUUGUUGAGAGUUGGCAAACGUAGUUUUGGUCAUCGUUGCAAUUAAUAGGAAGUAAUAAAAAAGAGAAGUCACAUACAAAUAUAUUAUCUUGGACAUCUUUUAUGAUUGUGAAGCACUCAUUAAGUAUGACAUGCUAAAAGAGUUGAUGUUGGACAAGAAAUACAACGUAAUGGUUUAUGUUUUCUGACAUCUCAGUUAAAGUAUAUUGUCAUUGACCUUCCAAACAUGUUGAGCUUGCCUUUCCCCCUCAAGCUAGCCAAAAAUUCCUAGCACCAAGUAGAGAUACUACUUGUACUUCCAAAUAUCCUUAAAACCAGUUUUGCCAUGAGAGUCCACCAUUUCUACCUAUGGAUUGAGUAAGAUCCAUCAAGUAAGUUGUCAUCGGUGCAAGCAAUAAAAAUUGCUCUCUAAAUAUGCAUGACUUAUUAGUGCGGAGAAAAUAAGCUUUGUACGAACUUGUUACGGAAGCAAUAAAAGCGACGGACUGCAUAAUAAAGGUCCAUAUACAAGGGGCAAUAUAAAGUGACGUUCUUUCGCAUUAAGAUUUUGUGUAUCCAACCCUAAAAGCGCAUGGCAACCUCUGCUUCCUCUGUGAAGGGCCUAUCUUUUACUUUAUGUUUUUACUUUAUGCUUGAGUCAAGGUGAUCCUUACCUUUCCCUUUUUCAUUUUAUCCUUUGGCGAGCUCCUUGUGUUUGAAAGAUCAUGAUAUAUAUAUAUAUAUAUAUAUAUAUAUAUAUAUAUAUAUAUAUAUAUAUCCAAUUGGAUGUAAGUUAGCAUGGGCUAUUAUUGUUGACAUCACCUAAAGGUGAAUAUGUUGGGAGGCAACACAAUAAGCCCCUAUCUUUCUCAGUGUCCGGCUGAAACUCCAUAACCACAAGUAUUGCGUGAGUGUUAGCAAUUGUAGGAGACUAAAUGAUAGUUGAGUAUGUGGACUUGCUGAAAAGCUCUAUUCUUGACUCUUUCUGAUGUUAUGAUAAAUUGCAAUUGCUUCAAUGACUGAGAUUAUAGUUUCUUAGUUCUCAAUGAAGUUUUUGAACCAUACUUGACAUUGUGAAUAGAUUGUUACUUGAUCAUGAAAAGUUUUAUGAGAUAAGCUAUUAUUAUGAGACACAUUGAUGCUAGAAAAGGUGAUUGAAAUUAUCAUUGGUCAAACUUGUGCACCUAGUAGCAUUCACACUUCAUAAAUUAUUUCUUUUAUCAUUUACCUACUCGAGGACGAGCAGGAUUAAGCUUGGGGAUGCUGAUACGUCUCCAACUUAUCUAUAAUUUAUGAAGUAUUCAUGCUAUUAUAUUACCCAUCUUUGGUGUUUUAUAUGCAUUUAUAUAUCAUUUUAUAUGAUUUUUUGGGACUAACCUAUUGACCUAGAGCCCAAUGCCAGUUUCUGUUUUCUCCUUGUUUUUGUGUUUUACAGAAAAGGGAUACCAAACAGAGUCCAAAUGACGUGCCAAAUUUUGAGGAUUUUUUAUGGACCAAAAGAAGACCACGGAGCAUCGGAGUUGGGCCAGAAGAGCUCCGGGCUGCCCACAAGAGUGGGGGGCGCGCCCCCCUCCUAUCUCGUGGACGGCCUGGAGGCCCCCCUGACGUGAAACCAACGCCAAUAAUUCCUAUAAAUACUGAAACUUUUGGGAAUUAACCUAGAUCGGAAGUUCUGCCGUCGCAAGCCUCUGUAGCCACGAGAAAUCAAUCUAGGCCCUCUCUGGCACCCUGCCGAAGGGGGACAUCAUCACCGGAGGCCAUGGAGGAGGAUCUCGGAGGGGCCAUCAUCUCCGUGAAGGCCAAGGACCAGAGGGGGAAAGCCAUGGAGGAGGAAGCACAAUGGGGAGAACCUGUCCUCCUCUCUCUUGGUGGCACCGGAGUGCCAUCGGGAGGGGAAUCAUCGCCGUGGUGAUCCUCUUCAUCAACAUCACCAUCAUCAUCACCAUCCUCAUCUCUCUUAUGCGGUCCACUCUCCCGCACCCUGCUGUAAUCCCUACUUGAACAUGGUGCUUUAUGCUACAUAUUGUGAUCCAAUGAUGUGUUGCCAUCUUAUGAUGUUUUGAGUAGAUAUCUUUUGUCCUUGAGUUGAUUGAUGAUCUAGAUUGGUACGAGUUGUAUGUUUUAUUUUGGUGCUGUCCUAUGGUGCCCUCUAUGUCGUGCAAGCGUGAGGGAUUCCCGCUGUAGGGUGUUGCAAUACGUUCAUGAUUCGCUUAUAGUGGGUUGCUAGAGUGACAGAAGCUUAAGCCCGAGUAAGUAGAUUGUUGCGUAUGGGAUAAAAGAGGACUUGAUGCUUUAAUGCUAUGGUUGGGUUUUACCUUAAUGAUUCUUUUAGUAUUUGCGGAUGCUUGCUAGAGAUUCCAAUCAUAAGAGCAUGUGAUCCAAGUAGGAAAAGUAUGCUAGUUUAUGCCUCUCCCUCAUAUGAAAUUGCAAUGACGACUAUCGAUCUUGUUAAUAAUUGUAGGACAAUUCCGCACACCGAUCCACCAUUAUUCCACACUCGCUAUUUAUAUUACUUAGUAAUAUAUUCUAAAUUUAUUAUAACAUCACCUACUUUUAUAUUUUAGCUCUCCGAUAUCAUACAAAGUUAUCCUCUUCAUACCCACAACACAGUUUUAUUUCUCGUUUCUAGUUGGAAGCAAAUGUUCGGUGCACGUAGAGUCGUAUCAGUGGCAGAUAGGGCUUGAGAGAAUAUUGAUCUUACCUUUAGCUCCUUGUGGGUUUGACACUCCAUACUUAUCACUUCCACCUUUGGGAAUUGCUACGAUGAUUCACUGCACUUGGGGAUUAUCAAGUGUUUGGUGCACCGAAGAAGGCGGUAAAGAGGCAAUGCCUUUUCUCCUAACCUGGAGAUAAAGCGGCUCAAAGCAGCCACGCAUCCAGCUAGUUUCUGGAUGUGUUUGACGUCUGUUGGUAUAGCCAACUGCGACAAAGCUCGGAUUUUUGCCGGAUUAGCUUCAAUUCCUCUAUUGGAAAUGAUGAAGCCCAGCAGUUUUCCAGAGGGGACGCCGAAAACACAUUUCUCCGGAUUCAGCUUGAUGUCAUAUGUUCGUAGGUUGUCGAACGUAAGCCUCAAGUCAUCUAUUAAGGUUUCAACGUGUCUUGUUUUUAUGACUACGUCGUCCACGUAUGCCUCCACUGUUUUGCUGAUUUGCUUUUCCAGGCAUGUUUGAAUCAUGCGUUGAUAAGUUGCUCCGGCAUUCUUGAGCCUGAAAGGCAUAGUGUUGAAGCAGAAAGGCCAUAUGGCGUUAUGAAAGCUGUAGCAGCUUGGUCGAACUCUGCCAGCUUUAUUUGAUGGUAUCCAGAGUAUGCAUCGAGGAAACACAGCGAGUCGUGUCCUGCUGUGGCAUCGAUGAUUUGAUCGAUGUGAGGGAGGGGAAAGGGAUCCUUGGGGAAAGCCUUUUUAAGGUCUUUGAAGUCGACGCACAUGCGCCAGGAUUUGUCCUUCUUUGGUACCAUUACCAAGUUCGCCAGCCAAUCCGGAUGUUUGAUAUCUCUGAUGAAUCCGGCCUCAAGUAGCUUGGCUAGCUCCUCCCCCAUGGCUUGUCGUUUGGGCUCUGAAAAUCGUCUUAGGGUCUAUUUGACGGGUUUGUAUCCCUUUAGUAUGUUAUGGCUGUGUUCGGCCAAUUCACGCGGGAUGCCCGGCAUGUCCGAUGGGUGCCAGGUGAAAAUGUCCCAAUUCUCGCGUAAGAAGUCUCGCAGUGCAGCGUCCAUAUUGGCCCUUAAUUGUAUCCCGAUGGAGGCUGUCUUCGUGGGGUUCGUAGGGUGGACUUGGAAUUUGACUAUGUCAUCUGCGGGUUUAAAUGAGGUGGACUUGGGUCAUUUGUCGAGUAUUAUGUCGUCCCUGUCCAUGGUGGCACGCAGCGUUGUUAAUUCUUCUGCUGCUAGGGCUUUGGAUAGUGCUUUCAAGGCUAGUGCUACGGUUUUGUUUUCGGCGCGGAGUGCGACGUCCGGAUCACUAGCUAGAGUGAUGAUUCCAUUGGGUCCGGGCAUUUUAAGCUUCAUGUACCCGUAAUGGGGUAUAGCUUGAAAGCUUGCAAAUGUGUCCCGCCCUAGAAGGGCGUGGUAUCCGCUGCUGAAAGGGGCCACUUGGAAUACGAUUUGUUCGGACCUGUAAUUCUCUGGGGUGCCGAAUACCACAUCGAGUGUGAUUUUCCCCGCAGACCGUGCCUCCCGACUAGGGAUAAUUCCCCUGAAGGUUGUGCCGCUUUGCUCAAUGCGGCCUUGAUCAAUUUCCAUCUUCUUGAGUGUUUCUUCGUAGAUCAGGUUAAAUCCACUUCCGCCGUCCAUGAACACUUUAGUGAGCGAAAAGCCGUCCAUUAUUGGGCUAAGGACCAAAGCGGCUGGUGCCCGGACGGUCUGGAAUUGGGGUUCGUCACUGGCAUUGAAAGUUAUAGCAGUGUCGUUCCACGGAUUUACUUUUGCCACAUGGCAGAUUUCAGCAGAGCUUCAAUGAGCUUGCUUGCGCCUAUUGUUUGAGGCGAAACUCUUGAAUACUGUUAGUAACGUAUUGUGUUCCUUGGCGGGAUGUUGUUUGGCUUUAUGGCUCUCGAGGAGAUCCUCGCCACUUUUACCUACCUGCCGGAGUAUCCAACAUGCCCUAAGGCUAUGGGUUGGUGUUGCAUCCGGCGUACUGUGAAGCUUACAUGGCCCAUUGAGCCACCCUUCCAAUACGAUUCCACGCCCUAGGGCGGGAUUUGGUUUCUCGGGAAUUGAAUUGGUCGACUUUCGAGAGUUCGGCCGUUUAGUUCGGACCAAGGUUCUGGUGAGGGCCGUACUAUCCCAAAAUUCUGUUUGGGUUUUCCAGGCGUUUUCCAUCGCAUAGUACUUCUGUACUAUGGUCUCUAAGUCCGCAAAGUGUGAUAUGUCAUGGCGGCUUAUAGCAUUAAGGAGUCCUUUGUUUGUGCAGUUUUUGCAGAAAAGUGAGACUACGUCCUCCUCGUGGCAGUCCUCGACCUUAUUAAGCGCAAGGAGGAAGCUGGCCCAAUAACGGUGUACCGUCUCCAGGGGCUCUUGCCUGAUGCGGGAGAGACGGUUUAAGUCCUGUAAGUGCAUCUAGUGCCCCUUAGUGAUUUUGGUGUAUUGAAGACUUAUAGGUUAAGGGACUAAUGCGUUUGUGAGUGUACACAGGUCUAUAAGUCUAUGAGGAGUUUGAUAUUUACAGAGAAAGUCGACCCCUAAAAAUGAAGUUCUUCGACUGAAGACUUUGAUAUUCUGAAGACUUUCUGAAGACUUUGAAAGUGAAGAAAUUGGUGUGACCUUGAAGACUUGGUAUUCAUUUGUGGAACAUGAGGCGUGAAGACCUUUGUUUUCGUAGUUUCAUUUUCUCUUUCUUGAGUCAUAGGAAACACCGUACUAUUAAAGGGGGUCGAGGAAAUACUAAGGAAAAAUUUCCAUGUGAUGCUCAACUCAAAAUCCAACACCUACCAAUCCCUUCGAGUGAAGCCUUUGGAAAUCUCAUACAGUUCAGUCACUUUCUUCAGUGACAGAGACGAAGUUCUUCUGGUCGCUGAUGAAUUUGUUCUGACUGAGGAGUUAGGAAUUCGUCAGUGCGAAUUACCUACACAGUGAGGAACAUGAUAGCCCUGAGGAAUUUGAGAGUCAAAUUUCCGACCGUUGCUGUGCUGCGCGCGAGCUGUCCCAAAAUAUCUUAUCCACCUAACGGUCAUAUCAUUGAGGGGCAUUUAUGUCUUAUCAUGUCGGGCUGCUCCCUAGGCUAUAAAUAGCCGCCCCCUACAACCACUAGCUGGUUGGCUGCUCUGAGAGAAACUGACACUUGUCAUUUGAGAGCAACCCAUCCUCCGAGGACUUUGAGCGAAAAUCAUCGAGUGAGGAAAACCCAAAACCAAACCCCUACAAACCCAAAGUGAUUGAGCAUCACUGAAGAAAUUGAUCCUGUGUGGAUCCGACGCUUGUUACCUUUGAAGACUGUGCUUCUUCCAGACAGUUAGGCGUCAAGGUCUAGAGCAUCCAAGAGGAAUUGUGGAUCGCCGAGUGACCAAGUCUGUGAAGGUUUGGAAGUCGCCUGAAGACUUACCACGAGUGAUUGGAUGAGGUCUGUGUGACUUUAGUUCAAGGAGAAUACGGUGAGGACUGGGUGUCCUGAGCUGCGUGCUCAGCGUCUAGGUGUCCGGGACAGUGUGUCCUCGAGUUUAAAUACUCAGUCGCUGCAACCAGACGUACAACUGAGACAGCAGUUGGAACUGGUCUACCAAAUCAUUGUGUUCACCAACCUAACCGGUUCUAUUUCCUCAACCCUUUCAUUUCCUCAUUACUGUGUUGAGUGUUUGUUCAUAUCUGUGUUUGAUGACUUUGACUGAAGACUUUCUCAAUUUCCUCAGUUCAAUUUCUUCAGUCUGUUUGUCUUCAUCUUGUGUUAUCCUGUGAUUACGCUUUCUGUACUCUGUGCUAGUCUUCAUUUCAUCAUGAUGACCAUGCUUGUAUUCUGUUAUACUUACUUCUGAGUACUUAUUCCGCUGCUAAUAGUUCUUUGCUAAGGAAUUUCCUCACCGGCAAAUUCCUCAGUGAAGAAUUCAUAAAAAUCGCCUAUUCACCCCCCCCUCUAGUCGACAUAACGCACUUUCAAUUGGUAUCAGAGCAAUGUACUCCCUUGUUCUGUGUGAUUUUGGUUUAACCGCCUGGAGUUUUAGUUAUGUCGACCGCAGGUAUGAUCAAGGUCUCGGCUGGUGUCCUACCUUUGAUGGGACGGACUACCCCUACUGGAAAAACAAGAUGCGAAUGCAUCUCGAGGCAAUUGACAACGAUCUCUGGUAUGUUGUGGAAAAUGGUGUUCCCUCUGUCUCACCCUCACUGAACGCUACCGAUGUGAAGAGAUUCAAGCAACUCGAUUCUCAAGCGAAGAAUAUCAUAUGUGGCCAUCUGAGUAAAGGACAGUAUGGAAGAGUGAGUGCUUUGGAAACUGCUAAGCUUAUCUGGGAUAGGCUGUCCUAAGUGAAUGAAGGAGUCUCAACUCAGCGUGACUCUCGAGUUGAUGUUCUUCGGAAUCUCUUCAACCGCUUCAAAAGACUCGACAAUGAAAAUGUCCAACAAACCUUUGAUCGCCUCACUGACAUCUCAAAUGAUCUUCAAGCCCUCGGUGCCACUGACAUCACUGACCAUGAGGUGGUGAAGAAACUGUUGAGAUUGCUUGAUUCCUCAUUUGAUACUCUGGGUCUGAUGAUACAAGAAUGGGCUGACUACAAGUCUCUUGAUCCUGCCGAUAUCCUCGAAAGUCUAAAUACUCACGAGUUCCAGCUUGCUGAAAAGAGAGAUCUCUAUGGUUCGAGCUAUGGCAAACCACGUGCCCUGAAGGCCAAGGUUGUGUCUGAGUCUGAAUGUGAGGAUUCUGGUAGUAGCCUUGGUGAUCCUGAUGAAUUGAGCCAGGAGCUAGCACUGCUCGUGAAGAAAUUCCAGACGUUCUCAAGACGUGGUCGCUUUGGAAAAUCCUCAAGAAGCAGUGAUUCCUCAUCAAGUGACUAUAAGAGAAGGUUGUGCCACAAAUGCAAGAAACCUGGUCAUGAUAUUCAAGAUUGUCCUCAGUGGGAAAAGGAAUUGAAGAAGAAGAAAUCGUCAAAAUCUUCGUCAUCAAAAUCCUCGAAGUCUUCAUCUCACAAGAAGAGCAGCUCCAAGAAGGCUCGGGCAUUCAUUAGCAAGGAAAUGGACUCUAAAGCUGAAUCUGAGGAACAUGAGGAAGAGGAGGCGUCUGAAGAAUCCGAAUCUGGUGUGGCGAGUCUGGCCUUUGCUACUGCUUUCGUUAGCAAGUCCAUCUUCAACACUGAAGAAACUGACCCCACCGACAAGCCUGAUGAAGAUAAUGAUGACUACGCUCCCACCUAUUGCUUCAUGGCAAAAGGUGCAAAGGUACUCAAAUACACCUCCUCUGAAUCUAGUGAAAAUGAAUCUGAUGAGGAUCUCAAGCCGAGCUACUCUAAACUUGCUAAGAUUGCUGUAAAACAACAAAGGGCUUUUGAAAAGGUUCAAAACAUGCUAGACAAAAGUGAUGAUAUGUUGGGUGAAGAAAUGGAUCGCACUAAAGCCCUGACUGAAAAUCUUCAGAGACUUCAGUCUAGGUUUGAUAACCUUAAAAGUCAUCAUAACACUCUCUUAUCUGAUCAUGAGAAACUUUCUUAUGAAUUUCUUCAAAGAAAGCAAGAUCUUGAGAAGCUAAGAGUGAGUUAUGAAGAUCUUCAGAAGGAGCGCGAUUCAUUACUAGCUCAACAAAUCAGCGCUUCUCAGGAAGAAUUUGUUCCCCCAUGCUUAAAGUGCAUUGAACGUGAAUCUGCUAAUUCUUCACCUGAAUGUUCAAAUGCUUCAACUGUUACAAAUUCUUCACCUGCCUCUGCUAUCACUAAUUCCUCAUCUGAGGACAUUGCUAGUAUCACUGACGAUGCAGGGCUAAAGGAAUUGUACAUGAUAGGCAUGUACAAAAGCCUCAAAGGGCAUCAGACUCUUUGUGAUGUGCUUAAAAAGCAGAUCCUCAACAAAAACCCUAGGAAAGAGGGUAUCGCCUUUGAAAGGAAACUUAAUGCUGAUGGAACAUAUUGGAAGCCUGAGCAGUACCCCAAAACCUCAUGGGUUGCUGCAAAGGGACCUCCAGUUGAUCCAUCUAACUUAUCUGGCUUUACAUGUGAAUCUCCUCAUCCUUCUGAUGAGUCAUUUGACUCCAACUAUAAACUGUUCAAAAAUCAGAAUGGUGAAGUAUUUGCUAGAUAUGUUGGCACUAACUGCAGGAAUGGUUCUCCUAUGAAGAAAAUCUGGGUUCCCAAGAAGUGCCUUGAAAGUCUUCAGGUGAAUGUCCUCAUGACACCACUAGUGAAGAACAGGAACCCCAGUUCAAAUUCUUCAUAUGGAUCAAAUUCCUCAAAUGGAUCAAAGUCCUCAUAUGAUUAUCAUCGUGCUAACAACUCUGUUUCGCAGGGUAGAGCUAAGGGCUAUGAAUAUGUGCAUUAUUCUUCAAACCAUUAUGUUCAUAAGUCUUCGAAGAAUUUCUCUGCUUAUUCAUAUGCUUACCCUAACCCCUCUUAAGUGAAACGAAAUGGUUUGGCUUCUAUGCCACCAUUCUCGUAUGGUGCUCGCAGAGUGAUGAACUCUUUGCCACCCCUUCAGAUAUGGGUGGUGAAGAAAAAGAACUAAUCUCUUCUGCCGGGUCAGGUCUCCAGACGUGCCUAACGUCUGAAGAAUUUGCUGGGGACCUGACAAAAUUGCCUGAAAGGACGCAGGCGAAUCAUGAUGAAAUAAACUUUCACACAUCCUCCUACUGCUAUAUCUAUUUACUGCUUGAUGAAAUUCAUCUGAUGAACUUGAUAUCAUAUUCUUCAUUGAUGAAGCAUAUGAGAUUGUAAGUUACACUAAUUCAUCUGCAGGAUGAUCAACCCAAAACCACUCAAUGGGUCCUCGAUAGUGGAUGUACAAAUCACAUGACUGGUGACAAGAAUCUUUUGAUGGAUGCUCCCUUAUCACCGUCACAUCUAAAGCACAUCAUCUUUGCUGACAAAGGCAAAAGUCGGGUAUUGGGUCUUGGUAAGGUUGCGAUCUCUAAGUAUAAACACAUGGACAAAGUCAUGCUUGUUGAGUCCUUAGGAUACAACCUCAUGUCAGUCUCAAUGCUUUGUGAUCUUGAUAUGGUUGUUGUCCUUGGCAAGUAUCGCUGUGUUGUGAUUAUGGAAGCUGACAAUUCCAAAGUCUUCGAAGGCUUUAGGAGAGGAGAUUUGUAUAUUGUUGAUUUCUCUACAGGACCACAACCAGCCAUGUGUCUACUUGCAAAAGCUUCAGAAGGCUGGCUAUGGCAUCGACGACUUGUUCACGCGGGCAUGAGGAAUUUGCACAACCUUGCGAAGAAGAAGCAUGUCAUUGGCAUUGAGAAUGUCAAAUUCCUCAAGGAUCACUUAUGCGGAGCCUGUGAAGCUGGAAAAAUGACCAAGGCCAAGCAUCCAGCGAAGACUAUCAUGACCACUACUCGUCCAUUCGAAUUGCUUCACAUGGACCUCUUCGGACCUAAUCAUUACUCAGCAAUCACUAAUGAUGCAUCUCUAUAUGGUUUUGUCAUUGUUGAUGAUUACUCUCGAUAUACAUGGGUACACAUUGUUACUUACAAACAUGAAGUGCAGGAAGUCUUCAAACAUUUUUCCUCGAGGGCUUCAACCAACUUUGGUGUGAAGAUCAAGCACAUCAGAAGUGACAAUGGAACUGAGUUCAAGAAUUUCGGUCUUGAUGACUAUCUUGAUGAACUUGGUAUUACUCAUGAGUUAUCUGCUCCCUAUACUCCUCAGCAAAAUGGCGUCGUGGAGCGCAAGAACAGAACUCUUGUUGAGAUGGCUCGCACUAUGCUUGAUGAAUACAAAACGCCUCAUCGUUUUUGGAUUGAUGCAAUUGAUACUGCGUGCCACAUCAUCAAUAGAGUAUAUCUUAACAAAUUCUUCAAGAAGACGGCCUAUGAACUCCUCACUGACAAGAAACCCAAUGUGAGUUAUUUCAAAGUCUUCGGUGCUAAAUGUUGGAUUAGACAUCCUCACCACAAUUCUAAAUUUGCACCAAAAGCACAUGAAGGUUUUAUGCUUGGUUACGGAAAGGACUCGCACACCUACAGAGUCUUCAACAUUGUUCUUCACAAGAUUGUUGACACUGUAGAUGUGCGGUUCGAUGAAACUAAUGGCUCGCAAAGAGAGCACCUACCUUCUGUGUUAGAUGAACCAGCACCUGAGGAUUCUAUCAAGUUCAAGGCAACUGAGGAUGUCAUUCCUACUAAAGAAUUUGCUGAAGAAUUCAUUCCAGUUCAUGAAGAACAUCGAGCUGAUACACCUGAAGAAAAUGCUGAGGAAAAUGGUGCUGAAGAAAAUGCUGACCAAACUCCUCAGCGAUAACCAGCUCAUCCUCGCGUUGCAAAAGAAUUGCAAGUGGAGAAGAUCAUCGAUGACAUUAGAGCUCCAGGUCCUCUCACACGCUCAAAAGCUUCACGUUUAUCUAACUUUUGUGGGCACUAUGCUUUUGUCUCUAUCAUAGAGCCCACUAAGGUAGAUGAAGCAUUUUUGGAGCCGGGGUGGAUUCAGGCUAUGCAAGAAGAAUUACAUUAGUUCGAGCUCAACAAUGUCUGGGAACUGGUCAAACGUCCAGAUCCUCGCAAGCAUAAUAUCAUUGGCACAAAGUGGAUCUACCGCAACAAGCAAGAUGAAAAUGGCCUUGUGGUGAGGAAUAAGGCACGACUGGUAGCUCAAGGCUACACAGAGGUUAAAGGAAUUGAUUUCGAUGAAACUUUUGCACCUGUUGCUAGACUUGAGGCUAUUCGCAUAUUACUUGCUUGUGCUAACCAUCAUGAUAUCAUCUUAUAUCAAAUGGAUGCGAAAAGUGCAUUCCUCAAUGGUAAGCUUGAGGAAGAAGUAUAUGUUUCUCAACCCCCAGGUUUUGAAGAUCCAAAGACUCCUGACAAAGUCUUCAGACUUAAUAAGGCCCUCUAUGGCCUCAAGCAAGCCCCUCGGGCGUGGUAUGAUACAUUGAAGGAAUUCUUCGUGAAGAAUGGCUUCACACCCGGUUCACUCGACCCUACUCUCUUUACUAAAUCUUAUGAUGGUGAACUGUUUGUGUGCCAAAUAUAUGUUGAUGAUAUUAUCUUUGGUUGUACUGACCAACAUUAUAGUGAUGAAUUUGCCUAUAUGAUGAGUGAAGAAUAUCAAAUGUCUAUGAUGGGCGAGUUGAAAUUCUUCUUAGGUCUUCAAAUUCGUCAACAGCGCAAUGGCAUAUUCAUAUCUCAGGAGAAAUACCUCAAAGAUGUACUGAGGAAAUUCGGCAUGCAAGACUGCAAAGGCGUCAAAAUUCCUAUGCCCACAAAAGGCCAUCUAUGCACUGAUGAAAAUGGUAUUGACUUCGAUCAAAAGGUAUACCGCUCCAUGAUUGGUUCUUUAUUGUACUUAUGUGCAUCUAGGCCAGACAUAAUGCUUAGUGUUUGCAUGUGUGCCCGAUUUCAAGCUCCACCGAAGGAAUCACACCAUAAGGCUGUGAAGCAUAUUCUUCGAUAUCUAGCUCACACACCAACACUAGGAUUAUGGUACCCCAAGGGCUCUGCUUUUGAUAUCGUUGGAUAUUCUGACUCUGACUAUGCUGGUGAUCAUGUGGACCGCAAGUCAACUUAUGGCACUUGUCAUUUCCUCAGACGAUCUUUGGUCUGUUGGUCCUCGAAGAAACAGAAUUGCGUAUCACUGUCCACUGCGGAAGCUGAAUACAUUGAUGCUGGCUCUUGCUAUGCUCAACUGCUUUGGAUGAAGCAAACACUCAAGGACUAUGGCGUCAACGUGAAGAAUGUGCCUCUCCUCUGCGAUAAUGAGAGUACCAUCAAGAUUGCUCACAACCCAGUUCAGCACUCGAAGACAAAGCACAUUCAGAUUCGUCAUCAUUUUCUUCGUGAUCAUGUGUUGAAGGGCGACAUCUCCAUCGAGCACGUGAAGACUGAAGAACAGCUAGCUGAUAUCUUCACUAAGCCCUUGGAUGAGAAGAAAUUUAGCAAGUUGCGGUGUGAGCUAAAUAUCUUAGAAUCUUCGAAUGUUCUUUGAAAAGGACACACAUCCUAACACUUAUGCAAAAUUGAUGACUUAGAUGUGCAACACAUGAAGAAACGUUUUUAUUCAAUCAAUGAAGAAUAACACUCUAAGUGUGAAGAAAUUAAUGAAGAAUUUGAUUCUUAGAACCCUACGACAAUUGUACACAGUGUCUGAAAUCAUCAUUCUUAUACGGUGGGUCACGCCACCACAAAAAGUUGAAAAUCUUCAAUUUGAGUUUUUCCUCAGUUUUGAAAUUCUUCAGUUUUUCAAAUUCUUCAACUUUUCAAAAUCUUCACUGUUUCCUUCAUUUUUCUUCAUUGUCUAUAUAUAUAUAUAUAUGAGUUUAUGUCCUCUAGAGCAUUCACUUAUAGCUAUUUCUUCAAGUUGCUUUUUCUGCUAAGCGAAUGUGAUCGGACCCUUCCCCCCUCUAUGCUAUACUCAACCCAAUCUAUUCAAAAAUUCUACAUAUGUGUUCUAUUUGAAACUCGUUCAAAAUCUUCACUGUGUCCUUGUCAGUUGAAGAAAUUGCGAACGAAACUUUAAAACAAAUCAUAUCCAAAUUUUCGGUUUUGCCGCUCAAACCGUUCCACAUCCCACAAUGCAUUAUUCUAUUCACCCACGAUCGUACACGAUCUCAACUACACAGUACGUGGGUGACACAUGUCGCGAGAAGGAGAGAGGGCAGGGGCACAUUCAUCCCAAAUCUUCGGGCGAACAGUUUUUCACCGUGUCUAUAAAUACCCCUCUUCCCUUCCUCACUUCAUUUACUCCGCUCGAUCGCUACUCUCUCACUCGAGCUCCUCAAACCCUAGCGCCGCCACUACUCCAUCGUCGCCGAUGAGGAAGAGCUUCGCUUCCUCGACCUCGUCGCCGUCGUACUCACGCCGACCGUGGAAAUCUUCACUCCGCCGCCGCCGUAGCUGUCUUCCUCUGCCAAGUUAGGGCGUGGGAGAUCUAACCUAACGAACUUCACAUCUGUUCUUCUCAGUUCGUCGUGUUCUUCACUUAGGGUAAUUAAAAGUUACUUUUAUUACUCACUUUGAUUCUCAAACUUUCUUGAAAAUCUUCAAAGGUGUUUAUUCUUCAAAUCUUCACACAUAUGAACACCACACACAUCGCAAGAUCUUGAAUUGCUUCUCUAAGCAAUCAUUUUCUUCAAGAUUCCCUAAUUGUGUGGAUCUUCGAUCUGUACAACUCUGGAACCUAAGACAAGAAUGCUUAGUGAAAUUCCUCAAGGUUCAUCUGGUCAAAUUCCUCAAAACUUGUUCUUUUUGAAAAACCUUCUCAGAACGCAUAUGACCUCUCCAAAUUCCUCGCACCUGUACUCUGUUCACAGGUACUCAUGUCUGCUGCUGAAUCACUAGGUUCUCAUCAACUUAACUCAUUUGCAGCAUUCCUCGAAGAAAAACUGCAUACUUCUUCAGAGAACUCGAUUGUUCAAAUUCCUCAACUGAAGAAUAUGGCAGACGGUAAGAAGCCGCAGAAAGGAGGAAAGAAACCUGAGGUUAUGACUGCUUUUGAAAUCCCUGAGGAAAUUUAUGCUGACUAUUGCACACCUGAUGAAGCAAAAUUUGGCAAAGAAAACAAAAAUCAGCGCAAGGUGCGCAUUCAGAGGAUUGAACGUAGAUGGGCAAGGAUAUGGAGGGAAUACAGAUAUGUGACUCCAAAGUACAUGAGGAAAUUCGCCCUCAAUCCUACAUGUCCAAGAGCUCCAUUGGCACCUGACCAAGUAGCUGACCCCACAAGCAUCAAACGUGGUGAGGACUUUCCUGAAGAAUGGGCUAAGCGCCAAGCUAAAUUGGCAAGAAAAGCCAAGGAGGCAGUGAAGAAAUUCAAUGAGGAUUCUGCCACUUCUACUACUACUGAGGCCUCGGUCAAACCGAGGAAAUCCAUGCCAAAGAAGCCUACUCGUAAGACAAGUGCUUCACCAACAGUGCCCUCACGGAAAAUUCCUCACACUGCUACAGCUCCACCAAAAUCCUCAACGGCUCCUUCAAAGUCCUCAGCUCCUGUGCAUCUGGCUACAUGUCAAAGGACUGCAGGUUUCUCGAUUGCCUCUGGUGUUUCAGCAAGUUCCUCAGCUGCACCAAUUUCCUGAUCGGGCCCCACACUGUUGAAGACCAAAGCAACAGUUGGACGAGGUCCUCAGCCAAGUCCAAAGAAGAAACAGGUCGCAUUCCAUGUGCCUUCUGAUGAUGAAGCUUUUGAUGAUGAACUUGCAGAAAUCAUCAGAGACAGACAGGUGAAGGCCGCUUGAGCCAAAGGCACAUCUGUGCCACUACUUUUGGAUCCAAGAAAAAUCCUCGAUUACAUUGAUCUCUGGCACAAGGAUCCUAACACCCCUAUGCCUGAUUUUCAUCUGACCCCUGGUCAAAGUCACAUGCUGACUCAUUUCAUCACUGAAGAGAAAUGGAAGUUUGAAAAGGCAAGAGAGAUCAGGAAAGCUCAAUACAGAAAGGAGAAGCUCCUGAAGAAAAACAUUGUCAGAAUGACACCUGAGGAACUUCUCCAGGCUCAGUCUGAAAUUCAAGCCCUCGGCAAAGACUUUGAUGCCUACUAUGCUGAUUGGCAAGGAGCUAAAGUAAGAUUCGUCAAUCUGACGAAGAAAUUCAAAAAUGUUGCAGCCCCAUCGCAACAAGAAAAUCUUCAGGCUGCAGACUCUGCUCAGCCUACUGAAGAACAUGCUAGCACCGCUGAUGACUUUCAUCCUGCUGAAGAAAAUGCUCGUUCCAAGGCUGGUGAAUAAAUUCCAGCCGCUGAAGAAAUUGCCAGGGCAUCCACUAGUGGUGCGCCUGAAGAAACUGAAGAGAUCAGAGAAACUGCAUCAGUUGCGCCUGAAGAAAAUGAACCAGAUUCCUCAACUCCUCCCGCGCCCACACCAACUCCAAUUCUUCCAUCUGCUUCUGAUGUGAAGAAGACCAAGGCUGCAGAGCGAGCUGCAGUGAAGAAAAGGAAGGCAUCAGCUGCGUCAAACUCUUCGGCUGCGAAGAAAAUGAAGCCAAUAACCAGCUCACUCGACAAUCCAAUUGAUGCUGUUCCGAUUUCCUCCAUGCCAUCAAAGGACCUUGUUCCUUUUGGAGAAGACUAUGAGAUCCCAAGCGGAUCUGAUGAAGAAAAUCAUUCUGCUGCUUCAUCAGAGCAGAUUGAUGAAGAAAUUGAAGUGGAAGCAAUCCCUUCAACCCCAAUCAUUUCCUCGCCUAUGCCUCAGUUCACAGCUGAAGAGGCCGGUGUUGAGGAACUUGAAGAAGAUGUGGAUAUUGGAAGCACAACGCCAGUGAUGAAUGAUGACUUUUGGGAAAGUCAACAUCCAAAUUCUCCACUCUUCACCCCAAUCCAACAGAUACCUCAGUCCCCUGCUCCAACUGUUCAAAUGGGCUCUGAAGAAACUCAUCCCACUUCAUCUGUCCAUGAAGAAAUUCCAGCCACUAGUGCUGAUGAACCUGCUGCUGCUGAUCCUCAGACUGCACCUGUUGAGGAACAAGAAAUUCCUUAGCCUGAAGAACCUGAGCUCGCGAUUCCUGAGGUGGUGAUGCAACUCACUGACACCCCUCUGCCAAAGCCAAAGAAUCCGUUCUCAAGCAAACAGAAGUUCAAGGCUGAAGAUUUCUUUGCCAAGCACGUAUUCUUCACUGAUUAUAAUCCAUAUGAUUCUGCUCACAUAAGGAAGAGGCGUUUCUGGACUGCCAGCCAAGCCAAUUUCUAUUCCUCAGUGCUCUUCAACAAAGACAAAGUCUUCGAUCAUGCACAUAUUCCUCAUGUGGACAUGGAGUCUCUGCCCGGCUUUGAGCCAGUCCUCAAUGUUCUUCACGACGCAGGACUUCUGAAUUUCUACACUGAUAUCUGUGAUUGGAAUGAAGAACUCAUUCUUCAAUUCUAUGCAACUCUGCACAUCACCGGAGACGCUGAAGACGUGAACUCAUGGGUAUUAGACUGGAUGUCUGAAAAUACUCACUACAAGGCACCAGCAACUGAAUUGCUUCAUGCUCUACCACUCAGUCCUCCACUUGAUGGUGCUCGUUGUAUCUACAACAAACCAGAACUUUCAAAUCACUAUAUGCAAGUGCUGAUGAAGCCUUUGAAGCCAAGGCAGGCCCCACGAACCAAAUUCUUCGUCGAGGAAUUACUCUAUGUGCCUCGGACUCUCUAUUGAAUUCUGACAAAGACAAUGAGUCCAUCAAAGGCCACGACUCAAAUGAUGAAGAAGUCGUUGGCAUCAUGAAGAAUAUGCUUUGGGUCUCAAGGAAGAAUUUGACUGGUCUGCACCUCCUACGAAGAAAUUCAAGAGGGUCAAAAUUCCUCCACUGGUGGCCAGCUCUUAUUCUUCAUCGCGUGACACUGAUGAGUAUGAAGAUUUGGACGACAAUGCGGCAGGCCCUGCUACAACAAACAACCCCAACAACGCUGGCGCUCCUCCAUCGACUUGAAAUUCUUCAGGGGAGUUAGUCCUCAGUUUCAAUCCUUUUGGUCAUUUGAUGACAAAGGGGGAGAAAUCUGAGUUAGUCUUCAAGCGGGUCUAUAUUAAGGGCAUUUUUUAAGUUACAACUCUCGUUCUUCUAAAACUUUUAUUUGGAUCGAGUUGUAAUCUUAAACUCGAUGGUGCGCUAAUACUUUUGUUGCAUUAUGCUUUGCAUGCUUAUUCCUCGUUAAUGACAUUGCACGCAUGCUGAAUCUCAUCAGGCACCAUAUUUCAUCAUGCAUUUCAAAUUCUUCAUAUUAUAUAUCAAAUGCGUGUAUGAAUUACAAGAUAUAGGGGGAGAUCUCCAUGAUUCAACUCUUCAAAUGUGCAUUGCCUCAAAAGCAAUUUCCUCACUAUGCACAUCUUCAGGGGGAGUUCUUCUAUAUCUUGUAAUCAAAUUCCUCAAUAUCAGUGUAUACACUUCAUAUGUUUAUCCCCGUUGAAAACAUAACCUAUGUUGUCAUCAAUCACCAAAAAGGGGGAGAUUGUAAGUGCAUCUAGUGCCCCUUAGUGAUUUUGGUGUAUUGAAGACUUAUAGGUUAAGGGACUAAUGCGUUUGUGAGUGUACAUAGGUCUAUAAGUCUAUGAGGAGUUUGAUAUUUACAGAGAAAGUCCACCCCUAAAAAUGAAGUUCUUCGACUGAAGACUUUCUGAAGACUUUGAAAGUGAAGAAAUUGGUGUGACCUUGAAGACUUGGUAUUCAUUUGUGGAACAUGAAGCGUGAAGACUUUUGUUUUCGUAGUUUCAUUUUCUCUUUCUUGAGUCAUAGGAAACACCGUACUGUUAAAGGGGGUCGAGGAAAUACUAAGGAAAAAUUUCCAUGUGAUGCUCAACUCAAAAUCAUACACCUACCAAUCUCUUCGAGUGAAGCCUUUGGAAAUCUCAUACAGUUCAGUCACUUUCUUCAGUGACAGAGACGAAGUUCUUCUGGUCGCUGAUGAAUUUGUUCUGACUGAGGAGUUAGGAAUUCGUCAGUGCGAAUUACUUACACAAUGAGGAACAUGAUAGCCCUGAGGAAUUUGAGAGUCAAAUUUCCGACCGUUGCUGUGCUGCGCACCAGCUGUCCCAAAAUAUCUUAUCCACCUAACGGUCAUAUCAUUGAGGGGCAUUUAUGUCUUAUCAUGUCGGGCUGCUCCCUAGGCUAUAAAUAGCCGCCCCCUACAACCACUAGCUGGUUGGCUGCUCCGAGAGAAACUGACACUUGUAAUUUGAGAGCAACCCAUCCUCCGAGGACUUUGAGCGAAAAUCAUCGAGUGAGGAAAACCCAAAACCAAACUCCUACAAACCCAAAGUGAUUGAGCAUCACUGAAGAAAUUGAUCCUACGUGGAUCCGACGCUUGUUACCUUUGAAGACUGUGCUUCUUCCAGAUGGUUAGGCGUCAAGGUCUAGAGCAUCCAAGAGGAAUUGCGGAUCACCGAGUGACCAAGUCUGUGAAGGUUUGGAAGUCGCCUGAAGACUUACCACGAGUGAUUGGACGAGGUCUGUGUGACUUUAGUUCAAGGAGAAUACGGUGAGGACUGGGUGUCCUGAGCUACAUGCUCAGCGACUGGGUGUCCGGGACUGUGUGUCCUCGAGUCUAAAUACUCAGCCGCUCCAACCAGACGUACAACUGAGACAGCAGUUGGAACUGGUCUACCAAAUCAUUGUCUUCACCAACCUAACUGGUUCUAUUUCCUCAACCCUUUCAUUUCCUCAUUAUUGUGUUGAGUGUUUGUUCAUAUCCGUGUUUGAAGACUUUGACUGAAGACUUUCUCAAUUUCCUUAGUUCAAUUUCUUCAGUCUGUAUUUCUUCAUCUUGUGUUAUCCUGUGAUUACGCUCUCUGUACUCUAUGCUAGUCUUCAUUUCAUCAUGAUGACCAUGCUUGUAUUCUGUUAUGCUUACUUCUGAGUACUUAUUCCGCUGCUAAUAGUUCUUCGCUAAGGAAUUUCCUCACCGGCAAAUUCCUCAGUGAAGAAUUCACAAAAAUGGCCUAUUCACCCCCCUCUAGUCGACAUAACGCACUUUCAAGUCCGAGCGAGUGUUGUUGGCUGAAUCCGGAUCUUGAUCCGAUCUGACACCCGGGGGCAUGGAAGGUUCCAAGCCCGACAGUUUGGGGUCCGGAGUAUCACCCGAUCUCUUCGGCCCGAUGCCCGACUCUAUGUCCGGGACUCGGAUCAUGUCUUCCUUUGAGUAGGUGUCCGGCUUACUGAGUUUGAUGAUCCGGACAUAAUUCGUCCUCAAAGUUGAGGGGCGACCCGUGUGUGGUUCCUCCACUACCGCUAUCUCAUGGGUGGCCGGCGGGGAUCCAAUGUCCCUCUGCUCGGGUUUAAGCCCAAUCCGUUCAUAGACCGUAGCGACUCCCAAAGCGGCGAUGCGAUCCAGGAGCUCAUUAAGAGAGGAGAUCUCUACCGGAUCCAUCUGUUCGGCAAUCUCCGAAUUGAUGCGAAGGUUAUGCGUGAUGACCCUAGAGGCCAUCGUUGGCGCGACAGCCAAUGGGGCGGCCAUAAUGAAGCCGCCAAGUCGGAGGAUCUGGUCUACAGCCAGCAUUCCUCUAGAGAUGAUGUCUUCCUUGACAACGAAAUGAGCCAUCAAGCCUUGCAGUGAUGACACAGAAGAACUCUCAAUGAAAGCACCAAUGUCGGUGUCAAAACCGGCGGAUCUCGGGUAGGGGGUCCCGAUCUGUGUGUCUUAGGCUGAUGGUAAUAGGAAGCAAGGGACACAAUGUUUACCCAGGUUCGGGCCCUCUCGAUGGAGGUAAAACCCUACUUCCUUCUGGAUUAAUAUUGAAGAUAUGAGUAGUACAAGAGUAGAUCUACCAUGAGAUCGUAGAGGCUAAACCCUAAGAGCUAGCCUAUGAUGGUAUGAUUGUAAUUGUGAUCGGCCUUCUAAGGAUCAUCCUAUCCGGUUUAUAUAGACACCGGAGAGGGCUAGGGUUUACAUGGAGUCGGUUACAAGGAAGGAAAUAUAAUAUCCGGAUCGCAAAGCUUGUCUUCCACGCAAAGGAGAGUCCCAUCCGGACACGGGCCGAAGUCUUGAGUCUUGUAUCUUCACGCUUCAAUAGUCUGGAUGAUGUAUAUAAUCCGGCUGUCCGGAUACCCCCUAAUCCAGGACUCCCUCAACGGCCUAGUGGAAUAAUGAGCCGUUAAUGGGUAUAACGUGGUACACUUUUCAUUACAGGCCAGUUUCACCACGGGUCGUUAAUGGGCCAAGAGUAACAAAGGGCCUCAUAUGGGACGAAAGAAGUCAUGGGCCACACAAGGGCCGGAAGUUAAAACAGGCUGGAAUCAUAUUGGACGGCCCAGAUGACGCUACUCGGCCUAAUUCCGAUAGGGUGUAACGGGCCCUGGGUUAGCGGGCUGUAAAUGGGCAAUAUGCGAACAUGCCAUUAACAGGCUUUCUGUGGGCCGGCCCGCCACCUUUUGACCAAGUCAAAUGGGCCAGCCUUUUCACAGGAAUGGGCCUCUGUUGGGCCGUGCCAUGUGUCGCAGUAUCAUAGGCGCCUUCGGUCCAAUGAGCGGAUGAAAUCUAUCCCAGCGGUGAGCCGACACGUGUUUCCUCCAGCCAAUGAUGAUUUUACACGUGGAAAAUCCCCAUUGGUCGGGGCUGUUAACGGGUUAUCGGAUCCAAAACUCGACCCGAUAGCUUAACGGCGUUCCGUUACGGUGGAUGCCACGUGGCGGUCACCCUUGACGAAAGCACUUCUGUGACGCGCGAUUUAUCGUCAUGGAAGUGGACACUUCCGUGAUGAUAAUUUUGGUAAUGUCAUGGAACACUUCUACGACAGCACAGGUAUGCCUAUCUAGAUUCUGUCAUAAAUGUGUCAUGGAUGUACAUGCAUGACAAAAAACGCGACCUACUGUGACAAACAUGUAUCAUCACGGAGGUGUAUUUUUUGUAGUGCUACUUGUUACCCAUUACGAAUUAUCUUAUCAGAGAACUAUCUGUUACCUAUAAUUUCAGCGCUUGCAGAGAAUACCUUGCUGAAAACCGCUUGUCAUUUCCUUUUGCUCCUCGUUGGGUUCGACACUCUUAUUUAUCGAAAGGACUAUGAUAGAUCCCCUAUACUUGUGGGUCAUCAAGACUCUUUUCUGGCGUCGUUUCUGGGUUGUGAAGCGCCUUUGGUAAGAAAACAUUUAUAUAGUGUGAUGAAAUUUACUGUCAUUUGUGGUUAUGGAAAAUAAUCCUUUGAGGGGCUUGUUCGCGGUAUCUUCACACCGACCGGAAGAACAAAGAGUUGUCUCUCAACCUAAUGAACCUAUUGAAAAUAUUUAUUAUUAAAUUCCUUCAGGUAUGAUAGAGAUACUGCUAGCUAAUCCUUAUGUAGGAGAUGGAACAUUACAUCCUGAUAUGCAUCUCGCACUUAAAAGGGUUGUAUUUGGCACUUGAAAGGGUGUGUUUUAUUAAGUAUCCGGUUCUAGUUAUCAUAAGGUCGAAGUACAACUCCGGGUCGUCCUGUUACGGUGGACACGACUAUUCGAAUAGAUCAAUCUUCCCUGCAGGGGUGCAUCACAUUACCCGACACGGUCGAUCCCUCUGGCCGGGCACACUUUCCUGGGUCAUGUCCGGCCUCGGGAGAUCAACACGUCGCAGCCCUGCCUAGGCUCAAUAGAGAGGUCAGAACAUCGGUCUAAAUCCUAAGCGCGCAGGGGUCUGGGCCCAUCGCCCGUUGCACACCUUGCACGUUGCGAACGUGGCCGGAAGCAGACCUAGCCUCCCUAAUACAAGACCAGGCGUUCCAGUCCAAUCCGGCGCGCGCCGCUUAGUCGCUGACGUCAAGAAGGCUUUGGCUGAUACCACGACGCCCAUUCCCCAUAUCUUGUCCCAUGUGGCGGUUAGUGCGUAUAAGGUGAACGACCCAACUCAGAUCAAAUACCAAGAUCUCGUUAAGCGUGUUAUUUUGAAGUAACUUCGAAUGCUGACCAGGACUAGACCCACCUGUCUCCUAGGUGGUCACAACCUGCCCUAUCGCUCUGUCACAAAGAUCCACUCAGAGGGCCGUUUGGACAAAUGUCCUUUCAGCCCCCAAUAUGUGAAUCACUCGCGGGUACUCUACGAGCCGACCCCAGUUUAGUCACAUCAUGUAACCUGUAUAGUAUGUAUCUAUGUAUGUAUGUAUGUAUGUAUGUAUACCCGUGAUCACCUCCCGAGUGAUCACGGCCCGAUAAUAUAGCAUGGCAGACGGACAAGAAUGUAGGUCCACUAAUGAUAAACUAGCAACCUAUACUAAGCAUCUAGGAUUGCAGGUAAAGGAAUCAACAAUCGUAGCAACAAUGACAUGCUAUGCAACAGAAUAGGGGCUAUCCAAUCAAUAAUAGUAGAAAAACCAAUGCAAGAAAAAGAGAGAAGAGAGUGGGCGAUAUCUGGUUGAUCAAAGGGGGUUUGCUUGCCUGGAAGCUCUGCAGACAAAUACGGACCCUCGACGGUGAAGUAGUCAACCACCGGGACAACCGCGGUCUCGAGGUCUACCGAAAAUAAGUAACGGAGGGGGAACACAAUAAAUAACAGAGCAAUCAAAGUAUCACAAAGUAUGACAUAGCAAUAAGCAGUGCUAGGGGUGACCUAACGUUGUGCUAAGCGUUAUGGACGGAGCGGGAAAUAUCCGGUCAUAUUUUCUCGGCUCCAGGCAUUUAUCGGACAAACGAACCGGUGGGAAAUGUUCCAUGUUUGUAGUGUUUGGGGCACAUGAUAGGUAUGUAGGUGGCAUAUUCGGAUUCGUCUCAUUUUUCUGAUUAUUUUUCGUAUUUAAAUUAUUCUCAUCGGAGUUACGGUUUAUUUUCUAUGAAUUUACAAAGUUUAAAUGAUUUUCUGAAUUUACAGAAUUCUUUUAGUCAGAAAAUAAAACAGCAAAAUACUUUUGCACCUAGUGCUAUUUUUGCCAUAGUGUAUGACAGUGGGGCCAGUGGGGCCAGUGGGGUUGGGUUGACUAGUCAACAUAUAAACUGUGUAGGGGCCCACAUGUCAUUGACUUAGACUUUUGUUAAAAUUUGUUUCUUUAAACUAACAGUGGGUCUACAUGUCAUCUACUAUCUAAUUAGUUAGCACUACUAAUUAGACUAACUAACCGGCUGGCCACCCGCGCGGCUGUGGCACAGCCCGCCACAGACACACACACCACACACACACACACACAUACACACACGACGCACACACACCAGCUCAUGGCCAUGGCCAUAGAGCAGCAGCGGCGGCAGCUAACAAGGCUGCGUAGGAGCAGUGUAAGAGCAGCAGCGGGAAGCAGGAGCAAGGAAUAACAGCGACGCAGCAGAGCAUCAACCAGAGCAGCGGAGUAGCGGGAGGUGGAGGGAGAUGGAGGUGAGUUGGGCCUCCCAGCCCCACUCGGGCCUCCCUCUCUCUUACUUUUCUCUCUUUCUUUCUUUCUUUCUUCUUUUUCUGUUUUCUUUCUAAUUUGUUUUGUUUUCUAUUUACUUUCAAUAUUAUUUAGGUUUUUUAAAAUAUGAGACUUGGUCCAUAAUUAGUUAUGCAAUAUUAGGCACUGCCACAAAAGUUUUGGGGGUUAUUUAAAAUAGUUUGUAUUUUCAUAAAUUAGGAAAGGCAAUUUUAAUAAUGAAUUGUCCCUUGUUUCAUUUAAUUUUGGGCACUCAAGCAAUUUAUAAAAUGUUGGUUAAUGAAUGACAAUUAGGUAGUGAAUAUUUACUGUUUGAAGGAAUAAUAAUUUAACUUGUUAUUUGAAUUUGAAUUUGACUUGAAUUUUAAUCAAGUGACAAUUGGCUUAGUAGAUGAUGAUGACAUGGCAUCAUUAGGGUGAGGUUACUGUAGCAUGAGUCUCGGGGUGUUACAAUCUAUGAGCAAGAAACAAUAACUGGAAAGAAACAAAGAGGAAGGAGAAAAACAAAAACAGGGCAAAAAAACUUACUCCAAUGACAUCUCUCUCCCUCAAAAGGAAUGGGAAAUGGGCGGAAUGAAUGCGAGGGAGAAAAACUACUCUGAGAGAGACAAACGGCCCGCCAGCCCAACUAUCGUGACAAACACCCUGGCUCGCUACUAGAAUCAACCUGAAAACGGGCCGCGCGACACACAAUAGCCGCGAGCGAAUGCACCAGCGGGACAAAAAUAGGUUUGCACGAAUCUUAAAGACAGACGAGAUCUGAUGGCUCUUGACUUAGACGUGAAGUAGUUAUUUCACAUCUAGAUGUGAAAUAGAAAAUCUGAUAUAAUGAUUGUAAUGUUGUAGUCUGUAGAUGUGUAAUUAAUGCACAAUUCAUUUUUUUGAUGCAGUACCAUUCCUUCAAGAUAUAUAUAAUUAAUGUAAUGUUGUAGCGUGUAGAUGUGUAAUUAAUGCACACGUUCAUUUUUUGGUGAAGUACCAUAUCUUCCUAUCUUCAAGAUAUAUAAAAUUAAUGUAAUAUUGUAGCAUGUAGAUGUGCAACUAAUGGAUACAUUCAUUUUUUAUGCAGUACCAUAUCUUCAAGAUAUAUCAUGUAUAGUACAACUAAUGUAUGUAUAACGUGUCGAUGUGGAGUUAAUGUACACACUCAUUGUUCGAUGCGAUUACAUAUCUUCAAGGUAUAGCCUAUAAAUAUAGAGUUAAUGUGAACAUUCAUUGUUUGAUACAAUAUGCAUCUUCAAGAUAUAGAACUAAUGUAUGAUGUAGCCUCUAGAGUGCAGUUAAUUUACAUAUUAGUUGAUUGACAUGGUGACAUAUCUUUAAGAUAUACAACUGAUGCAUGUGCCCAUAUCAUCAUCUCAAACAAGGCUAUAUAAACCAAGCCAUAGCUAACGAAGUCAUGUAUCCCACACAUUCACAGAGAAGCCACACAAACAAUUAUAACAUCAAAGGGAUAGAGAAGGCUCUAGUGUAGCAGAUACAAAAUCCAUAGCCAUGGCGAAACUCAUGGACUUAUGUUUCAUCAUCCUCACUAUUGGGGUAGCUGUCUCGGCUGAUGAAUGUGAGGGUGACCGACAGGCCAUGAUCAAGGAGUGUGCGAAGUAUCAAAAGUGGCCAGCAAAUCCGAAGAUAGAUCCGUCGGACGCAUGCUGCGCCGUGUGGCAAAAGGCAAACAUCCCAUGCCUUUGCGCUGGUGUCACCAAGGAGAAAGAGAAGAUAUAUUGUAUGGAGAAGGUUGGAUACGUUGCCAAUUUCUGCAAGAAGCCGUUCCCACAUGGCUACAAGUGCGGAAGUAAGUGAAAUAUAUUAAGGGAAUUAUGACGAUCGGCAUUGCAUACAUGCAGUUUUCAUAUUUGUUAUUCUUCGGAUUCACACGAUUUCGAUUUUAGUUAUGCAUUUUAUAUGUUUCUUGUGCUAUUCUGAUCAUAUGUUGGGACAAAUUGAAUGGUCUUGCAGGUUACACAUUCCUGGCGUAGUGACUCUAGUUUAGCUGUGGAAGGAGAAGCUUGGCUUUUACAUUCGAUGUGUGCUUGGCCUCACAAUAGCUUUCCUUUCAGAUCUGUAAUUCGUGAGGUUGUGCUCAGGAAAGUUUAUGUUAAGCACUUUGUAUGAGAACGUUUCUGAAACUAAUAAAGCCUUCUCCUCAAAUUGUCUAAAUUAUCUUUGUUCAUAUAUCAUUUUUUGGUUCUACUAGUAAAUAUGCCCAUGCGUUGCAACGGGAGUAAAACAAUUAGAUUGUGCAUAUGUGGUAGAAAUAAAAAAAGUCUAAAACAUAUUCCAGGAUGAGAUCGGGACCUUUAAAAUGUGAUUUCAUAAACUACGUCUGAAUCAUGUCAUGAUGAGAAAAGGAACUUCUGUAAGGUCAUUUCAAAAGCUAAAAAUGUGAUGGUCUCAUCACGACUUGAUUUUCUAAGGCACCACAACAAAAUAUUUUCUACCUGAGAAACUGUAUUGAUGGACCCUACCUGAGCUACACUAAUUAAUGGUGUGUCUCGCCUUCACCUAGGGUCACGGUGUUUACCAUGAAUAGGAAAACUAUAGUACCAGAAUAAACAUAGAGGUGUAUGGAGGCAAAUUAGAUAUUUAAUCAUUUUUGUAUACAACUUACAAAAACUAAUUGUAGGAAGUUUUGUCAAUUUUUUUGGGCUCAACGUUGUGCAGAUUAUGGAAACCUUUUUUUACGCGACUCGCAUGUACUAAAGAAAAUCAUGAAACAACCUCUACAAAUAAAAAAACUCUAUAUAAGCAGGUUAGUUUUGUUCGUUAUUUACAGAUCUGCUUAAUUUUUUUGAACAUUUUCUAAAAUUUACAUUCUUCCAAAUUUCCGAAUAUAUUUUGAAUACAUGAUAAUUUUUCUAAAAUCUUGAAUAUUUUGUGAACAUUUUUUCGAAAACGUGAUUUUUCAUGAAUGCAAACAUUUUUCAAAAUACUGGACAUUUUAUAAUUUUCCAAACAUUUUUUGAAUUAAUGAAAAUUUUAUGAUUUCGCAAAAACAACGUGAAUAGUUUUUAAAAAUACUGGACAUUUUAUGAUUUCCUAAACACUUUAUGAAUUCAUGAACAUUUUAUAAUUUCCCAAUAAAAUCCAAAACUGACAACUUUUGGAAAUCCCGAAUUAAUUUGAAGAAGGAAAAAAAGAACCAGAAUUAGGGUGAGGUUAAUGUAGCAUGAGUCUCGGGAUGUUACAAAUCUACUCCACUACAAAAAAUCUCGUCCCAAGAGUUAAGAGGCGGAGUAAGGUGGAAAGUUCUGGUUACGAAAUUCUAAUGAAUCUUCUCGUUCUUGGUUGCUCUUCUCGAAUGAGUUGACCCAUUACGUUGAUGUCUUAUUUUCUCUACUUCGGGUAAUAAUGACGAAGUCGUCAUCCUUUCUUCAAGAACUCCAUCGUACUUACGAAGGAAUAGAGGGUGGGUAUUCCAGGGGAAACAUGCCUCUACAAGGUUGAUUAUUUGGUUGAUAACAUCAGGGAAGGUGGCAGAGAGUAACUCUCUAAUUGAAACCUAAGAAAAUAUCUAGAGCAAAGUAAGGAGGUAUCAUGGGAAGUCUUGAGUGGGCAGGCAAUCGUUCGGUGCCUGAAAUAGGGCAUGAAAGGGGUUCAAGGCAACGAGAAUAAGUAUUAUGUUUGAUAGCAGAAUUGAUGAUCUCUCGAAAGGUGGCUUGUGAAUUACAUAAGAGGACACACGCGAGGAACAACCUUGGGAAUAGGGGGUGUACAGGAGAGUCAGGUUUCGAUCCUGUGGAACUGUGGGUUCCACCAUGUGGGUUAAAUUUUGGAAAGGCGGUGUUGUCUUGCACGAUCAUGUAAGCAAGGCAUGUCAGAGGAUAGCCUGUCAGUUAUGUCGGCAACAACAUCGGUACCAUUUUUCUGCUCGUUGAACGAGGCAGACCAAUAGGCAAAGUUCUCGUCCAUCGGUGGUUACCGGAAUGUCAUCAACAUUAGUAACAGGGUCUUACUGACAGAGUGUUACAACGAGGUGCUUACUUAACCAAGGAAUUAUCAUUGCUCAGUUAACUCAGAUUACAAGAAAGGUUAAACCAAACAAUGGAAAGGAAAAUGUGUUCAAACACAUAUUUCAGGGGUAUAUCCUCCCCAAGGGCAAGCAGAGCACGAUAUCCAUGACAGGAUAGAAACUAGAAAACCAUUUAGGUCAGGGGGGAGGAAUUUCAUGACAUUACCCAAACAACGGUGUUUGGAUAAUUGACGGGAAAAAAUUAGCAUUGUGCUUCAAAUGUUCUUAUUGAAGAUCGAAGGACCACAAACAUGCUUUAAGAUUGCAUUGACAUGGUCUUCAAGCAAGGUCGGACUUUGGAUACUCAAAGGAUUCAUCAGGAACAACUUAUAGAAUAAGUCUUACAAUUUCCUCAUGGAAGAAUGGUUAACCUUGCUAAAAAGGAAACUAUAACAAUAGGGCCCCGACCAGGUGUGCUAGGCAUGACAUCACAUUAUCGGGUCAUAUAAAGACCAAUGUUAUAACUCUUGGAAAUAUGUUCCAACCAUCAUAUUUGACCGAGAUUCGGAUCUGAUUGGUGUCAGGAUACCUCGGACUCAGGAUGCUUGAGAAGAAAAAGGUGCGACACAUAUUGACGAGAUGGCAUUUUAAGAUUAUUGGGAAAUGAACUAUGGGAGCGAGUUCCGAAACAAAAGUUCAUCAUUAAAUCAAGGAGAGGGCGAGGAGGUGGCUGAUGGACUCAGCGACAAUUCAUUGAGAUUUCCCAAAAGAUGGAUUUGCACAAUUAUGUGAAGGAGAUAACAUUUGUAAGAUCAAAUGAUAUAACGAUGUAUGCUGAAGGAGAACAUCCACGAGUAAACAUUGGUUGAAAGGUGCAACCAAAAUAUGGGCUUAGGUAGCAUGAUCAAUGUUAGAAUGGUGAUUCAAUAACCAAUACACAAAGAAUGAAACUAUCAUUCAUUAACUUACAUGCAAUAGGGUUGCUAGAAGUUUUGAAUUUUACACAUCACAGUCCAGUUGUCAGUACUCUGGUUAAGAACAACAUGGGGACCAAGAACUGAAUGUAGACGGUGAGAUAUAUCACUUGUAUCAAGAAUUCUUAAGAGGUGGUGAAAUUCUCACAACUUUCUUGAUAUAUAAAAUGAUAAUACUCCAAGGUAGGACAUAAGAUAAGUUGGAUUGCCAGGAACUCAUGGCACACCACAACACUAACAAGUUUGUGUUGGAAAGAAGGUGAGGAAGUAGUUGAUGACAACACAAAUUACGAAGGAUAAGGAUGGUAAUCCCCAUCAGAAAUUUGAUUGAUAUCCUGGAAGGAGUCAAAAUGUUGUUGAUGAUCAUGAGAAAUUUGGUCGAGAGGCUCCACGAAGAAGCAAUCAAACAGUGACUGCAUCAAGCAAAAGUACUAAUGUAGCGAAAGAUUAUUGGAUCCUUGGAUACGCCACCAACUCGGAAUGAAGCUUGUUGUUCAUGGUGGAAUGAUAAGACGAGGGAAUCGACGUAAGAUUAGCUCAUCGUCGAAGUUGUGCUCUGGGAGUAAGGAACAUGUAGCACAGUUAAAAUCAGCACGAUAAUGAUAUAGCCGAGAAGGACAAGAAUGACAUGGUCGAGUACAAACUCGUGAGUAAAGGAGAUUACUUUAAUCAUGGUGCGGACCUGAUUUAUUUAUUGGUGUCCUCGAGUGACUAACAACUCGGAACCCAGGAAAAAUUGGAAUCGGUGAGGAAUAAUACUUGAUGAAGGCUCAUAAUAAGCAACAUGGUUCGGUGCUAUUAUCGAGAUACCAGAGGGUAAUACUCGGAGGUAGAGAAAAAUAGAGGGUUGACAAGUUUAUUGAUAUGCAGAAGACAAGUACUUUAACUUGUCCGAGAAAAGGAAUCAAGGAAUAUCAAUAUGGCCGAAACCAUAGCUACAAGGGAACCAAUUUAAUGACACCGAAAGAAUUAUCCAACUAAUUAAAUGUUUUGCAAGAAGCUUGUAUGACAAGUUCCACAUCAGGUCCAUGGGCAUGAAAACUAAGUUCGUGCAGUUUUUGCAGAAAAGUGAGACUACGUCCUCCUUGUGGCAGUCCUCGACCUUGUUAAGCACAAGGAGGAAGUUGGCCCAGUAACGGUGUACCGUCUCCAGGGGCUCUUGCCUGAUGCGGGAGAGACGGUUUAAGUUCGAGCGAGUGUUGUUGGCUAAAUCCGGAUCUUGAUCCGAUCUGACACCCGGGGGCAUGGACAGUUCUGAGCCCGACAGUUCGGGGUCCGGAGUAUCACCCGAUCUCUUCGGCCCGAUGCCCGACUCUAAGUUCGGGACUCGGGUCAUGUCUUCCUUUGAGUAGGUGUCCGGCUUACUGAGUUCGGUGAUCCGGACAUAAUUCGUCCUUAAAGUUGAGGGGCGACCCGUGUGUGGUUCCUCCACUACCGCUAUCUCAUGGGUGGCGGGCGGGGAUCCAAUAUCCCUCUGGUUGGGUUUAAGCCCAAUUCGGUCAUAGUCCGUAGCGACUCCCAAAGCGGCGAUGCGAUCCAGGAGCUCAUUAAGAGAGGAGAGCUCUACCGGAUCCAUCUGUUCGGCAAGCUCCGAAUUGAUGCGAAGGUUAUGCGUGAUGACCCGAGAGGCCAUCGUUGGCGAGACAGCCAAUGGGGCGGCCAUAAUGAAGCCCCCAAGUUGGAGGAUCUGGCCUACAACCAGUGUUCCUCCUGAGAUGAUGUCGUCCUUGACAACGAGACGAGCCAUCAAGCCUUGCAGCGACGACAUAGAAGAACUCUCAACGAAAGCACCAAUGUCGGUGUCAAAACCGGCGGAUCUCGGGUAGGGGGUCCUGAUCUGUGCGUCUUAGGCUGAUGGUAACAGGAAGCAAGGGACACAAUGUUUACCCAGGUUCGGGCCCUCUCGAUGGAGGUAAAACCCUACUUCCUGCUUGAUUAAUAUUGAAGAUAUGAGUAGUACAAGAGUAGAUCUACCACGAGAUCGUAGAGGCUAAACCCUAAGAGCUAGCCUAUGAUGGUAUGAUUGUAAUUGUGAUCGGCCUUCUAAGGACCAUCCUCUCAGGUUUAUAUAGACACCGGAGAGGGCUAGGGUUUACAUGGAGUCGGUUACAAGGAAGGAAAUAUAAUAUCCGGAUCGCAAAGCUUGUCUUCCACGCAAAGGAGAGUCCCAUCCGGACACGGGCCGAAGUCUUGAGUCUUGUAUCUUCACGCUUCAAUAGUCCGGACGAUGUAUAUAGUCUGGUUGUCUGGAUACCCCCUAAUCCUGGACUCCCUCAAUGGCCCAGUGGAAUAAUGGGCCGUUAAUGGGUAUAAAGUGAUACACUUUUUAUUACGGGCCAGUUUCACCACGGGUCGUUAAUGGGCCAAGAGUUACAAAGGGCCUCAUAUGGGCCGAAAGAAGUCAUGGGCCACACAUCGGCCGGAAGUUAAAACGGGCUGGAAUUAUAUUGGACGGCCCAGAUGAUGCUACUGGGCCUAAUUCGGAUAGGGCGUAACGGGCCCAAGGUUAGCGGGCUGUAAAUGGGCAAUAUGCGAACAUGCCUUUAACAGGCUUUCUGUGGGCCGGCCCGCCACCUUUUGACCAAGUCAAACGAGCCGGCCUUUUCACAGGAAUGGGCCUCUGUUGGGCCUUGCCGCGUGUCGCCGUAUCAUAGGCGCCUUCGGUCCAAUGAGCGGAUGACAUCUAUCCCAGCGGUGAGCCGACACGUGUUUCCUCCAGCCAAUGAUGAUUUUACACGUGGAAAAUCCCCAUUGGUCGGGGCUGUUAAUGGGUUCUCGGAUCCAAAACUUGACCUGAUAGCUUAACGGCGUUCCAUUACGGUGGAUGCCACGUGUCGGUCACCCUUGACGAAAGCACUUUUGUGACGCGCGAUUUAUCAUCAUGGAAGUGGACACUUCCGUGAUGAUAAUUUUGGUAAUAUCAUGGAACAUUUCAACGACAGCACAUGUAUGACUAUCUAGAUUCUGUCAUAAAUUUGUCAUGGAUGUACAUGCAUGACAAAAAACGUGACCUACUGUGACAAACACGUAUCAUCACGAAAGUGUAUUUUUUUUAGUGCUACUUGUUACCCAUUACGAAUUAUCUUAUCAGAGAACUAUCUGUUACCGAUAAUUUCAGCGCUUGCAGAGAAUACCUUGCUGAAAACCGCUUGUCAUUUCCUUUUGCUCCUCGUUGGGUUCGACACUGUUAUUUAUUGAAAGGACUAUAAUAGAUCCCCUAUACUUGUGGGUCAUCAAGACUCUUUUCUGGCGUCGUUUCCGGGUUGUGAAGCGCCUUUGGUAAGCAAACAUUUAUAUAGUGUGCUGAAAUUUACUGUCACUUGUGGUUAUGGAAAAUAAUCCUUUGAGGGGCUUGUUCGCGGUAUCUUCACACCGACCGGAAGAACAAAGAGUUGUCUCUCAACCUAAUGAACCUAUUGAAAAUAUUUAUUAUUAAAUUUCUUCAUGUAUGAUAGAGAAAUUGCUAGCUAAUCCUUAUGUAGGAGAUGGAACAUUACAUCCUGAUAUGCAUCUCGCACUUGAAAGGGUUGUAUUUGGCACUUGAAAGGGUGUGUUUUAUUAAGUAUCGGGUUCUAGUUAUCAUAAGGUCGAAGUACAACUCCGGGUCGUCCUGUUACGGUGGACACGACUAUUCGAAUAGAUCAAUCUUCCCUGCAGGGGUGCAUCACAUUACCCGACACGAUCGAUCCCUCUGGCCGGGCACACUUUCCUGGGUCAUGUCCGGCCUUGGGAGAUCAACACGUCGCAGCCCUGCCUAGGCUCAACAGAGAGGUCAGAACAUCGGUCUAAAUCCUAAACGCGCAGGGGUCUGGGCCCAUCGCUCGUUGCACACCUUGCACGUUGCGAUCGUGGCCGGAAGCAGACCUAGCCUCCCUAAUACAAGACCAGGCGUUCCAGUCCAAUCCGGCGCGCGUCGCUUAGUCGCUGACGUCAGGAAGGCUUUGUCUGAUACCACGAUGCCCAUUCCCCAUAUCUUGUCCCACGUGGCGGUUAGUGCGUAUAAGGUGAACGACCCAACUCAGAUCAAAUACCAAGAUCUCGUUAAGCAUGUUAUUUUGAGGUAACUCCGGAUGCUGACCAGGACUAGACCCACCUGUCUCCUAGGUGGUCACAACCUGCCCUAUCGCUCUGUCACAAAGAUCCACUCAGAGGGCCGUCUGGACAAAUGUCCUUUCAGCACCCAAUAUGUGAAUCAAUCGCGGGUACUCUACGAGCCGACCCCACUUUAGUCACAUCAUGUAACCUGUAUAGUAUGUAUGUAUGUAUAUACCCGUGAUCACCUCCCGAGUGAUCAUGGCCCGAUAAUAUAGCAUGGCAGACGGACAAGAAUAUAGGGCCACUAAUGAUAAACCAGCAACCUAUACUAAGCAUGUAGGAUUGCAGGUAAAGGAAUCAACAAUCGUAGCAACAAUGACAUGCUAUGCAACAGAAUAGGGGCUAUCCAAUCAAUAAUAGUAGAAAAACCAAUGCAAGAAUAAGAGAGAAGAGAGUGGGCGAUAUCUGGUUGAUCAAUGGGGGUUUGCUUGCCUGGAAGCUCUGCAGACAAAUACGGACCCUCGACGGUGAAGUAGUCGACCACUGGGACAACCGCGGUGUCGAGGUCUGCCGGAAAGAAGUAACGGAGGGGGAACACAAUAAAUAACAGAGCAAUCAAAGUAUCACAAAGUAUGACAUAGCAAUACACAGUGCUAGGGGUGACCUAACGUUGUGCUAAGCGUUACGGACGGAGCGGGAAAUAUCCGGUCAUAUUUUCUCGGCUCCAGGCAUUUAUCGGACAAACGAACUGGUGGGAAAUGUUCCAUGUUUGUAAUGUUUGGGGCACAUGAUAGGUAUGUGGGUGGCAUAUUCGGAUUCGUCUCAUUUUUCUGAUUAUUUUUCAUAUUUAAAUUAUUCUCAUCGGAGUUACGGUUUAUUUUCUAUUAAUUUACAAAGUUUAAAUGAUUUUCUGAAUUUACAGAAUUCUUUUAAUCCGAAAAUAAAACAGCAAAAUACUUUUGCACCUAGUGCUAUUCUAGCCAUAGUGUAUGACAGUGGGGCCCGUGGGUUUGGGUUGACUAGUCAACAUAUAAACUGUGUAGGGGGCCACAUGUCAUUGACUUAAACUUUUGUUAAAAUUUGUUUUUCUUUAAACUAACAGUGGGUCUACAUGUCAUCUACUAUCUAAUUAGCUAGCACUACUAAUUAGACUGACUAACGGGCCGGCCACCCGCGCGGCUGUGGCACAGCCCGCCACAGACACACACACGACGCACACACACCAGCUCAUGGCCAUGGCCAUAGAGCAGCAGCGGUGGCAGCUAACAAGGCUGCGUAGCAGCAGUGUAAGAGGAGCAGCGGGAAGCAGGAGCAAGGAAUAACAGCGACGCAGCAGAGCAUCAACCAGAGCAGCGGCGUAGCGGGAGGUGGAGGGAGAUGGAGGUGAGUUGGGCCUCCCAGCCCCACUCGGGCCUCCCUCUCUCUUACUUUUCUCUCUUUCUUUCUUUCUUUCUUUCUUCUUUUUCUGUUUUCUUUCUAAUUUGUUUUGUUUUCUAUUUACAUUCAAUAGUUUUUCGGUUUUAUAAAAUAUGAGACUUGGUCCAUAAUUAGUUAUUCAAUAUUAGGCACUGCCACAAAAGUUUUGGGGGUUAUUUAAAAUAGUUUGUAUUUUCAUAAAUUAGGAAAGGCAAUUUUAAUAAUGAAUUGUCCCUUGUUUCAUUUAUUUUUGGGCACUCAACCAAUUUAUAAAAUGUUGGUUAGUGAAUGACAAUUAGUUAGUGAAUAUUUACUGUUUGAAGGAAUAAUAAUUUAAAUUGUUAUUUGAAUUUCAAUUUGACUUGAAUUUUAAUCAAGUGACAAUUGACUUAGUAGAUGAUGAUGACAUGGCAUCAUUAGGGUGAGGUUACUGUAGCAUGAGUCUCGGGGUGUUACAAUCUAUGAGCAAGAAACAAUAACUGGAAAGAAACAAAGAGGAAGGAGAAAAACAAAAACAGGGCAAAAAAACUUAGGGUGCGUUUGGAUUGCAACCAAUAGUAGCCAUAUCAAAAAAUUGGCAAGCCCAUGGAAAUUGGCUAGUGCUUGGAUAGCAGCCAAAAUUUUGGCUCGCCCGACGUUCCGCCAACGGGCCAGUGCAAAUUUUGCCAACACAUGGGCGAGCUGGCGGCGCCGAAAAGCUCCGCCAAAAUAUUGGCAGCGCCCACGCCCGCUCACUCCACGGGGCCUGCUUAAUUAUCGCAGCUAACUCACGAUUGACCCUGAAAGUGAUUUGUAGAUCGGCAUAUUUCUCCUGUUCCCUGAUCGUUUGGUGGUAGGUACUCUUUUUUGGCUCAACAAAUCCGCAUGUGCAUGCAGGAAGAUAGCUACCUAAUUACCACAAAAUUAGCAUGAGUCGUGUAGGUUUAUUAAUCCGCUAAGCAGUACUUAAUUUGAUUAUUAUACUAGUACGGUCGAGUAGCAGCCCUACCUCAUAGAACUACUCCUGAAAAGCACGGAACUAUUUUUACCUAAAGAAGGGAUAUAUGUUUUGACGAAUGAAACAUUGCUUUUGCAUGCCCAUUUUUUUGUUACUUUUUGUGUAUUGUAGCUAUUAAAAAAAUCAUUUCACAUUUUUUUGCGGGGCAUGUCACAUUAUUUUUUGACUUGGAAUAAAAAUAAGCAUGGAAUAAGCCUAAUUCCCAAAGUUUGUCGCGUUAGUUGGCAACAAACCAAAUGACAGCUCAGUUAUUUUGCCAAAAAAUUGGUAGAAACAUUGGCUCUAAACCAAACAAGAACAACCAACCAAUAUUUUGGCCAUGCCCUCACUUUGGUCAUGCCAAAAAAUUUGGUGGGGCUAGUUGGGGCACAAACCAAACACACCCUUACUCCAAUGACAUCUCUCUCCCUUAAAAGGAAUGGGAAAUGGGCGAAAUGAAUGCGAGGGGGAAAAACUACUCUGAGAGAGACAAACGUCCCGCCAGCCCAACUAUCGUGACAAACACCCCGGCCCGCUACUAGUAUCAACCUGAAAACGGGCCGCACGACACACAAUAGCCGCGAGCGAAUGCACCAGCGGGACAAAAAUAGGUUUGCGCGAAUCUUAAAGACAGACGAGAUCCAAUGGCUCUUGACUUAGACGUGAAGUAGUUAUUUCACAUCUAGAUGUGAAAUAGCAAAUCUGAUAUAAUGAUUGUAAUGGUAUAGUCUGUAGAUGUGUAAUUAAUGCACAAUUCAUUUUUUUGAUGCAGUACCAUUCCUUCAAGAUAUAUAUAAUUAAUAUAACGUUGUAGCAUGUAGAUGUGUAAUUAAUGCACACGUUCAUUUUUUGGUGAAGUACCAUAUCUUUCUAUCUUCAAGAUAUAUAUAAUUAAUGUAAUAUUGUAGCAUGUAGAUGUGCAACUAAUGGAUACAUUCAUUUUUUAUGCAGUACCAUAUCUUCAAGAUAUAUCAUAUAUAGUACAACUAAUGUAUGUAUAACGUGUCGAUGUGGAGUUAAUGUACACACUCAUUGUUCGAUGCGAUUACAUAUCUUCAAGGUAUAGCCUAUAAAUAUAGAGUUAAUGUGAACAUCCAUUGUUUGAUACAAUAUGCAUCUUCAAGAUAUAGAACUAAUGUAUGAUGUGGCCUCUAGAGUGCAAUUAAUGUACAUAUUAAUUGUUUGACAUGGUGACAUAUCUUCAAGAUAUACAACUGAUGCAUGUGCCCAUAUCAUCAUCUCAAACAAGGCUAUAUAAACCAAGCCAUAGCUAUCGAAGUCAUGUAUCCCACACAUUCACAGAGAAGCCACACAAACAAUUAUAACAUCAAAGGGAUAGAGAAGGCUCUAGUGUAGCAGAUACAAAAGCCAUAGCCAUGGCGAAACUCAUGGGCUUAUGUUUCAUCAUCCUCACUAUUGGGGUAGCCGUCUCGGCUGAUGAAUGUGAGGGUGACCGACAGGCCAUGAUCAAAGAGUGUGCUAAGUACCAAAAGUGGCCAGCAAAUCCGAAGAUAGAUCCGUCGGACGCAUGCUGCGCCGUGUGGCAAAAGGCAAACAUCCCAUGCCUUUGCGCUGGUGUCACCAAGGAGAAAGAGAAGAUAUAUUGUAUGGAGAAGGUUG
This 278078-nucleotide long non-coding RNA is filed under the name Triticum aestivum (bread wheat). RNAcentral describes it as "long non-coding RNA (TAES_LNC000868)". Lineage: Eukaryota; Viridiplantae; Streptophyta; Magnoliopsida; Poales; Poaceae. The record is from RNAcentral.